UGAGGGAUGUUGAACUGGUAUCCAGGGGAGAAAUUUUGAAAGGAAAACAAUAUCUUCAGUCCUUGAGAUUGGAAUGGAAUCGGUCGGGCCAAGAUGGGGGGGAUGAGGGUGAUAAGUCAGUGAUGGAAGGCCUUCAACCACACCCACAAUUAAAGGAUAUCUUUAUAGAAGGUUAUGGAGGUACGGAGUUUCCAAGUUGGAUGAUGAAUGAUAGGUUGGGUUCCCUGCUUCCCGACUUAAUUAAAAUUGAAAUUUCGGGAUGUUCAAGAUGCAAAAUUCUGCCACCCUUUUCUCAACUCCCUUCUCUCAAGUCUUUGAAGCUGGAUGAUAUGAAAGAAGUGGUGGAGAUAAAGGAGGGUUCAUUGGCAACGCCACUUUUCCCAUCUCUUGAAUCGCUCGAACUCUCUCACAUGCCAAAGUUGAAGGAAUUGUGGAGGAUGGACUUACUAGCAGAGGAAGGUCCUUCAUUUGCUCAUCUUUCAAAGUUGCAUAUUCAUAAAUGCUCUGGUUUGGCAUCACUGCAUUCUUCUCCUUCUCUUUCUCAAUUAGAGAUCAGAAAUUGCCAUAACUUGGCAUCCUUGGAACUGCCGCCGUCCCAUUGUCUUUCUAAAUUAAAGAUCGUAAAAUGCCCUAACUUGGCAUCCUUCAAUGUGGCUUCAUUACCUCGUCUUGAGGAAUUAAGCCUGCGUGGAGUCAGAGCAGAGGUACUGAGGCAGUUAAUGUUUGUCUCUGCUUCUUCUUCAUUGAAGUCUUUGCAUAUACGGAAGAUUGAUGGUAUGAUAUCUAUCCCAGAGGAGCCGCUUCAAUGUGUUUCCACUCUCGAAACUCUCUACAUUGUUGAGUGCUCUGGUUUGGCAACAUUACUACACUGGAUGGGCAGCCUUUCCUCGCUUACGAAACUUAUUAUUUAUUACUGCUCUGAAUUGACAUCACUGCCAGAAGAGAUCUAUUCCCUUAAAAAACUGCAGACAUUUUAUUUCUGUGAUUAUCCACACCUAGAGGAAAGAUACAAGAAGGAAACAGGCGAAGACCGGGCCAAGAUUGCUCAUAUCCCACAUGUUCGUUUCAACAGUGAUUCCUAUAUGGAAUUGGAGGUAGGUCCGAAAUCCCUAACCUUUCUUCCCAUUUUUAUUAAUUUAGAAUCAGAAUGCUAUAUUUUCAUUUUGUCUCUGGUAGUUCUUUUAUGUUGGCACCUCAUGUGUUUGUUUAAAUGCUCACAUCAAUAACUUUUCGAAAUUUUUUUCCAGCUUGACUACAUUUUCUGAUGCUGUGCACUAAACUAAUCAUUUUACUUGGAGUUCUACGUUCUAAGAGUUUGAGGAAAUACUGAGGUCUGGUAUGAUAACUCUCAAUCUUAAACGUUGUUUUGUGUUUGGAAUAUUACUACACUUGAUAGAUACCCUCACCUCACUUACAGAGCUUGGAAUUCAUGGCUGCCCUGAAUUGACAUCACUGCCAGAAGAUAUGUUCCCUCAAAAACCUGCUGACACUUGACAAUCUGCAUCUGUUCACACUUAAGAGGAAAGAUGCCGAAAGGAAAGGUGAAGACUAACCCAAGCACAAAUUGAUAUCAUACAUCCAUGAAGAUUGAACUGAUAUAGAAUGCCUUUCAGGUCUGAAAUCCCUAACUUUUCUUCUCAUUUUCUGUUACUUCAUUUGUAUUAUCUUACAUUUAAAAUGCUCUGUUUUCAUUUGUUUUGGUGGUUCUUUGUAUUUGCACCUUGUUUGAUUAAAUGCUUACUUCAGUAAAUUAGAAUUUUACUUGAGUCUUUUACAUCCUAAGAGUUUGAGGAAAUACCGAGCUCUAAUAUAAAUAGUAUUGGUCACAAAGUCCACCUUUCCUAAGAAGCUUACCAUUGGCCUAAUGCCCAAAGGAAACAACUUUGGAUUGGCUUGAAGAUUUCACAUGGUCUAAACAUUUGUAUUUACUAGAUGCCUGAUACAAAAAGUAGUUUCAAUUUAGCUCUUUGAUAUAAAGAUUAAAUAAUUGGAAAAUGUAUAAAUUUUUAUAUUUUACUUCAAAUUCAUUUCACUUAUUUUAACUCUUUGAUAUAAAGAUUAAAUAAUGGGAAAAUGUAUAAAUUUCUAAUUAAUCUUAAUAAUAUUUUAUUUUCUUUGAUAUUUUUCAUAGAACAACCAAACAUGAGAAAAUAAUUUUCCCUAUCAUUUUUUUCUUAGUACUUUUUGGGAACCAAACAUAAACUAGAUGUUUUACUUUAGUAGCUUCAUCAAAUUAAAUAGACAACCUCACACCUCUUAUUGAGCUAAGGUGUUAUUUGAGUUAAUGUUUUGUCUUUACUUAUUCAUUGAAGCCUUUGUCUAUUGGAUGCACAGGUGAUAUGAUCCAAACUCAAAUUGAACACCGCUCUUGUUUUGUAACAUUACUACAUUGGAAAGGCAACUUCAGCUCACUUAUAGACCUUUCUAUUGGUGAUUGCACUAAAUUGACGUCACUUUGGAAAAGAUGUGUUCUAGAUGGAAAAUCUUUCAUUAUAUGCACCUACUUGCAAGAUACCAAAGGGAAAUAGGUGAAUACUUGCCCAAGAAUAUAGAGGGCCAUACUUGGUUAAGGUUUCGUCAAUACGGAGAACCAUGUCAGGUAUGAAAUCCUCCUUUCUCAUUUUCUGAUGACUUCAUUUUUAUUCAAUAACCAUUUGAUAUUAUUUCUGUUGAUUUUAUUUUGAUAUUAGAUUUUCUUGCUUGCUCAAUAAUUUCAUUGAAGUUCUUUGGAUAUCACAUUUUCUUUGAUGUUUUUCUUUUCUUUUUAGAAUAAUUCAAAAUAUCAUUUUUACCUGUUCACAAAAUUUGAUCACAGUUGAGUGAUUAAAAUUCAAGUUUAUUAUUAUUAUUAUUAUUAUUAUUAUUAUUAUUAUUAUUAUUAUUAUUAUUGUUAUUAGCUAUUGGACAUAUUCGUUUUCUAAUACAGACAUAAGACUGACAGGUAAUGUGCAUAGAAUUUGUAGAAGAGAAGAAAGAUUUGAUCCAAGAUAUUCCUAAAGACCAAAAACUUUCAAAGUCGUCUAAGAUCCCAUAGGUUGAAUUUGGAUUCAUCCAAUUUACAAUCCACUAAUUCUACUUAUGUCAUCUUUGUUAUGUUACAAUUUGCUUUUACUUGUUAUGCAGCCUACCUUAAUAAUUUGGGGAGACCAAGAUACGACGUUCCUAAUAGAACCAGCUUACAAAUUGAAAAGGUAAACUUGUAUCACUUGCCUACAUGCCUACAACAAUACAAACACUAGCUUAUGUCUUUCUCAAUAUUGAGAUUGUUACUGCAUGCAAGCAUUUUGGGUGAGGAGGCCCAACUUGUGAUCAUCAAUAACAUAGAGCAUACUUUUAUUAUAGAGAAGCCCAAGGAAAUAUUUAAGCACUUGAAAUCCUUUCUCAUUGAUUUGCUUCCACCUCCUAGGCAACACUUGGAACCACUCACACCAUGACAAGGUGAAAAGAAACUAAUGCAACAUUCUCAAUAUAUCAAAGGAAAGGUCAAAUUUUAGAUUUUUGUGUUUUUCCUAUCACUGUUUCUAUACUAUUACUAGUGCACCUUAUUUGUCAACAUGAUUAAAAUAGAAUUCCCUAGGAUAACUAGUGUCUCAGGUGAUCUUAAGGUUCAUAAAUUUUUGGUUUCCACAAGAUAGGUGCCAACUAAUUUUAUUUUUUUCUACAUCCAUGCAAUAUUCUAGUCAUCUAUUAACAAGGGAUAAAAAUUCUUGUAGAGAAUAGAAUAAAGAACUAGAUUAAAUGAAAAUAGGACAUUAGUAUUCUAUUUACUAGUAAGGGUAAAAAAUUCUUGAUGGCCAUCAAGCACAUUGUUCCUAAAAUAAUAGCAUCCAUGUCGUUGAGCAAAAGUUUAUUGUAAUUGCAUUUAACAUAUAAAGCAAAACUGAUUUUUUUAUUUUAUUUUAUAUUUACACCUUAUGCAUUUGAUAAAAUUCUUAAACAAGUAAGUUUGAAAAUUUUCUCUUCAAAUCAUUUGAUAAUUGAAGGCCAAACUAAUCAAAUUGAUUUAAAUUUUACAUUCAAAAGUUGAAUUUAUUAUUAUUAUUAUUAUUAUUAUUUUUUUUUUUUUUGCAAAAUUUACUUCACUUUAGAAGUUUGUGAUUAUUCUCUAGUCCAUCUUAAAAUGAGUGCCUCCAUUAUUCCAUUCCUCUAUCACUACAAAAAGUUUAGAUUGACCUAAAAUUUUCUCAUGACCUAGAAACUCAUAUCUACUAGAUGGUUAAAGCAAAAAAAGGCUUUUGCCUUAUGUUUUAAGUAAUCUCCCUAUUAUCUAUUUGUUGAGAGCAUCAUACAAGAUGUAAUUAUAUUUCUUAAUUUUUUUUUAUGUAAUAAGAACUAGAUUGAGAAAGAUGCAACUUGUAGAGAAAAAAAUUUCUUUACUACUUCCCUUGUAUUUGCUUUGUGUGUAUCAACUGUGCUUUUCAUUAUUUUAAAAAAUAUCACUAACAAAAAACUUAUUAUUGUUAUAUAUCAUAAUUUAGCAAUUUUUUUAUUAUUUAGAAAUCAUGCUUGUCAUUGUGUUAAUUAGUAGGUAGCCUAAUAACUAUAUUGUUCAAGUUAUUUUGUGUUGGCAUUCUUCAUGUUUCAAAAGCUUGUUAGACUAGCAAUUUUAUUGCAAAUAUAAUGUUCUCAAAUCAAUACAGAAAUGGAUGAUUGUGGGGAUUAGGCAUUGACUUCCUUGAGAAGUUCAAUUGAGGGUUUUUUAAACUAGGUCUCUACAUCAACAAAUGCUACAUUUUAUCACUCGAGACCUUAGAAUAAAUAUUGCAGAAAGCUUCAUUUGCUACAUAGUAAGGAUGAGGUUGGCAUAUAAAUCCUAAGGACUUAAAAGCUUGAGUUGUUGUCUCUUCCAAGGGGCCUUUAGAUUUAUUAAUGAGUUCCAAAUCAUUGUCUACCUUGAAUUUGAAUCACUGCUAGAAGGAUGUGCCGCUAAGCAUUCUCAUGUUCUUGAUAUGGAGUAGAAAUGGACUUCUAAUUCAUGAAGAACUGAUGGGCUCUUUGAUUAUGCCAUCUAUAAUGUACUUCAGGUUCAUGCUUCAACCUCUCUUCUUGCUUUUGAUAACUUCAUUUUAGUUUUACACUGCUUUCCUUCCCUCUUAUCUGUGUUUAUGUAUGUUUGUGCAUAUAAUGUGAACCUUUUCCACUGUUACUUUAAAGUUUUUUCAUUCUUGGGCUUGGGAAAUUACUAAAUUUGAUUUUAAUAUUUUCCUGUAGAUUUCACCUUGCUUAAAAAGCUUUUGAUUAUUCAUAUUUGCAAGAUGGCUAAGACAUCUGAUUGUGCUCAGAACUUCUGGUUUCUAUUAAAUAUAGGUAUGUUGUUUGCAAUUCUAACCCACUUACUCCUCUUGAAGACUACAUAAAUUGCUAGUGUUUUUACUUUAAUGGUUAUAAACAAUGUGUGCCCUUGUUACUUCUUGCUUGCAUUCUAUAUGUUGAAGAGCUUUAUUAGGCUAAUUAUUUUAUUGAAGAUAUAAUUGUUGUCAAGUCAAAGCAAAGCCGAAUGGUGAUGUGGUUUCAACUUCUUAGAAGUAACCAAAAAGUAAGGAACUCUCUCUAUGGUAGUACUUUGAUGUCACAUUGGGCUUUCAGAUUGCUGCCUUGAAUUGACAUAAAUAACAUAGCAUCUUUCCCAAUUGAGUCGUUUCAACAUGUUACUAUGCUUCAAACUCUCUCAAUUAUGUCUUGUUUAGGUUUGGCAACAUUAGAACACUGGAUAGGCAGCCUCAACUUACUCACACAACAUAAAAUUCAUCUUUGUUGUUAACUGACAUCACUGCCACAAGAUGAGUUCACUCAGUAUUUUACAGACAGCUAUAGUUUGGGACAAUUCUGGUUUGGCAACAUUAUUAGACUUGAUAGGUAACCUAUCUUCACUUACAAACACCUUCAAAUUUAUAGUUGUCCUAAACUAGCAUCACUACUAAAAGACAUGUGUGUCCUCAACACCCUAUAGGCACUCACAAUUGGAGAUUGUUAUGGUUUGGAAACAUUCAACAGACUUGAUAGGUAACCUUACACCACUUAUAGAGCUUCAAAUUCAUGGCUACCCUGAAUUGACAUCACUUUCAGACUAGAUGUUCACCCAAACCUCAAUUGACACUCACAAUUCAAGGCUUCUCUAUAUUGGCAACAUUACCAGACUUGAUAGGCAUCAUCACUUCACUUACAUACCCUGGAAUUAAUAGCUACCUCAAAUUCACAUCAUUGUCAGAAGAGAUUGGUUCACUCAUAUCCCAACAGAGAUUCAUGAUCUUUUAUUGUCAAUGUCUAUUAGAAAGACUUCGAAGGGAAAUAGGUGAAGAUUGGGCCAUUAAUCUUCAAUCCUAGAUAUUGAUAUUUUGGUGAAGAUUGGAUUAAUAUAGAGUUCGUUCAAGUUUGAAAUCCUAACCUUCUCAUUUGUUAUGGUUUUGUUUUUAUCAAUAUACCCUGUUUACAUUCUAUUUGGUAAUUAUGGUAUGUAUUAGCAUAUAGAUAAAAAAGGACUUAGAUGGUUAAUUUGAAAAGUUUGCAUCUUCAAUUAAUUAGUAAUUAAAGACCAAACUGAUCAUAUUACUUUAAGUCUUGCAUUAUAAGAGUUCGGGAAAAAUGUUAGGGUCGAUUGAACUAUUAUUUUGUAACAAAUUUCACCUUGCUCAGGAAUCUCAUGAUUAUCCCUUGGCACAAACAUUUCUCGGUGUCUGAGAAAUUCAUAUCUACUACAUGGCUCAAGAAUCUAGUAGCAUUCAAAAUUUCUGCUCUCUUUCAAAUUAGGUGUGUUGCUUGCAAUUCCGGUCCUUUUCCUAUUUCUAAAUGCUAUAUUUUUAUUUUACUAUCAAUGUGUUAAGAGCAUUAUGUUCUGUUUUCUAUAAUAUUGUUUUCUUACUUAUCAUAUAUAUUAAUUAUUUCACUACAAAUGUAUUUGUUGCCAAGUUAAAGCAAAAAUGGAAAAUGACGAUUUUUCAUAGAUCAAUGUCUUUCUCAAUUGCUGCCACACCUGACUUCUCUCUAAGUUGUUGAAAAUUUAGAAGUGUGGUAGCAUAAUGUCUCUGGCUCAAGUGCUUUAGCGCCUCAUUGUCCUUGAAGCUUUAGAAGUUGUCAAUACAAUUGGUGUUUCAACAUGUAACCAGUUUGGAAAUUCUAAGAAGUGUAAGUACUAUGGUUUUGCAACUUUGUUAGAUUGGAUAGGCAACUUCAAAUUAUUGAAUGCCCUGAAUUGAAAUCACUACUAGAAGGGACCCACAAGCACUUUAUAGAAACUCAUAAUCUACUAGUCGUACCACUUAUUAAGAAUGCCAAAAGGAAAAAGUGAAUAUUGGCCUAAGCAUGGUUGAUUAAUAAACUACUCAUGGUCUCCUUAAUUCAAGUGUGUCAUUUAUUAUAUGUUUCAUGUUAGUAAUCCUACAUUUCUCUUGUUUUUGUUGGCUUUAUUUUUUUGAAUUAUUUUACAAUCAAUAUUUUAUCGAUGUUCUUCCUUUUGUACAAUUCUAUUUCUUGAUUCUCAAAUGAAUUAAGACAUAUCAAGAAAAAAAUCACAUUGUUUGCUUUCCAUAUACUAUAUGCUUAUAUGUACAUGUGUUAAAAACUUUUGAUUUUUAAUUGAUUACUUUCUAUUUAAUUUGUUAAAAAUUGUUAGUCUAUUUGGAGAUGAUUUUUUUUUUCAUAUGUAAUAGGAUACCAACAAAUUGAGUGAGGAGCACAUCUUACUAAAUCGUUUAUCAAUUUAUUCACCUUCCUAAUCUCAAGCUUCUUCAUGUUUGAAUUAAAACACCUUGGAGUACACAAACAAAAAUGAUGGUAAUAAGUCUUUCUCAUCAUCUUUAUUUUCAUUAGAAGGCAAUUUGUAUCAUCCUCAUUCCCAAUCCUAAAAAUAGGUUUAGAAAUUAGACAUGUUUUCUUAAAUGAUCUUCUUGGUCCAUGCAUGCUUUCUAUAUAUUUAAAAAAAUUUUAAACUAAGUACUUAAUUGUAGAUAUGAUAGUUUUCAAGUUAAUGCACAAAUGGUGAUGGUGAGGAUGCUAAAUAUAGUCCAUGCUCAGCCUAUUUGUUGACAAACUACCGAGGGCUAGUGCUAAGGGAAACACUUAAUGCACUUGUAUCAUACUCUCUUUUCUUUGCCUUCUCUAGUCGUUAUCCAAGGUUCAUAUAUAAUAUGUCUUUAUCAUUAAACUUUUCAUUUUUAACCUUUUGUCUUUUUAUGGUCUAUUACAUGGCCAUCAAUUUCUAAGAAAGUGGUGUACACUAUUAUAAAUCUUAUCUCUUUGUUCUUAUAGACAAUAGAACAACAUGCUAAUUGCAUGAUAUACAAUUUGUAAUAGAUGUUCGGCUAUCAGGUAACCUUUAAGUACCUUGGAGCUAAAACAUUUGAUGUUAAUAAGGUUUGAUGAUUCUCACUUUGGUGCUUAGGUGCUUUGUUGGAUUUCAAUUCAGGUGAUUAAUUAAUCUUAUUAUGAUUAUUUGAUUGCUAUAAUAACUAAAUAAUCAUUCCUAUUUUAUCUUGGUAAUUGACUUCAAUGACUUUUUAACAAUUAUAUCAUGCAUGAAAUGUCCAACCUAUUAUUGUUAGUAUUUCAAUAACAUACCUCUAAUGCUACCACUAAUAUACUUCAUGUAUUCAUAUUUAUAAAAUGUUUCAUUAUUUUAUAUAAUUUAAUGUUUUCAAAUUUCUUUUUUGAAUGGGAGAAAUGACCAUUAAUCUUGACAACAACACAAGUAUCAUUGGUCUAAUAUUGCUUUCUUGAGUAAUUUGGCAAUUUAAUUAUGAAGUUUAGUUGUACAUUACUUGAGAUUCAUGCUUUAUGUAUAUGGUCUAUUGUCCAAACUUCAAUGACAUUUAGUAGACUUGUGAGUGGCGUUUGUCUAUGAGUUUCAACUCUUCAAAACUAUUAUUGAAGCCUAAGUUCAACUUCAGUAAGGAAAAAAAAUCAACAUUUUCUUCCAUUAUGUAAUUUUAUUCACUAUUGAUCUCCCGAAAUAUUGUUUUUAAAACAUGCCCUUAAAUGGAAUUCAUGGCUUCGCUAUUAUUUGCAGGAGAAAUUGUCAAGUUCUAUAUUUGUUUAGAAAGUUGGAAGAAGUAUUUAAUUUGACAUGGUUUGGACAUCUUGCUGCCAUCUUUUUAAAUUAGUUAUCAAUAAUUUUCCAAAGUUGACAUUUUUGUUUAUCUCAUACUCCUUUUAUAUUAGAAGGUAAUGCAUCGGUAUUGUGUAGACGAAUCAAGCCUUCUUUAAUUGAGGCGGGCCUUUUGCAAAAUAUUUCAAGUUUGUUUUCUUUCCAUUUGUUGCUUCAUAUCUAUUUUUUGUAAUCAACCAAGCAAGGGUUUCUUGUCAUGCCAUAAUGGUGACUUGUAAUAAUCAAUUAUUGAUUGUAAGGAUACUUGGCUUUAUCAAUUAUUAUAUUGAAAUCAAUUCAGUACUAUGGCUAAUGCCAAAAGGACAAUAUUUAGUUUCGAUUGACCAUAAUUCACUAUUCUAGAAACAAGUGCUCACAAAUUUUGCAUCUUUGAAGGAUGUGGGAAAGAUUGGCUUAACUGCAUCACCAACUUACAAGCUCCUUAUAGCAUCCAUAUAUAUAACCUUCAUUGUUAAGGUUUAUAAUUCCUAUCUCAUUUUUUUCAUCUCUUUAUUGUUUAUAAUUUUUGAAUUGAUUUGUUAAAAAAAAUUUAAACCUUAUUUGCAAUACUGAUUUGUUUUAUUCUUAUGUGCAAUAGAAUAAUAAGUUGAAUAAGAAGCAUACACUACUUAAUUGAUAUAACCGUUUAGUCAAUUCUCUUCUCAAUUUUUUUUUGUUUUUCUCCAUUUUUGUUCAAGGUAAUCAAAGUAUCAUUAUUUCUAUUUCUAAAGGUACUUGUACCUAGCUUGAAAAACUUUAAGAUAAGUUAAAGUGGAGAACCAUUCCCAAAACAAGUAAUAAGUACAGUUGGGUUAUUGAUAUCAUAUCCUCGAUUGACAUCUAUGCCAUUGUAUUUACAUCUAAAGGAUUUAUGAUGAAAAUAAAUAUCUUCUUCAUUUCCAUUUUCCUCACUUUUUUUUUCGUAAUUUAUGUGCAUAUCAUAAUCUUUUGCGAGCAUAUAUAUGCAUGUUGUAAUCGCAAUAAUCUAUUGCUAUCAUAAUUCAUAGCCUAAUAUAGUUGCUAGCAUAUAUAUGCAUGUCAUAAUCUAUUGAAUUUUUUAGCAUAAGGUCUUAGAGUAUUCACAUAUCUAUAGGUUCUAUAUAUUUAUACUUUUUAAAACAUCAAAUGAAGUAUAUCAGCCUUAUCCCGAAGGUGAAGUCUCUUUAAAUUGAGCUUCAACAUGUUAGCAGUUACCUAACUUAAUAAUCUAACAAUUUGGUAUUAUAUAUCAUUUUGCAACUCUUCCAUAAAGUAAUUGUGUUUCCUCUAUUCAUAUUUUCUGUCCUUAUUUUUUUUUAAAAAAAUUGAAUUAGUAAUUGUGUGUCAAAUCAUGCUUACAAUCAUUAAUAGGUACUUAUAUGAUAAAUUGAUAAAUUUAUUUUACAAUUUUUUCAACAUAUUUGAAAAACAAAAAAAAUAAAAAAAAUAAAUAAGCAUGUCUUUCUAGAUGUAAUCACUACCAAGCUCAUGUGAAAAGCUAUAGCAAUGAGGGUAUAAGCUUCAGUUUUGUUUUGGAGAUUCAUAUUGAGAGUUGUAGAUUGUGAAUGUAAUUGUGUGCAUAAUGAGGACACUAAUAGUAUAAGCUUUGGUGUCUAUUUUUUUUUUUUACUUGAAAUAUCUAUAGCAGAAUCUGAGGUUCAACUUCAUCACCAAUAACAUGGUCGAGGACAUAACUUCAAGAGACAGCAAACAGUUUCAUAUUAAUCUUUUGGGGUGCAGGAAUUUGACAUUCUACAACGUUGCAAUUAGUGCACCAAAAGACAGCCUUAACACAGAUGGAAUUCACAUUGGACGUUCCUCAGGGAUCGAUAUCACCGAUUCAGCCAUAGAAACCGGAGAUGAUUGUGUCUCAAUUAGUGAUGGCAGUGGGCAAAUUAAUAUCCAAAGAAUAACCUGUGGACUUGGCCAUGGCAUCUGUGUGGGAAGUCUAGGAAAGUACCCCGAUGAAGAAUCUAUGGUUGGCAUUAGUGUCAAGAACUGCACCUUCAUCAACACCCAGAAUGGCGUCAGAGUGAAGACAUGGCCUGCUUCUCUCAUCAAGACACUACCUCUGAAAUGCAUCUUGAAGAUAUUGUCAUGAAUAAUGUUGGCAAUCCCAUAAUCAUAGAUCAAAAGUAUUGCCCCCAUAACCAAUGCAACUUAAAGGUACUUCUAAAGGAAAUGAAAAUUUCCAUUUUUAUUGCUUAUUUUCCCUCUUUUUCCCUUCAUUUUUAUUGGUUUGGAACUUAACUAUCCGUUGUUUUCAGAGUCUAUCACGCAUUAAGCUCAGCAAUGUUAGCUUCAGAAACAUCCAGGGCACUACCUCAACUCAGGUUGCUGUCAAGCUUGUUUGUAGCCAAGGAGUACCAUGCCAAGACGUUGAGCUUGGUGACAACAACGGAAAUGAAGGCCUUGCCAUGUCACAAUGCAAGAACAUUAAGCCAAAUCUACUGGACAAGCAACUGCCAAGGACUUGUGCCUAAGAUGCUUAAUCUUCUUCCAAAGUCUGAACAAAUUGUACUGCUUCUAUUAUAUAGCUACCUCUUCAUGCUCACGCGUCUGCUAUUUUAUUGGUGAAUAAACUACAAUGAACAAACAAUGAUACGAUACUCGGCUAUUAUGGAAGGUAUGUGCAGUUUGAUCCCAUAAGAAAAAACAAAUGUCUAUUUAGUCUUUUGCUGCUAUAGUACAAAUUGAAGCUCCAAAGAAUAAUGUUAAUGUAAAUUAUUUAAUGUUAAUGCAGUUUGGAUGAGAAAAUGCAGUCAAGUGAAUAAAAAUUCCUUUGGAGUGUAUCAUUUGAAAUUUUAUCUUUGGAUUACUACAACCAAGAAAAAACUAUAGAUUGGUAUCUGGUGUGUUGGAAAUGCUUGAUGGUUGGUAAUCGAACUAAUGUACUAAUGACUUCGAGAAAAACUAAGAAUGAUAAAGACAAUAGUAAUAAAUGGCAAGAACUGAGAAAGUAUUGAAGUUGUAAUUGUCUCAAGGAGCGUAUUUUGGGAUUUGAAUUAUAUGUAAAGAAGAAAUGCUCUUGGAAACUGCAACAUGAUGGAUCUUGAAUGGUUUUCUGUCAUAUGUGUUUGUUGUUUGGAGAUGACCGAGUAAUAUUAGUUUUAUCAUGCCCCUUUAAGCUGCCAUGUGGAAGCUGUAGCGUUAGCAGAGAGUUGAUAAUGCUUUUUGGGUAGUUGGAAGCUUGAACACCAACAUAUUAGUGCAAGGACAUGAAGAUAUUAAUUCAUUCAUACGAUUUAUUGUUUGAGAGGAUAGAAAAAAAAAAUAUAAAACUAUUUAAGAUCCUAAAAAUAUCUUAUAUUUCUCCGUUUUUUGUAUUUACACUCUGAUCCAUGGACUUUUACCCCACAAAAUAUCUCAUAUUCUUUUUCAAAUUUCUACCUACAUAUAAACUUCUUAUGUCUAUAUUUAUUAUAUUACUUUUUUCUCCUCAUGACCUAAUUAAAAUAUGUAUAAAGAUAAUCCUAACAACUUUUCUUAUUUUAUAGGCAAACCUAUUUCUAUAAGGAAUUAAUUGUAAAACAUCCUAUAUAAGCUACCUUAACAUAGCUGAAUUAUGUUAUAAAUUUUAUUUUGAUACGAUAAAUAACAAAAAUCCAUUGAUAAAAAAUUUAUCAAAAUCCAAUAACUGUAUAGGAUAAACUACACUUAUUUUGGAUAAAUAAUAAAGUACAUUAUCCAAGUAUUAAAAGAUUGUCUUUGUUGUGUAUAAUUUGGAGAGCCUCAGAUAAUGUGCAAGUAGAUGAGACUUAGAGUGAUAUGUUUUCUCUUUCAAAUCAAUUUUAGAGGGACCAAAUCCAAAAUUUUAGUCUUUUUUUAGAAGUGUUUUAGAAAAUAGUUUGGAAAAACACUUCUUGAUAAUAGCGUUUGAAAAUUAUUCUCUAAUAUUUUAUAGCACAUAAAUUUGUUUGAGAGAAUAAAAUGCUCUUAACUUGUUUCCUAUGUUUUUAAAUAUAUUUUAAAAAUAAUUUUCAUAUGCAUUGCUUUAUUUUUAAUCAUUCUCUAUAUUUGUAUAAUAAUUUUUUAAAACAAUUCUAUAAAGAAGUAAAAAGAAACAAAAAUAACUAAAAAGAUGUUCUUUCGAAACAUUGUAUUUUCUGUUUAAAAGUUUUUUUUUUUUUUUUUUUUCUGUUUUCUAGUUGUCAAACUAUACUUUCUUGUUUUUUUUUUUUUUUUUUUUUUUUUUUAUUUUUUUUUUUUUUUUUAUUCUAGAUAAUAGAAAACUGUUUUCAUAACAUGGCCUCAACUUUUACUAUGAAAAUCGAAAUGGUGCUUAAACUUAAACUUCAAAUUGAUUUUAAUCAAAAUAUGUUUUUUUUUUCUCCUUUUUCCUAUCAAAUCAAAACUCAAAUUUCUUUCUUUUCUAUAAAUACAAAAUUUCAAUUUCUAUCGUUGGACUAAGAACUCCAAAUCAUUUUCAAUUGGCGGUGGAGUCUUUGAUUUAAGGACACAGAAUGCGCAUGAAAAAUCUCAUAGUUGUGUGUGUGCAUGUAUGAUAUAUAUAAAGAAUGUUGGAUGAGGAAAUUGUGGAUAUGGCCAAAUCUGAAUCUCUUAUAUUUUUGCAAUAGCAUGUGAUUUACAUAGAAACUCGAUGGUGGAAGAAGACUAUAAAUAAAGGUCUCCUCUCCUCAUUCUAUUUAUCCUAGAAUUGAAGGAAAAAGAAUGAUCUAACUCUUUGAGUGAAAAAGUGAGGUUAUCUUGAGAAUUAGAGGAUUAUUAUUCUCUUGGGUGUAAUUAGGAUAUGGAUUGUGAGGAGUGAGUGAUUAUAAACACUUGUGGUUAUUUUUCUCCCUAUAAUGAAGAUCUAUAGUAGCUCUGUGGGCGUAGCUUGUUUUGGGUGAACCACGUAAAUUUCAUGUUUUGUUUGUCUACUCUAUUUCGUUAUUAUUUUCACAUUUUUUUUAUUCAUUUCAUUACUCUAGUCUUUUGGGAAGUUUAUUUCCUAACAACUGGUAUCAAAGCGACAUGUCUUGUGGUGUUUUAGGAGCUUAGUGGUAGUUUGAGGAGGUUGGAAUUUAAGAGGACAAUUGUGACCUCUCUAGUUUUUCUUAGGAACUUUUAUUUUUGUCUAAGGAGACUAGGUUUUAAGUGGGAUUGUUGUGAUCCUUCUAGUCUUUCCUGAGAACUUUUUUACUAGUUUAAAGCUUUGGGUGGAAGUUUUUCUAUAAUUUUUUGCAAGUACAGAGGUACUGUAAAAAGUACAAUUUUUGCAGAAGUCCUAAAGAACCAGAUUUGAGUGGGAUUGAUGGCAACAAACGAAGGAAAGAGCAUCAUAAUUUAGAAGUUCAAUGGUGAAGAUUUUAGCUUCUAGAAAAUGCAAAUUGAAGAUUAUCUAUAUUAGAAAGAUGUGCAUCUGCAUUUUUAAUGAAGAGUGGGCUCUACUCGAUAGGCAGGCCCUUGGAGUUAUCUGGUUGACGUUAUCUCAUAAUGUCGCUUUCAACAUAGCAAAGAAGAAGACUGUGAUGGGUCUUAUGGCGACUCUCUAUGACAUGUAUGAGAAGCCAUUCACUUCAAAUAAAGUGCACUUGAUGAGGUUGUUAUUCAAUUUGUGAAUGAUAGAAAGCGCGUCUAUAGCAACUCACAUCAAUGAAUUUAGUACAAUCACAACACAACUAAGUUUGGUGGAAAUCGAGUUUGACGAUGAAGUUCGAGCUUUAAUCUUUGUAUCCUCUCUACCGAAAAGUUGGAAUGCGAUAGUGACAACAAUGAGCAAUUCUUUUGCAAAGAAGAAGAUGGUAUUUAAGGAUAUUCAAGAUCUAAUUCUAAGCAAAGAAAUACACCAAAGAGAACUAAGAGAAACAUCAAGUUCUACCUUAAACAUUGAAUCUAGAGGUAGACAUAAUGACAGAAACUCAAAUCAAAGUAGAUUAAAAUCAAGACAGAGCAAGUCUAGAUCUAGGAAGGAAGAGAAUAGUUGUUGGAACUGCGGUAAGACUUAUCACUAGAAGAGAGAUUAUAGAGCACCGAAAAAGAACAAUGGCAGUGAAAAGAAUCCACGAACAUGGCCGAAGAUAUUGGCAAUGCUCUAAUCCUAACUGUCAAUAGUCUAGUUGAAUCCUAGAUUUUGGAUUCUGGGGCAUUGUAUCACUGCACCUCUUAUUACGAAAUCAUGGAGAACUACAUCAGUGGUGAUUUCAGGAAGGUUGACCUGGAUGAUGUUGAGACCUUGAAGAUUACGAGAAAAAAAGAUAUUCAAGUGAGGCUACCAAAUAUGUGGAAAUUUAAAGAUGUGAUAUGUAUUCCUAGUUUUAAAAAUAAAAAUAAAAAAUCUCUGUGGAUUAACUUGAUAAGAAGCGGAUGAAAGAUCACCAAGGGAGCUAUGGUCAUAGCUCAUGGAAAGAAGAACGGUCCUCUCUAUGUUACUUCUAGAAUGGAGAAUAUUGUUGAAGUUGUAAAAUCAAAUGAGAAGUAGAAAAUUUGGCACGAGAGACUCAGUCAUAUGAGCGAGAAAUGGAUGAAGGUUCUUGUUUCAAAGACAAAGCUGUCAAAUCUAAAAUCAAUGUGAAGAUUGUAUAUUCAAUAAGCAGAAAUUGGUUAAUUUCUCAAAGAUUGGCAAGCCAUCCAAAGUAGAGAAGUUAGAGCCGAUUCACAUAGACACGUAGGGGUCAUCACCAGUUUCAUCUAUUGGAGGCUCAUUGUACUACAUCACCUUCAUUGAUGACUCUACUAGGAAAGUAUGGGUUUAUUUUCUAAAAAAGAAGUUAGAAGUUUGUGAUGUUUUCAGGAAAUGGAAAGCCAUGGGAGAUGCGAAGAUCUACUAGGGGCCUAUAAGUAGAGGUCUCAUCUCCUCAUUUUAUUUGCCUCAUAAUUGAAAGAAAAAGAGUGGUCUAAUUCUUUGAGUGAAAAUUGAGGUUCUCUUAAGAAUUAGAGAAUUAUUAUUCUCUCGGGUGUAAUUCGGAUUUGGGAUGUGAGGAUUCAAUGCUCGUAUACACUUGUGGUUAUUUUUCUCCCUAUGUUGAAGAUCUACAACAAUUUUGUGGACGUAGCUGGUUUUGGGUGAACCAUGUAAAUUUCGUGUGUUGUUUUGUUUGCUCUAUUUUAUUAUUAUUUCCACAUUUUUUUAUUUGCUUCAUUAAUUUGGUCUAUUGGGAGGUUUACUUCCUAAUAUUUUUCAAGUCAAAUUCUUAUCUAAAAUUGAAAUAAGAAUUGGUUUCAUCCUCAAUUGAAAUCGAUUCUUGGAACACUUCACCAUUCCCUUUCCACAUUUCCCACCAUCCAACCCGGCCAAUAAAUACAAUUACUUGGCUCCAUUGCAUAUUUUUGCUUAUCUUUCAUUCACAUUCAAAAAUGGUUAGAAAGGAACCUUGAUUUUAGGAAGUUCCCAAUUAUUAGGAUUUGAUUUAGUUUUCUAAUAGUCAAUUAGAAUAUUUACAAAUUUGAGUGGUUGAUUUAAUUAUAUGUUUAUACAUAAUUCCUACAAGUUAUUUUUUUUUUAAUACUUUUUGUUAUUAGGAAUCUCUAUUUUUUAGGUAAAGGUGUCCAUAAAAAAAAAAAAAAAAGGAGUUAGUGCGAUAGUUGAACAAGAGUGGUGGAAAAUAAUGUCAUUUUCUUGAUUUUUCUCAAUUACUUACCUUCUUACCUUGACUUUCCAUCAUGACUUAUUUCUCUCUAUGGAUUUGUUUAUGUGUUAUCAACUCUAUUACUUGAAUAAAUUGGGUUGUAAGAAAAAGAUGACAAGUAGGACAGAUUUGUUACAAGUUCUUUAGCUCAAUAAAAAAACUUACAAUAAUUGGAGUAUGAAGGUAAAGACUUUACUUGAUUCACAAGAUGUAUGCAAAGGUUGAAGAGGAAGGCUAUAAACAAGGAGUCAUGACAUAAAACCACUAUUUUAAAAGCAAAGUAAUUUUUUGAAAGGUAUAAGGAAAAAAGAAAAAAAAAAAGGAAGAAGAAAGCUCUUACCCUUAUCUAUCAAGCAAUGAAUAAAGGCAUAUUUGGAAAUUUUCCAAAUGCAACCAUGCACUACCAAGAAAGCAUGGAAGAUAUUAGAAAAUGCAUAUAAAGAAAUUGACUAAUUAAGAAAAGUUUGCCUUUGUACUGGGUAUUGUGUAGAGAAAUCAAGUCUUCUUUAAUUGAGGUGAGUCUUUUGCAAAAUAUUUCGAGUUUGCUCUCUUUCCAUUUGUUGAUUCAUGUUUUUUUUUUUUUUGGUAAUCAACUAGGCAAGAAUUUCUUACUUGUCAUGCCACAAUGGUGAACAUGCUUGCAUGAAUAGUAUUCUCUCUACUCUUUCUUUUUUAUUCUUUCUUUAUUAUAUUGAUGGAUAUACUUAGAAGUGAAUAGUUAAUUGGGUUUUUUAUUAAAAGAAAUCAAAUAUUGGUAAUGCUAUUUAGUAUCAUGCUUGUAAUAAUCAAUUAUUGAUUGUAAAGAUACUUAGCUUAAACAAUUAUUAUAUUGAAUUCAAUUUAGUACUAUGGCUAAUACCAAAAGAAUAAUAUUUAGUCUUGGUUAACCAUUAUUCACUAUUCUAGAGACAAAUGCUCACAAGUUUUGCAUCUUUGAAGGAUACGGGAAAAGUUGACUCAACUGCAUCACCAACUUACAAGCUCAAGCUUAUAUACAACCUUCAUUUAUCAGGUUUAUAAUUCGUAUCUUUUUUUUUUCAUCCCUUUAUUGUUUAUAAUUUUUGAAUUGAUUUAUUAAAAGGAAUUUCAACUUUAUUUGCAAUAAUGAUUUUUUUAUUCUCAUGUGCAAUAGAAUAAUAAGUUGUAUAAGAAGCAUAUACUACUUAAUUGGUAUAACCCUUUAGUCAAUUCUCUUCUCAAAUCCUUUUUAUUUUUCUCCAUUUUUGUUCAAGGUAAUCAAAGCAUCAUUCUUUCUAUUUCUAAAGGUACUUGAACCCAAUUUGAAAAACUUUAAGACAUGUUAAAGUGGAGGACCACUCGCAAAAUAAGUAACAUUAGUUGGGUUACUAAUAUCAUAUCCUCGAUUGACAUCUAUGCCAUUGCAUUUUCUUCUAAAGGAUUUAUAAUGAAAAAAAAUAUCUUCUUCGUUUCCAUUUUCCUCCCUUCUUUUGACCAUAAAUUUGUGCACAUUGAAAACAUUCAUAGCCCAAUAUUUUUGCUAGCAUAUAUAUGCAUGUCACAAUCAAUUGAAUUUUUUAGCAUAAGUCUUAUAGUAUUCACAUAUGUGUAGGUUCUAUAUAUUUAUCAUGUUUACAAUAUCAAAUGAAGUAUAUGAACCUUAUCUCAAAGGUGAAGUCUCUUUACAAGGAGCUUCAACAUGUUAGUAGUUACCUAACUUAAUAAUCUAACAAUUCGUCACUAUAUAUUAUUUUGCAACUCUUUCAUAAAGUAAUUGUGUUACCUCUAUUCACAUUUUCUAUCUUUAUUUUAAAAAAAUUGAAUUGGUAAUUGUGUGUCAAAUCAUGCUUACAAUCAUUAAUAGGUACUUACAUGCUAAAUUGAUAAAGUUAUUUUACAAUUGUUUCAACAUAUUCAGAAAACAAAAACAAAAGAAAAGAUUAAUAAGUAUAUCUUUCUAGAUGUAAUCACUACCAUGCCAAUGUAAAAAAAUAUAACAAUGAGGAUUUCAAAGAUUAAAUUAAGUCUUGGAGACUCAUAUUGACAAGUUGUAAAUGGUGGGUGAAGUCUCUUUAAAAUGAGCUUCAAUAUGUUAGCGAUUACCAAACUUAAUAAUCUAACAACUUGACACUAUAUAUCAUUUUACAACUAUUUCAUAAAGUAAUUGUAUUAUCUCUAUUCACAUUUUCUAUCUUUUUUUUUUUUUAAAAAAAUUGAGUUGAAAAUUGUGUGUCAAAUCAUGUUUGCAAUCAUUAACGGGUACUUAUUUGCUAAAUUGAUAAAGUUAUUUUACAAUUGGUUCAGCAUGUUUUGAAAACAAAAACAAAAGAAAAUUAAGAAGUAUAUUUUCUAGAUAUUAUCACUACCAAGCCAAUGUGAAAAGUUAUAAUAAUGAGGAUUGCAAAGCACCAGUUAUGUUUUGGAGAUUCAUAUUGAAUGUUGUAGAUUGUGGAUGUAUGGUAUAGGAGUUAACUUGAGUUUAUCAUUCUUUCUAUUUUCGAUACCUUAAUUUUAUAUGCAUUGUCCAUCAUAUAUAUUUGUUAUCAUCUAUUCUUUACAACCAAUUUUUUAAUGACUUCUACAAUUUGUGUAUAAUGUAUAUAUUGCUUUUAUUUGUACCAAAGCAUCAUCAAGCUACAAAAGCAUCACAAGUUUUUCUAUUGGGUCAAGUAUUUUAGUAGUUUUUGUACUUAUACUUGAAACUUUUUUAUGACACUAAUGAGGACAUUUACCUUGAUUAAUUUAACAUUUAUAUUGCAAGUAUCUAAAUAAGAGUUCUAUAGAUUUAUUUAGACAUUUAUGGGCAUAUUUAUCCUCUUUCUGACAUAUUAUAAUGAUAUUUUUAACAUUGAUAUAAAUUAUUUGUUUGAAGGUUUCAACUAUUGAAAAAUAUUAUUCAAGCCCAAUGUUAAUCUUUUUCUAUAGUGGAUUUCAAAUAAUAAAUUCUUAUUUGAUUAUUUGUAGCGAAAAUAAACAACUUUUAUGUUUGAUGCGGAAAAAUAUAGAGUAGGUCACUUUCACAAUAUAUGGAUGCUACUCCUAUACUUUUAAAGAUGGUUACAAUCGCCUUUAUGAUGGAUAAUGAUUUUCUAGUUCUUUUAGUACUAUUAUAUUAUGUCCAAAUUUUAAUUUUGAUAUGGUCCAUAAUCUCAUCGUAUGUACUAUUGAUAGAUUACAAUGCAACAAACGCAAUGUGAAUCUCAAAGAUGAUUAUUACGUUGAAAAGUAAGUUCCCCAUGUUUUAUUUAAAUUUUUUUUAUUCUCUAAGGAUUGUUUUAUUCUCUUUAUUUUUAAAGGCUCAAAUCAUCUUAAGUUUAUUUUUUCUCUUAUUUCAAUAGUUGUAGCCCAUAUGUAGGAGAAAUUUCUCUAAAUGAAGGGUAAAGAAGAACAAGUGCAUUUAACUUGUUACACUUGCAAACUAGAAGACAACCUCAUAUUUCAGAACCUGCACUACAUGAUUUCAAUAAAAAUUAAGAUUGUUGAUUGAGAAAGGAAUGGUGAAUUCAAAAUUCUCUAUAAUUUCCAUUGUUGGUGCUCUUGAAGAUUUUGGUAAAAGACUGAACAAUUGAGUUUAGCAUGUCCUUGAAAUGUAUUUGUUUUAUGAAUCAAUGCAACUUGGUUAAAGUCUCUAUAUAAGUCAUAUACAACAUAUUUUCCCUUUAAUAUCAGCUCAUCAAUUUUUGUUUCCAAGCUUUUUGUCAAUUAUAUUUUUUAAUCCUUUCUAUUGUUUUUUGGUCUUCCAAUGACUUUGUUUCUAUUUUCAAUACUUGAAUCCAAUGUAAGAUGUUUGCAUUUUAAUUUUAUAAUUUUCUUUAUUAUUUUGCUUUUUGUUUUUUUAUGGUGUUUCCUUUGUAAUCACUUACUAGAUUCAUACUUCUAAGAAAACAUGUUGAUGAUGAUGAAAACAUGUUUCUAUAGAAAUAUAUAUAUUAUGAAGACUUCUUAUGCUUCUAUUAACCUAAAAUGAUGAUAUUGAUAAGAAGUGUAUUUAUUAUCAUAUUGCAUUACAAGUUUACUGGUGGAUCACUCUUAACAAGUACAUCUUAGCUAAAAGUUAAAAAAAUGUUUCUCUUUGCACAUACCUUUACUAUUGUUUCAAUUGCUAUCUUAAUAUGUUAUGGAAAAACUACUACAAAUAACAAUAAUAGGGAGAAAAAAACAAAAAAACAAAAAUAGAAAACUUAUAAAGUAGGACGAUUUAUGUGGUUUGGCCUAAAACCUACAUUUAUCCAUGAAAAUGAAGAAGAAUUUCCACUAUUAUUAAAGGAUAUUGCAUCCUAAAGCUCUCAAAUCCCAUAAUUACACUAAAAAAGGACUUUUUUUUUAAUCAAAAUCUCUUCCUUUAUUUUCUUGAUUAUAUAAGAACAUUCCAUAGAGAAUUAAUUAUGUAAUUAUCAAAGAUAACUAUUCCUAAAAAAAAAAUCUUAUAAUAUGAUAUUUUCUUUAUAAUAUAAAAAAAAAUCUUUUAUAUAAAUAUAUCAUAAUAGGAAAAUAUUAAAGACUUAUAAAUUGACUUGAAAAACAAUUUGAAAUAUUUUUCAACAAUCUCCACAUUAGCUCAAAUUCCCAAGAUUCAAAUAAACUCAAAAGUCUUCCAUGUUACUUUGCUCUUAUACACCCUUAAGGGGACUUCAAGUAAUGUCAAUACCAAUUAAGUCUAAGCAAUGCAUGAACUUAAUCAUAAAGAUAAGUUUAGUCAUCAUAUAUAUAAAAUUAUCAACUAUAGGGAUCUUUUUCAUUACAUUAGAACCUUGUUCAAUCAUAUCUCUAAUAAAAUGCAUUCUAACAUUAAUAUGUUUGGUCCUCUCAUGUAACAUAUAAUUUUUAGUCAAAAGUAUGACACUUUGGUUACCAUGAUAACAAUAAUCAAUGAUUGGAACCAAAUAAUUACAUUUUGUGUGCCUAAACUUAGACAUGCGUAUUUAAUAUCCAAUUCUAGUUUCAUCCCUUUACUCAAUUUUAUUCCUAAGUCCUUAAUUUUGUGUUUAAAAAUGCAUGUACUGGUGGUUAAUUUUUCACUCCAUAGUUGUCAUAUCAUCCAAGUAAUAGUUGCUACAUUAUUCAACAACGGGUUGCCUAUAGACCCACAUUUUUCAUAUGCAUCCCCACUCAAUGGCGUGGUUGACUUUUUAAGUGAAAAACUAUGUUUUAUAAAAACUUGGAGUUGCCACUUAUUUUUAUUUUUUUAAGGGAAAAUAAAAUAAGAAACUAAAUCUUAAAAAAAAACGACUCCUUAAACUUUUGGAAAAACUUGUCUUUUAAAAAUCCAAGUCUAGAUCCAGGGAUUAGGUUACUUAUUGGGAUGGUACCUUAAAAACGGAGCAUCCCUCUAAACCUUCAAAAGGUCUCUAUUGGCUAGGUUGAGGGAAGUGUGACAAUUAAUUGAUAGAAUUAGGGUACAAGAAAGACUAAAGUGUUUAGCUAAAUUCUAACAGCAUAUUAAGUAUGCAGAGCAAUCAUUUCAAGUCAUAAGUAUAAAAAGAGAGAUAGGGUGCGUACCUAGACUAUAACUCAAACACUAUCAUAAGACAUCAAAGUUAGUUCAGAUAUCAUAUCACUCAACACACAUUAUCAUUCACAUCAAAGAAUCAAAUAACAAUCAAAGCAACCAAUAACAACAUCAAACAUAGAGAUGUUCAUACAUGAAACAUACACAUAUGUUGAAUUAAGAGACAAAGGGUGAUGGGUGUAUUUGAAUUGCAUAAAUAAUUUACAAUGCACUUCGAUAAGAUAACAAAGGUUAGAAUAAAUUAUAAUGGAAAAUAAAGAGAUCCUAAAUCCUAGCAUGCAUGGUAUUUACAUGGCAUAAGGACAGAACAUAGGCUCACAAAGACAUCAAUAUUCCUACAAGGCAUGCAUACAACUUCUAGAUGUAUACAUAAGAUAUAAGAAACAAUGAUUAAUUAUAACAAAACAUAUAACCAACUAAUCAAAAUAUAGGCAUCACAAGUAUAAUUCUAAAAUAUUAUGUAAGCAUCACUUGACUAGAUAAUAAAUAAAAGCCAACAUCCAUAUCCAUUAAUCAUGAAUUAAACAAUAUGAGCAACUAGUAUGCAAAAAUCCAACAUAUGAAUAUAACCACACCAAAGCACAGAGGAUAUCUCCUAUACGUUUAGAACAAAUAAAAAAUUCCAAACACUCGUUCAAAUAUCAAUUUUAAUUCAAAAAGACCAAAAGUUCCAGAAGGUCCAAAAUUGAGUAGAACACUGAAUUUUUAAAAAAAUAUCUAGGCCUUCUAAAUUCAUACAAAAAAUAGAAAAUGUCAUUCAAGGUGCCUAAAUUAUAUAAAAAAUAAAUCCAAGACAAGGAAGCACUCAAAAGAAUUUUAAAACACUCCAAUUGAUUAGUUGUCCAAAAUUAGUCAUGUAUAGUAAGUGCAACUUUGAAAAAUCAUAUCUCUCUCUAAAAAAAAUAUAUUUCAAUAUUUUAUAUGUCAAAAUUCAACUUCAUGAAAUCAAUAAUUUUGGAAAAAUAUUUAUCUAAAUUAAAAAGGUAAAAAGGUAAUUUAAUUUUACAAAAUUCUAUCAGAUGUACCAAAACAAAACAUGCUGAAAGAAUAUAUCAUAACUCAACUUUGAGAAAGACUUGUUGACUCAACUAACGUUCCAAAAUCAACUUCAAGAAGUGAACAACAUCAUAAAAGUUUUGGAAAAUUUUUUAAAACACUCCAAAAUUAUCAAAACAUUUUUUUUUUCCUAAAGGGUUAGUAGCUGAGUUGAAAAAUGAGUUUUGAUAACCUUUUUCAUGUAGGUGUUCCAUCAAGUCCCCAUUCAAUAUUCAUAGGUUUAACCCAUGCAUUCCCAACCUCAAAUGAAAAGAUUCACCAAUGCCAAAAAUACUCCCAUUAGUUUGGAAGCACGAGUUCAAACUUAUGUGAAUAAAAAACAAAGUUUUGGAAGACCAAGAAAUAGAUAAUGCAACUUAGAUGAAAUGAGUUGCAUGUUUUUUAACGGAGUAAGAUCUUUGCCUUAAACCUAAAACACAUUUUUUUUCAAAGAUUUUAGAUAGUUUAAAUUCUUUUGAAAAUGAUUAUAGAAGAAGCACAAGGAUCCAACUGGUUUAAGUAAUCCCCGAACAAUCGGAAAAAAAAAAAAUGGACUUUUAGUUUUCUAACUUAAAAGGGAUUUAAAAACAUAAGAGAUAUUAACUUGGAUCCCCUUUAUAGUUGAAGGAGGCACGUGCAUGAUGGAGAAAAUCCAUUUUUGGUAAAAAGAAAUUUUGAAUUAACUCAAAAUAACAACUAAGAAAGUUUUUUUUCUAACAAAAAAGUUUCAAACUCAAGAAUUCUUCAAAGAGUAAACAAAAUAGGUGUCAGGUUAAAGAGAACCUACAAUUUAACUAGAUAUAACAUCUAAUGAAUUUUAAAACAACCAUCCACAUGAAAAUUUAACCAAACACAUAUCUAUAAUUUUUUUUGAAAAACAAUCAAUAUGGAAAAUUAAGCAAACAUAAUUCAAUACAGUUUUUUUAAAAAAAAAAUCUAAAUAACACAUGAACUUCAAUAAUUAAAAUAUCUAAUGGAUUAUUAUUAUUUUUAAAAAAAAAAACCAACAUAGAAAAUUUAACCAAGCACAUAUUUGGAAUUUUUUAAAAAGAAUAAUCAUCACUAAAAAAUUAACCAAACAUAAUUUAAUAAAUUUUUAAAUAUAAAUAACACAAGAACCUAAACAAUUAUAAUAUAUAAUGGAUUUUUAAAAAUACAACCGAUAUGGAAAUUUUAAUCGAGCACACAUUUAGAAUUUUUUAAAAGAAUAAUCAACAUGAAAAAUUAACCAAACAUAAUUCAAUAAAUUUUUAAAUCUAAAUAGCAUAAGAACUUAAUCAAUUAUAAUAUCUAAUGGAGUUUUAAAAAUAUAAUCAAUAUGGAAAAUUGAACCAUACACAUUGAAAAUUUUUUACAAGAAUAAUCAACAUGAAAAAUUAAACAAACACAAUUCAGUAAAAUUUUUAAAUCUAAACAACACAAAAAUCUAAAUAAUUAUAAUGUCUAAUCGAUUUUUAAAAAUACAACCAAGAUGGAAAUUUUAACCAAGCACAUAUUUAGAAUUUUUUAAAUAAUCAACAUGAAAAAUUAACCAAACAUAAUUCAAUAUAAUUUUUAAAUCCAAAAUAACACAUGAACCUAAACAAUUAUAAUAUCUCAUGGGUUUUUAAAAAUACAAUCAACAUGGAAAAUUUAACCAAGCACAUAUUUAGAAUUUUUUUCUAAAAAAAUAAUCAACAUGAAAAAAUUAACCAAACAUAAUUCAGUAAAAUUUUUAAAUUUAAAUAACACAAGAAUCUAAACAAUUAUAAUAUCUAAUGGAUUUUUAAAAAUACAAUCAACAUGGAAAAGUUAACCAAUCACAUAUUUAGAAUUUUAAAACUUUUUUUUUUAAAAGAAUAAUCAAUACGAAAAAUUAAACAUAUAUAACUCAAUAAAAUUUUUAAAUCUAUUAACUAACAAGAAAAAAAUUAUCUAAUCUAACAAUCCAAUGAAUUUAACAUUUAAAAAAAAAAACUAAAAUGAGAUUAUCAACUUCAAGUACCAAUGAUUCAAAAAAAUAAACAAUCAUCAAGAAGAGAUUAAACAAAUAUCUAAGAUUUAAACAAAAAAAUAAUAAAUAAAUAAAUAAACAACUUUUGAUCAUCAACACCAAGAACCAAUGAUCCACAAAAAUAAACAACCAUCAAGAUGAGAUUAAACUAACAUCUAAGAUUUAAACAAAUAAUAAUAAUAAUAAUAAUAAUAAUAAUAAUAUAUUGCUGAAUUCUGAACCGUGAUUGACUUGUUAAUGGGAUUUUAAGGAUUCGUAUGUGGCGGAGGAGUUUUGCACUUGUUUAUCACAGAAUUGCGAGGUUUUCUGUUUAUUAUCUUUGAGCAAAUCGGGGGUUAGAUUUGAGCAGAAAACAGAGGAGGGUGAUUGAGCGGGAGGCUAGUGAUGAGCAGUUCAUCCAACUUCGCAUUUUCCGUGUGAUAGUUUCAGUUCACAGAACAAUCAAGGAUUGAAGUUCUAAUGAAGCCUCUGUCACAACUCUCAGAACCCAACUUCCUUCAUCUUCGACUCUUUGAUCAGAGCUUUCACAUCUAUAGCAGAAUUCUUCAUUCCGCUGGCUAUCUGGCCUCUGAUAAUUACACUUUCAUGUUCUUGGUUCGCACCUCUGCUCAGCUAUUGGCGCAUGUGACUGGUUCGUCUACACAUGGUGCCGUUGUGAAAUAUGGAUUUGAGCAUGAGCCACAUGUUCAAAGUGGCUUGAUUUACAUGUACGCAGGAUUGGGUGGUUUGGUUGCUUGCCAUUGGAUGUCUUCAUCAAUUUGUGAGCCAGAUUUGGUGUGUCAGACUGCAAUGGUCAGUGCAUGUGCCAAGGUGGGAGAUUUUUCUUUUAAGCCGUUUGAUAAAAUGUCCCACAAGGACCCUAUUGUAUAGAAUACAAUGAUUUCGUGAUGCGCAAUGCAGGCAAUCAAAAAAGGGAAUCGAAUUUAUUCAACUUAAUGCAAAGGUCGGGUGUUAUUCUAGGAGGAUGAGUUUCUGAGAUAUUCAUUCAACUCAGAGGCUUCACGUUCUAUAACAAAAGGGAUCGGGUGAUUUAUUUGAGUCUUCGAGGAAUUCUAUCACUGAGUGUGAAAAGCCGCCCUCAACGCAUGCUGGCUCUCCUGUGUGCAGUGGUUCUGGGAGCAUGAAUGAUUAGAUAUCGUAUGUUUCAGGACGUGAAACUUGCUGCAAGGAGAGGAGUGGGGCUUCUCGAGAUGCUCUGUCAUACAACAGAGUUGGUAGUGAAGAAAUCUAAUAUGAAGUAACUGAUUGUGGCACUACAUUUAGUUUUGCUGCAGGAAACUCUUUUGGUGCAACACCUGCAAGCUGAAGUUUAAGGUGUCCUUCUUCCAUUUGCUUCAACAGAUGAAGAUUCUGAUAUAGAAAUACAUGGAUCUAGUUCUGUAAGUAUUGAUGAGAAUGAUGUGGUUGAGGUCAUGUUGCCCAGAACUUCAGGUGUCAGUCAUUGCUUAUCUACUGUAAAUUCUAGUUCUGUAAAUGGCAUUUUGACAGGGACAAUGUCAUUUUCAUUGAAGCUGCCACCAAUUGUUUUCCGGAUAAAUUUGCAGACAAUAAAAGCAUUGUUGGAUCUUUCUACAAGAAAAUUCGACUCGCUCCCAACUCCAAUUCAUAUCCUCUUGAAAGAAUGAAGUUCUCUAUGGGCACCUCAAAAGCAUCCUUCAAGACUGAGAAAUCCAGGAGUCAGUUACAAAACGCAAGACAUGUCAUGCUCAGAAAGUGCUACUGUCAUUUAUAUUUUAUUGCGUCAACGCGGGAACGAAUGGGCAAACUUCGCUUGAGGUGAGAUGCUGAGAACCAAGGUCCUCGAUCAUUCAAAGCCAAAAUGAAAUCACAUCAAAUGCCUGAACAGAUUGUUUUCUGGAAGUGGAUUACCCUGAAGAUGCUGAGCAUAGUCACGUAGACCUCAGUAUAUCAUUGAUCAAUCAAAGGUGAUUCAGAACCUGUAAAAAUGUUUGAGAGAACUAUUAAUUUGAUAAACAAUCAGAUAAUUAACUAUCGAUAUGAUCCGUCUGAAAAGUGGUUGGUUUUGAUUGGAAUUGCUCCGGGUUCACCUGAGAGACCACAGCUUGUCAAAGGGAAUAUGCAGCUUUUCUCUGUUGAACAGCAUCGAAGUCAAGCUCUUGAAACUCAGGCUGUAUCAUUCGCCACAUUUAAAGUUCCAGGGAAUGAUCAAUCCUAUGCACUUAUUGGUUUUGCCACAAUAUCCUUUAAUGCCGGACAGAUUGUCUCAAAGCUACAUGUCAUUGAACUUGGAUCCAACUCAGGGGAACCAGGAUUUAUAGGGAAACAGGCUGAUCUUUUCUUUCCCCCAGAUUUUACUGAUGAUUUUCUAGCUGCAAUGCAGAUAUCGCACAAAUAUGACUUUAUACAUGUGAUUACCAAGCUUGGAUUGUUGUUUGUUUAUGACCUGGAGACGUCUUCUACAGUAUACAGAAAUAGGAUUAGUCCAGGUCUAAUAUUUUCUUACUGCUGAAGUUACAUCUAUUGGAGGUUUUUAUACCAUCAAUAGGCGAGGGCAGGUGCCAAUUGCUACUGUAAAUGAGGCAGCAAUCAUACUUUUCGUCAGCGGCCAAUUGAACAACUUGGAGUUAGCAGUCAAUCUCACAAAAAUGGGGAGUUUCUCUGGUACAGAGAACUUGGUUGUCCAGCAUUUCCAAAAAUUGUUUGCUCAGACAAAAUAUAAGGAGACUUAAGGAAUCCCAUGGUGGAACCAUGUCAACAUAGACUAGAACUGAUGGAAAUUUAUCUUCCUCACUGUCAGAUAUCACUGCUCUUGAGGAGUCUCUUACUGCUGCUGGUGGGAAGUUCAUCUUUGUGCAAAAGCUUCGUGACUUUGUUUCUGUUACAUGUGACGUUUUGCAGCAUAAGGCUUUUCUUUUUAUUGAGGGACUUGAAGAGCAAAUGCAGAAGCUUCAUGAAGAGCGUGCAUCAGCUGUCUUAGAAAGGAGAGCUGCUGAUAAUGAUGAGAUGAUGGGAAACACAAGCAUCCAUUGAUGAUGCAAUGUCGGUUUUCACUAAAAGUGGUUCUAAAAAGGCAAUGGUUGCUGCUGCUGUUCUUCUAAGAGAACUGAACUGAGUAGCACACCAGCAUACUGUUACGGCUCAUGAGCAUCAGAAGAAUCAUAGCAGGGGAGCCAAAUAACCGGGUGGAGACUACCAGAAAUCAUGCUUAAGAUGACAUUGCUCAAUCCUAUGCCAGCGGAGCUGUUUCUAAUGUCCAAAACCAUUGUGUUAGAUGACACUAGUCCAGCCACUCUAAAGAUCAGAAAGCCUAUCGAGGGAGUUGCUUCAUCAGGAAAGGGGUAGAGGAGAUUUAAUUUCUAUUGAUGUUCUUAGUAUCAGGAACUCUUCAUCCUUGAGCGCCAAAAGUUGUAAGUCUAAAAUUUGGAAAGCCAGCUAUUUCUUCUGAACUGCAUCUGUCUCCUAGUACCAUAGGUCAGCUGACCUCAAACGUGAAAUCUAGAAAGGUUGACGCUGCUUGCACAGUGGUAGCUAGCUUCUCCUUUAUGCUGAACAAAUUUUAUUAGGAUUCACGAUCAGUUGAAGCAUCCACAAUUUUUGAUGCUGAAAUGGAAGAAACAUUUAAGGUCAUUAAACUAAGAAGUCUGAUGGCUGGUUCCUCUGCCCAUGCUGUUCCAACUUCAAUUGGUUCCAGUUUGCCACCAAGCUCAUCAAUAGACUCAUUGCCUUCAGAAAAGUCAACACCGAAUCCCCAUGCUGAGGAUUUCAAGUUCAAUCCCAAUAUAAAGGGGUUCAUUCCGCCUCAAGUGCCUCCUGUCAUAUUCAAUCCACAAACUACAUCAAUAUCCUUUUGACAUCCAGAAACCAUUUGGAAAGAUUCUCAAUGAAGAGACAUAUACCCCAAAAAUGAUCCCAAUCAAGGCACUUUCAAGCUUGGUCAAGCUUUAUGGAAGAGUUGCAGCAGAUUGAGAGGCUCAAAGCAUAGUCGUCUUAAAGCAGAGUAGUCUACUGGACACCUUCUUGAUAACCAACAGACUGCAAAGUUCCCAAUAGAAGUUAGUUCUUAAAGUAGCAUUUAUUGGGAUUAAUGUUCCUCUUGAGACCAUACAGGUGAAAGAUAUCAUCUUCAGUUUUACAAGGUGGAAUAAUGCUCAGUGGGCAUAAGAAAUGAAUGAUUCCAGUGAUGAAACCAUGAUCUUCAAUAGUGGUUCUGCUCCACCAGCCUAAAGUGAAUUUCGCCAAGCCCAGAUGGAGAUCCACUUGGUAUAAUAACUGGUUUCAGGCAGAUAGUAGUGACGGCUCAUGAUUGGGAUGAUAUAUGUGCCUUCUUCUCUUGGAUUUUGGGGUUCUGGAAAGCCAAGAAAACUGCAACUGUGGAAGACCGUAUCCUUGAAAGAUCAUUCUGGUGUUAUUGGUGAGAGCAUUAGCUUUUCAGACGAGGUAAUUGGUGUACUACAGCACUUGCUCGCUGUGCACAUAACAGAUGACAUUGAGAACCUGUGCUGGGAUUUCUUGAGUAAUAGAAUGCGGUUGUUUCUGGUACUCUCCUUGCUUCAAACUGGAAUUGGGGAAUAUUGCCUAAAAACAACAAUGUCCCUGGAAUAGGUCCAAUCUCUCCUGACUAUGCAUCCAGUGAUAAUGAAUAUCUUACUUUUGCAGAAGGCCUAAUUUCCAGUUUACUAGAAGCUGGGCAAGUUGCUAAAAUCUCAAGGAUAUUGUCAUCUUUCUUGAACAUAUAUUUACAAGCUUACCAGAAAGCAUUUCUCUCUACAAUUAACAAUGGCCAGCACCAUGGUGAUAGGUUUUCACCUUUAUUGCUUCUCAAACAUACUGGUGUUGACAAAGGCAUACAGGAUGGGUUUCUUGAGAAGAGUGGAAUAAAUCCUUGUCAUCUGGAGUCUGUUUAUGGUCUCUUAUCAAAGUUAGAUCAAAUGGUUAAGAAAAGAGCUUCUGGAUUCCUAUCGAAGGUCUUUUGGGAAUGUAUAUUGCAUGGUUUCCCCUCUCAUCUUCAAGCUCCCAGUGGAACUCUUCUUUCAUGCAUUCUAAGUAUAAGAGGGAUCAUUUGCAUUCUAGAUGAGCUACUGAAAAUCAAGUGAGCGCUUCUUUGGCUACAUAUUUCCCCUUGAUUGGCGAAAAUCAUCUACUGAGGCUACGGUUUCUCUCAAAGAAAAUGAGCUUGCUGGGAAUUUACUUAGGGAAGUUAUUCUUAAAAACAUCAGCUAGAUCCAGAAGUUUUAAAUCUUCUCAUACCAAGGCGAUCUGCAAUGGCAGUAGUCGUACAUCAUCUUCUGAUCAAAUUGGUAAUGAAAUUUGGGAGAAUGACGUUAAUAAAGUUGAGGACCUUGAAGCAGUUCAGAUAUUGCAGGACAUUUUUAGCAAAUAGCAGGGAACUACAGGCAAAAGUGUUAAAUAGGAUGCUUAAGAUUUUCUCAGGUCAUCUUAAAAGCUAUAAAUUGUGUCAACAGCUAAAGACUAGGUCACUCCCUAUCUUAAAUAUGGAUGAUUUUCUUCCAUCAUCGCAAGAGAUCAUCUUGGAAAAUCUUGGAUAUGCUCCGAUUAUUGUGAAAAGCAUUUCUGAGCAAGAAUCGCCUUCACUUUGCUGUUUGUUGCUGUAGCUAAUCACGUCUGAAUUAAAGCACACCAUUCUUUCAUUUUUUGUCAACACAAUGGUAAUCCUGAUCAGUUGGAGAGAAAAUUCAGCUACAGCAGCUUCAAGAAACACUCUGGCAGCAAGGAUGAUAUCAUAUCCUCAUCAAAGCUAAUUGAAUCCGUUUCUGGGAAGUUUCCUUUUUUUGAAAUUAAGAAUAUAGCUGCUGAUGCAUAGGGAAGAGACUCCCAGAUUUAAAAUUUGCAGUCAGGAAAGAAGCAGAGUACUCUCUGAGGAAGAAGUGGAAAAAGAUUGAAAACUUUGAUGCCCAUGAAGAAGGAACCUGAUUCCACUCUUGAAAAAAUAUUAGACAAAUCUACUGGUUAUUUGACGAUUGAAGAGUCGUAGGGUAUUAUUAGUUGCUUAUGAAUUGUUAAAACAGCAAGUUCCUGCAGUGGUCAUGCAGGCUGGUCUACAACUGUGUGCUUGCCUAAUAAAAACACAUUCUCUAGCCUUGGAGUUCCCUGAAAAUGGAGGUGUGGCUGCUCUUUUCUGUCUUCCAAGAAGCUGCUUCUUUCUUGGAUAUGACACGGUAACAUCUGCUAUCAUUCAGCAUCUCCUUGAAGAUCCGUAGACACUUCAAACAGCUAUGGAAUUGGAGAUACGACAAACUCCAAUGGGAACCUUGAAGUGUAUAUUUGUAGAUCAAAGCUUCGCGACCAUUACUGUUAGUAAUGAACUAAGCUUCAAUUUUGAUCUAUCUUCAACAAUAGGAAUUGAUUUAUCCAAAAAUUUGCUACAUAGAGAGAUACCGACAGGAUUUUCUGGGCUGUUGGGUUUGGAAUACCUGAAUUUAUCAUAUAAUUAUCUUGAUAGUCAGCUUCUUACCUUGGAAAAGACGGAGAGAUUGAUGGUACUGGACCUAUCAGACAAAUCUUUGUCAGGUCAGAUCCUAGAAAAUGUUUCCAAUCCAAGAAACGUAAAGAAUCAAGAUAUGUCAAGUGGAGGUUCAAAAUACGGAGGAUAAGGGUCAUAUUCAGAUUCCACCCUUCAAUUCGAUCAUGGUUUCUGGUUGUUCAUUGCAGUUGUUCUACUGAAAGGCACAGACGAGUAAUCAGUGAACUCGAUAAAGCAUUAUCUUCAUUUUCGAACCUGGAGUGCAAUUCUUCGAAGAGCAUUUUAUUGCCAGAUAAAAAGCAAAAAGCAUGAUAGAUGGAGGAAUGGUUCGGUGCCUAACUAGCAUUCUUGAGUGAUGCAGUUUUCAAGUUUGAUGGUCUGAACAAGAAAAAUCCCCAGCUUCAAACCGAAGAUCUGAUGAUCAGGGGAUUGCACCAUUAACUACAGAGAUUGGUGAGAAUAGUCAGAAUAGAAACAACCAACAAGGACUCAUGGAUGCAGUAGGAACAGAGCAGCGACAACGUCAAGGAAUUUUGCAAAGUGAAGGAAAUCAUUCAUUUACAGAUUCGGUCCGAUUAUGGAUGAAAAGCAACAAUUAGGAGUCUGCUUGGUGAUGGCAACGACAAGGAUACCUAUUCUAGUGGAACCAUUGAAUCAAAUCUUGGUGGCGAGAAAUUAACACAGAAUGCAGGAAAUCCGUCAAUACAAAAAACUGGGGAUUUUGAACUUUAUGUUCAGUGUUUGACCAAUAUUGGGGAGAAUCCAUUUGAGCUUACGGACCAAGUUACCUUAUAAAUCGAAAUGCUUCUGACCACUGAAUACUUUGGCAACGAAUUGGGUCCUUCUAUCCCGAAUUUUUAGACUCCACUCCAUCAUGGUUACCUUGCUACACACACCUCCUCCUCUUUUUUGGCUUCUUUGAUUAGGAAUUUACUAUUUUAAAUUGAAUUUUUUAAAUCAUUUUUCAACUAAGCAUUUCCAGCUUUGAAAAAUCCAGAUUUUAAUAAAUUUGCUGCCACUUUCCUCCAGGCAUGCAUUUUCACUAUCUUCUUUUAUUCUCAAUUAUUUUCAUGGUUUUCUCAAUUUUCAACAAGCAUGAACAAACUUCAUGAUUCCAAAUAAUGGAAUUCAUAGAAUCAAUUCAUGCAAAAUUAAUUAGAGCUAUGGUGGGGGCCCAACAUUCGUGAUAUUUUCCUCAAUAUUGUCUGUUUAAUUGUGCUUCCUCUAUGUGGAUACAUGAGAUUGUUUUACACUUAUUAUUGAGCUAAUCUUAUUUCUCAUUUUAGCGCACGGCUUGCUAUCCAGGUACGUUCCCUAAUACCCACUUUCUAAACCCUAUGAAUAUGAUUGUCGUUGCGUACUAUGCCCAUGCUUGCUAUCCUGUUUGAUUGUCUUGAUAUAUAUUUGAUGUUUGUUUGAUUAUCUUUGAUAAAAUGCAUAUUGGGUGAUAUAUUAUCUAAACUAACCAUUGAUGUUUUAUCAUAGCGCUUAAGAAGUGGUCCAGGUACGCACCCUAACUCUCCUUUAUUGUAAUUUGAUCAUGUUUGACAUGUUAUUUUUUAAAUCACCUUAGUCUAUCUAGAUAUCCUUAAUCACUCAAUUAAUUGCCACAUUUCCCCCAAUUUAGUCAGUAGAGACCUCUUUAGGGCUUAGAGGGGUGCUACCUCCUAGAGGUACCUUCGCAAUAAGUAACCUGAUCCCCAGACCUAGACUUGGGUUUUUAAAAAACACGCUUUUCCAAAAAUUAUGGAGUCAUUUUUUUAGGGUUUUAUUUCUUGUUUUAUUUUCCCUUUAAAAUAAAAAUAAAAUGAGUGGCGACUCCGAUUUUUCUUUCCAAAAAUUACUUUUUCAGAAAUAAAAAACGAGUCUCGCCGAUCGAGUGGGGACGCAUGUGAAAAAUGUGGGUCCACAGACAGGUUGGCCUUUGGCAAUUGCAGCAGACCCUCUGAACCAUCAUCAGCUAUCAGACCUAGCAGACCUCCUUGUCAUUUUGCUUACUUGGAGGUUCUUCAAGAUCACGGACCAUGCCGACUCCGUUUUGCAAUCGAUAUACUUUUUUAAGAUCAGCAAAAGCAACAAUCUAAACUCAGAAUCAGAUCACCCACAAUUGUCUAGUCACUGGAUGAGAAAACCUCCAGGUCCUUUUUGAGGAACAUGUAUUAAGGACCCUUCCACAACUUUCUUUAUCCAUUCCUUUGCCAAGUGAUAUGUUCUCUUCUAUCUUGCCACUCUGAAUUCAAGGAAAAUGAGUACCAAAUUAAACAUCAUAACCAACUUGUUCACUAUGGUGGCCUUUAAUUUGAGCUUUACAAUUUCUAGGAAACCCGUGACGGAUCAAAUUCCUAAGUUGCAUUCCUGAACGCACCAAAACUCAUGCUAAUACCUUCAUGGGCACCAAAACUAAUCAAUCUCACCACUAGCAAAACUUCUCCAAAAAAUCGGCAAAACUAUCCAUGCUUCAUCUUUCCUCUGUUCUUUCGCCCCUGUUUUUCUUCCUUCAUUCUCCAGUAAUAGAUACUUUAACCGGUGCCAAACAAUCUUCCUCCUGGAAUGGUAGUUGUACGAGAAACCCUUGAACUUGUUUUCUUAUUCCAAAUUUGGAUAUGGAGUUUUGACAGCAUCAAGAAACCAUUCUUUAGUGCCAUUGAUUAGUGAUGCAGGCAUGGCUGGAAAUACUCGAAAUAUCCACAUAAAACAAAGGAAGACUGGAAAUGGACCAAUAAAAAAUAAACAACAAAAAGGAAGAACCAAUGGAAGCCAAAUUUCAUAUUUUAUUCCAUGGGCUUAGGUUGGUGAGGGGAAUACAAGCAAAUUCCAACAAACAUAUACGACGACUAUUCUCAUGUAAUGCACAGUAAAUAAAAAAGGUAAAGUCUUUUAGCCCUAAACCAAAACUAGAGUACUCCAAAGGGAGAAAUCAACAACAUCUAGAGAAGCAAUCAAGUGCCAAUCCAAACAAACAUAUAGCCUCUAUCAUUCUACACCCAAGCAUCCAAACAAAACUCAAAAUCCCACGAAGAUCAAUACAUAACAAAAGGAUAACGAGAAUGAAGGAAGAGUCAACAAGAGGCAUUCCUGGAAAUGUUCCUCUCUAGUAAGAAAAUCCCUGUUGGUAUAUCGUCUUAGAUCUCUUACUCUGCUUUGUUGUGUUUCCUUCCUCUCCCUAUGAAGACAAUCUCAGAAUUCUCCNNNNNNNNNNNNNNNNNNNNNNNNNNNNNNNNNNNNNNNNNNNNNNNNNNNNNNNNNNNNNNNNNNNNNNNNNNNNNNNNNNNNNNNNNNNNNNNNNNNNUUUUUUUCCGGGGGGUUGGGGUGGGGGGGGGAAAAAAAAAAAAUUCCAAAAAAAAUUUUGGGGGUUUUUUUUUUUUAAAACCCCAAAAAAAAAAAAAGGAAAAUUUUUUUUCCCCAAAACAAAAAAUGGGUUUUCCCAAGGGGGAAAAUUCACAACUUUUGGGGAAGAAAAAAAGGGCCAAUCCAAAAAAAAAUUUUUCUUUUUUUUUUUUCCCCCCAAGGCUUCAAAAAAAAAUAAAAAUCCCCGGGGGUUCAUUUAUUUAAAAAAGGGUUCGGGGAAGGGGGGGGGGGCCCCCCGGGGGCCUCCCGAAAAAUUUUCCUUUUUUAAAAAAAAACCCCGGGGGGAUUUUUUUUUAAUUUUUUUUUUUUGUUUUUGGGGGUUUCCCCCCCCCCCCUAAAAAAAAAAUUUUAAAAUUUUCCCCCCCUUUAAAAACCCCCCCCCCCCCCCCCCCCCCCCCCCUUUCCCCUUUUUCUUUAUUCCUCCAAAAGCCUAAUCUAAACUCAAAGGGCAACCAAGGUCACGAUGAGGGGUCAAGUAAAUCCCCCAACUAAAGUCUCUGAGGUGGCUAAAAAAAAAGUAAAUUGUAUGAGUAGUCAUGGGCCACCAAGAGACUACUAUUAAGUAUCAAAUGAGCUUCUAAUAGGACAUGUGCUAAGAGGACAAAAUGGAGGGUCUACAAUACCUUUUUAGGAUCACAUAAAGGGACACUUUGUCUCAAUUCCAUGAGAUAUCAUGGUGCCUACAUUUAGAAUACCUAUUGUUACUGGCUUUCAUCAACAAUGACCCAAUCCAUAGGAAAUAUGUGAUCAACUUACAAUCUCACCCGUAAAUCAAAGACACUAGUAACUUUAGCAUAAACUCAACAUUCUCUCAAAGUUGAGGGACAACGCAAUGAAGUAGUUUGGUGAGGUCAUGACUACUUGAUAGCCUUAAGUCAUGACUUAUUGUAGGUCCUGUUCAAUGUGUAACCAUACACACUAAUGCACUCACCAUGGGAAACCCAUCUCGAUAGCCAAGACCAAUUAUCCCUCUAAUUAGGAGGUGGUGCACUACAACCCAUAAUAGGUUGCCUAGACCCAUGAAUCGGUUGUGAACAAGUCAUCUAUUUGUAAGAAAUCCAUGACUUGGAUCUUUCUUGCAACUCUUAAAGCACCAAGUCACGUACAAUGCAAAAUAUGCAUGCAAGAAUGCUCAUAAAAGUGUAAUGCAUGGAAUAAAUUAAAACAAAUAAAAGUGAAACUAGAAUAUCAUUAAAUAAUGAAUUCCAAAUUUGUUAUAUCAUUGUCAUGCUUUUAAGGGCUCUAUCUUAACAACAUUAAUUUAUUUUGUUCUAAGAUCAUCAAAUUUUUAUUUAACACAACCUCGUUGAUCUAUAUACAACACAACUUGACUUCUCCUUAAUUUGAUAUCAUAUUUUUUUUUUCUUUUGAAAGUAAAGGCAUCGUAUACCAUGAUCUCUUUGAUUUUCCAUUUUAUUUUUCAUCGUGGUUGCCUUUGUUUCCAUUUUGGAGGUGUUUCCAUAUGUUACAAGUGAGCAACUUAUAUUUAAGAGCAUGAAUUUUGGAAAGUGUAUGAGAGUUUUGCUUAUCUAAAGAUUCAAGUAUAUACUAACUUACUUCGAGAAACAAUUAUAAUGAUCUUAGUCAAACAAGGCAUGUAGACAAUAAGAUUUGAGCAUGAUGUACAAAGGAUCUUUCCAAAGAUAUCAAUGUCUACUUUAUGAGUUAAACUUAAGAAGUCUCCCUCUUGAUCAAGCACAAAAUGUAACUAAGGUUGAAAUUCCACUCUCCAAAGACAUUUAAUUAUCAAGAAUCAUAUCUGCAAUAGUGAUUAACAAAUAUCUAAGAAUCAAUCCACAUCAAGUCUUGUAGAUAUAGUAUAUUUCUCUAGUUCUCAAACUUGAGAUAUUAAAAAUCAUGCCAAUAUAUCAAGUAAAAAAGCAAAAAUCAUAUGCCCAAAGCAAACCAGAAGAAAACCCAAGGAAAAAAGUAGACAAUGAAACAAUUAAGCUCAAAACCUUUCAAGGCCUAUAACAUUAGAUAAUUAGUCAAUUAGGCGUAUGCCCAAGGAUUUCCUAAGGAACUCAAACCUAAGAGAAUUCAAGGGUUUUGUAAAGAUAUCUACCAAUUGAUGUUUCGUGGGGACAAACUCUAGAGAGACAACGUUUUCUUCAACAAAAUCCCUAAUGAAAUGAUGAAAAAUUUCAAUAUGUUUAGUACGAUAAUGAAGAACACGAUUCUUUGAUAUAUUUAUAGAACUAGAGUUUUAAUAGUAUAUGUUCAUGGUCCUUUACUCAAUCCUAUAGUCUUUCAGUAUUUGUUUCAUCCAUAAGAAUUGUGUACAACAACUUUCAGCAACAAUAUAUUCAACUUCAACAAUAGAUAAGGAUAUAGAUUUUUUUUUUCUUACUAAGCCAACCCACAAAACAAUCACCAAUAAAAAAGUGAGCAUCAUAUGUGUUUUUUCUAUCCUCAACAUUUUCGACCCAAUCAACAUCAAAAUAACUAACAAUCAUAAUAGAAGAAUCAUAGGGAUACCAAAAACCAUAGUCAAGAGUCUCACUAAUAUAUAAUGUAAUUCUUUUAACGGAAAUUAAGUGUGACUCUUUGGGGUUUGCUUGUUAGUUAACACAAACACCAACACAAAUGAUAUGUUAGGAUGACUCACUAUGGGGUAUAAUAAGUUUCCUAUCAUACUCCUAUAGAGCUCUUUUUCAACAUCCUUUCUAGAUGCAUCCUUAUUAAGCUUAGUGGUAGUGUUCAUAGGUGUCCUAGAGUGUUUGGUGGAUUCUAGACCAAAUUUCUUCACUAACUACCGAGCAUAUUCAGAUUGUGAAAGAAAGAUUUCAUCUUUUAGUUGUCUAAUCUACAAUCCUAAGAAGAAAGUUAGUUCACCAAUCAUACUCAUCUCAAAUUCAGUCUUCAUUUCCCUAACAAAACUAAAGUCAAGAUCACUAGAGGUGGCUCCAAAAACAAUAUCAUCAACAUAAAUUUAGAUCACUAAUAAUUCAUCCUUGUACCUAUGCGUAAACAAGGUUCUAUCAACUUCCCUUUUCUCAAACUUUUUCUCCAAAAGCUAGGUAGUAAUCAUCUCAUACCAAGCUUUAGGAGCUUGUUUUAAUCCAUAAAAGGCUUUCUUCAACCUAUAGCUAUGAUUGGGGAAUUUCGGAUCCUUGAAACCCUUAGGUUACUCUACAUAAACUUCUUUACUUAGAAUCCCAUUAAAUAAAGCACUCUUGACAUCCAUUUGAUAAAGCUUCAUUCUCAAGGAGCAUACUAUAGCCCAAGUAUCUUGAUUGAUUCUAGUUAGGUUACGGGUGGAGAUGUCUCUUCAUAAUCAAUCUCCUCUAUCUGUGAGUAUCCUUGGGCUACUAAUCUUGCUUUGUUCCUCACAAUGACCUUAUUUUCAUCUUGUUUAUUUUUUAAAAUCCAUUUUACACCUAUGACAUACUUAUCUUUAGGCCUAAGGACUAAAUACAACAUAUCAUUCCUAGUGAAUUGAUUCAACUCUUCCUAUAGUGCGGUAGUCUAAGACUCAUCUUCUAAAGCUUACUCCAUGAUAUUGGGCUUCAAUUGGGAGGUAUAGCAUAUAAGAUCCAUUUCAUUUAAUCUUUGAUUAUCUCCUAGCAACUACACGUUCAUUCACCUUACCUAUAACUUUUGAGAUACAAUAGUUCUUGGGUACUUUGGAUUUAUGCUUAUUCCCCAUUUCUUCAUAAUUGUCUUCUUGAGAUAUAUUCUCAUCCUUGUUGGGGUCAACUUCACUUUGAGGAACAUUAUUUGGGUUCUUUGAUUUCUCCUUAAAAAAACUCACAAAGAAGUAUCUUGAAAAAUCAUCCACAACAACUAGGACAAAUCUCUUACCACUUCUACUCUCAAUAUGCAUGGGACCCAUAGAUCCAUAAAAAGAAGGUCUAAAGGUCUAGUGGUCCUAAUUUCCUUAACCUUUUUGUGUGAACUUUUUUAUUGUUUACCCACCACAAAUGGGUUUAGGUUCACCACUAAGUUUAGGGAUUCCUCUAACUUUUUCACUAUUAACUAAGUGUACAAGAUCCCUAUAGUUUAUUUGACCUAGCCUUCUAUGCCAAAGUUUAGUAAGGUCUAGCUUAGCACUAGUGCACACAAGAGGUGUCUUAGAGUUAGGAUUUAUUGCAUAACAGUUGUCAACUAUCCUAUGUCCUGUGGUAAUGGCUUUUCCUUCUUUGUUGACUACCUUGCAUAAGUCUUAGCAAAAAUUCACCCUAUGAUCUUUGUCAUAGAUUUGACUAAUACUUAGGAGGUUUGCCUUGAGUUCAUCUACAUAAAGAACUCCAUCUAACUUAGGACAAGUAGGGAUAGAUAUACUUCAUUUGUCUUUCACAAGCUAAGUUUCCAUCCCCAAAGGUAAUUGUGCCACCAUUAUAGUCCUUAAAAGAUAUGAAAGAAGGACUUGUCUCUUGUCAUGUGUCUAGAGCAACCACUAUCAAAGUAUCACUCACUAGAAGACCUAACUUUAAGUGCAGUGAAGACUACUUGACAUUUAGGCUUAUUUUUUUUCAUCCAAACUUGUUUAAUCCUAGGUGGUAACUUAGAGAAGCUUUAUUGAGAUAUAGGCUUUUGAUUAGGUUUAUUCCCUUUUCCAUAAUUCAAGAUGUUAUUUUUAAGGGAAUUAAAGUCAUUCAUUAGCCUAUUUAUUUGAGAUUCAAAUCUCUCUAGGAACUUAGUGUAGCACCUAUACUGAGUGUGUCCUAUUUUCUUUCAGUGUAUAGUGAUGGGUUUAUGAGAGAUGCUACUUGGUUGGGGGUUUCAUCUUUUCCUUUAACAAACACAAUUUCUCCACUAGAAAGAGUUUCAUCUUUAUUAAUAUACUCCAAACCUCAUUUAUCACCAUGGGUUUUCAUUUAUCAAGUAUUUCAUUAAGCAUUUUAGUUCUAAGGUGAAAGAUCUCAUUCACAAAUGAAAAAGGCUUACUAUUUUUCAUCUCUUAAGUAGGAGUCUUAUUUUUCUCAAUAAGAGAAUGAUGUUCAGAUCAAGAAAUCUAUUUUUUUUUUCAAGUAUAUUAAUAUUUUUUUCUUUUAGCACAUCAAUCUUAGUUUUGUAAGCUUCAAGUAUAUGAUCAUAUCUUAAAUAAUUCUUAAUAAGUUUUUCAUGCUCAACAACAAGAUUAUUCAAAAAAGUAGCUUUUUGAUCAUUAGUGAAUUCAUUAUCACUAUCACUAUCAUGCACAAAUUCCAUAGAUGCAACAAAAGCUAAAAAGUUAUUAGGAUCAUACCUUGUAUCUUCAGAAGUUGUGGAACCACUUUCUUCAAAAUCAAUGUCACUCCAUGUAGCUUGCGUAGACUUUUUGACAUUUUUUGGGUUAGGACAAUCAGUAGCAAAGUGUCCCAAACCACCACAAUUAAAGCAUUCUACUUUCUUACCUUUGGAGGAACCUUAAUCAUUUUCUUUGGAUGAUUUCUUAAGUCUCUUUCCUUUUCUAGAUUCUUGAUUUUCGCAAAACUUUUUGUUGAAUUUCAUUACCGUUUUAAUUCUUUUAGUCAUAUAAAUCAAUUCAUUCCUAGUUAUAUUAUGUGACAUUUCAGUAUCUUUUUUCUCAUUCUCCGAAGCCUUAAAGACAAAGUCUUGAGGAUUUUGAGAAUUAGGUAAGGGCAUCUCAUAUGUCUAUAUAAAGCCAACAAGUUCACCAACUCUCAUCUAAUCAAUGUCUUUGCUUUCCUCUAUAGCAAUAACUUCAGGUUUAAAUCUCUUUGGGAGAAAACUCAAAAAAUUUUCUUACUACAUUUGAAUCUAGAAUGGGUUUUCCAAGGUUCAAAGAAGAAUUAACUAAUAAUCUCAAAUUUAGUUUUGAUUUUCAUGCAUUGUAAUAAUCUCAAAUUUAGUAGUAAGCAUUUGCAAUUUAGAAACUUUAAUAGUAGGUGUACCUUUAUGAGUGACUUGAAGGAUAUCUCAUGCUUCCUUAGCACGAGUAUGGUUUGUUAUCUUGCGAAACUCAUCUGGACAAACUCUAUUAAAGAUACUAAAUAAAGCCCUAACAUUGGCUUCACUUCCUUCAUUAUCAACUUUGUCCCAAUCUUGUUUAGGUUUUAAUUCUCCAAGUGAUCUUCCACGGACAUCAAGAAACAAUGAGGGCGUUCACCUUGCAUUUUAAGAAAAAACUUCAUCUAGGCUUUCCAAUAGGGAUGGUUACUCCCAUAGAAGCAAGGUAGACUAUUUAGAGGAGCCCUAGUUUUUUAUUGUUUCAUACUAGACUUACAAAAUCAAUAAAAAUUUCAUUUUUAUCCUAUAUAAUUAAUAAAAAUUUGAUUUUUAAUCAAUAUGAAAAAAAUCGAUUUUUAUUUGUUUGUAAUAUCAAUUGAAAAACCAAAAGUCUAUUAGGAUAACACCCAAAGGGAAGGGGGGUACUGAGUGUAUUUAAAAAUUAUUUGUAUAUUAUAACUAACUUUUUCCUUGCAAGAAGUUAGGGAUUAUUAAUUCAUUCAACAAUGGACAAUGUAAUCAAGAUAAUCAAAUAUAUGCAAUGAAGCAUAAGGAUAUUUACAUGGAAAACCCUCACACCAACUAUGGAGAUAAAAAACCACGAGGUCUAAGAUUGUUAAUCUAAAUCCACUAUAUGAGAUCAAGUUACACAAAUUUACUUGACCACUUUACCCUAAAAACUUACUCUCCAAUAUCUACAACUUAAUCCACGUCUGUGAUGCAGCAAAUCCCUAAUUGCUCCAAUGAAUACACUUCAGCCUCGCUAAAGGGAUGAAGAUCUUCAACCCCAAGAUUCAAAGCUUGAAUUCUUUGAAUGAGAGAUCAUGAAUGGUAUGACACGUUAGAAUUUCUCUUAAAGAGACUCUUUUGAAUCUCUCUAAUCUCUUACCCUAUAAGGGUUAUAGAGAGGUAUAUAUAGGCAAAUAACCCGAAGAGAUUUGAUAUGCAUAGGUUUCCAAAUCCAACUUAUGUGAAAUUCUCAAAAUUAUUCUCUAAUUUUUUGCAAGAAAUACAUGAGCGCUUGAGCACACAUAACCACCGCUUGAGUGGUGCUAAGCGCUUAAGCGGUCCCAAUGCUUGAGUGUUGCUGCCUACUCAAUUGUCCCCUAUUUCAUUCACUUUUUUUAAAAAAAAAAAAAAAUCAAUUUUUGUUGAUUUAAAAGAUAUCGUUCCUCUUUAUACCUCAUAAAAGUCUAACUUGCCACAAGUCAAACCUUUUCAGACAUACCUGUGACUUCUCAGUUGAACGAACAACAACCCUUGAUCUUCAAUGAAGAGCAAGUCACUAUUUAAUAGGACUUAUGUGUUCAAACAUUAAAAGAAAUAAAAUUGUCGACAUACAAACAAGACUCAAUGUCCUAACAACAUCUCUAUCAUUUAGAUUCCAUAUAUGUAUAUUACACCCAACAAACUUAAAAUGAUUGAAAAUUUCAUGAUAUAUCUAAUUUAAUGGCAAUAUAAAGACCACCAAAAAGAAUGAUAUUUGACAUUCUAAUCAUAAUACAUUUUUGUUAGUUCACGAUGUAAUUUUUAUUUGUUUUCAUUAAGAUUAUGUUUGAUUUUUGAAAAAUAGUAAAAAAAAAAAAAAAUGUAAUAAAAAAGAAAGAAAAUAUAAAAAAAUAAAAAAAUGAAAAAAAUAAAUUUUAAAUUUUAAAUUAAUAAAUUAUUUUUACACACUUCUUCAAACUUAACUCAUUUAGUUUUUAUCUUUUAUAUAAAAAUUAAGUAAUUUUUUUUUAAAGUUUCUAACUAAUUUUAAUUAUAUUUUAUUUUCUUUCAUAUUUCUUAUAGUAAAAUAAACAUAAAAAACAUUUUCCUUAACAAAAAUUUCCCCUUUUUCCAUAACAUUUUUCAAGGAAGAAGACCAAAAAACCAUAUAUAUAUAGCCUAAUUAUGUUUAAUCUUUUUAGAAAUAUCCCAUAAAAUAUGGAACUUUCCAAGUCAACCAAACAUUGUUUAAAAGAAUGAAUGAAAAGAAAAGUAAAAUGAAUAAAGCAUACACUAAUAAAUUUCUUUGGAUCAAUUUUCUUCUGUACUUUUAUUCUCAUCAGUUGCCAAUAUAUAUACACAGAGAAGAGAUACAUCAAGACUCCUAAAUAAGGUAAAACUAAACAAGGAAGAAAAUAUGUACAAAUUACAAACACAAUAUUUGCCUACCACGCCAAUCAAGGCUUACCAUAAUCGGCUUGCCCAUCAAAGUUUACCAUAAUCACUAAUAUAUGAAGUUGGAAUAUAAUUAAUGCGAGCACAUGAAGCUACAUUUGAUAAUAUCACAUCUCUUCAAUAACCCUUAAUUAUAAUGUCCAUAAUAAUUAUAAUUCACAUCUUAUAUUCAUGUUGCUUGAUAAUAAGAAAAUGGACACCAUAAAAAAUAGGAUAAAAUAAGUAUUGAAAGUCUUCACCUAAUGAAUAAUAAAUGUCCAUAUUUUCUAUUAGGCCACAUGGGAGUUUUCAAUGAACGAAUCAACGUCUCAGUUGUAGCCUUCACCUAACAUAUAACAUAACAUGGGCAAGUUAAUCGUAUUAUAUUAUCUUGAUAAACAUAAGUUUAUAUUUUUUUUUCUUUCUUAUCACCUCUUACUUUUUAAUAACUUUAGAAGUUCAACUUUUGUAUCAAAAUGAAAUUAUUAAAUCAACAAAACUUCAUCCAAAACUGGAAAAUUGAUAAAUUCAACAAUAAUAAAUUUUAUGAGGCACCAUAUUGACCAAAACCUAACCCAACUUUAGAUCUUUCUUCAAAUAUUCACACUUAUAAAUUUUUAUCCUCAAAGAAUUAUCGAUAACAUAUAUUUAUUUACCAUUACUUUGAUAUUUUGGUAAUCUAAUUUAUGGCCAAGCGCGAGCAUAAUUUAAAUUUAAAAUCAUUAUCAAUUCUCUCCCAAAUAUUUUCUUUUGUAGUUGAUAUUUGAACAUUUAUCAAUAUAAAGAUUAUUGUGUCGAUAAUAUUUUCACUCCCAACGAAAAUGAUGGCAUAAGAUGUAAGACUCAAGAUUCGGUAAGCUUGAGAUUUGAUAUUGGUUUUGAGAAAAUAUGUCUAAAAAAGUAAGUAUGAGAUUAUGUGUGCUUAAGAUUUGGUGUUGACUUAAAAUUUGAUGUGAUUUGAAUCACACAAAGAGGAUUAGUUUUAUCUUAUUGAAUUAACUUUCAAUAAUUUCAAGUCUUAGAUUGAGUUUUGUCCAUCUCAUCUAAAAUAUUAAUUGAUGUUUGACGUGGAUAACCUAAACUUUUUAUUACAUUCAAUUACCAUCAUUUAAGUGCUUUAUUCCUAAUAUUAAAGAGUAACAUUGUUGUACACUAACAAUCCUUCCUUUAACACUUCUAUGGAGUGAACCAUAACUAUUAACUCCAAUAUUAAUUCUUGGAUAGGGUAUUUAUCAUUUCUUCUCAAAACCAAUUAUAUUCAAUGAGAAUAAACUAAAUUUUUUAUGGCUUUCAACCACCAUCAUUUUGAUUGCCCAUCUCUAUACUUAAAGAAUGACAUUAUUGUUGCACCCUCAUGAUGAGAAAUAGUUUUAUUCACUACUUUUAACGAAUUUGUUAUUUUGAUUAAAUAUACUUCUUUUUAUUAAAAGUUUUGUAGCAUUCUUCGAACAGAUAACAAAUUAAUCGAUUUCAAUUUUAAUAAUAGUGAGCUUGUAGACUUGUUUUAUUUUCUAAUUUUUAUAUCAUCACACUUUGGUUUAUAAAUUGAUUCGUUAAUUAUAUUUAUGUAUUUGUCGCUUUCCUUUGACAUUUUAUAAAAUUAUUGUUCAUGUAAUAUGCAUGAAGAAUUUACUAAUAUUUUACUUAAAAUAUUAUAAGAAAUAAAAAGUAUUUAAACCACUUCGUUUUGAAAAAAUAAUGUAUUACCAGUGUUGUCAUUUUUAUAUUCACAAAAGUCUACUAUAAAUAUUUUUAUAAAUUCUCUCUUAUUAUUCACAAUUUUCCAUCCUUAGUGGUGUAUUAGGCAAAUAUUUUUUGUUACAAAAGUUACAAAAUAAAAUAUAGUUAUAGUGAAAAAAUUAUUAAAACAAUUAUACAUGACAUAGAAUGUAUAUUAUUAUAAUAUAUUAGCUAGUUUUAAGUUCUAAUAUUUAAUUGUGGGUGAGUGCUUAUUAAUGAAGCUUCUCCAUUUUUUCUCUUUUUAAAUGCCUUCUAAUUAACAUUUUUGGACUAUUUUGCAGAUAAUGAACAAAUUAGGUAACUUGAGUUUUAAUUAAUAUAAGUUUAUCCACUUGGUUUUCCCCUCCUUCAAUGCUUGGUCUCUGUUACAACCUUGUGAUUUGUAUUCAUGAGUAAUUAAUUGAUGGUAUCAUUUUCUAUAAAAUAUUGAAUGGUAGUUUAGGUUCAACUUUUGUAUUUAAAUUAUUUGUAUAUCUUUCUUCUAGAAGGAGUAUUCAAUCUUGUUUGGUAACUAUUUUUUAAAAAUAGUUUUUAAUAAUAGUUUUUGAAAAAAAAUAUAUGAUAUUUUGUAAGAUAAAAAUCUAUUUAAAACUUGAAAUAUUUUUAACAUGUUUUUAAUAUUUUUAAAUAUGUUUUGAAAAUAAUUUUAUGUGUAAAACUGUAUUUUUAUUUAUUAUAUAUAUUUAUAUAAUUAUUAUUUAAAGAAACUUUCAAAAAACAAGUGAAAACAAUUAAAAGAUGUUAUCUUAAAAUAUUCUAUUUUUUUCCUUAAAAAUAGAAAAUAGAAAAAAGUUUUUUUUAUUACCAUACAUGUUUUCUAGUUUUUUUUUUAAAGAAAAAAAUAAAAAAUUGCUCUUGAAAACAAUUGUGAAAUCAAAAAACAAAAAGCUUCUACACUUUUUUUUUCCCUAAAAUUUCUAUAUUUUUAUAAUAUUAGGUAAUGUUUGACUAAAAAAAUUAAGGAUAAAAAUAAAAAUAAAAAUGUAAAAAAAAGUUAUAAAAAAUUAUCUCCUAUUCUUUUGUCCAAGGAAAAACUACAAGGAAAACAAUUAAAAUUACAGAGGAAUACACUUUGGAUUCACAAAAUUUUCUCAUCCUUUUUUUUUUUUUGAAAGAAAUAUAAAAGGGAAAAAUCUUUUAGAUUAUGCUUGAUUAUUGAAAUAUAUUUUUUUUUAAAUAAUCCUUUGAUAUUUAGUUUUACUAUCGAAAAUAAGAAAAACUAAAUAAAUUAAUUAAAAAAUUUGUAUUUUCAAAUUAUUUAAUAUUUAUAUGGGAAUUAUUAACAUAAUUUUUUUAAAACAAAUUAUUUUUUAUUUUCUUCAUUAUUUCUUUCCUUUUUUUUUUUUUUUUAUGAUAUCUCAUAUGGCAUAUAUGAGAAAACUCCUAACUUUGUAUAAGUGUGGGUUCAUAUUAAUAAUAUAGAUAAACUUUAAAAUAGUGAGGAUCCCUUCAAACUCAGAAUAAAUAAUAUGUGUACUGUUGGAUAUGGAUAGUUACAUUCUCUUCUUUUUUUUUCUAUUUGCUUUAUCUUGGCUCCUCAUAAUUAGCCAAAUGUCCAUCCAAAAGACUUGGACGUAAAGGAAAAAAAGUAAAAUGAAUAAAGCAGUGGAGCAUAAAUAAUACAUUGGUUAUAAGGUUGAAUGAGAAGUGAGAACAGAUGGCACCACAUUUUAUAUUGACAACGACCGCAUUUUAUGGGAAGUAUUAUUUAAUACUUGUCCACCAAUUACAUAAUAUUAUUCAGUGCCCAUGUGACUCAGCAACGAUCUAUUUUUUCUAAGUCUCUUAGACUUUUACGUAUUAAUUUUUUAUCAUAUUCAUUGUUUUUAGAUUUAAUAAUUAUACAUUUACAACUACUUUAUAGUAAAAAUAUAAUAUUAUUUAUAAAUUAAUAAAUUAUUUAUUUAUCAAUAAAUUAAUAAUCCUACAAAAAUGAUAAAUUCUCUUGGUUCCAAGAGUAUUAUUUUACUGUAGUUGGAGAGACACCCAUUCCUUUACUGAUAUUAUUGGAAGAGAUGAAAGCAAAAAGGGUGUGAUACGGAAGUUGUUUUCAUUUAAGAAUAAAUCUUAAAGUUGUUGCCAUACUUGGUACUGGGGGCUGGUUAAGGCCACCCUUGCUCUCAAUUGGUCUACAAUGAGAGUUUAAGACCAAAAUAAUCCAUUUGUAAAAAAAAUGACAAUAAUAGUACCGAUCUCAAAAUAUUUGUCAAAAUAAUCUUUUGUAUCCACGUAAGCAUUCACAUGGAUUUUUUUUUAAGUGUAAAAAACCACCGUUGAUAACUAUGGUUUUAAAAGUUUCAAAAAUAUCUUUAAAACCACAGUUUGUAACUGUGGUUUUACAAUUUUUCUUAAAACCACAGUUAGUAACUGUGGUUUCAAAUUUAUUUUUAAUUCACCCCGUUUGAAUGGUAGUGUGAUUUUAAUAUUAUUUUUAAAAUAUUUUUUAUCAUAAUAACCAUAAAAUCACAGUUAGUAACUGUGGUUUUAGAAAUAUAAUAAAAACCACAGUUACAGAUUAUGGUUUCACACUUUACCAAAAUUUCUUAACGAUAUACCAAAUUUCCCUAAAGUUCAUUUAGGAGUAGAGAUAUUUUUUUGCAAUUUUUCAUUGUCAGUUUAAAAUUAUUUUUUUUACAAAUUAUUCUUAAUAAAUUUUUUCUUUACUAUUGUUUUAAAAUUAUAUAUAUAUAUUUUUAUCUUUAUUUUUUUUUCAUAUUUUCCUUGAAAUUUUGAGAAAAUAAUUUCUCCUACAUGCAUUCCCAUAAAAAUUUAUAUAUUUAUGGUAAAUAAAAUAUUUAUUUGUUUUAUGAAUUUUAUCACAUAUGAAUUAAAUAAAAUUAUUUUUUCAUAUUAUUUUUAAAUUUUAAAAUAAUUAAACAAAUUGUUUAUAUUAUUUAAAUUUUAUAUUUUCAAAUAAAAAAUAAUAUCAAUGAUUAUAAUUUUAGGUUAUUUAUUACUAAUUGUGGUUUAAUGGUUAUUAUGAUAAAAAAAAAUAUUUUAUCAUUAAAAUGGAGGUGGAUUAAAAAUAAUUUUGAAACCACAGUUAAUAAUUAUGGAUUUAAGGAAAAUUGUAAAACCAUAGUUACAAACUAUGGUUUUAAGCAUAUUUUUGAAACUUUUAAAAUCACAGUUACCAAUGAUAGUUUUUUACACUUAAAAAAAAAAUUCAUGUGAAUGCUUACGUGAAUAUAAAAGAUUACUUUGACAAAUAUUUUGAAAUGGGUACUAUUCCUACCAUUUUUUUUUACAAAAUGAUUAUUUUGGUUUUAAACUCCUAUGAUGAUGAAAGAGUGGUACAAUACUUGAGUCUAUGCGACACCUCAAACCCUGAGGAUAAGGGUACCGUGGUCAAAGUCAAAAUCUAAAUCAUCAAAUUUAAAGCAGCUUCUAAUGGAAGCAUUCAUCCUACACUAAUACCUCCUCAUUGAUAUCACGUGGGGAAUAAUAUAAAAGAGUUUAACUCCAUAUAUAGUAUCGAAUUAUAUCUUGGGAGAUAUCACCUUUUUUAAUAAAAAUCAAUUAGUAUGUAAGCUUAUUUAAUUCAAUUUCUUUGAAAAAAUUUACACUUUCAAUUUAACGAUAAAACAACAUAAUAGUUGUAGUAGAGUAAUUGAAAUGUUUUACAUAGAUUCACGGGCUGAUCUAAUGGAUUGAAAAAUAAACCUAUUUUUGGGUCUGAUUGAUUUUAUUUUAUUUUUAACAAUUAUGUAAUUGAGUUAUCCUUGUACCAAUUACUCAACCAAUUGGAUUGACCAUCAAUGUGAUUGACUACUUUUGAUAUAAGCGGGUCAAUGCAUCAUCAUCAUGUGGGUUAGGAGUAGUGUUAAAGCCGAAAGUCGUGAAUAAUUGAGUCUAUUACCAUUGAGUUAAUACCUUUAAAAAUACUUUUAGAAUUGGAUCAGUUUUUAAAUCGAAAAAUUUAAUAGUACAUGGUUUAUUGAUUGGACUAAUGGUUAAAUCGUGAUCAAAUAAUUAUAUUAUAAACUAUGCAUCAAUUUUGAUAAACCUUACAAAUGGCUUAGUAGUAGUGUUCCCAUUACUCACAGAUUAGCUAGACAUGUGCACAAAUCUGGCCCUUACAAAAGGGAUUGUGUUUCUUUUUUUUUUUUCACCUUGGUUCAAACUUAGAUAGAUUUAACUUUAAACUGACAAUUUUGAAGUAGAAUUUUUCAAUACUUCUGAAAUAUGAAAACGAACAAUUUUGAUUUUUUUUUUUUUAAUUUUAAAGGGAUAUUUGCAUAAGUAUUCAUAAUUUUUGCAUACAAUUGUGAAGCGUGACACUUUCAAAUUUAAAUAAGUAUUUUUCUUUACAUUUCAAUUUUUUUUUUAAUUAGCUAUUCAUUGACUUUUUAACAAGCUUAAGAGCAAAAUGUUUGAGUUUUGAAUGUAUAAAACAUGUCAAAGAUUAAAGGAGAAGAAAGAAAGUAUUUAAAUCUAAAAUUUAUUUCAAUAUACGUUAUUAAUAGUAAAAUAUCAUAUUUUACUCUUUAAUAAAUUAAAAAAAUCUAAAAACUUAUAUUUUAAAGUUUUUAAGAAUUUUUAUAACUAAUUAUAACUUUAAUAAUAUGUAAAAUUUACAUUUAAUUUUAUAUUGAUAUCAUGAAUUUAUAUUGGUCUCACAAUUAGAUAGUGAUUGAAUCAUGGAUCCAACUAGUCCAAUAACUUUUCGGAUACACUAACCCAUUCGAUUAUAAAAACAUAAUAAUAACUAUAAAAUUUUAUAUAUAUUAUCACAUUUACAAGUAAAAAAUCAUGCACGAUUUCAGACUUGAUUCUUUUAUACAUUUGAGUGAUAUUAGAGGUUGAAUUUUUUAUCUUAAUAUAUAUUAAUGCCUAUCAUGAAUACACAUUUGAGUGAUAUUGGUGGUUGAAUUUUUUAUCUUAAUAUAUAUCGAUGCCUAUCAUAAAUAAAAAGUAUGAAGACAUAAUACAACUGUAUUUGAGUUGUAGAAAGCAUGGUGUUUCCCACGUCCCUACCUAUGGAAUUAUAAAAUUCACACCAAGAAUGCAUCAUCAAAUGACCACAUCCACUGCAUGUGACCCCCAUGUGAUAUGUCACUACACUCUUUCCCAACUCUUCCAACUUCUUCAUCUAUAUUUUAAUCGACAAGUUUAAAUUUCUUUAAAAUGUUGACAUAGAAUUGAGAAUAAUGCUAAUCACAAUUUUCACACAAUUAAAAGUUUUGUACUUUUUUUUUAUUUAAGGAAUAAUCAUUUUUUUUCCUUAUAUAUAUAGCCUUACUCUAUGAAUGGCCCUUUCUCCUCUUGGCCAAAGGAAAUCCAAAUUAGCUUGAAUUUUGAUAUAAAUGAAGUUGUUCAAUUUGCCUAAUUUUUUUUAUUUUUUUAUUUUACUUUUUAUUGUAAUUUUCUAUUGCUUUUAUAAAGGUUGAGUUUUAUUUUGGAAACUUUUCACAAAAAUACAAGGAAAAAAUAGGGAGAAAAAUAAAAUAUAAAAAAGUUAAAAAAAAAAAAAGAGAGUAGAAAAUAGAUGUAAAAUUAAUAAAUUAUUUUUUCAAAUUUAUUUCAUUUAUAUUUUUUUAUUUAUAUAAAGAUUAAAUAAUUUAAAAUAUAUAGUUAUUUUAAUUAAUUUUAAUAAUUUUGAUUAUAAACCAAAUAUCAUAAAAUUAUUUUUCUUAAUUUUUUUCUUUUCUAUAUAUCUUCCAUAUUCUUUUCUUAAUAAUGCUGUAUCCAUAAUAAUAAUACUUCUGGAUGCUGAGGAAACCCAACCAUAUUUUAUAUCAUGUCACAUGGGGCUUGGAAUAGUUCUAGGUAGACGAGUUAACAAUUGAUUUGAAAUCUUCAACCACUAAUUUAAAUUCUUCACCUAAUCAAUAAUAAAUGUCCAUAUCUUUCUACCAGGCCACAUGCAUGGGACUUCGAAUGGUUUAAAGUGAACAUGUUCCCUGAUUAAUUUGGAGCUUUCACAUAAUAUAUAAUAUUUUUUUUAUUUACAUAAAAUUAAAUAAUUAAAAAAUAUAUAAUUAUUUUAAUUAUUUUGAUUUGAUUUUCUAUUAUAAAUCAAAUACCAGAAAAUAAUUUUUCUUAGCUUUUUUUUUUUUUCUAUAUAUCUUCCAUAUGUGUUUGUUCUUUUUUAGAAAUAUCCCAUAAAAUAUGGACCUUUUCUAAUCAACCAAACACCCAGGAGGAACAAAAAAGAAAAGAAAGAGAGAGAGAGAACUUAGAGAAAAAUAAAAUGAAAAAACCGCUAAAGAUAGUAUACGUUUUAUAUAAAGUUGGAAUAUAAAUAAAUGGACCCACACCCCUUCAACAACCCUUAAUCAUGUUGUAUCCAUAAUAAUAAUUCACAUAUUUUAAUAGAUUUGAAAUCUUCACCCAUUAAUUUAAGUUCUUCAUCUAAUGAAUAAUAAAUGUCCAUAUUUUUCUACGAGGCCACAUAGGACUUUGAAUAGUUUAAAGUGAACAUGUUACCUCAUUAAUUUGGAGACUUUACAUACUCUAUAAUACUAUAAAAUGUUGGAUAGAUCACUAACCUCAUUUAAAUAAUAAAAUCUUCUAAUUCUUUUUUUUUUUUUUCUGAUUUUUACAUGAUUGUGCUUUAUUUUAUAAAUUAAUUAAUAAUUAUAUUUAUUUAUCUUGGCUUCCCGUACAUAUUUUAUGAAAAUAUUAUCCAUGUAUGUAAUACACAAGAUGAAUGCACCCUUACAACUAAAUUCAUCUUUUAAAUUUAAAAAAAAAAAACUAAAAAUUAAUAUUAUUUUACUUAAUAUUUAAGUAAUAAAAAUAACAUAACCAAUUUAAUUUUUGGUUUUUCAUUUUUUUUAAAUUAGUCUUAUAUUUCACAACUUUUCAUCCUUAAUGUGCUACAAAUCUUUUUACCACUAUAAGGGUUAUGAAAUAAAAAUUAUGUGUAUGGAAUAAAUAAGAAAAAGAAAAUUAAAUUGUCUUAUUAUUUUGCAAUGUAGUUUCAUUCCCAAAAUUUCCUCAAAUCUUUUUGGUUAUAUUUGAUUAUUGGAAAAUGAAAAUAAAAAAUAGAAAAAAAAAUAUUAUUCUCUAAUGUUUGGUUUUUACAUUGAAGAUAUCGGAUAUAAUUAAAAUUAGUUAAAAUUUUUUAUAUUUUUAAAUUAUUUAUUUUUUAUGUUGAAAAAUUAAAAUGAAUAAAAUGAGUUUAAAGAACAUACAAAAUAAUUUAUUAAAUUUAAAACUAUCUUUAAUUUUUAUUCAUUUUUUUUUCACAUUUUCUAUUAAACUUAGGAGAACCAAACAUAUUCUUAGUAUUUUUUUUUUUUUUUUUUGUUAAUGUUGUUUUCCCUUGUCUUUUUCCAUAGUAUUUAAAAAUAAUAAAUUUGUUUCCAUUUCUUUUAGGUUAUAUUUGGUUUUUGAAAAAUUUGAGGGAAAAAAAUAAAGAAAAAUUAAAAAUAAAUUUAAAAUUAAUAAAUUAUUUUUAUAUGUUUCUUUAAAUUUAUUUCACUUAAUUUUCUCAAUUAUAUAUAGAUUAAAUAAUUUUAAAAUAUAUUUUUAAUUAUAUUUAAUUUUAAAAAAAUUUAUAGUGAAACCAAUGAGAAAACCUUUUUUAUUUAUUUAUUUAUUUUUCCUAAUAACCAAACCUAACCUUAGGAUUUUUCCAAAUUUCGGAUCCAAAAGUAACUGAAUGUUACGAAAAAAUAUAAAUUGAAUGAAGUACAGGAGCAUAAAUGGUACAUCAAUUUUAUAUUGACUACCUUCUGUACCUUUAAUUGCAGCGUGUUGACUUGUCCACCGAAUCCAUAAUAUCAGCCAGUACCCAUGUGACUUGGCCCAUCUCAUCCACCCCUAUAAAGAUAUCUCUUACUUUGUUCCCUAUUCUCUCACAAUUCCCUCAGCUUCUCAUCUUGUACGUGCUGUAUUUUCUUGGCUUUCUGCUACUUUGAGUUGUUCCAAAAUGGCUGACCAAAUUCCAUUCGGUGUUGUGGAGCACAUUUUGACCAAGUUGGGGUCCAAGGCGUUUCAAGAAAUUGGAUCCAUGUAUGGUGUUCCAAAGGAGCUAACCAAGCUCAAGGACAACCUCGACGUCAUCAAAGGUGUACUUCUGGAUGCUGAGGAACAGCAGCAGCAGAAAACUCGUGGAAUAGAAGCUUGGGUCCAGAUGCUCAAAGGCGCCGUGUAUGACGCAGAUGACUUGCUGGAUGACUAUGCAACCCAUUAUCUACAGCGAGGAGGAUUCGCAAGGCAGGUCAGUGACUUCUUCUCAUCUGAAAAUCAAGUUGCUUUUCGCUUUAAGAUGAGUCAUAGACUCAACGAUAUCAAUGAAAGGCUAGACGCUAUCGAAAAAAAAAUCCCCAUGUUGAAUCUGACUCGACGGGAGGCAAUACGCAUAGGAGUAGAGAAUAGUUGGAGAGAAACCCACUCAUUCUCGUUGCCAUCUGAAAUUGUAGGAAGAGAAGAAAACAAAGAGGAGAUAAUAAGGAAGCUGUCAUCUAACAAUGAAGAAAUUCUUUCCGUUGUUGCCAUUGUUGGCUUUGGGGGAUUGGGUAAGACCACCCUCACUCAAUUGGUAUACAAUGACGAAAGAGUAGAACAUUUUGAGCGUAAGACAUGGGUUUGCAUUUCUGAUGAUUCUGGUGAUGGUCUUGACGUCAAACUGUGGGUCAAAAAGAUUUUAAAAUCUAUGGGAGUUCAGGGUGUGGAGAGUCUGACCUUGGAUGGUUUGAAAGACAAGCUUCACGAAAAAAUAAGUCAAAAGAAGUACUUGUUAGUACUUGAUGAUGUUUGGAACGAAAAUCCUGGAAAAUGGUAUGAAGUGAAAAAAUUGUUGAUGGUUGGUGCUAGAGGUAGUAAAAUUAUAGUAACCACCCGAAAACUUAAUGUUGCAUCCAUUGUGGAAGAUAAGUCUCCCCUUAGUUUGAAAGGUCUAGGAAAAAAGGAGUCUCGGGCUUUAUUUUCAAAAUUUGCAUUUAGAGAACAGGAGAUUUUGAAGCCAGAAAUUGUAGAAAUUGGAGAAGAAAUUGCAAAAAUGUGCAAGGGAGUUCCUCUCAUUAUUAAGACUUUAGCAAUGAUAUUGCAUUCUAAAAGAGAACUGGGAUUUUGGUUGUCUAUUAGAAACAAUAUUAAAAAUUUGCUAUUACUUGGAGUUGAGAACGAUAAUGUUGUACGGGUCUUGAAACUAAGUUAUGAUAAUUUGCCAACACAUUUGAAACAAUGUUUUACAUAUUGUGCUUUAUUUCCAAAAGACUAUGAAAUUGAGAAAAGGUUGGUGGUACAACUAUGGAUAGCACAAGGUUAUAUUCAAUCUUCAAAUGAUAAUAAUGAGCAAUUAGAGGAUAUAGGGGAUCAAUAUGUUGAGGAAUUAUUGUCAAGGUCAUUGUUGGAGAAGGCGGGAACCAAUCAUUUUAAAAUGCAUGACCUUAUACAUGAUCUUGCACAAUCAAUUGUAGGAUAUGAGAUCCUUGUUUUAGAAAGUUAUGUAAAUAACAUUUCACAAGAAGCUCGUCAUGUAUCAUUGUUUGAAGAGGUAAAUCCUAUGAUAAAGGCUCUAAAGGGAAAACCCAUAAGGACCUUUCUAAACCUUGGUGAAGAUUCUUUUAAGGAUAGUACAAUUGUAAAGUCAUUUUUUCCGAGUUUUAUGUGUUUACGUGCAUUGAGUUUAAGUCGUAUGGGUGUAGAGAAGGUGCCAAAGUGUUUAGGCAAAUUGAGUCAUUUAAGGUAUCUUGAUCUUUCCAACAACAAUUUUGAGGUACUUCCAAAUGCUAUUACAAGGUUAAAGAAUUUGCAAACACUAAAACUCAUAUGGUGUCGGCGUUUAAAAAGAAUUCCAGACAACAUAGGAGAAUUGAUCAAUCUUAGACACUUGGAGAAUGAUAGCUGUUUUAACUUGGCUCAUAUGCCACAUGGAAUCGGCAAGUUGACUUUACUUCAAAGUCUACCAUUGUUUGUUGUUGGGAAUGAGACAGGGUGGUUAAGGAAUCACAAAAUUGGUAGCUUGAGUGAAUUGAAAGGCCUUAACCAACUAAGAGGAGGGUUAUGCGUAAGUGAUCUUCAAAACGUGAGGGAUGUUGAACUGGUAUCCAGGGGGGAAAUUUUGAAAGGAAAACAAUAUCUUCAGUCCUUGAGAUUGGAAUGGGAUCGGUGGGGCCGAGAUGGGGGGGAUGAGAGUGAUAAGUCAGUGAUGGAAGGCCUUCAACCACACCAACACCUAAAGGAUAUCUUUAUAGAAGGUUAUGGAGGUACGGAGUUUCCAAGUUGGAUGAUGAAUGAUGGGUUGGGUUCCCUGUUUCCCGACCUAAUUAAAAUUGAAAUUUCGGGAUGUUCAAGAUGCAAAAUUCUGCCACCCUUUUCUCAACUCCCUUCUCUCAAGUCUUUGAAGCUUCAUAAUAUGAAAGAAGUGGUGGAGUUAAAGGAGGGUUCAUUAACAACGCCACUCUUCCCAUCUCUUGAAUCGCUCGAACUCUCUGACAUGCCAAAGUUGAAGGAAUUGUGGAGGAUGGACUUACUAGCAGAAAAACCUCCUUCAUUUUCUCAUCUUUCGAAGUUAUAUAUUUAUGCAUGCUCUGGUUUGGCAUCACUGCAUCCUUCUCCUUCUCUUUCUCAAUUAAAGAUCCAUAAUUGCCCAAACUUGACAUCCAUGGAACUGCCGUCAUCUCUUUGUCUUUCUCAAUUAGAUAUCAGAAAAUGCCCUAACUUGGCAUCCUUCAAAGUGGCUCCAUUACCUUCUCUUGGGAUACUCUCUCUGUUCACAGUUAGAUAUGGUGUGGUACGGCAGAUAAUGUCUGUCUCUGCUUCUUCUUCGUUGCGGUGUCUGUAUAUUAAAAGCAUAGAUGAUAUGAUAUCUCUCCCGAAGGAGUUACUUCAACAUGUUUCUGGCUUGGUAACGUUAGAGAUCCGUGAGUGUCCUAACUUGCAAUCCUUGGAACUGCCCUCAUCCCAUUGUCUUUCUAAAUUAAAGAUUGGAGAAUGCCCUAACUUGGCAUCCUUCAAUGUGGCUUCAUUACCUCGUCUUGAGGAACUAAGCCUGCGUGGAGUCAGAGCAGAGGUACUGAGGCAGUUCAUGUUUGUCUCUGCUUCUUCUUCAUUGAAGUCUCUACAUAUACGGAAGAUUGAUGGUAUGAUAUCUCUCCCAGAGGAGCCGCUUCAAUAUGUUUCCACUCUCGAAACUCUCCACAUUGUUAAGUGCUCUGGUUUGGCAACAUUACUACACUGGAUGGGCAGCCUUUCCUCGCUUACGGAACUUAUUAUUUAUGACUGCUCUGAAUUGACAUCACUGCCAGAAGAGGUCUAUUCCCUUAAAAAACUGCAGACAUUUUAUUUCUGUGAUUAUCCACACCUAGAGGAAAGAUACAACAAGGAAACAGGUAAAGACCGGGCCAAGAUUGCUCGUAUCCCACAUGUUCGUUUCAACAGUGAUACCUAUAUGGUAAUGAAGGUAGGUCCGAAAUCCCUAACCUUUCUUCCCAUUUUUAUUAUUUAAGAAUCAAAAUGCUAUGUUUGUUUUUACUGCUCACAUUAGUAAUUUUGAAAUUUUUUUCCAGCUAGGAUGCGCUUUCCGAUGAUGUGCACUAAACUAACCAUUUUACUUGGAGUUGUACAUUCUAAGAGUUUGAGGAAAUACUGAGGUCUGAUAUGAUAACUCUCAAUCUUAAACGUUGUUUUGUGUUUGGAACGUUACUACACUUGAUACAUACCCUCACCUCACUUACAGAGCUUGGAAAUCGUGGCUGCCCUGAAUCGACGUCACUGUCAGAAUAUAUGUUCCCUCAAAAACCUGCAGACACUAAAUAAUCUGCAUCUGUUCACAGAAAGAUGCUGAAAGGAAAGGUGAAGACUAACCCAAGAUUGCUCAUAUGCCACAAAUUGAUAUCAUACAUCCAUGAAGAUUGAACCGAUACACAAUGCCUUUCAGGUCCGAAAUCCCUAACUUUUCUUCUCAUUUUCUAUGACUUCAUUUUCAUUAUCUUACUUUUAAAAUGCUCUGUUUUCAUUUGUUUUGGUAGUUCUUUGUAUUUGUGACUUACUUGUUUGAAAACUUUUACAUCUUCAAAUUAUUUUACUGUAAGUGUUUUGCAUUCUAAGAGUUUGAGGAAAUACUGAGCUCUAAUAUAACUAGUAGAGUCCACCAUUCCUAAGAAGCUUACCAUUGCCUAAUGCCCAAAGGAUCCCAAAAGGAGACAACUUUGGAUUGGCUUGAAGAUUUCACGUGGUCCAAAAAUUUGUAUUUACUAGACGCCUGAUACAAAAAGUAGUUUAAAUUUAGCCAUUAAUAUAACUUUUUUAUUAGAGAAAUAAUUGCCAAACAAAUGCAAAAUAGAAAAUGGUGUUAAUGAAUUCAGUACUUCAUCUAUGUUGCAGUUUAGCAGCUUUUGUUAGAUAAUGAGUAUGGGGUUGGGUUUAUCUUGUUACCAUUCCAAAUAUUCUUAAAAAAAUCAUCAAGGCUUUGUUUGGUUUCUUGAAAAUUUGAGGGAAAAAAUAGAGAGAAAAAGUGGAAGGAAAAAAAAAAGUGGAAGUCAAUAAAUUAUUUUUAUAUUAUACUUUAAACUCAUUUCACUUUUUUUAACUCUUUGAUUUAAAGAUUAAAUAAUUUGAAAAUGUAUAAAUUUCUAAUUAAUCUUAAUUAUAUUUUAUUUUCUUUGCUAUUUUCCAUAGGACAAUUAAACUUGAGAAAAUCAUUUUCCUUAACAUUAUUUUCUUAGUACUUUUUGGGAACCAAACAUAACCUAAAUGUUUUAGUUUAGUUUAGCAGCUUCAUCAAAUUAGAUAGACAACCUCACAUCUCUUAUUUAGCUGAGGUGCUAUGUUAGUUAAUGUUUUGUCUCUACUUCUUCAUUGAAGUCUAUCUAUUGGAUGCAGAGAUGAUAUGAUCCAAACUCAAAUUGAACACUGCUCUUGUUUUGCAACACUACUGCAUUGGAAAGGCAACUUGAACUCACUUAUAGACCUACCUAUUGGUGAUUGCAUUGAAUUGACGUCACCUUGGAAGAGAUGUGUUCCACAUGGAAAAUCUUUCAUUAUAUGCACCUACUUGCAAGAUACCAAAAGGAAACAGGUGAAUACUUGCCCAAGAAUACAGAGGGCCACACUUGGUGAAGGUUUCAUCAGUAAGGAGAACCAUUUCAAGUAUGAAAUCCUCCCUUCUCAUUUUCUGAUGACUUCAUUUUUAUUCAAUAUCCAUUUGAAAUUAUUUAAGUUCAUUUUCUUUAUAUAUUAUAUUUUCUUUCUUGCUCAAUAAUUUCAUUCAAGUAAGUUGUUUGGAUAUCACAUUUUCUUUGGGGUUUUUUUUUUCUUUUUAGAAUAAUUUCAAAAGGUCAUUUUUAACUAUUCACAAAAUUUGAUCAUAGUUGAGUGAUUAAAAUUCAAGUUUAUUCUUAUUAUCAUUAGUAGUUAUUUGAUAUAUUCGUUUGCUAAUACAAAAAUAAGACUAACAAGUAAUGUGCAUAGAGUUUGUAGAAGAGAAGAAAGAUUUGAUCCAAGAUAUUCCUAAAGAUCGGAAACUUUCAAAGCCACCCAAGAUCCCAUAGGUUGAAUUCGGAUUCAUCCAGUUUACAAUCCAUUAAUUCUACUUAUAUCAUCUUUGUUAUGUUACAAUUUGCCUUUACUUGUUAUGCAGCCUACCUUAAUAAUUUGGGGAGACCAAGAUAAGGUAUACCUAGUAGAACUGGCUCACAAAUUGAAAAGGUAAACUUGUAUCACCUGCCUACAUGCCUACAACAAUAUAAACACUAGUUCGUGUCUUUCUCACUAUUGAAAUUGUUAUUGCAUGCAGGCAUUUCAGGUGAGGAGGCCCAACUUGUGAUCAUAGAGCAUACUUUUAUUAUAGAGAAGCCCAAGGAAAUAUUUAAGCACUUGAAAUCCUUUCUCAUUGAUUUGCUUCCACCUCCUAAGCAACACCUAGAACCACUCCCACCAUGACGAAGUUAAAAGGAACUAAUGCAACAUUCUCAAUAUAUUAGAAUAUAUCGAAGGAAGGGUGGCCACAUAUGAAGACCCUAUUCCAAGGUCAAAUUUAAGAUUUUUGUGUUUUUCCUAUCACUAUUCCUAUGCUAUUAUCAGUGCACCUUAUUUGUCAAGAUGAUUAAAAGGGAAUUCCCUAGGAUAACUAGUGUCUCAAGUGAUCUUGAAGUUCAUAAAUUUUUUGUUUCCACAAGAUAGGUGCUAACUAUUUUUAUUUUUUUUACACCCAUGCAAUAUUCUAGUCAUCUAUUAACAAGGGCUAAAAUUUCUUGUAGAGAAUAGAAUAAAGAACUAAAUUACAUGAAAAUAGGACAUUAUUAUUCUAUUUACAAGUAAGGGCCAAAAAUUGUUGAGGGCCACCAAGCACAUUGUUCCUAAAAUAAUAGCAUCCAUGUUGUUGAGCAAAAGUUUUUUUAUAUUGGCACCUCAUAUGUUUGUUUAAAUGCUCACAUCAAUAACUUUGAAAAUAUUUUCCAAAUUUUCAACAAAUUGUAAUGCUGUGCACUAAACUAAUCAUUUUACUUGGAGUUCUACAUUCUAAGAUUUUGAGAAAAAAACUAAGGUCUGAUAUGACAACUCUCAAUCCUAAAUGUUGUUUUGUGUUUGGAAUAUUACUGCACUUGAUAGAUGCCCUUACCUCUCUUACAGAACUUGGAAUUCAUGGCUACCCAGAAUUGGCAUCCCUGCCAGAAGAUAUGUUCCCUCAAAAGCCUGCAGAAACUAAACAAUUUGCAUUUGUUCACACUUAGAGGAAAGCUGCUGAAAGGAAAAGUGAAGACUAACCAAAGAUUUCUCAUAUCCCACAAAUUGAUAUCAUACAUCCAUGAAGAUUGAACUGAUACAGAAUGCCUUUCAGGUUUGAAAUCCCUAACUUUUCUUCUUAUUUUCUAUGACUUCAUUUUUAUUAUCUUCCAUUCAAAAAUCCUCUGUUUUCAUUUGUUUUGGUAGUUCUUUUUAUUUGCACCUUAUUUGUUUUAUUAAAUGCUUACUCCAGUAAGUUUGAAAAUUUUUACAUCUUCAAAUCAUUUUGCUUGAGUAUUUUGCAUUCUAAUAGUUUGAGGAAAUAUUGAGCUCUAACAUAAAUAGUAUUGGUCAUAGAGUCUUCCUUUCUUAAGAAGCUUACCAUUAACCUAAUGGCCAAAGGAUCCCAAAAGGAAAUGAAUUUGGGUUGGCUUGAAGAUUUCACAUGGUCCAAACAUUCGUAUUUACUAGAUGCCUGAUACAAAAGAAAUUUUGCUCUCUUUUCAAUUUAGCCAUUGAUGUAGUCUAAAUGUUUUAUUAGAGCAAUAAUUGUCGAGUAAAUGCAAAAUAGAGAAUGGUGUUAAUGAAUUCAGUACUUCAUUUAUGUUGUAGACUUGUAGUUUAGCAGCUUCUGUUGAUAAUGAGUGUGAGGUUGGCUUUAUCAUGUCACUGUUCCAAAUAUUCUUAAAAAAAAUAAUUUAAGCUCUGUAUGGUUCUUAGAAAAUUUAAGGGAAAAUGUGAGGAAAACAAAAUAGAGAGGAAAAGUGGAAGGAAAAAAAAGUGAAAGUCAAUAAAUUAUUUUUGUAUGCUACUUCAAACUCACUUCACUUUUUUUUAACUCUUCAAUAUAAAGAUUAAAUCAUUUGAAAAAUGUGUAAAUUUCUAAUUAAUUUUAAUUAUAUUUGAUUUUCUUUGGUAUUUUCCAAAAGACAACCAAAUAUGAGAAAAUCAUUUUCCUUUACAUUUUUUUUCUUAGUACUUUUAGGGAACCAAACAUAACCUAACUGUUUUAGUUUAGUAGUUUCAUCAAAUUAGAUAGACAACCUCACAUCUCUUAGUGAGCUGAGGUGCUAUGUCAAUUAAUGCUUUGUCUCUACUCUUCAUUGAAGUCUCUAUCUAUUGGAUGCACAGAUGAUAUGAUCUAAACUCAAAUUGAACACUGUUCUUGUUUUGCAACAUUACUGCACUCGAAAGGCAACUUCAACUCACUUAUAGACCUUCCUAUUGGUGAUUGCACUGAAUCGACAUCACUUUGGAAGAGAUGUGUUCCACACAGAAAAUCUUUCAUUAUAUUCACCUACUCGCAAGAUACCAAAGGGAAACAGGUGAAUACUUGCCCAAGAAUACAAAGGUCAUACUUGGUGAAGGUUCCAUCAAUAAGGAGAACCAUUUCAAGAAUGGAAUUCUCAUUUCUUCUCAUUUUCUUAUGGCUUCAUUUUUAUUCAAUAUCUAUAUGAAAUUAUUUAUGUUCAUUUUCUUUAGAUAUUACAUUUUUUUGCUUUCUCAAUAAUUUCAUUCAAGUUCUUUUGGAUAUCACAUUUUCUUUGGUGUUUUUUUUAGAAUAAUUCAAAAUGUCUUUUUUAACGGUUCACAAAAUUUGAUCACAGUUGAGUGAUUAAAAUUCAAGUUUAUUAUUAUUAUUAUUAUUGGUUAUUUGAUAUAUUUGUUUUCUUAUACAGAUAAAAGACUAGCAGCUAUUGUGCAUAGAAUUUGUAGAAGAGAAUAAAGAUUUGAUCUAAGUUAUUCCUAAUAGGUUGAGGAAUUCAUUCUUGUAAAAAUUGAGUGUUAAAGCCUUCAAGAGGUUUGAAUCUUGAAGAAAUUAUGUGAGAGCCCAUUGGAGCCAGAAUCCAAGUGUAAAGGAGAUUGGAAGCUUUGUUGAAACUUCAAGUUAGUGGAACCCUCACUCGGUUAGGAGAUUGAGGAGAGUGGAUGUAGGCAAGGAAAUGCCGAACCACUAUAAAAUCCAAGUUUAAAUUCUCUAACUCUAUCUCUUUAUUUUUUUAUUAUAUUGUACUUGAAUUUGUUGUGUUGAAAAAGUUUUUGAAAAACCCAAUUCACCUUCCUCUUAGGUGUUUUUCUCAUUUAAGCAUAGCCUUUAUUUUCUCACACUUGAAAUCCUUUCUCAUUAAUUUGCUUCCACCCCAUAAGCAACCCUCGAAACCACUUACACCAUGACAAGGUGAAAAGAAACUAAUGCAACAUUCUCAAUAUAUAAGAAGAUAUCAAAGGAAGGUUGGCCACAUAUGAGGACCCUGUUUCUAAGGUAGAAUUUUAGAUUUUUGUGUUUUUCCUAUCACUAUUCCUAUACUAUUACCAGUGCACCUUAUUUGUCAAGAUCAUUAAAAGGGAAUUCCCUAGGAUAACUACUGUCUCAACUGAUCUUGAGGUUCAUAAAUUUUUAGUUUCCACAAGAUAGGUGCCAACUAUUUUUAUUUUUUUUACACCCAUGCAAUAUUCCAAUCAUCUAUUAACAAGGGCUAAAAUUUCUUGUAGAGAAUAGAAUAAAGAACUAGAUUACAUGAAAAUAGGACAUUAUUAUUCUAUUUACAAGUAAGGGCCAAAAAUUGUUGAGGGUCAUCAAGCACAUUGUUCCUAAAAUAAUAGCAUCCAUGAAGAUUGAACUGAUACAGAAUGCCUUUCAGGUUUAAAAUCCCUAACUUUCCUUCUUAUUUUCUAUGACUUCAUUUUUAUUAUCUUACAUUAAAAAAUCCUCUAUUUUCAUUUGUUUUGGUAGUUCUUUUUAUUUGCACCUUAUUUGUUUUAUUAAAUGCUUACUCCAGUAAGUUUGAAAAUUUUUACAUCUUCAAAUCAUUUUGCUUAAGUGUUUUGCAUUCUAAGAGUUUGAGGAAAUAUUGAGCUCUAAUAUAAAUAGUAUUGGUCAUAGAGUCUUCCUUUCUUAAGAAGCUUACCAUUGACCUAAUGGCCAAAGGAUCCCAAAAGGAAACGACUUUGGGUUGGCUUGAAAAUUUCACAUGGUCCAAACAUUUAUAUUUACUAGAUGCCUGAUACAAAAGAAAUUUUGCUCUCUUUUUAAUUUAGCCAUUGAUGUAGUCUAAAUGUUUUAUUAGAGCAAUAAUUGUCGAGUAAAUGCAAAAUAGAGAAUGGUGUUAAUGAAUUCAGUACUUCAUCUAUGUUGUAGACUUGUAGUUUAGUAGCUUCUGUUGAUAAUGAGUGUGGGGUUGGCUUUAUCAUGUCACUGUUCCAAAUAUUCUACAAAAAAAAAUCAUUUAAGCUUUGUUUGGUUCUUAGAAAAUUUGAGGGAAAAUGUGAGGAAAAUAAAAUAGAGAGGAAAAGUGGAAGGAAAAAAAAGUGAAAGUCAAUAAAUUAUUUUUGUAUGUUACUUCAAACUCACUUCACUCUUUUUAACUCUUCAAUAUAAAUUUCUAAUUAAUUUUAAUUAUAUUUGAUUUUCUUUGUUAUUUUCCAAAAGACAACCAAAUAUGAGAAAAUCAUUUUCCUUAACAUUUUUUUUUCUUAGUACUUUUAGGGAACCAAAUAUAACCUAAAUGUUUUAGUUUAGUAGUUUCAUCAAAUUAGAUAGACAACCUCACAUCUCUUAGUGAGAUGAGGUGCUAUGUCAAUUAAUGCUUUGUCUUUACUUCUUCAUUGAAGUCUCUAUUUAUUGGAUGCACAGAUGAUAUGAUCCAAACUCAAAUUGAACACUACUCUUGUUUUGCAACAUUAUUGCACUCAAAAGGCAGUUUCAACUCACUUAUAGACCUUCUUAUUGGUGAUUACACUAAAUUGACAUCACUUUGGAAGAGAUGUGUUCCACAUAGAAAAUCUUUCAUUAUAUGCACCUACUCGCAAGAUACCAAAGGGAAACAGGUGAAUACUUGCCCAGGAAUACAAAGGCCAUACUUAGUGAAGGUUCCGUCAAUAAGGAGAACCAUUUCAAGUAUGGAAUUCUCAUUUCUUCUCAUUUUCUUAUGGCUUCAUUUUUAUUCAAUAUCUAUAUGAAAUUAUUUAUGUUCAUUUUCUUUAGAUAUCACAUUUUUUUGUUUUCUCAAUAAUUUCAUUCAAGUUCUUUAGAUAUCACAUUUUCUUUGGUGUUUUUUUUAGAAUGAUUCAAAAUGUCUUUUUUAACGAUUCACAAAAUUUGAUCACAGUUGAGUGAUUAAAAUUCAAGUUUAUUAUUAUUAUUAUUAUUAUUAUUAUUAUUGGUUAUUUGAUAUAUUUGUUUUCUAAUACAGACAAAAGACUAGCAACUAAUGUGCAUAGAAUUUGUAGAAGAGAAUAAAGAUUUGAUCUAAGCUAUUCCUAAAGACCAAAAACUUUUAGAGCUACCCAAGAUCUAUCAGGUUGAAUUUUGAUUCACCUAGUUUACAAUCCACUAAUUAUCCUUAUAUCAUUUUUGUUAUGUUACAAAUUGCCUUUACUUGUUAUGCAACCUAUCUUAAUAAUUUGGGAAGACCAAGAUAACUUCUUCCUAGUAGAACUGGCUCACAGAUUGAAAAAGUAAACUCAUAUCACCUAUCUACAUGCUCACAACAUUAUAAACACUAGCUCAUGUGUUCCUCACUAUUGAGAUUGUUGCUACAUGCAGGCAUUUUGGGCGAGGAGGCCCGACUUGUGAUCAUCAAUAACACAAGGCAUGCUUUUAUACAGAGAAACCCAAAGAAACAUUUAAGCACUUUGUUAGCCCAAGGAUUCUCCUAAUCAGGUUUUGAUGAUAACAAACCAUGGUUAAGUGACUAAUUGGUUUGAAUGGUAAAAAAUCUUAGGUAUAAAUUUGGAAAUUCAUCAAAGGAUCAAAUGGAUACAAGAUCGAGACUUUUGGAAGACUUUUGAUCAUAGGAAACAAAUGUAAGAUGAAUGCAUGGGUGCACUUAGGUUUUACAUAUCUUUUCAUGAAGCUUUGAAAACUCGGUUUAUUCCUUAAAAUUACGAUUUCAUUAAAACCCGAGUUUUAUCAAAUGUACUUUAGGCAAAGCGUUUCAAAAUUGGCAUAUUAAUUUACCUAAAGAUCUUGCCUAAGUGUUAGAAAGGAAAAUAAUUGAAAAAUAUAGGUUUUCGGGGCCAAAAGGCUGAACCGAUCGAGGCACAUGCCAACCGACUUAACUAACCAGGGAACCGGUCAAUCGGUUGCUCUUGUCCGACCAAGAUCUGGUCGAGGAGUGUCAAAAACACUCUUUCUCAUCCAGUAGCCUUCUCUUCCCAGUCGAGGUACUCUCCUACCUCUGGUCGAGGUUCAGUCGAGGCAACGGUAACCUGCCAAAGCAUUAAAUGCUCCAACGGCUAGUGAACCAUUUGACCCCCAGCUCGACCGGUUGAGGCUAUUUUUUGCUAUUUUUGGCUCCUGAGCUUAGAAACCAAUAAAUUGAGAGCUCCACUUCAUUUAUGACAUAGAGAACACUUGCAAUCAAUUGUCUACCCAUUUAUUCUUGCCUUAAAAGCUCUCAUUUAUUUCUUAGUGCAUUAAAUCCUCACUUGCAUAUCCUUUAGUGCACCCUUGUGAAUCAUCCUAGCUUUGAUGUGUAUUUGAGUUAUCAUUAAGUUAGAUUGAGGGAUUCAUCUUGUAAAAAUUGAGUGUUAAAGCCUUCAAGAGGUUUAAAUCUUGAAGAGAUUAUGUAAGAGCCCAUUGGAGCCAGAAUCCAAGUGUAAAGAAGAUUGGAAGCUUUGUUGAAGCUUCAAGUUAGUGGAACCCUCACUCGGUUAGGAGAUUGAAGAGAGUGGACGUAGACAAGGAAAUGUCGAACCACUAUAAAAUCCGAGUUUAAAUUCUCUAACUCUAUCUCUUUAUUUUUUAUUAUAUUGUGCUUGAAUUUGUUGUGUUGAAAAAGUUUUUGAAAAACCCAAUUCACCCAUCUCAUAGGUGUUUUUCUCAUUUAAGCAUAGCCUUUAUUUUCUCACUCUUGAAAUCCUUUCUCAUUAAUUUGCUUCCACCUCAUAAGAAACCGUCGGAACCACUUACACCAUGACAAGGUGAAAAGAAACUAAUGCAACAUUCUCAAUAUAUCAGAAGCUAUCAAAGGAAGGUUAGCCACAUAUGAGGACCCUGUUUCUAAGGUAGAAUUUUAGAUUUUUGUGUUUUUCUUGUCACUGUUUCUAUACCAUUACUAGUGCACCUUAUUUGUUAAGGUGAUUAAAAGGAAAUUCCCUAGGAUAACUAAUGUCUCAGAUGAUCUUGAGGUUCAUAAAUUUUUGGUUUCAACAAGAUAGGCAUCAAACCAUUUUUAUUUUUUUCUACACCCAUGCAAUAUCCCAUUCAUUUAUUAAUAAGGGCUAAAAUUUCUUGUAGAGAAUGGAAUAAAGAACUAGAUUAAAUGAAAUAAGACAUUAUUAGUUUAUUUACAAGUAAGGGCAAAAAAUUAUUGAGGGUCAUUAAGCACAUUGUUCCUAAAAUAAUAGCAUCCAUGUCAUUGAGCAAAAGUUUAUUGCAAUUACAUUAGCAUAUAAAACAAAACUAUUUUUUAUUUAUUUAUGUUCACACCUUAUCCAUUUGAUAAAAUGCUUAAACAAGUAAGUUUGAAUUUUUUUUGUCUUCAAAUCAAUUUAAAUUUUACAUUCAAAAGUUGAAUUAAUUUUUUUUUUUUUGGAAAAUUUAACUGCACUUUAGAAGUUUGUGAUUAUUCUUUGGUCCAUCUUAAAACGAGUUCCUGCAUUCUUCCAUUCCUCAAAUUAAAAUCACAAUAAAACGUUUUAGAUUGACCUAAAAUUUUCUCAUGGCCUAGAAAUUCAUAUCUACUAGAUGGCUAAAGCAAAAAACACUUCUACCUUGUAUUUUAAGUAAUCCCUGCUUGCUAUUUGUUUAUUGAGAGCAUCAUACAAGUUGUGAUUAUAUUUCUUAAUUUUUUUUAUAUGAUAAGACGGUAACUGGAUUGAGAAAGAUGCAACUUGUAGAGCAAAAAAUUUCUUAACUACUUCCAUUGUAUUUGCUUUGUGUGUAUCAACUGUUCUGUUAAUUAUUUUUUAAAAAUAUCACUAAAACAAACCUAUUAUGUCAAUGCUCUCUAUUGUUAUGUAUCAUAAUUUAGCUAUUUUUUCCCUAGAAAUCAUUCUUGUUAUCGUGGUAAUCAGUAGGUAGCAUAAGAACUAUUUUGUUCUAGUUAUUUUGUAUUGCCAUUCUUCAUGUUUUAAAAUAUUGUCAGACUAGCAAUUUUACUGCAGAUAUAAUGUUCUCAAAUCAAUGCAAAAAGGGACGAUUGUGGGGCUUGGGCACAACCUUCCUUGAAUAGUUGAAUUGAGGGUUUCUAUAAACUAGGUCUCUAUAUCAAUAGAUUCUACAUUUCAUCACUAUGGAGACCUUACAAUAAAUAUCGCAAAAAGCUUCAUUUACUACAUAGUAAGGAUAAUCCUAAGGACUUAAAAGCUUGAGUUGUCUCUUCCAUGGCAGCUUCAGAUCUCUUAAUAAGCUCCAAGUCAUUGUCUACCUUGAAUAUAAAUCAGUGCUAGAAGUAUGUGCCCUCAACAUUCCUAUGUUCCCGAUAUUGACUAGAUAUUUGUUGCUAAUUCAUGAAGAAUUGAAGGGGUCUUUGAUAAUGACAUCUAUAAUGUACUUCAAGUUCAUGAUCCAAACCCUCUUCUUGUUUUCAAUAACUUCAUUUUUUUAUAUUACUUUGUGGUCAAUGUUAUAAGAAUGUUGUAUUUUGUUUACCUGAUUCUCAUCCAUCAACACACAUGAAAGGAAAAGUUUUACAUUUCUUUCCUUCCCUUUGCUCUGUGUUUGUAUAUGUUUAUGCAGCUAAUGCGAACUUCCAUCGUAACUUUUUAAGUUUUUUCAUUCUCGAGUUUGGGAAACAAAUGGAUUUGAUUGUAAUAUUUUCUUGUAGAUAUCACCUUUCUUAAAAAGCUUGUAUUUAUUCACAUUUUCAAGAUGUCUAAGUCAUCUGAUUAUGCUUAGAACUUUUGGUUUCUAUUAAAUUCAGGUAUGAUGUUUGCAAUUCUAACCCCCUUACUCCUCUUGAAGACUACAUAAGUUUCUAGUGCUUUUACUUUAAUGGUUAUGGUCAAUGUAUCCUCUUGUUACUUCCUGCUUGCAUUCUAUAUGUUCAAGAGCUUUAUUAAAGUAAUUAUUUUAUUGAAGAUAUAAUUAUUUUCAAGUCAAAUCAAAAUUGAAUAAUGACGUGGUUUCAACAACUUCUCAAAAGUAAUUGGAAAGUAAGGAACUUUGUGGUAGUAUUCUGAUAUCACAUUGGGUCUCCAAAUUGUUGUCUUGAAUUGACAUAAAUAACAUAAUUUCUUUCCAGUUGAGCUGCUUCAACAUGUUAUUAUGCUUCAAACUCUUUCAAUUAUGUGUUGUUUAGGUUUGGCAACAUUAGUACACUGGAUAUGUUGCCUCGAGUUACUUACAUAACAUAAAAUUCAUCUUUGUUGUUAACUGGCAUCACUACCACAAGAUGAGUUCCCUCAGCAUUCUACAGACAACUAUAAUUUGGGACAAUUCUGGUUUGGCAACAUUAUCAGAGUUGAUAGGCAACCUAUCUUCAUUAACAAAAACCUUUAAAUUUAUAUUUAUCCCGAACUAGCAUCACUGCUGGAAGACGUGCAUCCUUAGCACCCUAUAACCACUCACAAUUGGAGACUGUUAUGGUUUGUAAACAUUCAACAGACUUGAUAGGUAACCUUGCACCAAUUACAGAGCUUCAAAUUCAUGGCUAUCUUGAAUUGACAUCACUUUCAAACUAGAUGGUUCAUCCAAACCUCAGUUGACACCCAUAAUUCAAGACUUCUCCAUUUUGGCAAUGAUAGCAAAUUUGAUAAGCAUCCCUACUUCACUUACAUACACUAAAAUUGAUAGCUACCUCGGAUUCACAUCAUUGUCACAAGAGAUUGGUUCCUUCAUAUCCCUGCAAACACUUGUGAUCUUUUAUCGUCCAUGUAUAUUAGAAAGACUUAAAAGGGAAAUAGGUGAAGAUUGGACCAAUAAUCUUCAGUCCUAAAUAUUGAUAUUUGGUGAAGAUUGGACUAAUAUAAAGUUAGUUCAGGUUUGAAAUCCCAAUCUUUCUUCUCAUUUUUUAUGGUUUUGUUUUUAUCAAUAUGCUUUGUUUACAUUCUAUAUGGUAAUUUUAUAUGUAUUAGCAUAUAGAUCAAAAAGGACUUAGAUGAUUAAUUUGAAAAGUUUGCAUCCUCAAUUAAUUAGUAAUUAAAGACCAAACUGAUCAUAUUACUUUAAGUCUUGCAUUGUAAGAGUUUGGGAAAAUGUUAGGGUUGACUGAACUACUAUUUUAUAACAGAUUUUGCCUUACUCAAGAAUCUUAUGAUUAUCCCUUGGCACAAUCAUUUCUUGUGUCUAAGAAAUUCAUAUCUACUAUAUGGCCAAAGAAUUUAGUAGCAUUCAAAAUUUCUGUUUUCUUUCAAGUUAGGUGUAUUGCUUGCAAUUCUAACAUGUUUCCUAUUUUGAACGUUGUGUUGUUAUUUUACUAUCAAUGUGUUAAGAGCAUUAUACUAUAUUUUCUAUAAUGUUGUUUACUUGUCAUAUGUAUUAUUUAUUUUAUUGCAAAUGUACUUGUUGCCAAGUUAAAGCAAAAGAGGAAAGUGAGGAUUUUUCAUGGACCAAUGCCUCUCUCAAUUGCUGCCACACUUGACUUCUCUCUAAGUUGUUGAAAAUUUAGAAGUGUGGUAGCAUAAAGUAUUCAGCUCAAGUGCUUUAGUGCCUUACUACCCUUGAAGCUUUAGAAGCUGUCAAUACAAUUGGGGUUUCAACAUGUAACCAUUUUGGAAAUUCUAAGAAGUGUAAGUAUUAUGGUUUUACAACUUUAUUAGACUAGAUAGGCAACUUCAAAUUGCUGAAUGCCCUGAAUUAAAAUCACUACUAGAAGGAACCCAUGAGCACUCUAUAGAAACUCAUAAUCCACUACUCUUGCCACUUAUUAAGAAUGCUAAAAGGAAAAAGUGAAGAUUGGCUUGAGCAUGAUUGAUUAAUAAACCACACAUGGUCUCCUUAAUUCAAGUGUGUCAUCUGUUAUAUGUUUCAUGUCAGUAAUCCUACAUUUCUCUUGUUUCUAUUGGCUCUAUUUUUUUUUUAAUUAUUUUACAAUCAAUCUUCUAACAAUGUUCUACUUUUUUUACAAUUUUAUUUUUUUUAUUCUAAAAUGAAUUAAGACAUAUAAAGAAAAAAAUCACCUUGUUUGAUUUUCAUAUACUAUAUGCUUAAAUGUACAUGUGUUAAAAUCUUUUGAUUUUUUAUUGAUUACUUUCUAUUUAAUUUAUUAAAAAUUGUUAGUCUAUUUGGAGAUGAUUUUUUUUUUUCAUAUGUAAUAAGAUACCAACAAAUUGAGUGAGGAGCACAUCUUACUAAGUCGCUUGUCAAUCUAUCCACCUUCCUAAUCUCAAGAUUCUUCAUGUUUGAAUUAAAAUACCAUGAAUUACAAAAACAAAAAAUGAUGAAAAUGAGUAUUUCUCAUCAUCUUCAUUUUUAUUAGAAGGCAAUUUGUAGCAUCCUCUUUCCCAUUCCUAAAAAAUACUACAGCUUUGUAGGUUGAGAAAUUAGACAUGUUUUCUUAAAUGAUCUUCUUGGUCCAUGCAUGCUUAUAUUUGGAAGAUUUUUAAACCAAGUAUUUUAUGACAUAUAUGAUAGCUUUCAAGUUAAUGCAUAAAUGGUGAUGGUUAGGAUGCAAAAUAUAGUCUAUGCUCAACCUAUUUAUUGACAAACUACCAAGGGCUAGUGCUAAGGUAAACACCUAACACUUGCAUCAUACUCUCUCUUCUCUGCUCUCUUUAUUUGUUUUCCAAAGUUCAUAUAUAAUGUCUUUAUCAUUCAAGUUUUCAUUUUCAACCACUUUUUAAACUUUUGUCUUUUUAUGGUUUAUUACACGACAAUCCAUUUCUAAUAAAUCUUAUCUUUUUGUCUUAUAGACAAUAGAACAACGUGGUAAUUGCAUGACAUACAAUUUGUAAUAGAUGGUCAACUAUAUAUUAAGUAAUCUUUAAUUGCCUUGGAGUUGAAACGUUUGAUGUUGAUAAGGUUUGAUAAUUCUCGCUUUGGUGCUUUGUUGGAUUUCAAUUCAGGUGAUUAAUUGAUCUUGUUAUGAUUCUUUGAUUGUUUUUAUAACUAUUGUGAUAAUCAUUCUUAUUUUAUCGUGGUAAUUGACUUCACUGACUUUUUAACAAUUAUAUCAUGAGUGAAAUGCCCAACCUAUUAUUGUUAGUAUUCCAUUAACAUACCUCUAAUGCCACCACUAAUAAACAUCGUGUAUUAAUAUUUAUAACACGUUUCAUUACUGAAAUAAUUAAAUAUUUUCAAAUUUCUUUUUAGAGUGUGAGAAAUAACCAUUAAUCUUUACAACAGCAUAAGUAUCAUUGAUUUGAUAUUGCUUUCUUGAGUAAUUUGGCAAUUUAAUUAUGAAGUUUAGUUGGACAUUACUUGAGAUUCAUGUCUUAUGUAUAUGGUCUAUUUUCCAAGCUUCAAUUAUAUUUAGUAGACUUGUAAGUGGUGUUUGUCUAUGAGUUUCAACUCUAGAAAACUAUUAUUGGAGCCUAAGUUCACUUUCAAUAAGGAAAAAAAAAAAAAAACUCAACCUUUUCCUCAAUUGUGUAAUUUUAUUCACUAUUGACAUGCCCUUAAAUGGCAUUGCUAUUAUUUGUAGGGAACAUUGUCAAGUUCCAUAUUUGUCUAGAAAGUUAGAAGAAGUAUUUAAUUUGACAUGGUUUGGACAUCUUGCUACUAUCUUUUUAAAUUAGUUAUCAAUAAUUUUUCAAAGUUGACCUUUUUGUUUAUCUCAUACUCCUUUUGUAUUAAAAGGUACCGCAUGGGUAUUGUGUAGAGGAAUCAUGCCUUCUUUAAUUGAGGUGAGCCUCUUGCAAAAUAUUUCAAGUUUGCUCUCAUUCCAUUUGUUACUUCAUGUCUAUUUUUUUGUAAUCAAUCAAGCAAGAGUUUCUUACUUGUACAAUGGUGAACUUGCUUGCAUGAAUAAUACUCUUUUUACUAUUUUUUUUCUUUCUUUAUUAUAUUCAUUGAUACACUUAGAAGUGAAUAGUGAACCAGGUUUUUUGUUAAAAGAAAUCAAAUAUUGGUAAUUAUUUAGUAUCAUGUAUAUAAUAAUCAAUUAUUGAUUGUAAAGAUACUUGGCUUAAUCAAUUAUUAUAUUGAAAUCAAUGUAGUACUAUGACUAAUACCAAAAGGAUAAUAUUUAGUCUUGUUUGACCAUUAGUCACUAUUCUAGAGACAAAUGCUCACAAGUUUUGCAUCUUUGAAGCAUAUGAGAAAAGUUGGUUCAACUAUAUCACCAACUUACAAGCUCCUUAUAGUGUCCAUAUAUAUAACCUUCGUUGUUCAGGUUUAUGAUUCAUAUCUCAUUUUUUUUUUUCAUAUUUUUAUUGUUUAUAAUUUUUUAAUUGAUUUGUUUAUAAAUUUUUAAACUUUAUUGGCAAUACUAAUUUUUUUUUUUUAUUCUCAUGUGCAAUGGAAUAAUAAGUUGAAUAAGAAGCAUAAACUACUUAAUUGGUAUAACUGUUUACUCAAUUCUCUUCUCAGAUAUUUUUGUUCAAGGUAAUCAAAGUAUCAUUCUUUUUAUUUUUAAAGGUACUUGAACUCAGUGAGGACCAUUCCCAAAACAAGCAAUAACUACAGUUGGAUUAUUGAUAUCAUAUCCUUGAUUGACAUCUAUGCCAUUAUAUUUGCAUCUAAAGGAUUUAUGAUGAAAAAAAUAUCUUCUUUAUUUCCAUUUUCCUUCCUUCUUUUGACCAUAAUUUGUGUGCUUAUUGAUAGCAUUCAUACCCUAAUAUAUUUGCUAGCAUAUAUAUGCAUGUCAUAAUCUAUUGAUUUUUUUAGCAUAAGGUCUUAGAGUAUUCACAUAUCUCUAGGUUCUAUAUAUUUAUAAUUUUUACAACAUCAAAUGAAGUAUAUGAACCUUAUCUUGAAGGUGAAGUCUCUUUAAAAGGAGUUUCAACAUGUUAGCAAUUACCUAACUUAAUAAUUUAACAAUUUGGCACUAUAUAUAAUUUUGCAACUCUUUCAUAAAGUAAUUGUGUUACCUUUAUUCACAAUUUCUAUCUUUAUUUAAAAAAAAAAAAUGAAUUGGUAAUUGUGUGUCAAAUCUUGCUUACAAUCAUUAAUAGGUACUUAUAUGCUAAAUGGAUAAAGUUAUUUUACAAUUGUUUCAACAUUUUUAGAAUAUAUAUAUAUAUAGAUGUAAUCACUACCAAGCCAAUGCGAAAAGCUAUAACAAUGAGGAUUACAAAGCUUCAAUUAUGUCUUGGAGAUUCAUAUUGACAAGUUGUAAAUGGUGGGUGAAGUCUCUUUAAAAGGAGCUUCAACAUGUUAGCAGUUACCAAACUUAAGAAUCUAACAACUUGGCACUAUAUAUCAUUUUGCAACUCUUUCAUAAAGUAAUUGUGUAACCUCUAUUCACAUGUUCUAUCUUUAAUUUUUUUUAAAAAAAAAAGAAAUUGAAUUGGUAAUUGUGUGUUGAAUCAUUCUUACAAUAUUUAAUAGGUACUUAUACACUAAAUUGAUAAAGUUAUUUUACAAUUGUUUCAACAUGUUCUGAAAACAAAAAAGAUUAAUAAGUAUAUUUUUUCUAAAUGUAAUCACUACCAAGCCAAUGUGAAAAGCUAUAACAAUGAGGCUUACAAAACUUCAACUAUGUUUUGGAGAUUCAUAUUGAAAGUUGUAGAUUAUGGAUGUAUAGUAUAGGAGUUAGAUUGAGUUUAUCAUUCUAUCUUUGACAUCUUAGUUUUCUAUGUAUUGUCCAUCAUAUAUAUUUGUCAUCUAUUCUUUACAACCAAUUUUUUAAGGACUUCUAUGAUUUGUUUAAAUUUAUAUAUUUGUUUUUAUUUGUACUAGAACUUCACCAAGCUACAAAAGCAUCACAAGUUUUGCAAUUGGAGUUCAUGGAUCAGGUAUUUUAGUAGUUUUUGUAUCUGAAAUUUUUUUAUGAUACUAAUGAGGAUGUUUACCUUGAUUAAUUUAACACUUAUAUUGCAAAUAUCUAUAUAGGAGUUCUAUACAUUUAUUUAAACAUUUAUAGACAUAUUUAUCCUCUUUCUAGCACAUUCUAAUGAUAUUUUUAACAUUGAUAUAAAUUGUUUGCUUGAAGGUUUCAACUAUUGAAAAUUAUUAUUCAAGCCUAAUGUUAAUCUUUUUCUAUAGUGGAUUUCAAAUAAUAAAUUCUUAUUUGAUUAUUUGUAGGGAAAAUAAACAACUUCUAUGUUUGAUAAGAAAGAAGAUAGAGUAGAUCAAUUUCACAAUGUACGAAUCCUACGCAUUCUAUACUUUUAAAGAUGGUUACAAUUGGCUUUCUAUACUUAACAAGUACAUCUUAGCUAAAAGUGAAAAAAUGUUUCUCUUUGCACAUGCCUUCACUACUAUUUUAAUUGCUAUCUUAAUAUGUUAUGGAAAAACCACGACAAAUAACAAUAAUAAGGAGAAGAAAUAAAAGAACAAAAAUAUAAAACUUAUAAAGUAGGAUGAUAUAUGUGGUUUGGCCUAAACCUACAUUUAUAUGUGAAAAUGAAGAAGAACUUCUACUAUUAUUAAAGGAGAUUAAAAUCCUAAAGCUUUCAAAUCUCAUGAUUACACUAAAAAUGGACUUUUUUUUUUUUUUAAUCAAAAUCUCUUCCUUUAUUUUCUUGAUUAUAUAAGAAUAUUCUAUAGAGAAUUAAUUGUGUAAUUAUCAAAGAUAACUAUUCCUAAAAGAAAAAUCUUAUAAUAUGAUAUUUCCUUUAGAAUAAAAGAAAAAUCUCUUAUAUAAAUAUAUCAUAAUAGGAAAAUAUUAAAGACUUAUAAAUUGACUCAAAAGAAUUUGAAAUAUUUUUCAACAAUCUCCACAUUGGCUCAAAUUCUCAAUAUUCAAAUAAACUCAAAAUUCUUCUAUGUUACUUUGCUCUUAUGCACCCUUAAGGGGACUUCAAGUAAUAUCAAUACCAAUUAAGUCUAAGCAAUGCAUAAACUUAAUCAUAGAAAUAAGUUUAGCCAUCAUAUCUAUAAAAUUAUCAACUAUAGGGAUCUUUUUCAUUACAUUAGUACCUUGUUCAAUCACAUCUCUAAUAAAAUGUAUUCUAACAUCAAUAUGUUUGGUUCUCUCAUGUAACAUAUGAUUUUUAGUCAAAAGUAUGACACUUGGCUACCAUGAUAACAAUAAUCAAUGAUUGGAACCAAAUAAUUACAUUUUGUGUGCCUAAAAUUAGGCAUUCAUAUUUAAUAUCCAAUUCUAGUUUCAUCCCUUUACUCAAUUUUAUUCCUAAGUCCUUAAUUUUGGGUUUAAUGUAUUUUUUAAAUAUUUUCCUUCUUUUUUGGUAUAUUUAUAUCACAUUUUUGCUAGCCAUUAUAUUUUUCAUGUAUUGGUUGCUAAUUUUACACUCCAUAGUUGUCACAUCAUCCAACUAAUGGUUGUUACAUUAUCCAACUAUGGGCUGCCACAUGCUCCAGCUACCUUAGCCUCCUUGCCAAGUAUUUUCCAUGCCAAAAAAAGAUUGACAACUAUUUCAAUUGGUUGGUAAAGUUGAGAAAAGCUUCCACCAACCUCGCCAUUAAGUUGUGCUCCUUGCUCCAAUUUCUAAUUUUGCUUCCUACCCUCUUGUGGAGUUAGUGUGGAAAUGACUUUAUACAAGGGAGAUGAAGGUUGGUUUUAAGUAAGGUAGCUUAUUUGUAAACUUGUAUUUCCUUUAUUCAGGCGGUAGUUCUCAUUUCUUAGCCUUGAUUUUCAAUUUUGAUCCUCUUGUCUUGCCACUAUGAGUGGCCAACAUCCAAACCAAGGAAUAAUUUUUAAUAAAAUAUUAAUAUUCAAAUAAAAUCAUAUAUUUAUAUUCCUUAUCGCAUUUAUAGGAAGAGAAAUAUUUGGGACUAGGCCCAGUUCACUUUUUAUAAUUAUAAAUAUCAUAAAAAUAUGAAUAUUAAUAUCCUUAUCCUCAUAAAAGCAUAAUUAAUUUAUUUUAUAAAAAAUUAAUAUUAAAUGGAUUUAAAAAUAAAUAAAGUUUAAUUUUUAAGGUAUACAUGCAUAAGUUUUUCAUUACAUAUACACAUUCAAUACUUAAUUAGUAAUAGUGUAUUCUAAAUUUUUUUAUCUAGUCUAUAAUUAAUUAAUCCAUUUUUUGGAAUUCUAAAUUGUUCUUAAAAAUUAAAAUAUUCAUUAAAGAAUUGAAAGUGUUUAUUAUGUUUAACUUAAUUUAAAUUUAUUUAUCUAGUGAGAAAAUUCAUAAAAUAUAGUUUUAUGUAUAAAGGAAAUAGUAACGACUUUACAUUUAACGAAUCUUUUAUUUUAUAUUGAUUCAUUUAAUAGUCUAUUAUAUAUAUUUAAAAUUUAUUAAACUCAUUAAUAAAUUCAAUACAAAGUUUUACUUAAUUUGAAAUUCAUCUCUCUAGUGAAAAAAUUGAAAAAAUAUUAUUUUGUGAAAAAAAAAAUACAAUAAAAUCAUUCUAAACUAAUUUUUAUCCAAAGAUUUUUUGUAUUUAUUAGUUUAUUAUUUGAUUUUUAAAUUAAUUUAAAAAAUUAUUAGACUUAUUAAUGAAUCCAAUACAUUUUUUGUUUGUUUAAUUUAUUUAUCACACUAUCAAACAAACUUUUAUUAUUUAGUAAAAGACCUCUCAAAAGAGGUUUUUUUUUCUUAAUAAAAAUAAAAAUAAUAUUCUAAACGAUGUUUGAUUCAAGAGUUUUUUAAAAGUAAAAAUAAAAAUAAAAAUUAUUUUAAAUUAUGUGUACAUAAUUGUUGCAAAUUUAUUUCUUUUUCCAUUACCAUUUUCAUUCCUACCUAACAUUGAAAUGGAAACAAAUAAUCAAUCAAACCUUACAUUUAUUCCUAAUCUAAUGACAAGAAUUGGUGGUAUCACCAAAUUCAUUCCAUUCUCUAGUCUCAUGUAUCAAACAUAGUUGUAUAAUACCAAAAACUUCGUCUAAGUAAUGUGGGAUCUCACAUUCACUUUCAUACAGAUACAAUUUUUAUUGUAUCACAUGGAAUUGUGAGGCCUUUAAGUACCAUUUGUAAUGACCCACCUCCAAUUAUAUAAAUAUUAUUUGGUCUAAGUCCAAUGGACUCUAAUCGGUUUUAAAACUUGACUAUACUGUUAAGAGAAGUCUACUAUGUAUACAAUCUUCUCCUAAUAAACGUGUGACAUAACAAAUGGUGGGACUCAAACUAAAGCAAGGCCUUUCAAACUGUCUACCAUCUUAGUUUCAGCAUGAAUUCAGUUUGUUCCAAACAACAUAACUCUGGAGUAUUUUAAACAAACGAUUUCCAUUGAAAACACAUAAUUAAAGUAUAAGGAAAACAAACCCGAUCUUCAAGCGGUUUUGGGGAUCGCCUGUGGAAGAGCAGUGAAAUAGAAAUAUCCACUAAGUGUAUAGGGACCCAAGAUCAACACAUGCAACAGGAUAUCUAAUUCCUCCUAAUAUCAUCAGCAUGAAGAAAAUUGGCAUCAUUUCCACUGAGUUCUGAUGCCCUCUCUGAAAAAAAAAAUAAAUGCAAAACAUUUGUUUUUUCUAAUCAUCGGUCAUCCAUACAUAGAAAAAUCUAUGUGUGAUCUUAAGCUAGAAAAGAUGUUGCAUCUAAUCAAAUUCACUAGACAUGAUGAUAUCUAUACUUUUUUAAAAAAAAAUUAUAUUCAUAUUUAUGUCAGAAAAUAAAUUUUUUAUUUUUUAUUUUUAGAACAUUAAACUUUUUAAAAGUCCUUUCUAGGAUAUUUUCUAGCUUUUUCCUUUUGUUAAUUUUUGCUAUUCAAACAAAUCUUAAGAAAGGAAUCAAACUUGGACACAAUUGAAGAGCUUGGCAUUCUUGUUUUUAGAUUCCAAAGCAUAUAUAGAGAUUGGGGUAAAACACCUUGUACCGAAGAAAAAAAAAAGGAAAAAAAAAACACCACAACAAAAAAUUAACCAAAAAUCAGAAAAUUAAUUGGAAUAAAAAAUCAAGAAAAUAUUUUUUUGGGUUAAUAAUUAAUUAUAAUGAAAUCAAAAGAAAAAAGAAAAAUACAUACUUCUUCCUGGCUUUGCCUACACUGAAAGCCAUGAAAGAAUUAGGAAAGCAGUAAAGAACAAGAAGAAGAACCACAUCCAUAUUCUGGGGAAAGCAAAUCCUCUGCUGCCUUCUUCAGAUUGAAGGCAACUAAUAAAUGGUUUAAGGGGUUAUGAGUUUGACUUGGUUGAGUUUGAAGCUACAAAUGUAAGAAAAAUGGUAGUAAUUUUGGAAGCAUUUCUAACUCUUCUAUAACUUGAAAGAUAAAAAAUUUUAAGGGUUAAAAAUGUUAAAAGAGCUUUUUAGAAUCACCCCAAAUGUACUCUAAAUUAUUUAUGACUUGAUGUCACCUUCACACUCAUUUUUCAGUGUCAUUUAAUUUUGGUGUUCCCAUAUUGAAGAUUUAGGGUAAUGUAAUAUUCAAGCCUUCACAUUUUGCCUUCACUAACCUUUGAAUUUUAAUUAAAUUCUUUGAAGGAUAUUUGACCACUUCAUUGUCCAAAAAUGCUUAUAUUGCCAUUUUUUUUUUGUCUUUUUCUACAAUUCCAAUUUUACUAUUUUUCUUUUAAUUUAUUCCUAUUAUUAUUUAGGCUAUUAUUUAUAAUAUUCUUAAUAUUAUAUUUAUAAUUGUUAAUAGUAUAAUUACUUUUUUUCAUUUAUUUGUCAUUUAUAUUGCUUAUCUUAUCUUUAAUCAUGUAUAAGACUCAAAAACUGCAGAAAACAUUAAUAAGUAACUACUAAACUUCAAAGAGAUAAUAAAAUUCAACUACAUUGAUAUUACAAUAAUACAAAUGAAAUAUAUAGCAACUAGCCCUUAAAAGGGCUUUUAAGAGAUAAUGAGUCUACUUCAGAUUGACAUUUAAAGUAGAAUCACCAUCUCUAUAGAUAUAUAUGAAGCCUAAAAAGAAUAGAACAUCACUAAAUAAUAUUAAUAAAACAACAACUAGAUCAAUUGAUAGUGAAAGUAAAGGUUUACAAGAUGAAUCACAUAAAUAAGAACAACUAAAUUGAGAAACAAAUUACAUGUCUGACAAAUCUAAUGAGGGAAAACAUUGGAGCUAGGUGCCCAAUGAUUGGCUCCUUGAAGUUGACCUACCUCCUCAAUAGGUACAUAGGAGUCCUUACCUAAAAAAACAUUAAAAUCAAUAGGGUGAACAUAAGAUCUAAUAAAUAGGCACGAUAUGCAGAUGCUAGGAUGGUUAGUCCAAGGUAAAAAAAAUAGUUCUAAAAUGUAUCACGUAAUAAUUUUGGUGUAUUAUGAGAGGAAAAUGGACUUGUGAGAACUAUACUUUGUGGAUAGAAAUGUGAGGAAGAGUGAAAGACACUCAGUGGAGUAAGAGAGCUAACAGUUUAGGGUAGUCAUACAAAGUGUGGGUAAAUAGAUGUAUCUAUUUUUGUUCCUAACAAUAUUUUUUUGUUGUAUAGUGAAAUAUUAUCUUUCAAAUAUGGAAGUAAGCAUGGUUAGGUGUACCAUGUUAAAAUCUUAAGUAUUUGUUUUAUUUUGUGUUCUUCCAUUAAUAUAUUUCAAUAUUAGAGCUUUCAUUGACUCAAUAAUUUAUUAUACGAUGAAUCAUCAUAAGUGAAUAUAUUUUUAUAUUAGAAUAAACCAUUUUCUUAAUUAUAAGUAUAUUUGAAUAUUUUACUAAACUAUUUUAAAAUAAAAAUAUAGUAAAAAAAAUUAAUAUAUAUAAUAAUAACAUGAUAAAUAACAUAUCCCAAACCAAAUGCAACAUAAAUUUCUAAAUUGUCUCUCCUUUCUUAGUUCUCUAUAAUAAUAUUGCCAUACCCAUUGUUUAAGCUAUAAAUUAACAUUUUAUGUUCUUUGAAACAUAUGUAUUACCAACUCAAUAUAUAUAUAGCUACGAAGACAUAUUUCUCAUUUUUCCAAUCAAAAAGCAUUGUGAGUUGAAACCUUUUUGUUUAGAAAGUUAACUUGCAAUGUUAAUAUUCUUUUUUAAUAUUAGCCCCCUAGGAAUAUCAUUGCCUUUCACCACACUUUAAGUUUUUUUUUUUCGAUAUUCUUUUUUACUUCUACACUAGAAUUUAUGUAACUUCUUGUUCUUUAUUUAUUAUUAUUAUUAUUUUUUUGCAAUAUUUUCUCUUAAGUCUACCUUACACUUCUUAUUACCUCUCAUAUAUUUUUUUUUUUUGUCUUUUUCAAAUACUUGGUUGCUUCUCUAUUACAAUUCAUUAACUUCCUAUCAUUUUAUUUAUUUUUAUUUUUUGCAAAAUUCUUUCUUAAAAUACAUAAAUCCAUAGUUUUUAUUUUAAAAGUAUCAAGUAAAGAACAUAGACCUACUCAAACACCAUUGUAUAAUACCACUAAAAUUUCCAAAAAUCCCUAAAAUUUCAUAAAUUCUCUGCAAACUUAUCCCUAAUUAGAUGCUAUUACAUUAAAUAUAUCUAAUUCAGUCUAAACACAUGAUUGAUAAUAAUAUAAAAAAACUAAAACAAUAUUAAUAUGCAAUUUAUUAUUUUUCAACACACUGUAAUAGUUCCCAAAUAUUUUCAAACAUCAGCUAACAAACCUAAAUUUAUUCACUCAAAAUACAUAAUUGAUAACAAUGGAGAACUAAAAAAAAAAAAUUAUAAAUAUAACAAUUUUAUACUUUGAAUACAAUUCAAUAAAUCCUAAAUUUUUAAAAACAUUUAACUAAUAAACUUAACCAUACUCAAAUAUUAUUGUAUAACAUCUCUAAAAAUUUCAAUAAUUUAUCAAACGUGAAGACUACACUCACCGGUUUAGUAGAAUCACUUGCCUCUUCUAUUGGUAAUUGGGAUUUUUGUUCAGUAGCUUCGCUUUCCUUUGCUUCACUUUCUUCUGCUUUACUUUUUUCUUCUGUUCGCAAUUGACAUUUUUGUUUUUUCGUUACUUUUUUUAAUCUUUUUAUCAAAUCAUUCUUCAAUGAACUCAUUGUUUCAUUCGUGCUUGAAGAUACAAUAUGAGAUAACUUGAAAAAAACAGAAUAACGAUUUUUCUAAGGAUUCAGAAUGAAACAAAUGAUGAAAUGAUAGACGAUAAAAUUUCUAGGGUUUUUGAAGGAAAGAUGAGAUUUUUGUUUUGUGCAUCAAAGGAAUAUAAUGGAAUAAAAGAAGAUGAUGAAAGAUGAAAACUCGUUCUGUAAAUGAAGUGAAAGAGGAUAUGAGUUUUCCUUUUUGUGCACCAAAGGAAGAUAAUGAAGUAGAAGAAAAUGAUGAGAAAUUUUUUUUGGAAAAUAUGAGGAGUCGUUCUGUAAAUGAAGCAGAAGAGGAGAAGUUGUAAGUGUUGGAGAGAAAAAAGAAGAAGGACAUUUUUGUCUCAAUCAAUAAUUUUGUUUUGUUUUUUAACCGGUGGAUUAUAUUUGCAAAUAUGGGGGUUAUUUUGACCCCUUUAACCAAAUAACCCUUUUUUUUAUCGAGUUACAACUUUAAAUUAGGUGUAAAAAGAUAUUUUGAUAUGGUAGAUACUGUACAGUUAUAUAUUGAAAUUCCAUGGUUCAUUAGAUAAACCAUCCUUGAAUUUCUUUGGUUUCAAUUAAGAUGAUAGAUCAUCCUUCCAUAGAGUGACCUGAUAUGACAUUGAUUUUCUAGGGCUUCAAACACGAAGGGUGUCAAUGACUAAGAACUCCGUUUGAUUGUCGAGAAAAUGAGGAAAAAAACCCUUAAAUAAAAUAUAAAUACAAUUCAGAAUUUCAAUUUUACAUUGUUAGGGACCCCAAAAAUGGGAACAUUCACUUAACUGAGCCUAAUCCAACCACCUGCCUUAGUUUAAUUUAGUCCCCACUUUCUAGAAACCAAAAAAAUAUAAACAUUCCUGUGUUUGACUACUUAGAAAGCAUAGGACAAGCAAAGAAAAGGACAGUGCCUCCUCGAUCAAACAGUUUUUUUUUUCCUUUUCUUUUCUUGCAUUUUCUUUUUUCGGUAACCAAACAAAACUUUUUAAUUGAGCAUUGUUGUAUACAAUUUAGAUUUCUUUCCCUUAGUUUCUCCGCAACCAAACAGAAUUUUUCUCAAUUGAGCGAGGGUCUAGUAUAUCCUUCGUUUUCCUAUAACCAACAUAAUUUCCCUUGUUAUUUUUUUUAAUCUUUUCUUUGAAUUUCUCAGAAACCCAACGGAGUUUACUUCUGGUGCAACCGUGCAAGAAAAUGGUUUUACCUAAUCGCAUUUCACCGGACUAGCUGAAGCAAUAGAGGCUUAAGAAAAAGAGACUGAGCUUUGUUUGUUAAACUCCCUAUGUGAGUACGCAAAGUAAGAAGAAUUGAAGCUGAAAUUAGGCGGCUUCUAAACACGUCCUAGGAGUUGGUUUUAAAACCCAUUUUUUCCCCUUUUUGGUUGCAAUCGGUCUACAAAGAUGCCAUUAAAAGGUAACCGCGGUUGGUUGCAUGAACAAGAAAAUGAAAAAAAAGAAGUUAAAACUAAUUAAAAUUAUUUAAUAUUUUCAUUGAAAAGUAAAAAUAAUUACAAUAUAUUUAAAUAAACACAUAAAAAUAAUAAUUUAUUAAUUUUAAAUCUAUUUUUUAAAUUUUCAAUUUUUCAUUUAUUUUGUUCCCUCUAAGCUUUCUAACUAAGGUCAUAAUUUGGACAAAUUGUUGGAUUCAUAGCUAAUCUAAAUAAUCUAAUAGAGAUAAAUAAAUAAUUAAUUUAAGUUCAACCCAACCUCUAAGCUUUCUAACUAGGGUCAUAACUUGAACAAAUUGGAUGGUUAACAUACAACUUGGACAAAUUGGUGGGUUCAUAGCUAAUCUGAAUAAUUUAAUAGGGAUUAAUAAAUAAUUAAUUUAAGUUUAGCCCCACUUCUAAACAGAGGUAUUUAAUUCAAGCUCAACCAACUUCAUUUCUUCGAGCUCUGGUUGAUGAGGUUAAACUUGGGUUAGCCCCUGAUUGUAUAAUUCAAAAUACAUGUAGAAUGUUUUUUAAUAAAAAAAAAAUUAUAUACUUAUAUCAAAUUUUAAAUAGUAAGUAGGACAAAAUUUUAAAAUAACAAAAAAAAAAAAAACAAAAACAAAAACAAAGUUAUAUAUCUUUUUUAAAAAGUAAAAAAAUAUAUUAUAUAAUAUAAUUUGAUUUUUUAUUUAUAAAAAUUUAGAAAGAAUAAAAUUAUUAUAUAAAAUAACAUAUAUUGGAAAUAUUAUAAAAACAUUAAAAGUUUGUUCAGUAGUUAUUCAAAUAAGUGUUUCUAUCCCUAAUUUAAACUUUGGUUUCAAUCUAACUCGAAUUAAAUUUGAGUUGAAAAAGUUUAACUUGAAUAUUAAAAAUAAUUGUCUAAACACGAUCAAAUAUCUGAUUGGAUUCGACUAAUCUGCCAAAGUUGCACUCCUACCAAGAACCAUACACAAUAAAAAAAUUUUAAAAUAUUUUUUGUUCUAGGAAAGUACUCAAAAAGGAGAAAUAAAGAAAAAAAAUGAUUUUAUAUGUAUAAUUAAAAUUAGUUAAAUUUUAUAUAUUUUAAAAUUAUUUAAUUUUUUUAUAUGGAAAAGAAAAAAAAAAAGAGUGAAAUAAGUUUGAAAAAACAAGUAAAAAUGAUUUGUUAACUUUAAUAUUUUUUUUCUUUUCUUUUCUUCUAUUUUUUUCUUUUUAGUUUAUUUUUCUCAAAAUUUUCAAAAAAUAAACAUAGAAUUAAAAAAUAAGAAAUAAUUACAUAAUUGGAAAAUCAAUUUUAGAACUUGCUUAUAUGAUUGCAUUAGUUUGUGUAAAUAAUAAUUUUAUUGAAUGUUAAGAGAGUGGUAUUAAAUGCACAUUAUUUAAUAUUUUUCUAUGGAUAUUUUUAUGGGAGAAUUGUGUUUUGGGCCCAGCUAGACCCAAAAAUUAAUAAAAGAUCCUCCAAACACCUAUAAUUGAUUGUAAGGAUAUAAGGUUGGAAUAGACAAAAAUACCCCUUUUUUACUUACACCAAUUAUUUUGUCUUUAUACCACCACUCUUUACAUGCCCCAUCUAUAAAAUUCUCCUUUAUUUAAUCAUUUUUUUUAUUUUUUUUUAUUUUUUAAACUCCUUUAAAAAUAAUUGAAAAAUCAACAUUAUUUUCUAUUUUUAAAUUAUAAAUAAAUAAAAAUUAUAUUAAUGAUUCAAAAAUUAUUUUGGAACAUGCUUUUGAAAAAAAAUAUUAAUUUAAAUGAAUAAAAAUUAUUUUUUACAUUUUACAAGUAAAUAAUUUAAUGAUUAAAACACUAUUUAAAAUAAAUAUAUUUACUAUUUUUUUUCUUUUAUACUAAAAAGUAUUUUAAAGUUUAUUUUUUUAUUAUUAUAAAAUAAAAAGUUUAAAGUUUUUUUUUUAAUCUUUUUCUUUCCAUAGUUUAAUAAUUUUUUGAACAUAGACUUUUGUAAUAAGUUAUAUGAAUGUUCCAAAUUUGUUUAUUAAGGAAUUUUUUUAAUGAUUUGAAUUAAUUGAAAAUUUAUUGAAAUGAGAAAAAAGAAAAAGAGAGAAAGAGGAUAGAUGAAGAGUUUUUAUUUUAAAUAUCCAACUAAAAUGUUUUCGUAUUUAGAAAUGGAUUAUAUCAAUACAUAGUAUAGUAGAGAUUGAUUUUUUUCUCAUACAAAAGGGUCAAAUGAUAUGUUUACUCAUUUUAAAUAAAAACAAGUAGCUAAAAAUUAUAUAGAUUAUGUUUGAGUUUGGUUUUAAAAUAUUUUUUCUAGUUUUUAUUAUUUUUUUAUUUUUAAAAAUUAUUUUUAUUUUCUAUAUUAUCUCUUUUUGAAAAUACAUUUAAUUAAAAAAAUGAAAAAUAUUUUUAAAAAUGAAAAUUGAAGACCUUGUUUAAUACUAAGAUAAUAAAAAGAAUUAAAUUUCAUUUAUUAAUUAUUCUUUUUUAUUUUUAAAAUAUAAUAUGUUCACAAUUAAAUAAAGGAAUUGGUCAAUUGUAUAUUUUUUUCACAAAAAUGUAAUAUGUUCAUAAAAAAAUUGGAUUGAAGUUUUUCAUCAUUUUUUUAAUCAAACUACUAGAAUCAUGUUUAAUACAAAUAUAGGCAUAUAUGCACUACGGGAAUAUGAAAUUUGUGUCACUAUACAAGAGUAUUUACUAACUGUAUAAGGGAAAUGUACUAAGUGUACAAGCAGUGUAUAAGAUUACCAUUUAUAAAAGAUUUCAAUCUAUUUUGAACCACUCCUUUAUUUUCCUUGUCACUCAAAAAUUGCAUACUCAUGUCAUGCACUUUAUUUAACUCCCAUAUGGAAAUUCCGAUACUUUCCCCAAUAAUGAUGUUUAGGAAAAAAAAAAAAACUAACCCUAAUUCAUCCAUCCUUUUAUUAGUUAAACCAUUAGAAAUAUGAUUAACACACCUACAUGGACAUAUUACUUAGGAUAGAUAUAUUGUACAAUGGUAUUACACUAAUUGUACAAGGGAAAUGUACUAAGUGUACAAAGAAAAUGUACUAAGUGUACAAGGGUUUACAAGACUACCAUCUAUAAAAAAAUUUAAUCGAUUUUGAAUCACUUUUUCAUUUUCCUUGUCACCCAUAGAUUGCAUACCUACAUCAUGCAAUUUAUUUAACUUUCACAUGAAAAUUUCGAUACUUUUCUUAGUAAUAAUGUUUGGGGAAAAAAAUUUAAUCAUAAUUCAUCCACCAUUUUGUUAGCCAAACCAUUAGAAAUAAGAUUAAUAUAUCUACGUGGACACACAACUUAAGAGGGAUAUAUUGCACCAUUGUACAAUGAUGUUACACUAACUGUACAAGGGAAAUGUACUAAGUGUACAAGGGAAAUAUACUAAGUGUACAAGAGUGUACAAGGCUACCAUUUGUGAAAGAUUUUAGUCGAUUUUGAAUCAUUUCUUUAUUUUUUUUGUUACCCAUAAAUUGUUUAUGAAAUUUGCACUAUUAUAUAAGAGUGUUACACUAACCAUAAAAGAGUAUUCCACUCACUGUGUAAGGCAAUGUACUAACUGUAUGGGGUAAAUGUACUAAUUAUACAAGGGUGUACAAGGUUAUCUUUUAUGCAAGAUUUUAAUCAAUUCUGAACUUUUUUUUUUCUUGUCACCUAAGGAUUGAACACUUUUCCCCCACACAUUCCUUCACCUAAAAAUUGUUUUAAUUUGAAAUUUUAAAUUUCUUCAUCCAAAAUUUGUAAUUGCAUAUUUCAUUUAAGUAGUUUUAACAAUAUUUUUUCUUACUACAUUUACAUCAUAUAUAAAGGAAAAUUAACCAUAAUAUUUAGGUAUUACCUUUUUUUUUUUUUGUGAAAUCAAAUUAAUAUAAAUGGAUAACACAUUAAUGUCAUUGUUUCAAAUAACUUAAGACAAUAUAAACAACAUAUAAUAACUGUUGAGGAAAAAUUAUGAAUAUUUUUUUACCAAACUAUGUCAUUUAGAUCUUCUCUACCAAAAUUAAAACAUAGGAAAUAAAAUUAAAAUUAAUCACAUUUAAAGUGUUUAUUACAAGUAAACCGAAUGAAAUAUAUAUUUUUACUAUUUUACCUUUAUAAACAUAAUGUUAGCAGAUAUUAAAAAAAUCAUAUUUAAAUAGAAUUAAAAAGGAUAAAAAAUUAUCUUUGUAAAAUUUGUAAUUUUUUUUUAUAUAAAAAAUCAUUAUUUUAAAUUAUCAAUUUAAUUUAAAAUAAUUUUUUUGUUGUAAUUAUAGUUUUAAAGAUUCUACUAUUUUUAUAUUAUUACUUUUAAUUUAUUUUCUUUGAUUUUUUAUUUUAAAUUUCAUCUAAACUUGUUUUUUCUUACAUUUAUAUGUUUUCUAUUAUAUCAUUAUUUAAAGUAAUUUUCAUCUAAUUUGUAUUCCAUUAUAUUCUCUUUUCAAUUUUAAUGUGUUGUUAUACCUCUUUACAUAACAAAAGAUUUUAUUAUUUUUCAUCUACAAAACUUUAUACAAAAGAUAUCAUGUACAGGGAAAAAAAAUUAAAAAAAGAGAAAAUUAUGAUAUAAUUUACAUACACAUCUCUUAAUAUGAUACAUUUGCUUGACUUAAUGACAUCAUGCUUUAAUAAUUUAAAUCAUGUCAGUCCACAUCUAUUUUAGAUUUAAAAAGGCAUUUGAAUAUUUUUCAAAUUAUUAAGUUAUAAUACAUUAUUCAAUUAAAAAUUAAGUAUCACUAUUAGUUAAAAGAUGAUUAUUUUAAAAAAUAAUAUAUUAAAACAAUAUCAAUGUGUUGUCCAAAAAAUGGAGAAAAUAUUCAAAUAAUUGUCUACAACCUUAAAGAUAUUUAUAUAUAUAUUGGAUAAAAAAGAAUAAUAAUAUUUUUUAAGGUGUUUAAAAAUUAUUUAUUAUAUAUUUUGUAAGUUUAAAAAAAAUAUUUUAUGAGGUAUUUAAAAAUUUUUUACUUUAAAAAUAUAGUAAUAAUCAUUUUCAACCAUUGAUUACCAAUAUUUAAUUUAUUAGGCAUGGUUUUUGGGAGAAAAAUAAUUGAUGAAAAUAGUAACACCUUUCUAGAAAAGAAUUAAUGAUAAGGUGAAUGAUGAAAGAGAGGGAAAAAAAGAAUGAAAGAGAGUGGGAAGUUAGUUGUUUUCUUUUUCUUUUUGACAAUAAAUGACAUUUUCGGAAAAUUAAAUGUUUCAUAUCCUUCUUUUCAAUUUGUAGACUUUCUUUAGGUGUUGGGUUUAAAUAUGAAACUUAUGAGGAUCUUUUAUCAAUUUUUUGGCCCUGGGCCCAAAACACAAUUCUCCCUAUUUUUAUUUCUAAAGAAAGUAAUCUUUACAUGGAUUGGACCACUGUUUAUUUAUCCAUGUGGCCCAGCCCAUUAAAAACAUCAAACCAACAACCCAAGGGACGACCCUGGUCAUUCUCGGGGGCCCACAACCUUCAUCUCAAACAAAAGCCCAUGGGCAGGAUCACCUUCCACACACAUCUUCAUACCAGCCACCACGCUACCAACAAUCCUCCUCCAUGAAAGCCCACCUCCAUCACAGCAAGCAGAAAAUCCAACACGCCAACCAUCAACCUCCGCACAGACCUAACACUGCAUAGCCGUGUUUUAGGAGUGUCAGGACGUGAUUAGAGAGGAUCUACUUUGAGUGUUCAUGGAGUUUCGCUAUAAGAGGGUGAUAGACCAGAGUAUCAAUGCUCCCUUUGUAACUUUAGGGGCAAGGAGGAAUCAGUUUACCAAAAAUUCUUCAUGAAACCAUCCAUUUAUCUCAGGGAACAUUUAUUAAGUAGAGUCAAAUUGAUUUACAACUAAGAGAUGAUUCAUUCCUUUUAAUGAAAGAACCUUAUUUCAAAUUGCCCUAAUGUGGCCUAAUAAAGCAAUAUUACUGGUUAUAUUUUGGACACAUCUCAAUGCCAUCAAUGGCUUCUCCUUUUUCAUUCCUUUCUCCUCUUCUUCUGCUCAGAAGAUUCAGACUCAUAAGUGGAGGCAACCGGUAGUCUCGGUUCUGGAGCUUGGUGGAGUCAAGAUUGGCAGAGAUGGUAACAUACCCACAUCCCAAAAUUGCGUUUAAAAAGGAUCUUUAGCUUGAAUUUUGUGUGCCCAAUUUGCGUUUUUGCAGGCAUUUGCACUCAAGUCGUGUCGUUUGUUUGCAAUUUCACAAUCUGAUUUCUUUUCUAUUGUGCUUUUUUUUUUUUUUCCUGCUAGGUUCAAAUUCAAGCAUCCAAUUUGUGUUUUUCUGGGUAUUCUUAUGCCCAACUUGUGUCAUUCAAUUUGCAAUUGUCGUUAUCAGACUUCCUUCUCUCUUUUGAGACUUACAUGGUUAGAGACGUCAUUUCUGUGAAAUUAAGAAUGCAUGUUUCAACUUUCACUUCUUUCUCUCUUUCCUUUUUUUUUCCCUGUCAUACUCCUCGGUUCUGUUUGGCGAUAGUAGAAUUCAGGAAUGGUUUCCCUUUUCUUUUUUCUUUUAUUUAUUUAUUUUUCAAUUUUUGGGUUUCUUUUGGUUAUAUGGAUUCUACAUUUUUAUUUUAUUUUUAUUUAUUUAUUUUUUUUGUGAAAUUGGAAUUGAAGAACUUAUUUUGCGUUUUACAAGCUUAGCGGGUUACGUUUCUGUUCUAUUUGUUGUACUGUUGGAGGUGUUUGGUGCAUUUAUAUAACUAGGCUUGCAAUUUCGCCUUCUGAUAAAGGUUAAAUUUUCUCCCUUUUUAUUUAUUUAUUUUUUAAUGGUGUAUUUGUGUUGGGAUUUGGUGAAAUGGGGAUUCUGUACUGGGUUUAUGGCAUUUUUUCAAUUGGUUUGAUAUUUGUGAAUGUGGGUUUUGUAGGGAAGAUGUGCAAAUUUUUUGAAAGUAAGAAUGCAAUUACAACUUUGAUUUCCUUUAUAUUUAUAUUUUAUAUUUUUUAUGCUUAUUUGCGUAUAGGUUGAUGUCAAAAUUCAUCUAAUGGGUUGUUUUUUAUUGCUUUGGAUUGGUUUAAUGUAGUUGGAUGGUGGAUUUUGUUUCUAAAACUUAAGGUCAAUUUCAAUUUUUUUAUUUUUUUAUUUUUUAUUUUUAUUUUUUCAAUUCGAAGACCUGGGAAUUGAUGUACUCAAGUUUUUGGAUUUUGCUGAUUGCCUUGAUAAACUUGGCUUGCAGAGCCUUAAAAAAUAAACUAUACUCACUAAGCUAUAUCUCAGAUGAUACUUCAUCAGGGCGUGAAAUGCAACUUGGAGUCUUUGUAUUUUUUAAAUUAUUUGGGUUAUUCUAUUCUGAAUAUUUGGUAAAAUUAGAAUUCAUGUACUGAACCUUUUUCAAGUUCUUUUGGUUGGCUUGAUAUAUUUGGUUGUGGGGUUUGUAGAUGUGGUGAGGGAUGAUCCUACAAACAAUGUCCCGGAUGCAAUUUUGUCGAAACUUGGAAUGCAGCUUCACAGGAGGGAUCAACACCCAAUUGGAAUUCUGAAGAAUGCAAUAUAUGAUUAUUUCGAUGCCAAUUACUCUAACAAAUUUGAUAAGUUGGAUGACCUUUGCCCAAUAGUCUCCACAAAAGAGGUUUGACCAUUAAGAUAUAAAAUAGAAAUUUUAUGCAUGUUUUUUUUUUUUUUCACUGUUUUGAGCUAUACAUUGCACUAUUUGGAACUUGUAUUAUCUUGCUAUGACUAGUGCUUGGCAUUUUGUUGCUGUUUAUAUUUAUUUUGCUGCCCAUUUCCUGUUGGUUUCUGUCCUGUCCUUGGUGUUUUAACAUUUAAGAAUCCAUGAAAGUGGUAUUUGCAUCUGUUGCCAAUUAUUCCAUCAACGAUGUUUUAAGUAGGAAACCUAGUAUCCAAACUUCCAUCCAAACUUACAUAUAAAAAAAAGUCCAGAACAGGCAUUCAGUUUACCAGGUUUAUCAAUUCUCUCCAAUGUUUAUUCAACUCUUAAAUGCAGUAUUCUGGACGUACUCCAAAUUUGAAAUUCCUUUGGUAAAAUAAAAGCAUGGUACUUACAGUGGUCUAUUAAGGAAAAUGUUUGUUUGACCUAGCUUUUGUACAAAAAAUUCAAAGAUAGUCUUGCAGAUAUGUAUCAUAUGGGUGUAUAUUUCUCUAUCAUGAUACAAGUGAGAAAAAAUUCAGGAAAGUUGUUUUGUUGAAAAAAAAAUUGAAAGUUAAUUUAUGUUUUGAGAGGGACAUUAGACAACCUAGGAUUCAAAGGGACAUGUUGUCUCUUAGGAAAAUAUAAUUCAUAACAUUCUCAAUCACUUACAAGUUAUUUUCUUCCUUUUAAAUUGAUUUAUUUAAUUUUUUUCUUUGUUGUAGGCAAGCAAAGAAUAUAUUUACAAAACCUACUAUUAUCAUUAUUUUGGUACUUAGCAUUGAUGGAGAUUGUAAAAAUUCUCUAAUAGUAUUGCAGGAGAAAAAUAAUAUUUAUGAAUUUUUGUUAAACACAAUUGUCAUAAUGAUAAUAAUUAAUUAGAAUAAUAUAAGUUUGUAAUUGGAAAAUUUUUUAAAAAUAAAAGCUUUUGGAAAUAGUUUGAAUAGGAGUAGAAAUUCUUGGAUUUCAUGGAGAGCUUAGGUGGGAUCUAUGCAUGGGGUUGUUUGCUAACUAUUUUAGUAUUUGCUGCUCUUCUCUCUUAUAGGUGUUCAGUUGCAGCUUGUAUUCUCUUAGCAUACUUGGGUUGUGCCCCCUUUUGUGUUCUUCAAUAUAAUCUUCAAGCUCAUGACUAGUGCAAUUUCUACUAAUUGAACACUUUUCACUUCAAAUAAUAUUUAGUAAUCUAAAUAGCAUUUAUCAAAUUAUUUCUAACUCGCCAUUAGAUUUAUAAAGAACCCAAAAUAUGAAAUUUUCUUCUUAGGCAUGAGAAAUUGUCAUUGUUAUAAACCCCAUGUUUGUCUUCUACUUACAAGCAUAAUUAUAAAGCAUGAUCUGCACGUCUUAUCAUGAAAUAUAACAAUGUCAUAAAAUAGAUGAUUGAUAAAAUAUUAGAAGUCCAUUGCAAAUGCUUAAUGGAACCAAAAAUUAUUACAGAGCAAGUGCAUAUUUCACUCAAACUUUUAUGCAGUAGUGGUAGCUUAUAAACUCACAACUUGGACUUUAUAUGGUGCAAAUGUAUGUUAUCAGCUAUUGCUUUUGACCAGUCAUGAGUAGAUACUAUUUAUAAAAGGACACAAAGGAGGAUAUAAUCCAAGUGCACUUGUAGUCAACAAGUUACUCUAGGCAUCAAAAUUGAAAGAAACAACAAUGAAGAAAAGCAGCAGAAAGUGCCCCUACCUCCCAAACUGUCAAUGAACUACUGGAAGGAUCUACUACUAUUCAAGAUAACUUCUUCUAAGCACAACUACAUGUAACAGUUCUUAGCCUGCGCUAUGGUGUCAAGAGGUAGGCUCAUUGGAACAUGCCUAUUUUGAUGGAUUUAAGUUUAUGGGGAUAGUUAAAGUGUAAAGUGUUUGAUAAAAUAAAUUUGCUAGUUUUGAUAAAUUGGAAUUACUACUGAAUGAAAUGUGAAGCUAGAUAUUAGGAGGAGAAAGAAAGAUAAUUAAUUUAUUUGUAUGAAACUAUGACUUAUGCAUUGUGAAGCUUAUUGGUUGGGAAUUGUUGAACAGGGGAACUUACUUAAUAGGGGAGAAAGAACCACACAUAUUUCUUGAUGAGAAAAUAUAAUUACAUUAGCCAAAGGCCAAAAAUAUAUGAGUAGUUCGCUAAUUGCAUAUUAUUGGAAAGAGUGCUGAGCAACAUAUGAUUCAUAAACUUUUUACAAUUUAAAGGCCUAGGUCCAAUGAGAUAUGUUGCAUCAUAUUACCUAAUGAACCAAUGAAGUUUAUGGAUUUCCAAAACUUCUUGGAGAGGUUCAUUAUUUUAUGGUUCUUUUUUUCUUUUUUAGGGUUCUUUAUUUUCUUUUUGCCGAGAUAUCUAGAAUAUGGCAUGGUAGGUAUUUUUGCUCCAUACCUCUUUGGAGCUCAAUUAUUUGGCAAAGUAGGAAGAAAACAAAUUAGCAUCAACUUUGGCUUGACUUGAGAUCACAAAUCUGACUAGAGAUUUUGCAGUAGUGUGUUGAGGUCUAAUCCGAAUCUAGGUUGUGAUGUGUGCAUCAAAGAGUCUUUCCAGAAGUCGUGAAGCUUUGAGGUGUUUUGUGAUGGCAUGACUAGAUAAUGAGCUGCAUUUUGGUCUGGAAUUUGGAGUUUGGUUAUGCAAUUUCUGUAUCUAUAUCUCCAAAAUUAUUAACUAAUUUUAAUUAUUUUAUCUAUUUUUCAAAAUAAACAUUCAAAAUUGAAAGUUUGUGUCACGAGUAUUCAGGCUUAUCCGGAAUAGAAUGCCCUGCAUUAACUCUUGCUGUUAAUGCAUAUAAUACCAGGUCACUCAACACAACCAUUUGCUUGCUUAUGUUGACUUUCAAUGGCUUAAAAUUUAUGGCUUCAAUGGUUAUUACCUGCUAAUACUCAAACUAAUUUUUUUUUUGCUAGGUAAAUAAGAGCUUGUAUUAGAAGCGCCUAGAAGUGGCGAAAACAAUACACAUGAAGUAUACAAACAGAUUGCCCAAGAAACUAGACAAAGAAGACAAAAAACCUUUCCCCUAACUAGACAUAUGACCACUCCAUAAAAUCAAACAUAGACAAAGUAUGAUCCUCUAUAAACACCCUAGCUCAAUUUACAAGAGUAUACAAAAAGGAAUGUUUUAAAGCUUGGUCGGACUGUUCGAUAUCAUUUAAUGCUCUUUCGUUUCUUUCCUUCCAUAAAGUCUACAUUAAGCAUAAAGGGGCGACCCUCCAAGACUUCUCCCUUCUCUUACCCACAAAGGCACCAUACUAACCAAGCAAAUUCCUUUCAAUCGAAGAAUGCAAAACCCACUGCACACCAAAAAGGGAGAAAAUCAAACUCCAAAGCAUUGUAGCCUUUCUGCAAAACAAGAUUAAAUGGUCACUGGUUUCCUCUUUCUCUGUAUACAAGCAUAUUCAAACUAAUAACUAAUAGUUAUUGGAUUUAAAGCUUGUUUGUUAAUGUUCUUCAUGGUUGUGCUUCUAUUUUUAAUCGAUUCUCUUGGCCAUCACCGUUUCCCCCUUAUUAAGAUUGGAUAUUUAAGUUUCAACAAAACAGCCUACUAAAUCCUCAAGAUAGAUCUUAUUUAUAAGGCAUGGGAGUUUUGGUCAAUGUCUGCUUCCAAAAUUCUUAUCCAUAUUUCUGUGAAUUCUUAUGCCAGAAAUUUUACUUCUUGCAGAAUUUUGAUGAUGUCUUGGUUCCUCCUGAUCACAUCAGUAGGAGUUACAAUGAUACAUACUACAUUGACUCUCAAACUGUCUUGAGGUGCCACACUAGUGCUCAUCAAGCAGAGCUGUUGAGGAGGGGACACACUCAUUUCCUUGUGACUGGAGAUGUUUAUCGUAGAGAUUCCAUUGAUUCAACUCACUACCGUGUUUUUCAUUAGGUUUCUUGUCUAUGAUUUGAUCAAUGAUUGUUUUCUAUUAACAAGUUUCUUAAUGUUUUCUUCAGUUCAAUAACUUAUCAUGCAGAUGGAAGGUGUUCGUGUCUUCUUCCAGGUGAUUGGGAUGGCACGUCUUAUGCAGCUGAGGAUUUAAAGAAAUGUCUUGAGGGUUCGGUGUAGCACUUGUUUGGUAAACUUAGAUCAGGAGAUUGUCUUAAUCAGAUGCAAACUUAAUACUAUCUGUUGAUGUUGCAGUGAGAAAUAUGGGUUAAGGAAUUAUUUUCCAGGUCUAAUAAUUCAAAAUCUGGGAAAUACUGCAAGUAAAAGGGGGGAGGGGGAAUAAUGAAAUAAUAAAAUAAUAAAUUUAAGUGGGCAAAGCAAUUCAUGUUAUGCAAAAGCAGUACAGGUUGGUCAUUUAGAAGUCAAAUCAAGAUAGUCCAGAAUAAUAUAGGGAAUUAUUUGUGAUUCUCAAGGUACUUGUUAAGAAUCAUUGACAAAUUACCUAAAGAAACAUUUAAGAGUGCUAUUAUUAUUGAAAUUUCUGAAAUCUAUCAGAAAGGUAGUUUUCAUCUUGGGGUUUACCAUAUACUGUAUAGAAUCUGCGUGGGCUAAAUGUAUUGAAAUUUGCAGGUAAUGUGGAAAUGCGCUGGAUUGAUACAUAUUUCCCUUUCACCAACCCAUCAUUUGAACUUGAGAUAUAUUUUUAGGUGUGCUUUUGAUCUGGCUGGUGGUUACAUUUUAGCACUAUAUAUUUUGAAUUUCUUUAAAACUUUGUUUUUGAACUAAUUUUAGUAGAAACAGGCUCCAUUUCAUUUUUUUGUUUUUACCUUUUGUAAGAAAGGGUAAAAAUCAUUUAAAAAAUGUGAACUUCAGUUUAUUCCAUUGCUGGCAUGUGUGGCUUUCAUAUGUUAUUGAAGACACUAAGAUUCAUAGACUGAUAAUAACAGUAAUAACAGUAAUGUUGAUGAUAAAAUAAUAUAAAAGUAGAAACAAAAUUAGUUGUCACCUUUUUUUUUUCUUUUAAUUUCUUUGUUUUUCUUACUCCUCUGAUGUCGGGAAGGGGUGUAGGGCUCUUUGUUGUCACCAAAUGUGAAAAAGAGGAUGCAUUAUGUCCUUUUAUUUUGGACUUACAGGACUUAUGAUGAAGGCAUUGCUUUCUUCAAUGUAUAUUUAUGACUUCAAGACAUUUUUGUAUUUUAUUUUAUGGCAGCAUUUUUUAGUGUCACUAUUGAAGGAGAAAUUCAUAAGCAUACAUACACACAUGUUAGUGGGCAUACACAAACACUGAUGUUCCACACAGUAAUUAAAAAAUUCUUGCUUUAAGGAGUAUCUUUUUCCAGAACGCAUGUCCAUGUCAAAUGGCAACAUGCCAAUGACUAUUUGCCAGCAGAUGGAAUGCUGGCAACACUUUUAUGGAUUGAAUGUUUUCCUUUCCCUGUUCCUUGUAGUGAAUGAUAUGUACACUUUAGUUGCUCUUACAUAUUUGAUGCAUUGUGCUUCAUGCCCUAACUAAUGUAGAACAGAAAAGUACCAGAAAAAAUGAUGGGAGUCUAGGAAUUACUUCCAAAAACCUUAGGCUUCGCAUAUAGGUUUAGUUUUCAUCACACAAAAAAGAAAACAAUGAAAGCUGGAAGCUUUUGUGUUUUCAUUCAUUGAUCCUUAUUAGAAAAAUUAGGAGAACCCAACCUAUGGUAAUCACCCUGGGGGAGGUGAAUAGGUGAUGGUCUCUUUUUGCAAAUUUAAACUAUAUGAAUGUAAGAGACAAUUAUAUGCAAGUAUAUAAUAAACAAUGUAAAGACAAUUGCAUAUAAAUUAAAAGAGUAGGGAAGAGAGAAUGCAAAUACAAGAUUUUAUAGUGGUUCGAUGCAACCUGACCUACAUCCACUCUCCUCUAGCUUCAAUCCCAAGCUUGAGGUUGCAUAUAAAUUAAAAGAGUAGGGAAGAGAUAAUGCAAACACAAGAUUUUAUAGUGGUUUGGCACAACCCGGCCUACAUCCACUCUCCUCUAGCUUCAAUCCCAAACUUGAGGUUCCACUAAUUCAAGGCUUCUAAACCAAGCCUUCAAGCAAUAUAAUUGAAUUAUGGUUCCAAUUCACCCUCUUGGACUUUUGGCUCCAAGCACCCUUUACACUUCUCAAGAGAUAUCCCAAUCUUGAACAACCCCUCAAGUGAUACCCCACACUGGAGAAACUUCCUCUCAAAGAUUUACAAAUAAAUGAUUUCACAAAAUCCUAGUACAAAAACUUUAAGCUCAAAUGAUACAAGAAAACUAGGAUUGAAAUGUGCACUAAGGAUAUGCAAGUUUUAGAAUAAUGAUAUACUCAAAAACACUCUUUCAAGGCUCAAAUAUAUUCAAGAAAGAUUUGAGAAGGUUAAGAUCUUGAAACAAUGAAGACUGAAACCUUUUUAUAACGGAAAAAAGCCAAACUAGUCGUUGGGGGUUCGACCGGUUGACUAGCCGUUAGUAUUUAAUACUUGGUAGGUGACCGUUGAACCUCGACCGGACCUCAACCCGACCUCAACCAGUUGAGGUUCAACCUUGACCGGUUGAACAACCGUUCUGGAAGAAAGAGAAAGUUUUUUGCACCCUCGACCGGUUGAGUUGGGGGUCGACCCAGACCUAGACCGGUUGAGCUGGCGGUCGACCGGUUCCUCAUCCGGUUCAACCAGUUGAGCCGUUUUUGGCUCAACAACCAAGCUUUUUUAACUUAAAACCUUUUAAAACAAGUUUGAAAAACAUUUAACACAAGGUUUUAGUUGAAAACAUGAAAUCAUCCAAUUUUUAAAAUAUUUAAAACAAAAUAACUCUUGGAUGAUUUUGGUGCAUAAGUAAAGAAUGUAAUGCAUGAAAAUCCUAGUGCACCAACAACCUUACAAAGAGAUCUUAUGAAACUUAGGUUUUAAAAAACACUUCUCUUUGAGGUGGUCUUCUUCUUCAUGAUUUCUCCUUGGCUUGAUUUGUCUUUGUGAUUGCCACUUUAGAAAUCGUUUUGCCUAAUCACAUUUGAAAUAUAAUCAUUAGUUCUAAACUUUGUUUUGUUAUCAUAAAAAUCAAGAUUAACCAAAUCUUGGUUUCACAAUCCUUUUAGAAGAUAGAGUGAUUAGCUUUGUAAAUACAACCCUAAGACCCCUAACACUCUUUGGAACCAAUCACAGUAAUAAUAAAGCUGAGAAAUCAGAAACUUGAACUAAUAAAUAAAAAUUAAAAGGCACUUGCAAAUAUAAAGCAUUAAUGACUUUGGAAAUAAGAACACUCCAAUACCCCCCACGCCCUUUGGAAAACUCAACCUUGACAAGUUAAAGGCAUGAAAUUUCUCAUAAAGAUCACAAUUCAACUGCUGAAAUUCAUUGCUUGUGAUCCACAUACAAUCUCAAAGUGGCAUUUCUCUCCAUUUAACAAGAUACUUUUGAUAACCUCCUCUUCUGGUUGAAACAAUUUAGUGAUUAACAACUUUUCAAUCUUCUCUUUCAAUCAAGGGGCUGGUAGAAGAUGACCAUUUGGACCAUUAAUUGAUGUAGUAACUUUAGGAUUAGGAUAAAGGGUGUGGUCUUCAAUAUUAGAGAUCUUAUUAAUGCCCAUAUUUUCUGGCAAGUCAAGUACAUAAGCGUUGGGACUUGUUUUCCUAAGAAUUUUAUAGGGACCAACUUUCUUUGAGUGGAGUUUCUUAUAGGCACCUUUAGGAUAUUGUUCAGGCCUUAGUCACACAAUAACCAUAUUACCUUCAAUAAGUUCAGCAAAUUUUCUUUUCACAUCAUUGUAUGACUUAUUUAUUUAUUUGAUGGGCAAGCGGGAAAACACAUGUAAUCAUAUGACUUAUAAUUUCAUUGAUGAAAACAAUUUUCAUUGAACAUGAUAAUGUAUGUCAUCUAUAUGCUCACUAAAAGCAUCGGCUUCAAUGCUAGGUCAUGCAUCCAUUGUUAAAGGAACCAAAUCCAUAGGCUUUCUAGGAAGUGAUUCAGUCACAAUCUCGAAAGGACUAUGACUAAUAGACCUAUUCAAGGAGCUAUUAUUUGUAAAUUCGGCCAUUGAUCUGAUCUCCAACUAGGCAAUGAAGUAAAUGAUGCAAGCUUCAAUUAACAACUUCUAUUUGGCCAUCUCUUUGAGGGUGAAAAGCAAAAGAAAACUUUAGUUUGGCAUUUAGUAUUUUCCAUAAAGUUCACCAGAAGUAACUCAUGGACCUACCAUCCAGUUUAGGAAAAUCAUGAAGGCGAACAAUUUCCUUGAAGAAGAGUUUGUUUUUUUUUUUUAUAAGUAUUCCUUGAAGAAGAGUUUAACAAUCAGGCAACAUCUUUAGUCCUUAAGCAUGGGAUAAAUUGUACCAUCUUGGAGUAAUGAUUUAUCACUACAAGUAUGCAAUCAUGUCUCUGAUAGUUUUUGGCAAACCAGGGACAAAAUCCAUGCGUAGGUCUAGCCAUGGUUCAUGUGGCACAGAAGUGGCAUGUAUAAACCUGUAUUCUUCCUUUGCCUCUUUGAUAAUUUGUAGGUUUGAUGUCUGGAGACAUUCUUAGCCACAUCUUUUUUCAGACUUGGUCAGUAAAAAUGAUUUUCCACCAUUGUAAUGGUUUUAUCUCUUCCAAAUUGACCGGUUGUUUCUCCAGCAUGACGAAAUGAUGUUUUGGGUAAGCAAAGCCGAGUCCCUUUGAAGCAAUAUCAAUCAUGUAAAAAAUCACCAUAUUUUCCCGAAUUUCCAGGCACUAAAGCAACGCAUAUAAUGCUAAAAUCUUUGGAAGAAGGAUAAGGUCUCUUAAAUGAGUCAAAUCCAACAACUUGUACAACAAUAGAAGAAAGAGUGAAUGCCAAUUUGCUAAGAGCCACUGCAAAGAAUUCUUUGUCAUAGGUACAAUAUUUCUGCUUUGCUUCAUUAAGCUUUUUGCUAAGAAAUGCAAUAGGGACACCUCUAACUCUUAUAUUUGAUGCAUUGCAUGCCGCUUCUAACACCUCCCGGAAAAUUUGGAAGCUGCAAAACCAGUGCUUCAAUUAACAUUUUCUCAAUUUCUUUGAAAGCUUGUGAUGUUGCCUUGGUCCAAUUCAACUGAUUUUCUUCAUACAAUAAAUUAUAGGGGCUGUAACAUUGCUGAAACUUAUGAUGAAAUGUCCAUGGAACAUUUCUAGCCCAUGGUAACUUUGUACUUGUUGUGAUGUGUUGGGAAUUAGGAUGGCUUUUACUUCAUUCAUACUUCCAAUCCUUUUGCCAAAACAACAAGCCUAAGAAUACUACUGCUGAGAUCAUGAAAGAGCAUUUCUUGAAAUUUAUGUAGAGCUUUUCUUGGCGAACAACUGUCAUAACUUGCCAUAGAUGGGAGAUGUGAUCUCCUUUGGUCUUGCUGUAAUUAAGAUGUCAUCAAAGUAAACAACCAGGAACUUUUCAAUAAAUGGCUGAAGUACUUGAUUUAUGAAGCACAUGAAUGUGCUAGGGGCAUUUGAAAGGCCAAAAGGCAUGACUAGCCACUCAUAGAGGCCAUCUUUUGUUUUAAAGUCCGUCUUCCAUUCAUUUUCCAAUAUACUGCUUAUUUGAUGAUAUCCACUCUUUAAAUCCAUCUUUGAAAAUAUGCAAGAGCCAGCCAUCAUGUCAUAUCUAACAUAUGAUUGAAUCAAGGGAUAGGAAACUGAUACUUGAUGGCUAUCUUGUUAGUAGUGUGACUGCCAACUACUAUCUUUUUUUUUUGUGUUAGCAAGGCAAAGACAACAUGAGGGCUUAAACUUUCAUGAAUAGUUCCCUUGGACAGCAGCUACUCUACUUGUCCUUUUAGUGCUUCAUGCUCACUUGGAUUCAUAUGAUAGGCUGGAAGAUUAGGCAAUUGAGGCCUUGCCAUAAAAUCUAUAAGCAUGCUGAAUGUUGUGCAGAGAGGAAAGUUUUUUAGCAACAACUAUGGUAGGUCUUUUCGAGCAACAUCUAUGGUAGUUCUUUUUUAGCAACAUCUAUAGUCAUCAGGAUCAUAGGCUCUAUAAUCAAAUGAAUUUCGGUUUCUUCAUCUUUUUGUUGUUCUUGUUCUUCUUCAUGCUCCAUUCUGAUGUACAAAUUGUUCUUUGGACAAUUUAGGUUAUUUGGCUGGGUUGUUGACACUUAAAACACCUAUUAACCUUACCCUUAGGAUUAACGACAUUAGAAGAAUACAACUUAGACCCUGUAGGUUGGAUAAAUGGCUUGAAUUGGCCUAUUCUUGCACUGCAACCUACAUCAGUGAACCUCUUUGCACUGGUUCUAUGGAUGAAACUCACAUCCCAAGUACUCCUCCAUAUCUAAUGCAAAUUGAAAAACAUGUUCUAGGUUGUAUAAUAGCUUUCAAGGGAGAUCUGGCUGAGGGAGGGGGAUAGAAACACGGGUUUCUUCCAUCAUAUGGCAAACGCUCAUCAUAGAAACAAUUCUUUGGACAGAAUUAAGAUAAAUGGGGAAUGGCUUUCAGAGGAGCAGGAGAUUAGGGAAGGAAUUGCUAAUGCUUUUCAUCAGCUGCUAUCAGAAGAUACGGGGUAGAAGGCGGACAUUGGGAGGCUUCAGCUUGAUCAAAUCAGUCAGCAAAAAGCAGAGAAUCUGGAGAGUCUUUUUACAGAGAAUGAAGUUCAUAUAGCUUUGAUGGAGAUGAAUGGGGAUAAAGCCCCUGGUCCAGAUGGCUUUACUAUGGUUUUUUGGCAAAGUUGUUAGGACUUUGUUAAAGAUGAGAUCCUAGAAAUGUUCAAGGAAUUCCACGAGCAUAGCUCUUUCCUCAAGAGCCUCAACAAUACUUUUCUGGUUUUGAUUCCUAAGAAAAGUGGGGCUGAGGACCUUGGAGAUUUUAGACCUAUUAGUCUUCUGGGGGGGCGGGGCUUUAUAAGUUAUUGGCUAAAGUGCUAGCUAACAAGCUGUAGAAAGUGGUUGGAAAGGUGGUCUCCACUUCUCAAAAUGCCUUUGUGAUGGGAAGACAAAUUCUUGACGCUUCUUUAAUUGCAAAUGAAGUGAUAGACUCAUGGCAGAAACAAAACGAAAAGGGCCUUAUUUGCAAAUUGGACAUAGAAACAACUUAUGACAGCAUCAAUUGGAAGUUUUUGUUGAAGGUUUUGCAAAAGAUGGUCUUUGGGUCUAAGUGGUUGGGGUGGAUGUGGAGUUGCUUGUCUUCAGCCAAAUUCUCAGUUUUGGUUAAUGGGGUGCCUUCUGGCUUCUUCCCUAGCACUAAGGGCCUUAGACAAGGAGAUCCCCUAUCUCCUUAUCUCUUUGUUAUAGGAAUGGAAGUGCUGGAUGUUCUUAUCAGGAGAGCCGUGGAGGGGGGAUUUUUAUCAGGGUGUAACAUUAGGGGUGGUAGCAGAUCCUCUUUGAACAUCUCCCAUUUAUUUUUUGAUAAUGACACAAUUGUGUUUUAUGAGGCUAGUAAGGAGCAUCUAACUCACUUAAGUUGGAUUUUACUCUGGUUUGAAGCGGCUUCAGGUCUAAGGAUUAACUUAGUUAAAAGUGAAAUUAUUCCAGUUGGAGAGGUGAAGGAGAUUGAAGAGUUGGCUGUUGAGUUAGGUUGUAAGGUGGGGUCCUUACCCUCUCAGUAUUUGGGACUUCCUCUAGGGGCUCCUAAUAGAGCUUCUUAUAUGUGGGAUGAGGUGGAAGAGAGAGUAAGGAGGAGACUUGCGCUAUGGAAACCACAAUAUAUCUCCAAAGGGGGAAGAAUCACUUUAAUAAAAAGUACUUUGUCUAGCAUGCCAAUCUAUCAAAUGUCUAUUUUCAGAAUGGCCAAGAUUGUUGCUAGAAGGCUAGAGAAAGUGCAAAGGGACUUCCUAUGGGGAAGGGGAAAUCUGGAGGGGAAAAUUCAUCUAGUUAAUUGGGAGGUGGUUUGUACAGACAAGGAAAAGGGUGGGCUAGGCCUUAGGAAGCUAGCCAUGUUGAACAAAGCCUUGCUUGGAAAGUGGAUAUAGAGGUAUGCUUGUGACAAAGAUAAUCUUUGGAAACAAGUGAUUACGGUGAAGUAUGGGCAAGAGGGUCUUGGAUGGAGGCCAAAGAAGGCUAAUGGGGCGGUUGGAGUAGGGGUUUGAAAGGAGAUUUGGAAAGAAUCAGAUUGGUGCUGGGAUAACAUGAUAUUCCGAGCUGGGAAGGGCACCAAGAUCAUAUUUGGACAGAUGUUUAGUGUACCGAUACAACAUUGUCCCAUUGCUUUCCUCAUCUCUUUGUCAUGGCUGUUCAAAGGAGUUCAACGGUUGAGGAAAUGUGGGACCAAAAUUCUAGUCAAGGAGGUUGGAACCUAAACUUUUUGAGGGACUUCAAUAAUUGGGAGCUAGAUAUGAUUGGGGAUUUGCUCCAUGUGCUGAGGGGUCAUAGGCCUUCUUUGGAGGAAGACUCAGUUUUUUGGAGGCAAGGAAGAAAUGGUUAGUUCAGGGUUAAGGAAGCUUAUAGCUUGUUGACCAAUCCUAAUGAAAUCGGCUUUCCUUCAAGAAGUAUUUGGGUGGCUAGGGUGCCAACUAAAGUCGCCUUCUUUGCUUGGGAGGCGACGUGGGGGAAGGUGCUUACUCUGGAUAGACUAAAAAGAAUAGGGGUGCAACUUCCGAAUUGUUGUUUUUUGUGUGGGUGUGAAGAAGAAAAUGUAAAUCAUAUCCUUAUACAUUGUAUAGUGGUUAGAGUUUUGUGGGAUAUUGUCCUUGGGUUAGUAGAUGUUAAAUGGGUCUUUCCAGAAACUGUAAAGGAGGUCUUAAUUAGCUGGAGGGGCUCCUUUGUGGGGAAGAAAAGGAAAAAGGUUUGGGAUUCCAUUCCAUUGUGUAUUUUUUGGACGGUAUGGAAGGAGAGGAAUAGAUUAGCUUUUAGGAGGGGGUGUGUUGAAUAUUCAGAAGUUAAAGAAUUUUUUUGUCUGUAACUUGUGGAGUUGGGCCAAAUUGUAUUUUGGUGAGGAGUCUUUCUCUCUUAUAGGCUUCCUGGAGUGGGUAGCAUCCACUUAAGGGGAGGUGAUUCUUUUUAUCUUUGUUUUUUGAGGCCCUAGCCGCCUUGUAUACCCCCUGUAUGCUUUGUGGCUUUUUGCCUCUUUAUUAAUGCAUUUCCUUUUACUUAUAAAAAAAAAACAAAAAAGUUCUAGGCUGUAUAAUGGUUGAUGCAUCAACUCUCUUCUCAUUUUAGGUCUCAAUCCAGCUUUGAAUCAUGCAAGAGUUUGCCCUUGGAUCUUCUACUAUUUGACUCCAAGUCUUUAGCUCAUGAUAUCUUUGCAUGUACUUUGGUCUCUACAAUAGACAUGUUGUUCUGAUUCAUAGUAAUGAGGUGAUUACAUAACUUAUUACAAUAAUUGAUCCUGUAUGUAUUUUUCACAUAGCUUAUCCUUCAUCUCAUGCCAUGUGCUGACAGGUGGUAGCCUCAUCUUCCCAUCUUCCUAGUAUCUCUUUCAACAUCUGUCCACUAAUCUUUUGCUAAGCCUAUUAGUUUCAUUUUAGUAAACCACCCUCUCUAUUCAUCAUUCAUACAUACCAAUCAAAACAGUCCUCAAUUGUAGUUAGCCAAUCAAGAAAUUGAGUAGCAUUGCCCUUCAAAUUAGAACUUCUCCUUUUACUUUCCUUGUGAUAUCUUCAGCAGUUUCACAAGGUUUGCACCUUGUUUCAGGUAGUCCUCUAGCCCAUUCAGAUAUAGGAUAUUGUGGUGCAUGUCCAAUGUUCCUCCAAGUUUUUGUUGUUAUUAAUUUGAGAUAAUUCUCCUUGCACAACACGUGCUAAAUCAUUAGUGGGCUGAGAUAUUUGUGUCUCAAUGUUGCUUAGUCGAAUAUGCAGGCUAUCAAGCUGUUCCAUCACCACAUAGUAUCUCAUCAUGUUGACUAUUAGAUAAAUCUAUUUUGAAACUCUUGCUAGGUCUUGUAAUCAUGAUCUCAACUUGCUUUGAUGCCAAAAUUGAUGCUGAACAGAAAGGUAAAAGAAAACAUGUUGGGACUCUAGGGAUCACUUCCAAAUCUUAGGCUUCACACUUAAGUUCAGUUUGCAUCACGCAAAUAAGUUGAACUAUCAUAGUACGAUUGGUUCAUAAUAAGGUGUCAUCUGAUUGGUUCUCGUGGAGACAACUUGUGAUCAUUCAAACUGGAGGCUGCACCUGAUUGAUUACAUUGAAAGUUGGAAGGUUUUGUAUGAGAUAAAUGAACCAACUUUAUACACUAUAACUCUAGACCUUAGACUCUUUUAGAGCUAAUGGCAAUACUAAUGAAGUUGGAAAAUCAACAAUGUGAACUGAUAAAAAAAAUUGAAAGACUCUUGAAAAUGUAAAGCAUUAAUGAUUUUGGAAAUAAGAACACCUGUGAUCCUUUGACUAAACUCAUAAACAAAACUUAGACUGAAAUCCACAUUGAAGUAUAUAAAAUCCCGACUGGGCCUAUUAUCAUCCAAAGUAUGCCAAAUCAUAAUUUGGGCCUUAAGAGUCCAAUCUCUAUGCAUUUGUUAACCUUUCACAAGUGAUUGCCACUUGUCUUCAUCGCUAACAAACACGAUUAUAGCAUCAAAGAAGGGCCAUGUCCCCAAAUCUGGCAGUAAAAGUUCUUUUUACAAGCUAACCUCAGGGAUCCAAUUACUACAUUAUUGUGUUAACCAUGAACAUUGGUGCUCCUGUUCUGCUUGCAUGGUUACACUGAACCUGCUAUCCAAAUGUGUUGGUUGACCAAAUGAGAAACUCUAGGAAAAUGAAUGAAUUCAUAGUGACAUAGCUACAUUGAAUGCAACUUGUGUGUUUGUGUGAACAGGAUUGGGGGAGUUAAAGAGAGUUUUUAGAAGGGAGAAUACCUUUUUAAUUGGUCUUAGUGUUCAGUAUGCAGCUGGUUCAGUGAUCAAGAGGCCAGUUUAUAAUACAAUUUUCUUGAGAUUUUUAUUGAAGUGAUCCCUUGAAAAGUCAGGCUACUUUUUCAAGAAGUAAAUGUUUUAUCUUGGAGGUUGUAAAAGAUGCAUUCUCAGAAUAGGUGCCUUGAUUAUGUUUCUUCAGCAGAAGAACCUACAAUUAGGGUCCUGUGUAUAUCCUUUCUUGGAAUUUUCAUAACUUUACCAGUAUUAACUUUCUAUUUUAGGACUAAACUGUUCAGCAAAUCUAUGGAAAAGACUAAAGAGUAAGUACUAAGUAGUUCCUCCAAGGGCUGCCAAAAAGCACUUCCCAAGGCCAUGAGCCAAAACUGGGCCACAUGGAAAGGGGUUGUAACAAGUCACUUGACUUGGGGUUGUUAGAGGCCAUCAUUAGUCAAGAUUGGUUUUAGAUUUAACUUUAGGAAUUUAUUUAUUUUCCUGAUUCCUAUUUUAUUUUUAGUUACAAAAUCAUAUUUGACUCUUGUUUUCCACUCUAAAUUCACAAUAUGUGAACCUUUUUUUUUUUUAUCAGAAACGAAGAAGAUUAUAUUAAUAUAAAAACAAAUACAGGAGAAAUAAAAGAAACAAGAGAAAGAGAAAAAAAACCAAGGGAAGGAUGAGAGGUCUUUUCUACACAAAUUGAACAAAGGAGAAAACUCCCAACAAUAGAACUCUAAAAACAAAGAGAAACCCCAUCAAUUUUCAAACUUUUGAAAUGCAAACCCCAAUCCAAUUGAGUUGUAGAACAUUUAGAGGAACUCCUCUAAAAGCUUCAGUACAAGAAGCCCAUAGAGAAGAAUAAAACCGAAUCAAAUCCCAUACCAUCUCUUCCGUUCUCUCUCUAUCCUCAAAGAUCCUAUUGUUUCUCUCUUGCCACACCAUCCAAAUCAAAGUAAGGCAAGCAAUUUGCCAAAGUGUCUUGCCUCUUAAUGAGUUCCCCAAGCCUUUAAAAGUAAUAACCAACAUAUCCUCAAGGCUCCUUAGAGGACCCAAACCAACCCUACUAGAUUGAAUAACCUGUGCCAAAGUCCAAUGGUAACGGGACAAUGAAGAAAAAGGUGGUCAAUCGAUUCUCCAUUUCCUUUGCAAAGAAUGCACCAUUGAGGACAGAGGGCUUUGUAGGGUCUUCUCAAUUGCAACUUGUCAUUAGUGUUUACCUUCCCAUGUUCUACUAACCAAGCGAGGGCCUUAACCUUUGAAGGGACUUUUGAGCUCCAUAAGAACUUGGCCGGAAGGAACAAUAAAGGAUUUGAGACUUUUGACAAGGCCAAGAAAAAAGAUUUCACUGAAAACAAACCUAACGAAGACAAAGACCACGCUCUUGAAUCUGAUGAAGAAGUAGAGAAAAACACAAAACUAAGGGAGGACAUUAAUCUCUUAAGGAAAUCAAUUUCUGAAUCCGUUAGAUUGCGGCGAAAAUUAAAAUUCCAAGACAGUGGUAAGGAAUUGCCAAGGACAUUUAAGACAGUGAGGUUUUUCACAGAAAUAACUCUAUAAAGAUCAACAAAUUGAGAGCACAAAGUUUGGUUACCCCACCAAAGAUCUUCCCAAAACCAAAUUCUCUCCCCAUUGCCCACUACUAGGCGGACAAAAGGGGAAAACUCCUGGAAAACUUGAGCAAUAGCCUUCCAAGGACAUCUGUGUGACCAUCUAACCACCAUGUUGGUGUUCCAUCCAUUUGGAUGUGUCCCAUAUACUCGCAAUAACCUUAUGCCAAAGACCACUUGUGGAUCCGCAUUUUUCACGUGUGCCCCCAUUCAAUCGGCGAGACUCGCUUUUUAUUUGUGAAAAAGUAAUUUUUAGAAAAGUUGGAGUCGCCAGUUAUUUUAUUUUAUUUUAAAGGGAAAAUAAAACCCUAAAAAAAGAUGACUCCAUAAUAUUUGGAAAAGCGUGUCUUUGAAAAACUCAAGUCUAAGUCUGAGGAUAAAGUUACCUAUUAAGAAGGUACCUCUAGGAGGUAGCACCCCUCUAAGCCCUAUAAAGGUCUCUACUCACUAAGUUAAGGGAGAUAAGGCAAUUAAUUGAUUAAUUGAGGGUACCUAGGUAGACUAAUGUGAUUUCAAAAAAUAGCAUGUCAAACAAGAUCAAAUCACAAUAAAGGAGAGUUAGGGUGUGUACCUGAACCGCUUCUUAAGCACCAUCAAAAGGGAUCAAAGGUUAGUUUGAAAAUAUGACACGUAACAUGCAUUUUUAUCAAAGAUGAUCAAACAAGCAUCAAGGCAAUCGAGUAUGACAUCAAACAUGGACAUGGCUCAUGAUAACAUACACAUUCAUAGAAUUUUAGAGUUGAAGGGGUAGAAAGAGCGUAUCUGAUUAGCGAGCAUCCACACCUCUAUGGGAAACAAGGGUAGCUCAACAAAUAAAUACAAAACAAAUUCAUGUAUUUCAUCAAGAGGAAUAAAAAAUCAAUCAGAUAUCAAGCAAACAAUAUUGAAGAGAAUAUCAUGAAUGUCGGGCCCCCCUCUAAAGGCCUAAUUAAUGUUGCAUGAGUUGAUUCUAUGAAUUCCAUUGUUUGGAAUCAUGAAGUUCGUUCAUGCUUAAAAAAAUCAAGAAAACCAAGAAAAAUGUUGAAAGACCCAAAAGAUGCAUGCCUAAAUGAAACAUGGUAGCAAGGGUUUUUAAAACUGAAUUUUCUCAACCUGAAAUCCUUCAAUGAUGAAAUUAAAAAAUGAAUAAUAGCUUUGAUGGAAAAGAGAUUUUGAAAACGUGAUUCAAAACAUGUAAGAUCACAAGGAAAUAUAAAAGCAAUAAGGGAAUGGUGCAUCAAGAUGGCCACUGUAUGAGUGAGGUCUGGGGGUGUGACUGAGACUACUUUGCUAAAUUUGAAGAUGAUUUCCUUAAUUCCAUUCUGCUGCAACAUUCUGAUACGCCUCAAUAAUUCAGGCACGUUCAUCUCCUUGGCCAUCUGAAACAAGCUCCAUGGUUUGCAGAUAAUUAUAAGUCUCAUGAAUGCAGGAGCAAUCAUUACCUAUUUCCAGUAAUUAACAUAUUUAACAUCCUGUUCACGAGUCAUGCAACCUGGUUAACCCACCAGAUUGCAAAGAAUUAAUGCCAAGUAAAUUCUAUGAGGAACAAGUGGGUGUCACGAUUCUCAAUUUUUGAAGCUUCAAUCACAGACUACACAAAUAGUUGACUUUCAUUAAGUUCGUCAUCAUCAUCAUCCACACAACCAGGUUGUUGUUUCAAUUCAGUGUCAAGUUGGUGAAUCUUCUUCUGUUUUAGCCAUAUAGGAAGCCUUUUCGAUUGUAAAUCCGGAAUGACAUCAAGCUUAAUCUCCAAUUCUGAACCCUCAAGGUACAGUUUCUUCAUUGAGCCUUUAUUACUUUUCCUUUACUGAUAUUACAGUAGUUCAACUCAGGCAGCCAACUUAGCGAAUUAAGCAAGCAUUUGUUGAGAAGACGUUCAGUUCAUUUAAACAGCAGAGAUGCUUCCCAAACACUUUGAGAAGUUAUAAAAGGAUUUCUCACCAAUCUGCUCACUGUCCUCCAUAUUUAAAAGUCCCUUUAGCCAUCUCAGUUGUGAAUCUUCAAAUCUAUGAUCCUAAUCUGUCCGGAUAAUUUCCCUCCUAGCAAAUUCGGGAAUCGACUUAGAAUUUCUAAGAUGUUCAAGGUCUUCCUUGAGUUUUGAAUACCCUAAUUUCAAUAUAGAAACCUUUUCUGUAAGAACCUUUCCUGAAGCAAUCUCAACAGCAAGUUGUUUAGCGAACUUUUGUGUUUCAACGCCUAUUUCAUCAACAUGACUUUGUAGAGAGCUUACCUCCAGCUUAAGCUCAAUAAUAGAAGACUCCGCAACUUCCAAGCUUCCUUUAAGCCUAUUGCUCUCUUCAUAAGAAAUUGACAAGUCAUUAUCCACAGAAUUGUCUAGACUCCGUCCAUGAACCCAAUCAUUGCUUCUCUGUGCCAAAAACCUUUGAUCUGAUGGGCCCUCUUUCUCUGUCUGGGGACUUUGAGUGUAGGAAAGUCCAUUUAAAUCACCAGAGGUUGCAUUCUUAAGACUAUCGAUCUCAUGUGUGCUGGAGGUAUCAUGCUUUUCAGUUUAUAAAAUUUCUGAUGUAUUGAAUGAGCCAUCAAAUCUAAUAGCUGAGUCUGAAUAUUCUUCAUUUAAUCCUCCCUCUUCUUCAAGUGAAGGAAGCUCUGUUGAUUCUGGUUUGAAUCUAACCUUUACAUUGACCUUAUCCAUGUGUUCAUUGACAGUUUCUUCGGAUGAUAAUGCUUCUCCUCCGUUAGAUCCAUCACGCCUAAUUUGUCCAGUGUUCAUCUGCAACCCUCUCUCUCUUUGUUCCCUCUGCUGCUCAAACUCUCUGAACCUGAUUUUAGAAGUUAACAGCUGCACAGUAACAUGUAAUACAGUCCCAGAAUUGCAUCCAUGAAGAGGCAGUGCAACAGUAGAAGGCUUUAGGGCAUUGGAAUAAUCAGCAAGGUUGAUAUUAGCCUCACCCAGGAUAUUAGACCAUGAAGAACCCAUUGCCACUAUAACUUUACAGAGCUUCUCAUCGUACUGCUUGGUUAGACUUGUUUGAAAGCUGAGCGUUCACAUCAGCUUUCAUACGUCGCAGGAGGUAUGGCAUACUCAAGUCACGUAGGACUACUGCACACUUGUAAAUGGUGGAUGCAUGUAAUGGAGAAGCAUUGGCAUAGCCACCAACAGAUAUAGGAACUGUAAAUUCUGCUUCAAAUAUAUGCAACAUCCCCAAAUUCCCAGAGAAUAUAAAAUCGAACAAAGACCACAGCUCAGCCAGCUUAUUCUGAAUUGGCGCACCAGUCGUUAUAUGGUGAAGGGUCUGUAACUGUUUAUGGAGUAUGCUAACUCCAGCAUUUGAAUUCCAAAUUCAGUGUUCUUCAUCUAAAAUUGCAUAACCCGUUUGAUAUCAAGUAGCUUUCCAGCCUGGAUGGUCUUGCCAAGUCCCAUCUCGUCUCCAAUAAUUCCACCUACUUGUUGGCGAUGCAGUUCUCACAGCCACUGAACCUCCACCUUUUGAUAAUAAAAAGGUUUACUGAAAAUGCUUUUAGGUAUUCUCAGACCACCUUCAAGUGUUACAUAAGGGGGGUUCAUUAUCGUCUGUAUUUUCAGUAUCUUUUUGGUUUACUUCUUCAUUACUAGAGGUCACUAAAUUGUCACUUGUAUCUUUCAUCAUGAUCUGCCUCCUCAAAUUCUAAGAUUAAAGCACCUGCAGAAACAUUCUGAGCUAUGUCUAUGCUGGAAGAUGGACAAGACUGCCUCUUAACUUCACUUCGAACAGCUGGAGUUUCUGAACCCUUACGAUUUGGAUGGCAAGGUGGCUCUGAGGGGAGCCAAUUUCUAAUCAGACGGCACAGCCUUCGAAUCGCAGUUUUCGCUGUAAGAAGUGGAACAGAUUCACCAAGAGAUGCAAGACUUUGAUCCAGUUUUAGCGUAGAAUUUUUAGAACCAGUCAUUUUCAAUCUACUCACUAUACAUUCUGAUUCAAACAAAAAUCCUUUCGAUCGAAUGAGUUUCGUUCCAUCGCCUACCACAAUCUUUUUUUUAAUUUUGAACAUGAGAGAAAGAGAGCGUCAUAAAUUUUGUUUUGAUUUUCCCAUUUCAAAUAGCAUUUGCCUCAGCUUUUUGAGAAUAGCUUCAUCAUCUGGCCUGGCCAUUUUCAAUGCUUCUGGGAGAUUCUUACAGCCUGCAUCAUCUUGAUCACUUGGUUUGCUGUGAAAAUUGUUUGUUUGUAUGAGAGGAGCAAAUAUCGAUUCUGCAUUCGGUGUACAGGUGGUUGCCAGAAACUCCAGUCUUUAAACACAAAUUGAGUCUUCAUCAUAGGGUGGAUGCUAUUGAAGCAUUAGAAAUCCUUCAAUUAAAUUGUUUGAGCAUUCCAGAACCUUUUGGCAGAGUAUCUUCCAGCGCUAUGGGAGACAAAGGUUAAAUGCUUGGCUGGAUUUAUGGCAGCACACUCUUCCAGUGAUGCGGCGAUUUCGACGUGUUCCUGACUGAUUUCAAGAGCAUUUUUGCUGCUCUUUGUGGUCAAUAGUCUGACCAACAAAAACUUCAACACUUGUAUUAACUGGAAAGUUCAUCAGCUGAUGGCCAAGAGAAUCCCAAGAUCUGCCUCAAAAUGGGUUUAGUUCUGAUGCGAAUGCUGCUCUCUCUUUUUUUUUUUCUCAGGUAAUCUGUUGAUAAAGCUCACCAAAUUUUCACAUUCAACCCGAUCUUCCUCCCUCAGAGCAAAACUGGUUAGAGAAGACCUCCCAGGAAGGAGUUGUCCAUAUGUUUGAACUAGAGUUAUUUCAGGGACAGCAGCUAAAAUUUUCAACAUGGAAUGAGUGAGUGUACAAGGAUGACGCUUGAAAAUGAGGUUUAAGGCCCCAAUUUUUCCUCUUUCAGCGAGUGCAACAGCAGCUCAUCAGAAGGCCACUUUCUAGAGAGAAUGGACGGAGUAAUAAGAUUCUUGGUCAUUCGUUGCAUAAGCAUCAACCUGGUACUCUGGCUAGGGGGCCAUAGUUUGAUUGACAUCUUGCGUUAUUGAAGAUUUUGGGCAGUGGAGUCCAUGUCAAAGAAACCUAUGUUUCUGGGAAAACCUCUUUCUGGGAGAUUUUGGGUGAUUUUGAGAAGGUUAUGGAAAAAUUAAAGGGGAAAACUGAAGGAAAAUUUCUGAAACCAAGGAGCAUGGAAACUGAUCCUUUUGGGGCAGCAUGUCAAAUGCCCUCCUUGCCAAGACUAGAGCAUCAUAUUUUGAGUGCAUAUUUACAAGUGCACCACUCACAAGUACCUCUUUGCUAACUCAUGCUUGAAGAGCAUACCCAUGAACUUCCUUUCCUUUUUCUAAGGAAUGAAGAGCAGAACAUGCAGUUAGAGCUGCAGUUAAAGUCAUUUGAUCUGGUCUAAUUUCUUCUAAUAGCAUCUCUCUGAAUAGCUGAACAGCUUGUUCUGCAUGGUCAUGCUCUGAAAACCCAGAGAUCAGGGAGGCCCAUAAAACAUAUUCUUUGUCAGGCAUUUGCUCAUAAACUGUGCAAGAUUCCUCUAAACUACCACAUUUUGAGUACACUGUGGAAAGAAAACUGCCCACAGAAAUAUCAGUAAACAAGCCAAUUUUAAUAAUGCAGCAAUGAAUCCGUCUCCCCAAACUUACUGUCUAUUAUGCUCAAGACACUAGAACUACAAAACUUAUCAGGUCUCAGACCCUCCUGAAGCAUCUCCUGAAACAAUUCAACUGCCUUUCCAGUACUCCCACUUUGAGCAAAGGUGGAUAUCAUAACAGCCCACGUGGCUAGAUUCUUUGUACUUUCCAUCUCUCCGGACACCCUUUUAGAUAAAUCAACCACUCUUAUUUUUGAAUACAUAUUGAUCAAAGUAUAACUUACAGUGGAAUCCAAAUUAAUAGAACCCAGUUUUGAAAAUCUAGGAAUGUAGUUAGAUUGCCUCUUUAUUCAUAGCUGGUUUAGCGCGAACAGUAAGUACACUAGUUAUGGGGUAGUUGCCUAUUUUCUCUCCUACUUUUCUCAUUUCUUUGAAGAAGUGGAAAGCAGAAAAAAAAGCUGUCAUCCUUUUGAACAAAAACAGAAAUGGUGGUAGUCCAAGAAACUACAUUACAUAUUGGCAUUCACAAAAAUUCUUUCACAGCUUGAUCCAUAUCCCUGAAUUUGGCAUACAAAUCAAUGAUGGCAGUCCCCACAAAAACAUCUUCUCCUGCACCACAUUUAAUUACUCGUCCUUGAAUCCCUCUUCCAAACUCAAGUUCCUCAAGCGCAGCACAAAUUGUUAAAAUGCUUGAAGACGUAAAACUAUUUGGCAUAAAAAAAAUCUGCAACACAUUCGGCAGAAAAGAUCUAAAGCAACCCAAUUUUCCUUAUUUUUAACAACCCCAGAAAUGAUAGCAUUCCGGCAAACCACGUUCUCACAUAAAACGUCUUGAAACACCUUCAAAGCUGCAAAGCUUUGUAAACAAAUUAAUCAUUCCAGCCUGAACAUACCCAUUUGAGAAGAACCCAUUUUUCAAUGCGAGUGAAUAUACCAAUUCACCAUACAAAGGAGACCCUAAGGCAGUACAAGCCGAAAGAACACUCCCAUAGGUGAACUGGUUGGGAUCAAAUCCUAGAAAAAAAAACUCCAUCUUACAACAAAAAAAUCCUCCACGAAUCCUCAAAUUAAAAGUUCUGGUUGCAACCUGAAAUCGCAAUAUCCCAAGAAAUAACAUUUGGGUGAGGAGUUUUAUCAAACAAUCUGGGUACAUGAACCAGGGAAUUGGAUUUACAAUACCAAUCCAUUAAAGAAUUAACUAUUCAAAGUCAGUGAUCCCUCUCCAUAUGAUGAUAAGAUCAGCAGAGCAUGGCAACAAGGUUGCUUCCAUAAGGAUCAUCAGUUGCAGUAUAAACUCCCAUUUUCUAACAGAAACGAAAAUCAAACUUCCAGAAUUUCUCCCAUUUUUCCAAGGUCGGUGAUGUGUGAUGGAUCCAGAUUUCAAUGAUGCGUGUUCCAGAUUUCUGCAGUUCACUGGAGGAACCUUGGAAUCAACUAUCCAAUAUUUGAGUGAGAUUGUUGCAUACUUCAUCUCUCAUAUUAACACUUCCGUCAUUCCUCAAUAUACGCCCAAAUGCAAUGACAAAGACUCGGACAGCAUGCAGGAAAUGGGAUAGAGAAGAAAUAAAAACGAAGUAAAACUCGGAGAAGGAAGGAGCAGAAGAUGUUGAUCAGUAAACAUAAAUAGCCCCCACUUCAAGUAUUAAUCCAUGGGAUAAGAACAGAAUAGAGGGAACAAUGUAAAAUAGGAUUCAAACGAAAACAGAGUAUGAUCACAUUCAGGCAUGGAGUUAUAUAUUUCCGAAGGCAUCCAUGACACAUAAAAUAAUCAGAAUCAAAAUAAGGUAAAGAAGUAAACGACCAAUCUCAACAGAACAACUUGUGGCCCUUAACGUCCACACCAACCAACAAUAUAUUAAAUAUUCAAAAAUGAACACAUGGAGAAAUCGAACAUGAGUAAGAAUUCCGAGAAUAACUAGGAACGCAUCUGGAAGAACCUUGGCUGCAAUCACUCCUUUCCCACUUCUCUAUGCUUUUCCUCCAAGACAAUCAAAGAAUUCCUGGUUCCUCUUUCUUUUCCCCUCCUCUUAUCAUUCGUUCCUGCUCAAGAUCCUCUAGAAAAAAUCCCCCUUUCUCUAACAUCCUUUCUCACGUAUAUAUAUCACCCCUAAAAAAAUAUUCAAUCUGCUGAAGGAAAUCCACUUUCCUUUCUUUUAUUUUCUUUCCUUUUCGAAAAUCAGAAUGUUUCUUCCCUUCUAUGUAGGAUCCCCUCCUUCCAUAUGUAUGCAGCCACAUUAAUCCCCUUUUCCCUCCAAAAAUAUUUUUCUUACCUUCUUUGAGUGCACAUGCCUUUGUGAGAGUUGAACAACAGCCCCCAUUCUCUUGUCAAACAAUAAAAAAUGAAAAUAAAAGGAAUAAAACCAAAAAGAGUUAGCAAUCUUGCAACAUAUAAAAGAAUAAAGUAAAAUAAAAUGAAUAAAUAAAGUAAAAACAAAAUAAUUAAAUAAAAUAGAACGAAAUGGUCAAUCCUAUGCGGGCCAUGCAAGUCAUGCGACUAUGUGAAACAUGUAAGAAACACUAAAAAGUCUAAUAGGCCAAGUGUGCCUAAGAGGGCCUAGGGGGAUCAGGAUAUUGUGUAGGUGACCUAAACAUGUCUAAGUGUGUCAUCUUAAAAGUGCACCUGAAAGCUAUCCUAAAAGGAAGGAAAACCCUAAGUCUAACUUAGGGCUGCCAAGAAUCACAAUGGGGUUAGACAAAUCCCUCAACCAAAGUCUCUGAGGUGGCUCAAAAAAGGUAAGUAGUGUGAGUAGCAAUGGGCCACCAAGGAACUACUGUGGAGCACUAGAAGUGAACUUAAAGACAUGUGCUAAAGGGACAAAAUUGAGGGUCUACACCACUCCUUUCUCUAGGGAACCUCCAAAGUCAUUUCCCUAAGAGAGCAAUAUUUCUCAUAUUAGUCUCCCCAAAGCUCAAACCUCCCAACUCCUUUGGUCUACUAACAACUUCCCAUCUGAUAAGAUGAUCUUUCUUCCCUUCCCUCGCCCCAGACCAAAGAAAAUCCCUUUGCAUCUUCUCAAUCUUUGAAGCUAUUGAUACUGGGAUUUUAAAGAGGGAGAGGAAGUAGCUAGGGAUGUGAGACAGACAAGACUGAAUUAAGUAAUCAUCCCUUCCAAAGACAAAAAGGCCUUUUUCCACCCAUCUAGCCUCCUCGAAAUUCUCUCAACCACCGGAUCCUAAAAGCCUAUUGUCUUUGGGUUCCCUCCCAAAGGAAGGCCUAAAUAAGAUAAAGGUCACUCUAACACUCUGCAAUCCAAAACCGAAGCCAAACUAGACAACAGCUUUUGCCUAGUGUUAAUACCUGAAAUGGUGUUUUUUUCUAAGUUGAUUUUUAAACCAGAUACUUGCCCAAAAACCAAAAUGAUGAUCUUGAGGUUUUGAAGAUGUUUCAUAGAGGCUUUAGAGAAAAAUAUGGUGUCAUCAGCAAACUGUAACAAAGACACUCUAGUCCUAUCCCUCCCCAUAAAGAAACCCUCAGUUAUCCCAGUUUCCUUCUCUGAUCAUCAACCUACUUAGAACAUCUGCCACUAGAGUAAAAAGGAAAUGAGAAAGGGGGUUUCCUUGUCUCAAACCUCUAGAGGCCUUAACCCAACCCUUUGCAUUCCCAUUAACUAGGAUUGCAAAACUUGAUGAAGACAAACAACCCCUUAUCCAAGAUCUCCAUUUCUGGCUGAACCCCUUCCUUUGUAGUACAUGAUCUAAAAAACCCCAAUCCACAUGAUCAUAGGCCUUCUCAAAAUCAAUUUUGAAGACUACCCCUUCCUCCCCUGACCUUCUUUUCUCAUCCACCACUUCAUUGGCUAUCAACACAACAUCCAAAAUGUGUCUCCCUUCCACAAAGGCUCCUUGAGAGCUAAAGAUUGUUUCAUGAAGAACUUUGUGUAAACGCCUUGAUAAGACCUUAGCAAUUAUCUUAUAUAAACUUGCAACCAAGCUAAUAGGUCUAUAAUAUGAUAUUUUAAAAGUUUGGCUUUUCUUUGGCACCAUAGCAAUGAAUGUCGCAUUUGUACUUUGAUUUAUUACCCCCUUAGUGUGGAACUCAAGAAACACCCUCAUAAGAUCCUCUUUUAUCACAUCCCAACACUCUUGAUAAACUGUUAUAGUAAAGCCAUCAAGGUUAGGGGCCUUUUCCUUAUUCAAUUGGAAAACUGCCAUUCGAACCUCCUCUUCAGAAAACGGUCUAUCCAGCCAAACUGCACUCUCUCCAGAAAUAGGGGCCCAAUCAAUCCCUUCAAUCCUCCAAGAGUCACCUUUAGGUUUGGAAUAGAGUUUCCGAAAGAAAUUUACAAUCUCCUCAUAAAUAACCUCAAUGUUACUUAAAGUCUCCUCUAUCUCAGAAAUCAGAGACUUAAUGAACUUCCUGCUUCUUAUUCCAGUGGCCACUCUGUGAAAGAACUUAGAGUUGCAGUCCCCUUCUUUAAUCCACUUAACCCUAGAUUUUUGUCUCCAUUGAACCUCUUCCUUUAAUAACAAAUCCUCUAGCUCCUUCCUUCUUAAGGUCAUUUCCGAUACCAAAUCAAGAUUUAAAUUCCCUUCUUGUUCAAUUAGAUCAAUUCUACCUAAGUCCGAAAGAAUGUGUUUUUUCCUCUCUCUUAAAUCUCCAAAGGCCACUAUAUUCCACUCUUUCAACUUUGAUUUAACAAACUUUAGUUUCCUCAUGAACUUGUGACCUUCCCAACCUUCAACCAUACACUCUUGCCACCAAUCUCUAAACUUCUCUUUAAACUCAAGAUGGAGCAACCACAUAUUCUCAAACCUAAAAGGAGUCGGUCCCCAUUUUAAAGGAUUAGUUUCCAAACAAAUUGGGCUAUGAUCAAAGGUCCAUUUAGGAAAGGCCUCUUGAAAACUUUGAGAGAAAAAAGAAUCCCACUCAGAAGAAAACAAAAACCUAUCCAAUCUCUUGCAAAUAGGAUCCACUUGCAUGUUUGACCAUGUAAAAGCCGCAUUCCUUAGAGGGGGAUCCAACAAACCACUCUCCCUUAUAAACUCAUCAAAACACCUCAUGUUGAUUGUUAACCUAGAAUCACCCAUCUUCUCAGAUAUCCUCCUGAUAACAUUAAAAUCCCCUCCUACACACCACCUUGGGAAAGUUAGACCAUACAGGUCUUGAAGCUCCAACCAAAAGUCCUUCCUCCACAAAGGCUUAUUCGGACCAUACACUGAGGUUAACCAAAAAGACCCUUCCUCAUCAGAGUUCAACUUUACAGUUACAGAGAAGGAUCCUAACACCUUCUCUGUACACUUGAACUUAAUUGAAUCCCACAACAUCACAAUCCCCCCCAAGCCCCACAAACAGGAAGAGCAGCCCACUCCAAACUUCUGUCUUUCCAAACACUGCUCACAAACCUCCUGUCCUAAAUUACUCUCUUUGUUUCCUAAAGCAUCAGAGGUUAUGCUCAUUUUUUAAUUAUUUUUUUAUGAUUCUCAUAUGUCUUAGCACAAAUAAAGGAAAGGUUUUUUUUUAAUUAAGUUAAUUGAUUGAUAUUGAAAAAAUUAAUUGUUAGUUAUGUUCUAACUUUACAUGCUUGUUAAAAAAAUUAGACUAGUUAAUUUUAAAAUAUCUAUCAUUCUUGUAAUAAUUCACUAUUAAUUGCAUAGCUAAGUGAUUAUGUUCCUUCAUGUUUUCUUUUCAUAUCAGGUUGAUAAUAAAAAUGUAAUAUUGAGAAUGAGUUGAGCAUUGUUCAAUUUCUCAAGAUAAAUGUUCAUAAGGUAUGGAUGGUUGAUGUAUAUGGAAAGGAUUAGUUCACUUGCUUAAUAUCUAUAAUAUGUACUCAUUCUUGAUAUUUGUGAUCACUUCCUAUCUUUCUUCUUUUAUUGUCUUGCUUGUUAAUUUAUAACUUUACAUUCAAUUUGUUAUGAACCAUUAUACUCUAUUUGAAGUUUUGAUUUUAUGAUUCUUAUACACAAAAGAAUACUAACCAUUUGAGCAAGGAGGACAUGAUACUAAAUCAUUUAUCAAUUUGGCUAUUUUCUUCUCUCUAAUUUCUUAGCUUGGGAAUCAAAAUGCUUUGGAAUAUACAAGAAACAAUGGGGAUGAGUCUUUUUUUCAUCAUCUUUAGUUUUAUUGAUGGUCAACUUGAAGUAUCAUCCUUCCUAUUCCCUAAAGUACCCAAACUUGAUAGUUUGAAAUACUUAACAUGUUUACAAAAAUAUUCUUACAUCCUGUUUAGGUUCUAUAUAUUUGGAAAGUUUAUGAAGUUAAUUAUUUUAUUAUAGUCAUUGGCAAAAUGUUGCUCAUACCUUGAACAUAUCUACGAGCUAUUAAUGGCUAGUGCACGAGAAAGCCCCUCUUUCCUCUACUAUCCUUAGUUAGCAUAAAGGGUUCAUAUUUUGUUUUUAUUAUUUAGUCUUGUAAUUUCUACUUGUUAUCCCACUUUUUGUCUCUUUAUGGUUUAUUACUUGAAAAUCAAUUUUUGAAACAUGUUCUUAUAGGUAAUAGUGCUAUAACAUGUUAAAUUCAUGAGAAAAAAAAUUCUAAAUUGAUAUUCAAGGUUUAGUUUAUCUUCAAGUGUCUUCUAGAUGUGGAUUUUUGUGCUUACAAUCCAAAACAUUGAUAUAUGUUCUUUGUAGCUAAGGUUUGGUUUAUUUUCAAAUGCCUUGUGGAAAAGGCUUACGCUUUUCUUCUCUUUCUUUUUGAGAAAAUAUAUUGAUGAUUGCUAGAGAAUGAGGUUGUUGGAAAUCAAUACCAUAGAAAAUGUUUUGACUUUUUAAAAUUAUUUAAUGAAUUUGGUUGAGAACUUACUUGAUAUAGAAAAACAUAUUUAUUUGUGAAACAGGGAAAAAGAAAUAUUUUUUUACACGACUUGCCUUGUGUUUGCUUGAUGUGUGCACACAAACAAAUCAUAUAAUUAGGAAUAAAAAUUGUUUCUCCUUUUUAUAAAUAAAACUAUAACCAAAAUGCAAUAUAGAUAAGUCACAUUAAUUUAUUAUAUCAGUCCUAAAAAAAUGUUUGAACUAUGUUAACUAGUAGGUAUUGGAAAAAGGAAUUAUGUCAUCUUUAUUUGCUAUUUACUUAUUUUAUAAAAUUCUUAUAUCAAUAAAGUUUGAAAUUUGUAUGUAAUAAAUCACUAGCAUUUUGAAUUUUCAUUGUUAUAAUAAUUGUUUCUAAUUGUCUACUCUUUUUUUUGCUUUAUUUUUACAAUUUUUUUAGAAAGUUUCUCAUGUUAGUUAUUGUGUCAUAAAUAUAAUAAUUUUCAAGACAAUGAGGACUUGUGGUAUAUUGCUCACAUUCCAUAAAUAUAUGCUGACAAGGUGGUUUUUAGGUUUAUAUUUUAGAUCUUUUUUCCCACUAUUUAUCUCUUUAUCAUUUAUUACUUGGUAGUCAAUUUCUAAAACACAAUGAGCCUUCUUCUUUUUUCAAGACCAUUUUUUUCGUUCUCAAAUGUACUUGCAUUUGAAAAACUUAAGAGAAUGUUGAUAGGAGUUUCAUUAUGAGGACAUGCCACAACAACAUCACUUGUUAAUAAUAUUAUUCUAUGAGUUGACAUUAAUGUCAAUGCAUCUACACCUAAAAGGAUUCAUUAUACAAAAGUAUCUUCUACAUUUCCAUUCUCUCCCCUUCUCUUAACAUUAAUAUCUACACAUAUUGUAAACAUCAAAGAUCCAACAUCUUUGCUAGCAUAGGAACACAUCAUAGGCUAGAGCAUGUGCCAACAUAAGGACUUAGAGGCUUAAUGUAUCUUUGAGGUCUAAAUACUUAUGGUUUUUCUAGAUCAAUUAAAUUGUAUAUUCACCUUACCCUAACGCUAAUCUUUUACAAAGGACCAUCAAUAAGCCCCCACACUUGAAAAUCCAACAAUUGAGCUCUAUGCACUAUUUUGUAGCUCAUCUAUUUAGUAAUUAUAUUGAUCUUGUUACUUUAUGUUUGCAUUCUUCAUCUUUGGAGAAUUUCUAAGGUUGACAAUUUUGUUAAUAUUGUAGAUGUGAUUCUUUGCAAGUUGAUGCAAAAAAGCAAUACUAUUGUCAUAGUGACCUUGGUACUUUUCUUGAGUAAGUGAAAAAUGAAGAUUGUCAUAGACUAAGUUCUAUCUCAAUAGUUGCCUCUAAAUAUAUGGAACAAAUAGCUCAAAGACCUCAUUUGUGAGAUAAUGGGGAAUGUGAGAGGAUGACCUAUAAUUCCAAGCCCUUGGAAGCUUGUUCCAACAACAUUUUAGAAUUGUUUCCAAAUUCGUGUCUCUAUCAUCAAGAUCUCAACAUGUUGCAGCCUUGAAAAUCCUAAAAACUAGUUACUAUUCUAUUUCAAGAUCAAAUACCUUACCAGACUUGAUAUUAAGCUAUGAAUUUUUGAAUAAGCUUCAAACUGUUAAAUGUUAGAAGGAAUUGAUCUCUUAACUCUCUCCAAAGAUUCAUGAAUUACAAUUUCUCACACUUGUCAAAGAGAUGCCAAAGAGAAAGAUGAAGAUUUGCCUAUGAUUUCUCAUGUUCUUGAAAUUGGUACUGACAAGGAAUGAAUGGUUGAUUCAUAAAGAGCUUAUAUACUAUUUAAUUCAAGCAUGAUAUUUAUAAUAUAUUUUAGGUUUGUGUAAUAGAAAGUGAGAUAGGAUCACUAUUGUUGAUAGAAAUUGAUAUAUUCUAUGAUUUGUGUAAUAUUGAUAUUCUUAGUUGAUUUGAAAAUUCAUUUAUGGAGUUUCUGUAUUGAAGUUGCUAACUUUGGAUUUUCAGCACUUGUAAGUGUUUCACCACUUACAUGUCCCCUUUUUGUCAAGCUUCAAUGAUAUUUUCAACACUUACAAAUAGUUUGUUGCUAACCUUUUUCACUACAAGAAAUAAUAGUUUUAACAACAUGAAUCAAACGUUGUCAAAAACCUUUCAAAAUGUACACAUAUAUGUUGUUGAAAAAGAUGUUUAGAGCAUGCAUUAAACCUCAUUUAAGUUUUUUACAAUAUGCGUGUACACAUUGACAUUACUAUUCACAUCAAAAUGAAAGAGAUUGAAAUAUUAAAUAUCAUUGCUAUCAUUUAGAUUCUAUAUAUGUUUUACCUUCAACACACUUAAGUUGAUUGAAAUUUUCAUAAUAUAUCUAAUUUAAUUGUAAUAUAAUAUAAAGACCACAAAAAGAAACUUAAGAUGAUUGAAAAUUUCAUAAUAUAUUUGGUUUAAUGACAAUAUAAUAUAAAGACUGAAAAAAGAAAAUAAUGUUUGACAUUCCAACCAUAAUACAUUGUUGUUACUUCAAAAAUUUGAAAAAAAAAAUACAUUCAUAAUUCAUUCAAUAAAAACAAAUACAAGAUUCUAGAAACUUUUAACACCUAAUUUCUACAUGUAGAACAAGAACAAGGUUAGGAUUUUUUUGAGUAGUUAAGUGAAACUCAGUUUCUUAUCCUACUUUACAAUUUUUGGUUUCUUACUUAUUCAAAAAAAAAAGUUGAUAAUAUUAAUACUUUACUUGGUAUAUAUGGAAUUACAAAAUACAACAAGAUUUGCAUAUGGAAUCAUAAAAGAACACUAGAAUGAAAAUUAAUAGACAUACAAAGAUAUACAUUUGAGUUGAAACACACCUUGAGGAGAGGUACAACAAAAAACUUAAGCAAAUGUACCCAAGGAUUAUGGAAUUCUCCUCGUUUUUCCUCUAACAAACCUCACUUUUCUACAUGAUACUGAAGUUGUCAAAAAUACAAAUUGAUACUAAAACAUAAUAAUUAUAGUCAUAUCCCAUUAAGACAUUAAAAUAUUAGAAAGUCUCUUGAUGAGCAUUAAGAGGGUUAAAAUUAUGUUUAUUGCUCGGAUACAACAAAAUGAAGUUACAAGUAUACUAAAUAAUAUGCUAGGAAAUAACAAAUCGACACCAUAUAUAAGAGUAGAAUUGAAGCUAAAACAAGAACUUUGAAUGCUUGUUUUGCACCCUUUGUGUGGAAAGGCCUUAUUAUAUUGUUCUAAUCAUGUAUACUUUAAAAAAAAAAAAAAUUGUUUUGCAUCUUUUUUCUUAGGGGUCUUUUUAUGCAAUUUUAUUUUCCUAUCACAAGAAAUUUUAUUAAAGUCUUUGUAAGUUAUUUUUCGUCAUAAUUUCAUUGUAAAACAAAUAAGAAAAUUUGAGAUUUUUCCUAAUAUUUUUGCUUUAGAAUGGAGUUUUUUGCCUUUUUGUGUGAGACUUGGACUCAUCAAUAUCUCAUAGUUCAAAAUGGAGCCUUUCGCAAAGGUAGAAGAAGCACCUUCAACACUAAUGAUGGAGUUACUUUAGGAAACAUGACUUUCAUUCUUGUAAAAAUGCCUAAAGACAUUUCAUUGUUUUGACCACUGCACAAAAACCCAUGUUUUCUUGAUUUCUUAAGGAGUUGUAUCUUUUAAAUAAAUUUUAUACACAAACAACACUUGAUCUCAAGAUCAACUCAAGUAAUCCAUGUCUAAGAAAAGGAUGUGAGCCAAUUGAACCAAAGUGUUUUGAACAACUUGAAGACAAGCUAUGCCAUAUGUCAUACCACCUUUUUUGAUGGAACUCAUGAAAGGCUAGUGAAUAUGAGUCUUUGAGGAAUGAAUUGGGCUCAAUGUUGUUGUAUAUAAUUUAGAGUAGAUAUUUGAAAUGUAUGGAUAUUAUUUGUCAUACCAUCAUGGGUAUGAGUUGUGAUGUUUAUUUUCCUUGUAAUUUAUUUUAUGCAUUUAAGUGUCUUAUUUCAAAAAGGUAAAAUUUUUAUAUUUGAUUACAUUAGAGUUUAUAUUUAAUACUUUAAUUAGGAUGACUAAUGAUUAUAUAUUGAUGUAAAUAUUAUUUUUCUCAAAGGAAGUUCAAAAGUUAUGUUUGGAACCAAAUCCCAAAGGAAAAGAAUUCUAAAAUUAGAUUUCAAUCUCUUGGUGAUCAUGAUUGGUAUGAGAAGGAAUUGAAAUGAAAAUAAUUAUCUUGGGUUUGGUAUUAUAACAAGAAUAAAAAAUAAAUAACUUUGGUGUACUACUUGGACCAUGCUACGACAUAAAUAUGAAUGAUCUAAAUAUUAAUUCUUCUUAACUAAAAUCAACCUAAUUAUAAAUUUAAUUAUAAAAGUAAAUAAAUUUAUCAUAAUAAAAUUAAUUAAGAAUAUCAUUUAUAUAAAAUUUACAGAAACAAUCAAUUUCAAUUAUUUAAAAUCACUUCUCAACAUUAAACUUAAAAAUCCCUCCAGCAUGAUCUAAAUUAUCUUAUAUUCAGCUUUUUAAUUCAUUUAAAAUACAAAGUAACUUACACUUGUUAAAAAAUAAAAAUAAAAGAUUAUGAGCAUAAAAAAAUAUUGUUUUCGUUUAAAUCCCUAUACUUCUCUAUUAAUAAUUACUAAAAUAGAGAAAUAACUAAAAUAACAUGACAUAAGUGAUAAAAAAAGAAAAAAAAGAAUGGAUAUAUAACUACAAUGAUAUAAGUGAGAUUAAAAUUAAGAAUUUACUCAAGUUAGAGAAUUAUUUAUUCUAAUAAAAAUGUUAAAGAAAUACAUUACUUAAUAUAAUAAAUUCUUUUUUCCUUUUGUCAUUCCAUAUGAGCAUCUAUAAUAUUGAAAAUAGAAAGAAAAGAAUCCCCAUCCAUAUUUAAAAUAAUUUAUUUUAGAAUAUUCUACCUCUAAAAAAUCCAUUAAAGUUCAAAAAAAGUAAAAAGAUGAUAUGACUAGUAUGUAUAGAGAAGAGAGUGAAAGAGACAAAAAAAAUGUAUUUACUAAUUUAAAUUUAAAGAGAAAAGGCAAGAGUAAUAAGGCAUCAUUGAAAAAGGGAAAGUUUAUUUUAAUAAAAUUCAAAUCUCAUAAAUUGAAAAGUUGAAAAGUUGCCUUCCAAAUCCUUUAAAAUUCUUUCCUUCUAAAAAUUCCCUCAUUUCAAAUCUAUUCUUCCCUUUUCCAUUUAAUUCCCUUGAUUCCAAAUAAAGUAAAAUAAUAACAAUCUUUCUAACAAGUUAAUAACAUAUAAAAAAUAAUAAUAACAUAAUAACCUAUGAAGCAAAAUUACAGACAUUUGGAAAUACAUUACAAAAUUUUUGUGGAUUUCUUCAAGAAAGAUCCUAGAAGCAAAAAUUUAGAAAUAUUAAGAGGGUAAUUUUUUUAAAAUAAAUUAUACAAAUUCUAAUAAAAAAUAUUUAUUCAUUUAUUCAAGAAUAUUAAAAAAAGAAAAUAUUAUGAAAAUAGGUAAUAUAAAAAUUUUCAUAUUCAUCUCAAGGUUUAUAUAAAAAUUAUUAGCAAUAUUUUUUUGUGAAUAAUUAUUAAACUGUUAAUUAUUUGUUUGAUGGUAUUAUAAUAUGAGAUGGUGAGAUUAGAAGAGUAAAGUACAAAGUAGGUCCCAUAUGAUAUAAUUAACAUAUCUUUUCUCUUCCAACUUAAGCCCAACUAAAUAAUGGGCUUAGGGCAAAGCCCUAAGUACUCAACUGAAUGAACUGGCUUUUGUUAUCUAGGAAUUUGUUGCUAGCGUCAUCAUCUUUCGUUGUGGAUUUCUAUGAAUGCCAUUUUUUUGUAAAUCCAAUUAAUUCACCAAUUAAAACCAUAAACAUACUUAAUUCACCAAUUAAAACCAUGAACAUACUUAUCUAUAACAAGGGAUUUGAAGAGCUUUUUAAAUACUAAAAAUGGGGUUUAAAAGUCAAGAAAGGUUUAUUUCCUUAAAAUAUAUAACAAUAUCAAAAAAAUAUCUUUAUUUUAAAUGAAAGUGUUUUUAAAAUAUAAUUCACAAAUAUAAAAUUCAAUUGCAUGACAAUAAUAAUUACUUUCAUAGGAACUUCUACUAAACAAACAAGUUAUGGGGGGCUUCCCUCCACGUGUCCUUCCCAGACUCAAGACCCCUUGGGUGACCAAGGUAGACAUAUAACACGUUUGGGAUCACUUCAUCUGGACCAAAAUAAGCUUUGUAUGGCACUAGAAGUGAGAAGUUUUCCUUCUUCCACAAUACCAGACGAAAUAGACAGACCAAGCCGACUGGACAUUUCAGACGGACAAAUAAAUCUAAUCAGCAGCCCUUACUUGAUGUGAUUGCCCAGUCCAUGCAGCAGUGAUGGAGUUGAUUGUCCUAUCAAGGCUCGAUUUCCAUCGAGCAAUCAUCAUUACAAGAAAUGUUAGAGUGCAUAAUCAACGCUAUAAUGAUGAUGCCAUCAGCUCUAUAUAAACCCCUCAAGAAGCAUGAACAAGGUACACAUGCUCAUUCUCUCCCACUAAAAAUAGUUAGAGAUAUUCUUGUUGAUUUCUGACUUGAGCUUUGGAGGGGCAUGCCCGAACCACUUGUCCGGACAUCCUUCUUUGCAAGGAAGAAGUCUGUCUGACUCUAGUGAAGCUGGAUGGACCUGAAUCUAAUUGGCUCAACACCAACAUUAAUGUCGUAUAUGGGAAAGACUAAGGAUGUCAACACUUUCCAGAAGCUAAUCAUCAACUAUGGGUGGUGAAGACUACUUUGCUUGGCGUGAAAGAAUAGAGAGACGUCAAUAAGAGAAUGAUCGGCAGAUGUAGUCUAUGCUUCGCCAAACAAAGCGACUCAAACAAGAGAAUGAAGAGUUGCAGGCACAGAUGUCAGCAUCAAGCCCCUCUCAAAGUCGAUAACCUCAAAGACAACAAAUAGCCUCAAGACGGACUAAUGAAACAUCUUUCCCUGGGAACACAGAGUUCUUCUCUGGUAGCUACACGAGACAGUCUAAGGAGGAGGUUUCGCCAGCUUGCCAAAUGCAGCUGGACGAAGGCACUAACUCUACCCGGGCAUCAAUGAAGAGGAGGUACGAUAGAAGGUUACAUUUGUCAGAUGCGAUGCGAGCCUGAUUAGGACCUCAGGCACCAAGCGUGGAGGAGCAACCAUGCAUAUUAGAAACCCUGAAGGCCCGUCUAGGUCCCCCAACCACAGUAGUUAUGUUGGGAUGACCCUCUCAACCGCCAAGGCAACAACAAGCUGAGGCCCCGAAGAUCUGAGCUUUGCCUUGCUCUGUCAGUCGACGGUUGGAUGACAUGCUCUCCAUGCGGUUCAACCCUCAUAUUAUUAACUAUGAGCCAUCUAGAGGGUUCAUAGUGCCAAAAUUCACAACGUACGACGGAAAAAACAAUCUGUUUGAUCACAUCAUAUGCUUUAAGUUACUCAUGACCCUCGAUAUAGGGAAUGAUGCACUAUUGUGCAAGGUCUUUUCGGCCAGCCUACACGGCCAAGCUCUUUCUUGGUUCCACCGUCUCCCACAUAAUUCUGUGAACACUUUCUGGGAUUUAUCAAAAGCCUUUGUGGGCCACUACUUAUGUUUGGCUCAUCAUAAACAUAACAUAAACACCCUACAGAACAUCAAGGUGCAGGAGAAUGAGUUGCUCAAAGACUUCAUGAAGCGGUUCGGGCAAGCCGUGCUUUAAGUGGAGUCCUGUAGUAUGGAUGCCAUCCUGUAGAUCUUUAAGUGAAGCAUUGGCCCGGGCACGCCAUUUUUUGAGUCUCUCGCAAAGAAGUCGCCUGCAACAAUGGAUGACCUGUUCAGACGAGCAGACAAAUACUCCAUGCUCCAAGACGACAUCUGGGCAACUACUCAACAGGUCUUGGUCACCAAUCGUCCGACUAAGGAUGAUGAGGCAGAAAGUUUUAAGCCAUCGAACCAAUCGAGGCAUGCUAACAAGAGGUGGGCUAGCUAGCAACAGCAAAAUCAGGCGAGACUAAUCCUCCUCGGUAUCUCAUAUCAGAGACUUCUUCUGAUGAUUCGUGAUUUGUCAAACUUUAGAUGGCCAGAACUUAUCAAAAUAGAUCCAGCUAGAUGGGAUUAGAACAGAAGGUGCUCCUAUCAUAAGGAUCAUGGUCAUACCACCAAGCAAUGAAGGAGUCUCCAUUACUUGGUGGAGAAACUAAUCAAAGUUGGGCACCUAAAACAGUAUGUCCACACAACUGGCGGGCAAAGAGAGACGGUGCAAGAGUUAGCCAUCCAAGCCCUUGCAUUUUUGGCAGUUCUUAGAGUUGUCAUUAACUACAUACAUGGAGGCUUCGUAGAUGAUAGAGACAAUUCUAAGCGACAAAGGCGAAGGUUGCUCCGUGUAGCCUCUGUAAAAGAGCGAGUUCACUCCGUUUAGUGCAACUUUUCGGAAGAGAGUGAGUGCUCCAUUGAUGACACAGUUAUCUUCCUUCCAGUAGGUGUUAAUCAAGUAUUGCAAUCGCAAGAAGAUGCCCUAGUCCUAACACUAGGGGUAGGCAGAUUCGAUGUGAGAAGGGUUCUAGUUUAUCCGGGUAGCUCACCAGACCUUUUACAAAUGUCAAGCUACAAGCAGAUGAGCUACUCCCUAUCCAUCCUAGAAAACCCAAAGCGUUUGUUGUCUGGGUUCAAUAGAGCUACGAUGACUUCUCUGGGUGAUGUUGUGCUGCCCAUCCAAGUAGGCUAAGUCACCCUAAACGUACAAUUCUUAGUCAUCGACGAUUUGUUCCCAUAUAAUGCCAUUAUGGGACGUGCAUGGCUUCACAUAAUGAAAGUCAUUCCCUUUACGUACCAUCAGAUGGUGAGCUACCUCACGGAGGAGGGACCAGUCGAUCUCCUUGGCAACCAACUAGCCGCGCGCCAAUGCUAUCAAGUGGUGCUAGAUUAUGGACAUUUAGCCGGUUGGAAUCAUCAAAUACAAUGGAGCAAUAGCAAUUAUUGAGCUUGGUGAAGAAAGAUCCAUCUGCAACUGAUCCACUCCAGCCAUUAUGUCUCUUACAUAGCACAUAUCAAAUCACCUAUACCAGUUCGCUGCUUACGUAGGAUGAACUGGAACUACUAAGAAGUGUGCUUCAGCAAAACAAGGACAUCUUCGUUGGGAUUCACUCAGAUAUGCUAGGAAUUCAUCCAUCUGUGGCCUCCUAUGAACUUAACACCACGCCCUCCUCACAUCCUAUCUAGAAAAAGGUCCGAUGUUUUCAUCCGGACAGGCAGAAAAUCAUCCUAACGAAAAUUGACAAACUAUUGGUAGCCAGAUUUAUCAGAGAAGUCAAAUAUCAAAACUAGUUGGCAAACGUGGUGAUCGUUCAAAAGAAGAAUGGGAAGUGGCGAGUUUGUGUUGAUUACACCAACCUGAAUGAUGUCAGCUCAAAUGAUAGCUUUCCCUUACCCCAGAUAGAUUAGAUAGUCGAUUCCACCGUUGGCUAUGAGAUGCUCUCCUUCCUAGACGUCUUCUUCGAAUAUCAUUAGAUUCCUAUGUUCUAGUCGGAUAAGGAGAAGACAGCCUUUGUUACACCACAUGAGUUGUACUGCUUCAAAGUCAUGUCAUUCGGGCUUAAGAAUGCUGAUGCUACUUAUCAGAAACUAAUGACGAAAAUUUUCAAGCCCUUGAUUGGUCGAACUGUGGAAGUCUACAUUGAUGGCUUUGUUUUAAAAAGCGAAACCCGAGCUAAGCACGUCCAGCACUUAAAAAGAAACAUUCUGUCUUAUGCGGGCAUACAACAUGAAGCUCAAUCCAACUAAGUGAGCCUUUGGCGUCAAUACAGGAAAGUUUCUAGGGUUUAUGGUGACCCAAAGAGGAAUUGAAUUUAAUCCGGCUCAAAUAAAAGUUGUCCUCGAAACACCUACUUCAAGCAACAAAAAGGAGUUGCAACACCUCACAAGUUGUCUAACAGCUUUAGGGCGUUUCAUAACCCAUUUCACAGACAAGCUGAGACUUUUCUUCCUCACUCUCAACAGAGCAAACAUGUUCAGUUGGACAGAUGAAUGCAGGCAGGCAUUUGAAGUAGUCAAGCGCUACCUCACUGAACCACUCAUUUUAAGGAGCCUCAAGUCCGGUAAACAACUUUGUAUGUAUUUGGUUGUAUCCCGACUACGUUGUUAGUGUCGUCCUGUUUCGGCACAUACAAGACAAAGAGCAGAGGCUCAUUUACUAUGUGAGCAAAGUAAUGGUAGACGCUGAGACUCGGUACUCUAAAAUGAAGCAGACGAAUCUAGCCCUUCAAAAUGUCACUCAAAAGCUCUGCCCAUACUUCCAGGCUCAUCAAGUGACCGUACUCACAAACCAGCCACUCCGAGUUACCCUGCACAAACCGGAUCUAUCCGGACAAAUGUUGAAAUAGGCCAUCGAGUUGAAUGAGUGCGGAAUCAAGUAUUAGCCAAGGUUAUCAUUGAAGGGACAAGUUAUGGCCGACUUUAUAGUUGAACUCCCUAAAAAUCAAGUACAUCCGGUUGAUCGCCCUGGAGAGCAAUGGUGGACACUUCAUGUAGACGAAGCGUCCAGAGUGUUCGGAUCUGGAGUAGCUCUGAUCCUAUAAUCACCAAUUGGGGAACUAAUGGAACAAGCUAUCCAUCUCAACUUUUCUGCCUCCAAUAAUGAAGCAGAAUAUGAAGUUGUCCUAGCCAGGCUAGAUCUUGCCCUAGUAUUAGCAGCCCAAGUUGGAAAUCAGGAGUGACUCUUAGCUAAUUUUCAAACAUAUUCAACGAGAGUAUGCAGCAAAGGAUGAAUGCAUGGCUCGCCACCUCGCCUGGUGGAAAGUCACCUGAAAAAGCUGGACGAGUGGGUCACUAGACGAGUGCCGCAUGGGAGAAUGGGAAGACAGACGCACUAGUCGGAAUAGUUGCCACUCUUUCCAUAAAAGAGGCGGUGAUGCUACCUGUUUACCUCAAAGCUGCCACCUUAAUCAUACUCGAGCCAGUGUGCAACACCAGUCAAACGAACUUAGGUUGGAUGCUUAACAUCGUGAAAUACCUUCAAACAAGGGAGGUACCAGGAGAUAAGAAGCAAGCUCAUAAACUCCGCAUACAAGCAGCACGCUUCACUCUAAUUAAUGACCAAUUGUAUAAACCAUCAUUUGGAGGUCCAUACCUAAAGUGUUUGAGCGAUCCGAAGGCCAAAUAUGUUUUAGCCGAACUCCAUGAAGGCGUAUGUGGCAAUCACCUAGGCGGACGAACUUUGGCACAUCGCGCUUACACGCAAGGGUACUAUUGGCCCACCAUGAAGCAGGAUGUUGAAAACUAUGUUAAGAAAUGUGAUCGGUGUCAACGACACACUCCCAUUCCCCGUGUACCUUUAGAAGUGGUCAACCUAGUCACAAAUCCUUGGUCAUUUACAUAGUGGGGGAUGGACAUAGUCGGGCGCUUACCCAUUGCAGCAGCACAAAAGAAGUUUUUGCUCGUUGCAAUCGACUAUUUUAGCAAGUAGGUGGAGGCAAAAGCCUAUGCCAACAUCAAAGAUAAAGAUGUCUCUAAGUUCAUCUGGAAAAACAUCGUAUGUCGAUUCAGAGUUCCACGAGCGAUUGUUACUGACAAUGGGCCACAGUUUGAUAGUAUUGUAUUUCGAACAUUUUGCUUGGAGUUAAACAUAAAGAACCUAUACUCAACACCUCGUUGUCUACAAAGCAACAGACAAACGGAGGCGACAAACAAAACCCUAUUGAAUGCACUAAAGAAAAUGUUGGAAAUGGCAAAAAGAAAGUGGGUGGGUGAACUACCCGAAGUCUUAUGGGCUUACCAGACAACAUCCAAACGACCAACAUAGGCCACUCCUUUUACCCUUACUUAUGGGAUUGAGGCCAUUAUUCCAACUGAGAUUGACAUGCUUACUGCUAAAACAGUCGUGUAAGACUAUAGGAACAAUGAUGAAAAAAUCAUAAGACAACUAAAUUGGGCAGAUGAAUUAUGAGGAGACGUGGAGAUACAACUAUCUGGAUAGCUUCAUACCAUCAGAAGGCAAUUGCUCAGUACAACAAAAGGGCACGACCACAAAUUUUUUAGCCAGGAUCUUUAACUCUCAGAAAAGUUUUUGAGAAUACAACUUAAGUAGGAGCAGGGAAGCCGUAAUCUAAUUGGGAAGGGCCAUAUGUUGUAACUAAGGCAGGAUACUCGAGGGCAUACCACCUUCAGACUCUAGACGGAGUACCCCUACUCUGCCCAUGGAAUGUGACCAACCUAAAGCUAUAUUAUCAGUAAAAUUGCUUAUUACAAGUAGGGAAGACUAGGCUUCAGUCGACUAGAGUAAAUAAAUACAAAGAAUCAAACCCUGUCCGGGUAUCUUGCAAUUCCUGCCUCAGCCGGACAUCUUUUUCUUCAAUCUUCUCUUUCUCGGCCACCAUAGCCACAUUUUCCUCAACUAGUUGGCCAGCUUCAGCCUGAGAUGCCUCCUUCUCCUCCUCGACCUUCCUCAGUAGACCGACACCUUCUUCAGCCAGCUCUUGGGUAGCAACAACCUCACUCUUCGUCGUCUUCAAGUUAGCAAGGAGAUCCUCAUUCCCGUCCACGUUAUGGGCAACACAUGUCCUCAUGGUCUCGACUGCUUCCAACUAGUGAAAAAGGUGAGCGCAUUGCCGCAUAAGGUUUUGGAUUCCGGUUCCCACCUGGGGGCAACAGAGAAAUUGUUAUAAAACGAGAGACUAAGGUAAAGUAAGCGAAAAAAUGGGAGAUGGCCUACCACUUCUGUUGUCUCAAAAGCUAUGUAGUCCUGCAUAUGGAGAAUGCAAGCAAUAGCAAUAUUUAGAGUAUCGUACGGAAGUCGUGUCGAAGUGGCAUGUGCCCCUUGGCGCCCAAAAACUUGAAAAUGAAUAAUAUGUCUUACCUCAACCCGACAGCUACCCUACUAGAAAAAGGCAGACGAAUUAGGGGGCUUUGUGAGGGGCUUCCCCCCACGUGUCCUUCCUAGAUUCAAGACCCUUUGGCCGACUAGGGCAAACAUAUAACCCAUUUGGGAUCACUUCAUCUGGACCAAGAUAAGCUCCGUCUAGCACCAGAAGUGAGAAAUUUUCCUUCUUCCACAAUGCCAAAUGGAAUGGACAAACCAAGCCGACUGACAUUUCAGAUGGCUCACAAUGUCAGACAGAAUGGACAAACCAAGUCGGUUGGACCUUUCAGACGGGUAAAUCAAUCUAGUCAAGUCCUUAGGAUUUCUUAUAGGCAUGGUUAACCAUGCCUGAUGUCUAAGCAUCGGCUUAGACACCUAAUGUCUAAGCGUCGGACUAGACGCCUGAUGUCUAAGUGACGAACUAGAUGCCAUUUACACUCAAAAGUCAAUGUCAAUUAAUUGUUACACACAAUCCCAAACAUUGGCAAAAGCUAAAUGGACAUCAGCAAAUGGCACUAGUCAGCAACUCUUACUUGAUGUGAUUGCCUAGUCCAUGCACCAGUGACGGUGUUGACUGUCCUACCAAGGCUCGAUUUUCGUCGGACAAUCAUCAUUACAAGAAAGGCUAGAGUGCAUAAUCAGCGUUAUAAUGACGAUGUCAUCAACUCUAUAUAAACCCCUCAAGAAGCAUAAACAAGGUACACACGCUCAUUCUUUCCCACAAAAAUAAUUAGAGCUAUCCUCAUUAAUUUCUUACUUGAGCUUCGGAGAGGUGUGCCCGAACCACCUAUCCGGACAUCCUUUUGUGUAGGGAAGAAGUCCGCCUAACUCCAGUGAAGCUGGACAGACCUAAAUCUAGUUGGCUCGACACCAACACAAGUAAAAUGCUAUUAUAUGAAAACAUGUUUGAAUUUUGUAUACGCAUUUGAUAAAAUAAAAAAAAACCAAAAACCUUUUUUCACUUUGUUAAUAUAAGCUUUCAUGUUAUUUAUUUAUUUAUUUAUAAAUAAAACCAUUAUUAAGAUAUUAAAAACAACAUUUUUAUUUUUAUUAUUCAUUAAAUCUUAUUGACACUCCCUACUUAUUAAUACUCAUAUUUAAAUAACUUUAAAAGUUAUUAACUUUUUAUAAAAGUGUCUGAUAAAUCUACAUCAAGAGUUACUAAUUUUUUCUAUUUUUAAAAACAAAAGGUAUAUUUACCCAGUACCUAAUUCAUUAAAAUUAUAUGCCUCUUAACUAGUCUUGUAAAUGCAUUAUUUUUUUAUUCCACUUUCAAUGUACUUCUUAUCAUAUUUUUCAUGGUUAUAAUGAUUUAAUUAUAAUACAUAUUCAACAAAGCUUCAUCCAAACAAUGAAUAUGAAAAGGUAUAUAUGAAAAGGUAUAAAUUGAAUGAACCUAGAUAUUGCCCAAUAUUGAUAAAAACACAAUAGGAUGAUCAUACUGUUGUAAUACUCUCCUCUUCCUUUUUCAUACAAACAUAAUUUAACAUUUGGAUUAAACUUUCUAAAAUGUAAGUUUUCAUCAUUAAUUUGAAUCAAGAUAUCUAAUUAAAAAAUUAAAAGUCCUUCGAAGAGCUUACAAUACAGAAAAUUAAAGUUAAUUAUUAAGUAAUUAUAUAAACUUAAAUGAAAAGAAAUCUUAUUUUAAAAAUAAUGAAAAAAGAGAAAAUUAGAGACAUGGAAUUGCUUUUAGAACUAAUCCAAUUGAUGGAAAUUUGAGAAUGCUUACUAAUAGCCAAAGUAACAAACCCUAAAAAUAAUAAAGGGUAUGAAGACUUAAAACUUCAUUCAAUGCAAACCAAAUCAUCUAAUGAGCUAUACUUUUUGUGAAGAAGUUAUUUCUUAGCUAUAUUCCUUGGACACUACAAAAAUAUUUAGAUGGAUGGCUUAAAACUUAAGAAUUUUUUUUUUCAUUAAUGUGAUCUCAUGUAAUGCAUAUAUCCUAAUGUUUUCAAUUUUUUAGUUUUAUUUUCAUAUUUAUCUUGGGGUUAUGUAAAAAGCAUUAACAAUAUUCUUUUCAAAUAACUAUUAAAAUGUUAAUUAUUUAUUGGUGGUAUUAUAAUUUGCGAAGGUGAGGAUAGAGGACAAAGUACAAAGGGUCACCGUACGUAGGGCACAUGUAAUAUAUCUUUUCUCUUCCAACUUAGGCCCAACCCAAUAAUGGGCUUGGGGCAAAGCACCAAUUAUUCAACUUGAUGGAUUGGACUGGGUUAUCUAAGAAUUUGUUGCUAGUGCCUUAAUCUUUGUUUGUGGAUAUCUAAGAAUUUCAUUUUUUUUUUCUUUAAAUACAAGAAUUCACCUAUUAAAACUAGUCAAGAAAGUUUUAUUUCCUUAAAAAUUUCAAUAAUAUAAAAAAAUUAUCUUUAUUUUUAAUAAAAGUAUUUUUAAAAUAUAAUUCUCCAGUAUAAAAUUCAAUUGAAUAACAAUGAUAAUUAUUACCUAAUCUACUAAACAAACAAAUUAAAUGCUAUCCUUUCAUAACACACAUUUGAAUUUUUUUAUAUGUAUUUCAUAAAAAGUUUCUUUUUUCACUUUGUUAAUAUAAGCGUUAAUAAUAUUAUUAUUAUUUAAAAAAAAAUUAGAUCAAACCCUUAUUAAGAUAUCAAAAACAAUAUUUUUAUUUUUAUUUUUCAUUAAAUAUUAUUGACAUUCACUAUGUAUUCAUACUAGCAUUUUUUAAGUAGCUGUAAAAAAUUAUUACCUUUGUAAAGUAAGUUUCUAUGAAGUCCGAGUUACAAUUUUUUUUUUUUUAAAAAAAAAAUAGAAGAUGUAUUUAAAUGAUACCUAAUUCAUUAAAAUUAUAUGUCUCACUACUAGUUUUGUUAAUUUCAUUUUCAGUAUACUUGUUAUCAUUUUUUUAAUGGUUGAAAUCAUUUAACAAUGAAUAUAAAGCUUCACCCAAACAACAAAUAUGAAAAAUUAAAAAUUGAAUGAGCCUAUAUAUUGCUUAACAUUGAUGAAAAUAUAAUAUGAUGAUAAUACUAUGGAAUACUCUCCUCUUUGAUGGGUUGAUCAUGUUCAUACAAACACAAAUUAACAUUUGGAUUGAUUAAACUUUCUCAAAUGUAAGUUUUUGUCAUUAAUUUGAAUCAAGAUGCUUGAUCGAAAAACUAGGAUUCCUCAUAAGAACUUACAAUACAUAAAAUUAUAGGUAAUCAUUGAGUAAUUCUAUGGACUUGAAUGGAGAGAAAUUUUAUUCUAAAAAAAUAGAGAAAAAAAAUAGAAAAUUAAAGUCAUGUGAUUACUUUCAAAACUAAUCCAAUUGAUGGAAAUUUGAGAAAGCCUCCUAACAGCUAAAGUAACUAACCCUAAACAUCAUAAUAAAGCACUAUGAGAAUGAUGAUUGAAACUUCGCUUAAUGCAAACUACUAUCUUUGCAUAUCUAAGUCAUCCAAUGGGCAAUAAUACUUUUUGUGGAGAAAAUUGGACUUUUACCCCUUGCGAUAUAUAGGCCAAGACUAAGAUUAAUUGCUUUCUUUAUUGAUUACUACCCAAAAAGUGCUAUUUUACACCUUUAAUGCAUUAUGUUUUAAGCACUUUUGUGUAGUAGUUCUCCAUCUUUAGUCCAAUUGGCAUGUUAAGGACCUAGCAAUGUCUUUUAAUCAUAUUUGUGGCUAGUUUUAAUGUUUUGACAGCUUUUUGGAUCGUUAAAACAAGUCAAGCAAAGGAGAAAACCAAAGAGAAGCAAAGUGAAGAAAAAUCAAAAUGUAGCAGCUGCAGUCUUCUUUCGCACUUUUGGAGCACUUCCCGAAGUCCAAUUUUUACAUGCUAUAUACCAUUUUAAAGAUUUUGAAGUCAAGAAUCCAACGCUUCAAACCGUGCAUGAUUUGGAGCUGAAACAAGGAAGAUAUGGCCUUCGGAAGACAACUCCUCCAGGUGUGCGAGAAUUUCGCACAACCCCUUUUAGCUGUGCGAAUGGUGUGCGAAGUUCGCACACCUCCUUCAGGUGUGCGAAAAUUUCGCACACCCCAUGCGUGCUCUGUUUUUGCCGACUCCACUUUAGAUAUUUUCCUAUGUAAUUUUUGAUGUAAUUUCCUUUCCUAUCCUUGUAACUAACCAAUCACAAGCUUUUGCUUUUGUAAAGACUUUAUAAGGGGUGGAAAUUACCUCUUGGAAAAUAUACGCAUUACAUUUGACACUUAGAGAUUUUUUACAGAGCUCUCUCGUUUUCCAUUUUUUCUCUACUAUUUUCUUUUUCUUGGAAGCCAAACAACCUCUGAGGAUGUUUUCUCAUAGGAUGAGAGGCUAAACUUUUGGUUUCUUGGAGUGAUGGAAGCUAGGUGAAAAGUUCAGAUGCAAGGUGGAAAACGCUCGUGCAUUAAAUUCAGGUAGUUGGAAUUCAUAAAUGGCUUUUAAAUCCAAAGUUUUGCUUUAAAUCCCUUAGAAUCACUUUGAAUGACCAAUACAUGGUAAGCUUCAGGUCUUUAUGGAUGCUUAUUGCUAGAUCCAUAUUAGUCCAUUAGUUAUCAUGUACGAGUCAUUGGAAAGCAGUUCAAGGUGAAGACCUAUAGUGUCUAAAGCCAUUAAUGGACUUUGACUACCAUUUAUAUUGAUUAUUAUGGAUUAAAUCUUCAUUGUUAAACCUAUACCGGUUCGGGAAAUAACUAUAGGUUAAAUCCCCAAUGCGAGGAGAAAAAUCCGGAAUUUUCCACUUUGCAUUCUAAACUUGAUCCUAGUAAUCCUGAGCUCCGGGAGACUUUCCUUCUUCCAUUUUUAAUUAGUUUAUGUUAGUUUAGUUUUAAACACUUUCAAAUCAAAUUUCAUUUUCUUUUAAAUUUUAAGUUUUUGAUUAAGGAAAUCAUUAAAUACAAUUUCUAAUUUUGAAUACAUCACUGGUAGAAUGAAAACCCAUCCCAGAGUUCGACCCUAGAGCCACUAUACUAUAGUAGCUUUACUACAUUAGUAUGAGGUCAUAGGUUUUAUAAAUGUUUUUGAUUAAAUGACCCAUUUGGAGUUACAUGCGCGAAUCAAAAUGGCGCCGUUGCUGGGGAUGGUGCCACAAUACAGUGAUGCAACCUUUUAGAGGCUACUUGUGAUUUCCAUCACAAGUUUGGUGAAUUCCUUUUUCACUAACUUCUUUUCCUUUCAUUUUAUUUUUGUUAGGUUUAUUUUCAUUUUCUUUCUAACCUUAACUUUUUUCUAGGUUUCUUUUGUUUUUGUUGUUUUUGUUUUAUUUCAGGUAAGUAGUAACUUUUGCAUGCCCUAUUGGAUUCGGGACCAAGAGGGAAGAUUAGUAAGGAUUGAGAAUCCUCAAGACACAGAGUUGGAUAUUUGUGUUAACAUCAUGGACCCUCCACCAGAGGAUCAGAAUUCUCAACAAGGUCAAGGGGGUAAUCCUAAUGCAUAUCUAUCCAUGAGGGAUAGAAUGCAUCCACCAAGGAUGAGUGCACCCUCAUGCAUCCUGCCUCCUCUUGAGCAGCUGGUUAUAAGGCCCCAUAUUGUGCCCCUUCUACCAACUUUCCAUGGAAUGGAGAGUGAGAAUCCAUAUGCCCACAUCAAGGAGUUUGAGGAGGUGUGCAAUACCUUUAGAGAGGGAGGAACUUCAAUAGACUUGAUGAGACUCAAGCUAUUCCCUUUCACUUUGAAGGACAAGGCAAAAAUAUGGCUUAAUUCUUUAAGGCCAAGGAGCAUAAGGAAUUGGGUUGAUCUUCAGGCCGAAUUUUUGAAGAAAUUUUUCCCCACCCAUAGGACCAAUGGGUUGAAGAGACAAAUCUCAAACUUUUCUGCAAAAGAAAAUGAGAAGUUCCAUGAAUGUUGGGAAAGGUAUAUGGAGGCCAUCAAUGCUUGUCCUCAUCAUGGCUUUGAUACAUGGCUCUUGGUGAGCUAUUUCUAUGAUGGGAUGUCAUCCUCCAUGAAGCAAAUUCUUGAAACCAUGUGUGGAGGAGAUUUUAUGAGCAAGAAUCCGGAAGAAGCCAUGGACUUUUAAAGUUAUGUGUCUNNNNNNNNNNNNNNNNNNNNNNNNNNNNNNNNNNNNNNNNNNNNNNNNNNNNNNNNNNNNNNNNNNNNNNNNNNNNNNNNNNNNNNNNNNNNNNNNNNNNGUAGUGAUUAAAGGAGGAUAUGAUGAAAAAACAUAUGCCUCCCCCUUUUCCUCAAGCUUUACAUGGAAAGAAGGAAAUCAAGAAUUCAUCAGAAAUUCUUGAAGUCUUGAGACAAGUGAAGGUGAAUAUACCCUUACUUGAUAUGAUCAAGCAAGUCCCCACAUAUGCAAAGUUUCUAAAGGACUUGUGCACGGUCAAGAGAGGGUUACAUGUGACAAAGAAUGCAUUCCUCACUGAGCAAGUAAGUGCUAUCAUUCAGAGUAAGUCUCCAGUUAAGUACAAAGAUCCGGGAUGCCCCACCAUUUCAGUCAACAUUGGAGGGACACAUGUGGAGAAAGCUUUACUAGACUUGGGGGCAAGUGUGAAUUUGCUCCCAUACUCUGUGUACAAGCAACUGGGACUUGGAGGAUUGAAGCCCACAGCCAUUACUCUCUCCUUAGCUGACAGGUCAGUCAAAAUCCCAAGAGGGGUGAUAGAGGAUGUUCUAGUUCAAGUGGACAAAUUCUACUAUCCUGUGGAUUUUGUUGUGCUUGAUAUUGAUCCCAUUGUGAAGGAAGCAAACUAUGUACCAAUCAUCCUUGGGAGACCUUUCCUAGCUACCUCCAAUGCCAUUAUCAAUUGUAGAAAUGGGGUGAUGCAGCUCACAUUUGGGAAUAUGACCUUGGAAUUAAACAUAUUCCACCUAUGCAAGAGGCAUUUUCACCCAGAAAAAGAGGAAGGAUUGGAGGAGGUGUGCUUGAUCAACACCUUGGUUGAAGAGCAUUGUGACAAGAAUUUACAAAAGAGCUUGAGUGAAAACCUUGAAAUGUUUGAAGAAGGGUUACCUGAACCCUCUGAUGUUCUAGCCAUCAUGUCUCCUUGGAGGAGACGGGAAGAGAUCUUACCACUGUUCAACCAGGAAGACUCACAAGAAGCAACUGUGGAGGACCCUCCAAAACUUGUUUUGAAGCCACUUCCUGUUGAUUUGAAAUAUGCAUAUUUGGAGGAAAAUGAGAAAUGUCCAGUGGUGAUUUCUUCAACUCUUACUAUUGAUCAAGAGGAUAAUCUUUUGGGAGUCCUCAGGAAAUGCAAGAAAGCCAUUGGAUGGCAAAUUUCUGAUCUGAAAGGGAUUAGCCCUUUGGUGUGCACCCACCAUAUCUAUAUGGAGGAUGAUGCAAAACCAGUGAGGCAGCCCCAGAGGAGGUUGAAUCCUCACAUGCAAGAGGUGGUGAGGGGUGAAGUUCUGAAGCUACUCCAAGCUGGGAUCAUAUAUCCCAUUUCAGACAGUUUGUGGGUGAGCCCCACCCANUAGUCCUAAAGAAAUCUGGAAUCACUGUGGUCNNNNNNNNNNNNNNNNNNNNNNNNNNNNNNNNNNNNNNNNNNNNNNNNNNNNNNNNNNNNNNNNNNNNNNNNNNNNNNNNNNNNNNNNNNNNNNNNNNNNUGAGAAUCCAUAUGCCCACAUCAAGGAGUUUGAGGAGGUGUGCAAUACCUUUAGAGAGGGAGGAACUUCAAUAGACUUGAUGAGACUCAAGCUAUUCCCUUUCACUUUGAAGGACAAGGCAAAAAUAUGGCUUAAUUCUUUAAGGCCAAGGAGCAUAAGGAAUUGGGUUGAUCUUCAGGCCGAAUUUUUGAAGAAAUUUUUCCCCACCCAUAGGACCAAUGGGUUGAAGAGACAAAUCUCAAACUUUUCUGCAAAAGAAAAUGAGAAGUUCCAUGAAUGUUGGGAAAGGUAUAUGGAGGCCAUCAAUGCUUGUCCUCAUCAUGGCUUUGAUACAUGGCUCUUGGUGAGCUAUUUCUAUGAUGGGAUGUCAUCCUCCAUGAAGCAAAUUCUUGAAACCAUGUGUGGAGGAGAUUUUAUGAGCAAGAAUCCGGAAGAAGCCAUGGACUUUUUAAGUUAUGUGUCUGAAGUGUCAAGAGGAUGGGAUGAGCCCAACUCAAGAGAGAAAGGGAAGUCUCCCUUCCAACCAACCCAAAAUCCAAAAGGUGGAAUGUAUGUAUUAAGUGAAGACAUGGACAUGAAAGCUAAAGUGGCAACAAUAGCAAGGAGAUUGGAAGAACUUGAGUUGAAAAAGAUGCAUGAAGUCCAAGCCAUUUCCGAGACCCAAGCCCAUGUCAUGCCAUGCACCAUUUGCCAAUCAUGUGAUCAUGUGGUAGAUGAGUGCCCAACCAUGCCAGCUGUGAGGUAGAUGUUAGGUGAUCAAGCCAAUGUUGUGGGGCAAUUUAAGCCUAACAACAAUGCACCUUAUGGAAACACCUAUAAUUCAAGCUGGAGAAAUCACCCAAAUUUUUCUUGGAAACCAAGACCACCUCCAUACCAACCACAAGCCCAAACCCAAGCACCUCAACAAACCUCUUCAGUGGAGCAAGCCAUUGUGAACCUAAGUAAAGUCAUGGGUGACUUUGUGGGUGAGCAAAAGGCAAUCAACUCCCAAUUUCAUCAAAAGAUUGAAAAUGUUGAGAGUUCUNNNNNNNNNNNNNNNNNNNNNNNNNNNNNNNNNNNNNNNNNNNNNNNNNNNNNNNNNNNNNNNNNNNNNNNNNNNNNNNNNNNNNNNNNNNNNNNNNNNNNNNNNNNNNNNNNNNNNNNNNNNNNNNNNNNNNNNNNNNNNNNNNNNNNNNNNNNNNNNNNNNNNNNNNNNNNNNNNNNNNNNNNNNNNNNNNNNNNNNNNNNNNNNNNNNNNNNNNNNNNNNNNNNNNNNNNNNNNNNNNNNNNNNNNNNNNNNNNNNNNNNNNNNNNNNNNNNNNNNNNNNNNNNNNNNNNNNNNNNNNNNNNNNNNNNNNNNNNNNNNNNNNNNNNNNNNNNNNNNNNNNNNNNNNNNNNNNNNNNNNNNNNNNNNNNNNNNNNNNNNNNNNNNNNNNNNNNNNNNNNNNNNNNNNNNNNNNNNNNNNNNNNNNNNNNNNNNNNNNNNNNNNNNNNNNNNNNNNNNNNNNNNNNNNNNNNNNNNNNNNNNNNNNNNNNNNNNNNNNNNNNNNNNNNNNNNNNNNNNNNNNNNNAGCAAUGAAAGUAAUCCAAUCAGGUUUUUGGUGGCCCUCUCUUUUCAAGGAUGCCCACUCUAUGUGCAAGGGAUGUGAUCGGUGUCAAAGGCUUGGUAAGCUAACACGCCGAAAUAUGAUGCCCUUGAAUCCCAUCUUGAUAGUGGAUGUCUUUGAUGUUUGGGGGAUAGACUUCAUGGGACCAUUUCCAAUGUCAUUUGGACAUUCCUACAUUUUGGUGGGAGUGGAUUAUGUCUCUAAGUGGGUAGAAGCAAUCCCAUGUAGGAGCAAUGAUCAUAAGGUGGUUCUUAAAUUCCUCAAGGACAACAUCUUUGCAAGAUUUGGUGUGCCUAAGGCCAUUAUCAGUGAUGGAGGAACCCACUUUUGCAAUAAACCUUUUGAGACUCUUCUAGCCAAAUAUGGGGUUAAGCACAAGGUAGCUACACCCUAUCACUCUCAAACAAGUGGCCAAGUUGAGUUAGCCAACCGGGAGAUCAAGAAUAUAUUAAUGAAGGUGGUGAAUGUGAAUAGGAAGGAUUGGUCUAUUAAGCUCCUAGAUUCCUUAUGGGCAUAUAGGACCGCUUACAAGACCAUUCUUGGAAUGUCCCCUUAUCGCCUUGUUUAUGGCAAAGCGUGCCAUCUUCCAGUGGAGAUUGAAUACAAAGCAUGGUGGGCAAUCAAAAAACUCAACAUGGAUUUGACAAGAGCCGGGUUGAAAAGAUGUUUGGAUUUGAAUGAAUUGGAGGAAAUGAGGAAUGAUGCUUACCUCAAUUCAAAAAUUGCAAAGGAGAGGUUGAAAAAAUGGCAUGAUCAAUUGGUAAAUCAAAAGAAUUUUGCCAAGGGACAAAGAGUCUUGCUUUAUGACUCUAAGCUUCAUCUUUUUCCGGGAAAAUUGAAAUCAAGAUGGACGGGUCCUUUCAUAAUUCAUGAAGUGCAACCAAAUGGAGUAGUGGAACUACUCAACUUCAAUAGCACUCGAACUUUCAAAGUUAAUGGGCAUCGUCUCAAACCCUAUAUUGAAUCUUUUUCCCGAGACAAGGAGGAAUUCAUCCUCCUUGAUCCACCUCCAACAUGAAAACACUUGGUUCAUGGUUGAACUUAGUCUCUCCAAAGACUAAAAAGUUCAUCCUCUUUUUAUUUUCUUUUAAGUUGAUUUUACUUUAAUCUAGUGUUUUCUUGUGUUUAUGCAUGUUUUGAUUUCUAUUUUUGACUUUAAUUUCAUUCUAAUGUGGUUUGAAUUGUGUUUUUUUGUGCUAACAUGUAGGUAGGAAGGCUUGAAGAAUGAAGUCUUGGUGAAAACAAGGGAAAACAGGGGAGAUAAGACAAGGCUCAGCAAAAUUCGCACACCCCCUUAUGGUGUGCGAAAAUUUCGCACACCAUUUACCCUGUGCGAAUUCCAUUUUUGCACCACUUUUCAAAAAUUACAUGCUCUCGGUCCCCUGUGCGAAUUUCACAGGUAUGCGAACCUUGUGCGAACCUUGUGCGAAUUCAUUUUUUGCGCCAAUUUUCAAAACCAUGCUCUCUGUCUUGGAGAAUCACAGGUAUGCGAAAAUUUCGCACACCAUUUUCCCCUGUGCGAAAUUCAUUUUCUCUUUAAAAGCUUUGUUCUCCACUUCAAAGACUUAGCUUCUUCUUCAAUUCUCUCAAAGCCUCUCUUCCGAUCACCCAUUGCCAUCCACAAAGCUCCUUUCCUUCAUCAUCCAUCAUCAUCAGCACCACCAUGGCAGCCAUUAUCCAUAGCUCCACUCCAUAGCCGCGGCAUCCACUAUUCACCACUUCCCAUUUUCGGCAAUUUCAUCUCCUUCCACCAUCAAAAUCCUUUCAAAUCUUCACCCAACCCUCUAAAUCCAUCCAUAAUUCAAUCCAAACCUUGUUCUUAUCAAGCCAAAGCCUAAACCAUAAGCAUUCAAGCCAUGGUUUCUUCAUAAGAAACCCAUUGCCGCCGGCCAUGGGAGCUCCCAAUUUUCAAUUUUCCUUUUGAAAAGCUCCCAAUUUUCAAGCCUAAUCAUCAUGAAAAAUCUUUUUCAUACCUAAGCCAGCUUUUCCCGCCCUCAAAGGCCACAAAUUUUCACCAUCUCCAUCAAGCCCAAAUUCUUCAAGCGCACGGGUGAAUAGUACCCUGUGCGAAAAUUUGCGCACAUCAUUGAGAUGAUCUUGGAGAUCAGAAAGACCUAGACUUAUGAAUUGUCUUAACUCCUUAAUCUCCUUUUUAUGCUGCUUAACUUCUUCAUGAAGUUCCUUAAUACUGACAUCCUUGGGAGACUGCUGGUCGAACCUGUUUAAGAUAUCGUUAAGGUUAUAAGGAUUAACAGUCUUCUUGGCUUCUACCUUAACAACAGAUUUCUUAAAAACUUCGUAAAGGUUUUGCUUAGUUUUUUCAUCUUCAACUUUUCUAAAAGGAUCUAGNNNNNNNNNNNNNNNNNNNNNNNNNNNNNNNNNNNNNNNNNNNNNNNNNNNNNNNNNNNNNNNNNNNNNNNNNNNNNNNNNNNNNNNNNNNNNNNNNNNNUGUUUGUUGCAUUUAGAAGCUGUUCUCCAAAGAUGUAUUGAGAAAGACCUAGUGCUAAAUUGGGAGAAGUGCCAUUUUAUGGUACAACAGGGAAUUGUCUUAGGACAUAUCAUCUCCAAGAAGGGCAUUGAGGUAGAUAAGGCAAAGGUGGAGCUAAUUGUUAAGUUGCCACCUCCCACAAAUGUUAAAGGAAUUAGGCAAUUCUUAGGACAUGCCGGGUUCUAUAGGAGGUUCAUUAAAGAUUUCUCAAAAAUCUCAAAGCCUCUUUGUGAACUUUUGGUAAAAGAUGCCAAGUUUGUGUGGGAUGAGAAGUGUCAGAAGAGUUUUGAGGAACUGAAGCAAUUCCUCACAACAGCACCAAUAGUGAGAGCCCCAAAUUGGAAAUUACCUUUUGAGGUAAUGUGUGAUGCAAGUGACCUUGCUAUGGGGGCUGUCUUAGGGCAAAGAGAAGAUGGGAAGCCCUAUGUGAUUUAUUAUGCGAGCAAAACUUUGAACGAGGCUCAAAGGAACUACACAACUACUGAGAAGGAGUUGUUGGCAGUAGUUUUUGCCUUGGAUAAGUUUCGUGCUUAUUUGGUAGGGUCCUCUAUAGUGGUGUUCACUGACCAUUCCGCCUUGAAGUACUUGCUAACCAAGCAAGAUGCCAAGGCAAGAUUGAUAAGAUGGAUCCUUUUGCUCCAAGAAUUUAAUCUCCAAAUCAGGGAUAAAAAGGGAGUAGAAAAUAUGGUAGCUGACCACUUGUCAAGACUUGUGAUAUCGCAUGACUCACAUGGUCUGCCUAUCAAUGAUGACUUCCCUGAGGAGUCUCUCAUGUCAAUAGAGGUAGCUCCAUGCUAUUCUCACAUUGCAAAUUUCUUGGUUACUGGAGAAGUACCAAGUGAGUGGAGUGCCCAAGACAAGAGGCAUUUCUUUGCUAAGAUCCAUGCCUAUUAUUGGGAGGAGCCCUUUCUCUUCAAAUAUUGUGCGGAUCAAAUCAUAAGGAAAUGUGUUCCUGAACAAGAGCAAUUAGGAAUUCUUUCCCAUUGCCAUGAUAAUGCAUGUGGAGGUCAUUUUGCCUCCCAGAAAACAGCAAUGAAAGUAAUCCAAUCAGGUUUUUGGUGGCCCUCUCUUUUCAAGGAUGCCCACUCUAUGUGCAAGGGAUGUGAUCGGUGUCAAAGGCUUGGUAAGCUAACACGCCGAAAUAUGAUGCCCUUGAAUCCCAUCUUGAUAGUGGAUGUCUUUGAUGUUUGGGGGAUAGACUUCAUGGGACCAUUUCCAAUGUCAUUUGGACAUUCCUACAUUUUGGUGGGAGUGGAUUAUGUCUCUAAGUGGGUAGAAGCAAUCCCAUGUAGGAGCAAUGAUCAUAAGGUGGUUCUUAAAUUCCUCAAGGACAACAUCUUUGCAAGAUUUGGUGUGCCUAANNNNNNNNNNNNNNNNNNNNNNNNNNNNNNNNNNNNNNNNNNNNNNNNNNNNNNNNNNNNNNNNNNNNNNNNNNNNNNNNNNNNNNNNNNNNNNNNNNNNUCAUUUCAUCGAUCUAUCAUGCCAAAGACCUGAGGAGGAUCUACCACAGCUCCCCAGAGCAGUCAGAGAGCUGCCCCUGUGCGGGCCCCACUAGCUGCACCCUCACAUUUACCUGAUUCUGCCCCUCAGAGCAGAUACCAUACGAGGAGAGCAUCUGCCACGUCUGUGGCCCCUUCACAAGUUCCGCCUCGGAGUCCUCCUACAAAGAGAGCCAAGACUUCAGAGCCAGGAGACUCCUCCAGAGCACCUCGGGAUUCACAGUCUCAGCCUUCUUCUGCCAGGCGCCGUAGACCCAGCUUGCCCAUUGAGGGCAAUUCAGAUUGCCGAUCGAGAGACUUUCAUGUCGAGGCAUAUUUCGAUCACUCUCUUAUGCGACAGCAGCCUGAGUUACGGGAUUCAUACCACCUACUUGAGAGGUACCAUCUGAUACCCUUUAUGACUUUGCCCCAGUUCUUUUAUCCUCGAGUAGUUUUAGACUUUUACCAGUCUAUGACUACUCGUGGCGUCCCGGUACCUGCCUCGAUCCUUUUUACCAUUGAUGGACGCCAGAGUAUUUUGGGGGCUAGACAGAUUGCCGAUGCCUUCCAUAUCCCUUUUGCACCAGUAGAUCCCGCUACAUUUAGACGCUGGGUCCCAUUUUCUGAGUGGGACAUGGUUCGUAUCCUAUCUCGAGGGACAUCUUCCCAGAGGACCAUUUUGAGGAGAGAGCUUCCCCCAGAGAUGCUCCUAGUUGAUGUGGUGCUUCGCACCAAUCUUUUUCCUCUUCAGCAUAAAGUACAGAGACGAGGGGCCAUUAUGGAGGCAUUAUUCCGUAUCUCUGAGGGCUACUAUUUUGGCCCCCAUCAUUUGAUUAUGGCCGCUCUCCUCCAUUUUGAGGAGAAGGUGCAUACGCGGCAUCUUGCGAGGGCAGACUCCAUUCCUUUACUUUUCCCUCGGCUGCUAUGCCAUGUUUUGGCGCAUAUGGGUUUUCCUACAGACCCUCGUUCAGAGCCCCGCCGCCAUUGUCGAGAGAGCUUCUCUCUUGACCAAUGGACUCAGAUAUGGCUCCAUCGCCAGUCCCCAGAACUUCCCGAGCCAAGGGAAGUCCCUCCUGCUCCGUCCACUACAGACCCUCCACAGCCAGUACCGGAGGCAGCAUCAUCUGAUGCCCCACCUGUUGUUCCUCCUACAUCAGAGCCGCCCAUUACUAUCCUUGGUCCAGAGUAUCGUGCCUUGCUCACUUCUUUCCAGACUUUGACCACUACUCAGACGGCCAUUAUGGAGCGCAUGGACCACUUCCAGACUCAGCAGGACCAGCAGACUCUCAUUCUCCGUGAGAUUUAGCAGCACCUCGGUCUUGUGCCACCAGCUCCACCUGUAGCGGUGCCUUCCACAGUUGCAGCGGAGGACCCCUCCUAUCCACCAGAGGAGCCUACUACUUGAUCAUACGAUCACUCCUCUCCUUUUUUGUAUCUAUAUGCUACGUUUUGGGAUGUCUUAUAUAUUUUGGACCACUUUUAUACUGGGAUUGGAUGUAUUCCAUGUUUAUUUUGUAUAUUGUACUUUCUCAGUUUAUAUAGACAUCUUCUCUUUUAGUGUAUUUUAGCUAUUCCAUUUUAUUUCCUCUUUUCAUCACUCUUAUGAUUUUCCUUUUCUUAUGCAACAUGUGGUUUCUCCUGUUCAUUCAGAGUCCCUUACUAUCAGGAGGUAUCACUUCCUCCCUUAUUUUAUCGCUUGCUUUUGGAACAUUGGGGACAAUGUUCAUCUUAGUUGGGGGGAGAGUUGAGGAAGUAAUUUGUUGAAUUUGUUAAGUUAUUUUGCUAACAAAUUUUUUGCAAACUCUCUUUGUUUUCUCAAAGAUAAAUUCUCAAAAGUAAAUGGGAGAAAUUAAAUUCUUAUCUUAUUGCCAUAGUCUCAGAGUUUGUAUUAUGCUUAUUAAAGUUGAUAAAUUGUUGAAGCUUCUUUUGUUUUCAAGCUUAAGUCUUCCACUCUAAUCUUUUCACACACUGAACACAUUAGAUUCCAGUUAUAAGAUGGAAAACUUUCUCACCCCCUAAACUUUGGAAAUUAUCGACUUGGUGCCAUUGACCUCAUUCUAUUAGUGUUGGGACACCUUAUUAAAGGCCAAUGUGUCUUAUGAAAAUAAUUUUUGCUUCACUUGCUUUGAAACCCGAGCAAGGUCCGAGGGGUAUAUGGUGAAAAUCUUUAAAGCCUGGUGCCCUAAGCCUUUACUGGUUGGGAGUUCACCGACCUCACUGCUCGUUACAUGGGUGGAUGGGUGGAGUAACACUUAGAAUAAAAAAAUAAAAAAAAAUAAAAAAUAAAAAAUAAAAAAAAAAAGAAAGAGAAAGAAGGGUGCGUUCUUAGCCUUUUAUAUAUGAGUUAGUGUUACUUAAGUUAGAGAAAAACCUUAGUUGGGGGGAGAAUAUAGUUUGACAUACUAUAACUGGAAACUAAGCACCUUAACACUUAGAUUUUUGUGGAAGAUUAAGAAUUGAUCCUUUGGAAGUGGAAAUUAUUUUGAUACUCAAAUUUGCAUAAUGGCCGCUCUUUGAAUGUUGUGAUAAGUAAGUUAUUUGAUGACUCGUGUUGAUGAUUGAGUUUUAUAUCCUUGACUUGCCACGAGAGUGUUUGAUUCAAUCAUGCCACUUGGUUAUUUUUUGGAGUGAUCAGCAUGAUUUUGUAAAUUACUAUAUUAUCUAUUUUUCUUUCUUUUUUCUCUCCUUCAUUGCUCAGGGACUAGCAAUGUGUCAGUUGGGGGGAGUGAUUACUACCCAAAAAGUGCUAUUUUACACCUUUAAUGCAUUAUGUUUUAAGCACUUUUGUGUAGUAGUUCUCCAUCUUUAGUCCAAUUGGCAUGUUAAGGACCUAGCAAUGUCUUUUAAUCAUAUUUGUGGCUAUUUUUAAUGUUUUGACAGCUUUUUGGAUUGUUAAAACAAGUCAAGCAAAGGAGAAAACCAAAGAGAAGCAAAGUGAAGAAAAAUCAAAAUGUAGCAGCUGCAGUCUUCUUUCGCACUUUUGGAGCACUUCCCGAAGUCCAAUUUUUACAUGCUAUAUACCAUUUUAAAGAUUUUGAAGUCAAGAAUCCAACGCUUUAAACCGUGCAUGAUUUGGAGCUGAAACGAGGAAGAUAUGGCCUUCGGAAGACAACUCCUCCAGGUGUGCGAGAAUUUCGCACAACCCCCUUUAGCUGUGCGAAUGGUGUGCGAAGUUCGCACACCUACCCCAUGCGUGCUCUGUUUUUGCCAACUCCACUUUAGAUAUUUUCCUAUGUAAUUUUUGAUGUAAUUUCCUUUCCUAUCCUUGUAACUAACCAAUCACAAGCUUUUGCUUUUGUAAAGACUUUAUAAGGGGUGGAAAUUACCUCUUGGAAAAUAUACGUAUUACAUUUGACACUUAGAGAUUUUUUACAGAGCUCUCUCGUUUUCCAUUUUUUCUCUACUAUUUUCUUUUUCUUGGAAGCCAAACAACCUCUGAGGAUGUUUUCUCAUAGGAUGAGAGGCUAAACUUUUGGUUUCUUGGAGUGAUGGAAGCUAGGUGAAAAGUUCAGAUGCAAGGUGGAAAACGCUCGUGCAUUAAAUUCAGGUAGUUGGAAUUCAUAAAUGGCUUUUAAAUCCAAAGUUUUGCUUUAAAUCCCUUAGAAUCACUUUGAAUGACCAAUACAUGGUAAGCUUCAGGUCUUUAUGGAUGCUUAUUGCUAGAUCCAUAUUAGUCCAUUAGUUAUCAUGUACGAGUCAUUGGAAAGCAGUUCAAGGUGAAGACCUAUAGUGUCUAAAGCCAUUAAUGGACUUUGACUACCAUUUAUAUUGAUUAUUAUGGAUUAAAUCUUCAUUGUUAAACCUAUACCGGUUCGGGAAAUAACUAUAGGUUAAAUCCCCAAUGCGAGGAGAAAAAUCCGGAAUUUUCCACUUUGCAUUCUAAACUUGAUCCUAGUAAUCCUGAGCUCCGGGAGACUUUCCUUCUUCCAUUUUUAAUUAGUUUAUGUUAGUUUAGUUUUAAACACUUUCAAAUCAAAUUUCAUUUUCUUUUAAAUUUUAAGUUUUUGAUUAAGGAAAUCAUUAAAUACAAUUUCUAAUUUUGAAUACAUCACUGGUAGAAUGAAAACCCAUCCCAGAGUUCGACCCUAGAGCCACUAUACUAUAGUAGCUUUACUACAUUAGUAUGAGGUCAUAGGUUUUAUAAAUGUUUUUGAUUAAAUGACCCAUUUGGAGUUACAUGCGCGAAUCAUUUAUUCCAAGUCUUUUGCAUAUCUAAGUCAUACUAAGAUUAAUUGUUUUCUCUAUUCCAAGUCUUUUCCAAAUCUAAGUCAUCCGAUGGGCCACACUUUUUAUGGAGAAGACUAAGCUUUUGCCCCUUGGGAUACAUAGGCCUCAUCCAAUGGGCCACACUUUUUAUGGAGAAUGCUAGACUUUUGUUCCUGACAAUAUGAAUGCUAAGACCAAUACUAAUUGUUUUCUCUAUUCCAAGUCUUCUACAUAUCUAAGUCAUCCGGUGGGCCACACUUUUUAUGGAGAAGACUAAACUUUUGCCCCUUACGAUACGUAGGCCUCAUCCAAUGGGCCACACUUUUUAUGGAGAAUGCCAGACUUUUGUCCCUAACAAUAUGAAUGCCAAGACCAAUACUAAUUGCUUUCUCUAUUCCAAGUCUUCUACGUAUUUAAGUCCAUCCAAUGGGCCAUACUUUUUAUAGAUAAGACUAAACUUUUGCCCUUGUGAUAUGAAGACCAAGACUAAUUGGUUUCUUCAAUAUUCCAAGUUAUGUGCAUACUUUUAUGUAGGGUAAUAACAUAAGGAAGUUUCAUAUGGUUUUAUAAUGCAAGUCUAGAUUUGUUAUUCUGUAUUUUUUUUUUUUUUACAUGUUUAAACACUUUCCCUCUUAAAUAACAUAACUUUUUUUUUCAAAUAAUCUUUGACAAAACUUUUGUCAUACCCUUUUUUAACUAUUAUACUAUUUUCCCAUAUCUAAAAUUUUCAAAGCACAUAUUUUGUUUUGCAAUUAUUUCUUAACUACGUACAUUCCUUAGACACUACAAAAAUGAUUUUAUUUGAAAAUUAACCAAUAAAUAUAUUUAGAUGGAUGACUCAAAAUUAAAGAAAAAAAUUUGUUCAUCAAUGCUAUUUCAUGUAGAAUAUAUAUGCAUAUGUAUCAAAGAAAAACAUGAAAAAUAAAAAACCAUACAAGUACAAAAGAAACAAUAUUUCAACAAUAAUGCUUUUUCCCUUUGAAACUUUACAUGGCUUUACAUGGAAACAACAUUUGGAUACAAGUACCAUAUAAAAUUUGUAAAAACCGUUCUUCAAAAAAUGUUUCUUAAAUUAAAAUUGUUUAGGAUUUUAUGUGGAAUUUGUAUUUUGAAAAGAUUGGUUCAAUAUAAUAAAAGUAAACUCAUUUUUUUUUUCAAAAGACGAGUUCAGUAUAAAAAGUAGGAAUUACUCAAAUUUUGAAAAGAUAAAUUUAAUGUAAAAAUAAUAAAAAAGUAAAAAAUAUUGGAUUCUUUAUUUAUUUGUCAAAUAACCCUUUUUAACAAUAUUCUUUUAAAAUAACCAUCUAAUAGACACCUUCAUCCUUUAAAAACUCAACUGCUUUAUAGAGAAGACCAAGACUUCUAGCUCUUGAUGUAGAGUUGUACUUCUUAAUAUUUCUCAUUAAAAGAUAAGAUUAACCUUAGAUGCUACUAACUGUGAAAGUUUUACUUUAGCUUAUGCAGGGACCUAUUUUAUGAUUAAAGAAACUUAUACAAACUAAAUGGAUAUCAUUUGAGAAAUUAUUGUGGCUAAGGUGGGUAAGAAAUAUGCUACUUUUUCCAUGAAAUCUUAGCUUGUGAUUAAAAGUGGGCAAAAUAGUUCGACUCUUGAUCGGACAACGAACCCACAUUGUCAUUUUAAUGUGGAAGUGACUCUAAAUUUUUCUUUGAUUUGAAGUCAAUGGUCCCACAUUUGAAUUGGAAACUUUGAUGAAGUUUCUAAUAAUGAAAAUUUAAACUUAAAUUAUAAGGGAACCUUUGGGUAUAAAUUCAAGUCAUCCAUUAUUAUAUUUUUUUCAUCACACAUCAGCCAAUUUUUGUUAUAGCUUUUGAAGAUACGAUGUAUCGAAUCCUUUGCUUCCUCUUCUUUCUCUCAUAUUCUCAUGUUUUUUGUUUCUACGAAGCUGUGUCCUCAUCACCAGAAUGUUGCCUUGCUUCGACUUAAGCAAUUAUUUUCCAUAGAUGUCUCCGCUUCUUCUUCGGAUGAUUGAAAUUUAGCUUCUUUUGCCAAGACAGACACUUGGAAGGAAGGCAUUGUGGAGACAGACAUGUUCAUGAAUCUUGAAAAUCUUGUCUAUCUCGAUCUUUCAUAUAACAUUCUGACAUUGAGCAACUACAGCCAUUCCAACAGUGCGCUACCAUCCUUGGAAACAUUGUUGUUGUCUUCUUGCAACAUAAGUGAAUUCCCAAGAUUUUUAUGAAGUCAAGAGUUAUUGGCGUUUUUAGACCUUUCAAACAACAAGAUUUAUGGACAACUUCCGAAAUGGGCAUGGAAUGUGGGUACGGAGACACUGUCUUACUUAAAUCUUUCUCAAAACAUGCUAACCAGGUUUGACAGAUUUCCAUGGAGGAUUGUGCAAUAUCUUGACCUUCAUUCCAACUUGCUUCAAGGGCCACUUCCAUCAUUGAUUUGUGAAAUGAGUUAUAUUGAAGUUCUAGAUUUCUCUAAUAACAACUUGAGUGGCUUAAUUCCACAAUGUUUGGGAAACUUCAGUAAGUCUCUCUCAGUUUUGGAUUUGUGAAUGAAUCAACUUCAUGGUACCAUUCCUGAAACAUUUUCAAAGGGCAAUCUUAUUAGGAAUCUUGACUUCAAUGGAAAUCAAUUGGAAGGGCCUCUACCACGAUCUUUGAUCAAUUGUAGAAGGUUGCAAGUUUUAGACCUUGGAAAUAAUAUAAUAAAUGAUACAUUCCCCUUUUGGUUGGAAACUCUUCUAGAGCUACAAGUUUUGAUCUUGUGUUCUAAUAGGUUCCAUGGUCACAUAAGCGGUUCAAAUUUCCAAUUUCCAUUUCCUAAGUUACGAAUAAUGGAUCUUUCAAGCAAUGGUUUCUCUAGCAGUUUACCCGAAAUGUAUUUGAAGAAUUUCAAGGCAAUGAUGAAUGUCACUGAGGAUAAAAUGAAAUUGAAAUAUAUGGGGGAAUACUAUUAUCGAGAUUGUAUAAUGGUAACAAUCAAAGGAUUUUAUUUUGAAUUUGUAAGAAUCAUGUUUACCUUCACAAUGAUUGAUUUGUCAAGCAAUACAUUCCAAGGAGACAUUCCAGAUUUCAUUGGUAGUCUUAGUUCACUUCGAGAACUCAACUUGUCUCAUAACAACAUUAUAGGGCAUAUUCCAUCAUCUUUAGGGAAUCUAAUGGUACUUGAAUCAUUACACCUCUCUUCGAACAAGCUUAGUGGGAGAAUUCCAAGGGAGCUGACAAGUCUAACAUUUCUUGAAGUCCUAAAUCUUUCGAAAAAUCAUCUCACUGGAGUCAUUCCUCGAGGCAACCAAUUUGAUACAUUUGCAAAUAAUUCAUAUAGUGGGAAUAUAGGAUUAUGUGGAUUUCCCUUGUCUAAGAAAUGUGUAGUUGAUGAAGCAUCACAACCUCCCAAAGAAGAAGAGGUGGAAUCCGAUAUUGGAUUUGAUUGGAAAGUCAUAUUGAUGGGGUAUGGUUGUGGACUAGUAGUUGGGUUGUCUAUGGGGUGCCUCAUCUUCUUAACAAGAAAGCCUAAAUGGUUUGUAAGAAUGAUUGAAGGAGAUAGACACAAGAAGGUUAGAAGGUCAACAAGGAGCACUCGCAAGCAGGGAGCAAGAAGAAGUUAGGCCAUUUCUAUGAUAUUGUAUUUUGUGGUGAAUGAUACUAAUUAAUGUUGCAUUCUUAUGUAAACAAAUAACAUGUAUUGCGAUUAAUGAAGUAAGAGUCUUUGAAGUUGUAAAAAUGUUUAUUUUUAUUUUUUCUUUCUCGAAAUGGAAUAAUACGUAGUAACAAUAUUUUCAAAUCAUCACUACCGUUUAACUUAUUUACAUAUCAUGACUAAAAGUAUUUUUAAAUGUUGGGUCAUAUAAUUAGAAAAGGUUGAACUCACAAGGUUUUGCAUAGAAUUAGAUGCAAUCGACUACUUAUCACUAAAAGACUAACGAAUUUUUGUUAGGAACAAAAGGUGAUUUUUUAAAAGAAUGAUAUUAAAAGGGCUAUAAAUUAAUGAAAUCCAAAUUCCAAUUUUAGGUUACAAAUUUUCACUAAACUCUUGUCCACAUAAUACAUUUAUCUUAAUAUGAAACAUUUAAUUGGGGUAGUCAAACACCCUCAGCCUUACUAGGGCUGAAAUUUUGGUGAUGCCAUAUCUUUGGAGUCAUUGCAGAACAACCAGUGUUUUAAUGGCAUUCCAUAAGAAGAAUGAAUGAGUUAUGAUUUUUUUUUUUUCUUUUUCAAACUGACAUGUAAUUUUUUAAGAAAAUUCUUAAUGAACUUAUUGAAUUUCUUGACACAUUAAAAUUUUCUUCAUAUAUCAUUCUUUUGAUCAUUUUUCCUUUUGACAAAAUUUUGUUUAUCAAACUUCAUUAUAGACUUCAAUUCUAUAUGAGUCAGACAGACAAAUUGCAACCCAUGAAAGAAGACUCUUAUCUUACCUUAAGUUUAUUACUAUCUACCCAAUAAAAUGGUGUGCUGGAUUUAGCAUCUUGAGUUGGACUCUAAGCAAUAUUGGUAGCAUUAUUUUAAGGCUAUGUUGCUCGAUAGUGUUAAACAAAGGAGAACAAUUUGCUAAAAAAAAAAAAAUUCAUAUCAUGAAAAAGAAAAUAUAUAUUAUUUUCUCCUAUUUGAAUGUGAAAAUUUGGAGAAAGUGAAUUAAAUUUUUUUGAAUGUCAUGCAAAGAGAUUACAUAUAUAUAUACUCCAAACUUGUAGAUUUUUUGUUGUAGAGAGUGAAUUCCUUAUAGAUUUAUUUUAUUGUCGUAGAGAGUAAAUUCCAUAUAGAUUUUUUUUCCCUCAAAUUUUUUUUUAUGGAAAAAUAAAUUAAAAUAAUUUUUUCAUUUUUUUCUUUUAUAUUUCUUUGUUUUUCUUUCCUCCAAAUUUUUCACAAAUGAAACAAAGUCUUCUCACAAAAUAAAGAAGUGCUUACCAAUAGGAGGAUUUAAAUAAGUUGAAGAAAAAUAUCAAUGAGAUGGAAAUUGAACAAAUCUUAUAGUUUUGUAAAAAAAACUUCAACUAAGAAUAAAAAAAAAAGUAAUAAUAUACAUAUUAAGUUGUUUUAUUGAAAAAAAAAUCAAUAUAUGUAUAAUAAAAUUUAUGAUAAUCCAUAAUAAUUUACAAUAUUUGAACUCAUUUAAUAUUUAGUUUGCAUAUAUUUAUGAUAAUGCAUAUAUAAUAAUAUACAUGUAUUUCUCAAAUAUAGAUUCACAAAAUAUUGAUUGCUUUCUAAUAUUUUUUCGAGAAUCAUUCAAUGAAUUUUUCUACUUUGAUAGUACCUUGGAUUCUUUUUGAAUCAAUCACUUUAUUGUAACUGUUAUCCAAUAGAUCCCCAGAAUCUUGAGAUUUAAACAAGACACAUCUGAAUACACUAGAAGUAUGUUUGAUAAUGAUUUUAACAAGUAUUUCUAAUAUUUUUAAUACUUAAAAAGGUAACAAUUUUCAAGUGUUAGAAAUAUUAGAAACGCUUCAAAAAAUCACUAUCAAACACACUAAAAAUACUAGAAACACUUCCAAUAAUCACUAACAAACACACUCUAGUUAUCAAAAUUUUUACCCAUGAAUUUUAAGAGUUGAGGAUGAUUUAAGUUAUUAUUUGUAGUCAUAAUUUUACCAACAAAAUUACAAUUUUCUUGUGAUUGUGUACUUUCUUGGUAUUCUAGCUUUGAUUUGGUAUUUUAUAUUCCCCAAUCUUCUAACUCUAAUACCAUUUGUUGGAAUACACACAAUUAGAUAUUGAUAAUAUUUUUUCGAAAAUAAUGUUUUAUUGCAUUUUAUUAUAUUAUUUUUCAAUCUAAUAAUAAACUUAUUUCUAAUAAACUAAUCAUACUUAGACUAUAACAUCAAUUCUUAACUACCUACAUUCCUUGGAUGCUACAAAAAUGAGUUUAUUUGAAAAUUAACCAAUAAAUAUAUUUAGAUGGAUGACUCAAAAUUUAAGAAAAAAAAUUGUUCCUCAAUGCUAUUUCAUGUAGGAUAUAUAUGCACAUGUAUAAAAAAAAACAUAAAAAAUCGAAAACUAUACAUGUAUAAAUAUUAAGAUAAGAUUCAUUGGUGCAAGUACAAAAGAAACAAUAUUUCAACAAUAAUGUUUUUUCCCUUGGAAACUUUACAUGGCUUUCCUUGGAAACAACAUUUUGAUACAAGUAUCAUAUACAAUUUUUAAAAAACCGUUCUUCAAAAGAUAAUUCUUAAAUUAAGAUCGUUAAUGAUUUUAUGUGAAAUUUGUAUUUUGAAAAGAUGAGUUCAAUAUAAUAAAAGUAUCUCAUUUUUAUUUUUUUUUCAAAAGACCAAUUGAGUAUAAAAAGUAGAAAUUACUCAUAUUUUGAAAAGAUAAAUUUAAUUUAAAAAAAAAAAUUGUAUUCUUGUAUUUAUUUGUCAAGCAACCAUUUUUAACAAUAUUCUUUUAAAUAACAUUUUUUAAUUUUUUUUCCCAUGUUUUUUUUUUUUUUGCCUCCCAAUUCAGUCUAAUAGACACCUUUGUCUCUGUUUAUUGACAACAUAGAUGAUAUGGUGUCUCCCCCGGAGGAGCUGCUUCAACAUCUUUCCCCUCUCCACAAUUUGAAGUGCUCUGGUUUGGCAACAUCACCACACUGGAUAGGCAGCCUCACCUCACUUGCUGAAUUAGAGAUCAGUGAUUGCCCAGACUUGACAUGCUUAGAACUGCCGUCAUCUCCGUGUCUUUCUAGUUUAAAGGUCAGUGAUUGCCCAAACUUGACAUGCUUAAAACUGUAGCCAUAUCCUUGUCUUUCUAGUUUAAAGAUUGGAAAGUGCCCAAAGUUAGCAUCCUUCGAAGUGGCUUCAUUACCUUGUCUUGAGAAACUAAGCCUGGGUGGACUUGGAGCAAAGUUACCGUCAAAGUUAGUCUCCGUCUUUGCUUCUUCUUCAUUGAAGUCUCUGUAUAUGAUAUCUAUCCCGGAGGAUCUGCUUCAACAUCUUUCCACUCUCUAAACUCUCUACAUUUUGAAAUGCUCUCGUUUGGCAACGUUACCACACUCGAUAGGCAGCCUCAUCUCACUUACAGAGCUUGGAGUUCAUGAAUGCCGUCAAUUGAAAUCACUACCAGAAGAGAUGCGUUCCCUUAAAAACCUGCAGAAAUUCUAUAUCUGGGAUUGUCAACAUCUAGAGAAAAUAUGCCGACAGAAAACAGGGGAAGACUGGCCCAGGAUUGCUCAUAUCCCACAUAUUGAUUUCUACACUGAUCAACGAAUAACAAGGGAGCUCCGAAAUCCCUAACCUUUCUUCUCAUUUUUAUUAUUUUUUCGAUCAAAAUGCAAGGUUUUCUCAUUCUGUCUUGGUAAUUCUUUUAUAUUGGCACUUCAUAUGUUUGUUGAAAUGCUCACAUCAGUAAAUCGAUUUUUUUUUCCAGACCAUAUAUACAGUCGAUGAUGAUAUGCACGAAACUCAUCAUUUUACUUGGAGUUGAGGUGAGAUUUGAUAUGAUAUCUCUCCCAGAGGAGCCGAUUCAACAUGUUUCCAUGAUCUAAAGUCUCAACAUUAGACAUCGCUCUGUUUUUGCAACAUUACAACACUGGAUAGGCAGCCUCCCGUCAGGUACAGAACUUGGAAUUCAUGGCUGCCAGAAGGUACGUUCCCUCGAAAACCUGUAGAAGCUCAAAAUCUACAUUGAAGUCUGAAUGAGGGCUGAGGUGCUGUGUCAGUUAAUGUUUCUCUCCCCUUCAUUGAAGUCUCUGUCUAUUGGAUGCUCAGGUGCUAUGAUGUCUCCCAGAGGAGCUGCCUCAACAUGUUUCCAGGAUCCAAACUCUCAAAAUUGAAUACUGCACUGGUUUUGCAAUAUUCCUGCCCUGGAUUGGUCGCUUCACCUCACUUAUGGACCUUCAUAUUUGUGACUGCGCUGAAUUGGCAUCACUUUCGGAAGAGAUGCAUUCCCUCAAAAACCUUCUGACACUAAAAAAUCUUUCAUUGUCAGCACCUGCUUGAAGAUGCCAAAAAGAAACAUUUCAGGUUCAAGAACACAGAGAGCUAUACUUGGUGGAGAUUUCAUCAAUAUAGAGAGACAUUUUAGGUCUGAAAUCCACCCUUCUCAUUUUCUUAUGGCUUCAUUUUGAUUUAAUUUCCUAAUUACAUGAAUUCUAUAUCUGUAAUCCCAGUAUGAAUUAGCACAUAAAUCAGAAGUGAUUUUGAUUUUUUUAUGUCCACACUAUUCAUUUGAUGAAAUGCUUAAACAAGUAAGUUCGAAAUUUUUUCCCUUCAAAUCAAUUUCUAAUGCACCAUGAAUUGGUAAUUGAAGUUUGGAAAGAUGUUGGGAUGAUUUAAUUAUUAUUUUGUUGCAGAUUUCAACUUGCUUAAGACGCUUGUGAUUAUUUCUUCUUGGCUCAACCUGAAAUCAUUGCCUACGUUCUUCCAUUUGCUACCUCAAAAUCACCUACCAAAAGUUUUGGAUUGCCUAAAAAUUUUCUCAUGGCCCAUAAAUUCGUAUAUAUCAGAUGGCUAUAUAUUUCAGGUCCUGCUUUCCUUAGAAAUCAGGUCUACUCUCUGCCAUAUAUUUCAGGUAAUCUGUUGCCUGCUUUUAAUCUCUACAUCAUCUUUCAUUUUGCUUUCAAUUUUUGUCAGGAGUGUCAUACAAGUUGUAAUUAUAUUUGUGAACUUUCAUAUGCACUAUCAUUUUUUAUUGUUUUUUAAUAUAUAACUCCAACCAAACAUAUCAUAGACCAAAAACUUAUUAUGUCAGUUCGAGUAGUUUAUUUUUUUCCCCCUUUUGGUGAUGUUGUUUUGGGCCUAGAAAUUUUUUUAGAGUAAUUAUUGCAAAUGUAAUGUUGUCUAAUCAAUACAAAAACUAAUAGUUGUGAGGCUUGGAUACAUGGCUUCCUUGAUCAGUAACUAAAUUGAGUGUUUCUGUAGGCUGAUGUCUCUAUAUUUGGAAAUUCAGAGAGUUGCAAAUUCCAAGGACUUACAAGAUUGAGUCGCUGUCUCUACCAUUAGGGCUUCAACAAGUUACCAUUCUUGAAAUUCUAAAAAACAUCAGAUUGCCUCAUCUUUGAAUCGAAAUCACUCCCAGAAGGAUGUGCUUCCCAACACUCUCAUGGGCUCUUUGACUUUGCCAUCUACAAUAUAUCAGAGGUUCAUCAUCCAUCCUCUAUUCCUGCUUUGGGGGGCUCUAAUUUUUUAUAUUAUUUUUCCGUUAAUAUUCUAAAAAUAUUAUAUUCUAUUUUUAAUUCUUUUUACCUGAGUCUCAUGCAUUAGCACAUAAGAGAAAAGUCAUAUAACACUUUCAUAAUGCAAUCAUUUUCCAUUUUAGCCCUAUACUAUUUUUCUUGUAUAUGGCUAAGGCAUCCAAUAAAUAUGCCUUCACUCACCAGAAAAAUACCCAUCACGUCAUCUCCAACCCCCUCUUUCUUCUCCUUCUUUCUGCAACACCCAUGGUGGAUUCUUUUGUGUUCUAACAACAAAUGUACUCUGCUGUUUUGAGUUGCUUCUCAUGGCUCCAAAAUGAUGGGUGUUUUUCCAUUUUGUUUUGGUCUUCAGUGAGUUCAGAAGACGAGAUUUGAAGGACGGUGUUAGUGGGUUUUGGUGGGAAUGUAGAUUUGGUGGACCUAAUGCUACUGCUGUCUGGUUUUAAGAAAAGAGGGUUGCAGUGACGACUGACGAGAAUGAGGUAAUUUUGGGUGGUGAAUGGAGAAAGAGACGAAUUUGAGGUUGAGGGUUUGAUGAAGGAAGCUAUGUUGUGUGAGAUUAUGCUCUAAUACUUGUUUAGAAUUUUGGGUCUCUAUUGCAUUCACGUAUAUUGUUUGCCAUUCCAACCCUCUUAUUGCUUUUGAAGACAAAAUUAUUUUUGUAAAAUCCUUAGAUAGUAAAAUUUGAAGUUCCUACCUUCAAAGAUACCAAUUCCUUGUAUUUUUACUUUAAUGGUUAUAAUCUAUAUGUGAUCUUGUUAUUUUAUAUUUGUAUUUUACAUGUUUGGAAAUUUUAUUGCAGGUGUAAGUGUUGCCAAGUCAAAGCAAUGCCAGAUAGUGAUGUAGUUGUGACACCUUACUUCUCUAAAGCAACUCGAAAGUGGGGAUUGUUGCCUACCACAUCUCAUUUCGGGAAAGUUGUGUUUAUAGGCUAUGAUAUGGGAAAUAUAUGGUUUUGGAAACCCAUAUAAGUGAAAUAUGAGAUAUGCCUGUAAUAAGAAAAAUAUUAUAGGUUUCAUACACUAUUUACUGUUCAAAUUUUUAUUUUCGAAAUUACCCUUUAGGUCUUUUGUCAGCAAGAAAUUUUUUUUUUUUUUGGGUUUUCCUUAGGGGUUUUGCAUGGAUUUUCUCAGCAAUCAAAUGAGAAUGAAUUUUCCUGGAAAUCGAAUAGGGGAUGGAGACCCUUAGAACAGAUCCAAAAAGCACAAGGAGCAAAAACAAAAAGCAAUUUUUUUGGUUUUCCUUGGGGGUUUUGCAUGGAUUUUCUCGGAAAUCAAACAAGGAUGAAUUUUCCCGGAAAUCAAAUGGGGGCGGCGGCGAGAAUAGAUCCAGAAAGCGUAGGGAGCAAAAAAAAAAAGAAAAUUUUUUGGUUUUCCUUGAGGGUUUUGCAUGGCUUUUCUCGGUAAUCAAACGAGGAUGAAUUUCCUCGAAAAUCGAAUGGGGGAUGGAGACCCCUAGAACAUAUGCAUAAAGCAUAGGGAGCAAAAAAAAAAGCAAGUUUUUUGGUUUUCCUUAGGGGUUUUGCAUGGAUUUUCUCGAAAACCAAACGAGGAUGAAUUUUCUAUGAAAUCGAAUGGGGGCAGCGAUGAGAACAGAUCCAAAAAGUGCGGGGACAAAAAAGAAAAAAAAAAACAAUUUUUUUGGUUUUCCUUGGGGGUUUUGCAUGGAUUUUCUCGAAAAUCAAACGAGGAUGAAUUUUCCCGGAAAUUGAAUGGGGAAUGGAGACCCUAUAACAGAUCUAGAAAGCAUAGGGAGCAAAAAAAAAAAGCAAUUUUUUUGGUUUUCCUUAGGAGUUUUGCAUGGAUUUUCUCGGAAAUCAAACGAGGAUGAAUUUUCCUAGAAAUCGAAUGGGGGGUGGAUUUUCUUGGGGAUCAAACAAGGAUUUUUUUUUUUUGCUUUCGCUGCCGCCGCCCCCAUUCAAUUUCUGGGAAAAUUCAUCCUUGUUUGAUUGCCGAGAAAAUCCAUGCAAAACCCUCUAGGAAAACCAAAAAAAUUGUUUUUUUGGCUUGCUGACAGGAAGACCUAAAGGAUAAUUUCAGAAAUAAAAAUUUGAACAGUAAAUAGUGCAUGAAACCUAUAAUAUUUUUCUUAUUACCAGACAUAUUUCAUUUCUCUCAAGUCAUCGAAAAUUCAGUGAUGUGCUAGUAGCCUAAUGUCUUUGUCACAAGUGAUUUAGGGAUUCAGAUUAUUUCUCUGAAUUGACAUAAAUAAUAUGUUCUGGUUUGGUAACAUUAUCACACUCAAUGGACAACCUCCAUUUACUAACAUCUUCAAGUUUAUAGUUGUCCUGAACUGACAUGGCUGUCAGAAAACAUGCAUGUCCUCAACACCCUCUGGACACUUGUAAUUGAGUACUUUUUGGUUUGGCAACAUUAAUAGACUUAGUAGGCUUUCUUACGUCACUUCAAAACUUCAAAUUCAUGAGUGCCUUGAAUUGACAUAACUUCCAGAGAAGAUGGGUCACUCAUGCUCUGUAGACACUUACAACAUUAACGGACCUUAUAUGCAGUCUUACCUCACUUGCAUGCCUUGAAAUUGAUAGCUACCCUGAAUUGACAUCAUCUCCUAAAGAGAUUGUGUUGGAAAUCAAGCCCACGUCGCCUUCCUGCCUAUGCAUGCUCCUUCCCAUAUUUAGCAUCCUCUGUUUACUUCCUUGAAUUAGUGUAAUGUAUAGCCUUUAUUAUAAUUGAUUUAGGAGUAAUUCUAGCAAGGUAGUUUAUUCACUUUCCAUGUAAGAGUAGUUUAUUCACUUCCCAUGUAAGAGUUUAUUCACUUUCCAUGUAAGGGAAAUUCCGUCUGGUGAUAGUGUACCAUUCCGGAAUUGUCUCAUAUCUGUAGGCUAUUUAUUUAUGCUUUCAUUCAUUGUAAAAAAAGGUAUCACAGAAUGAAUUGAGGUGUUCCUCCAUAGUUUGUCUUCAAUUUCUUCAUAUUUUAGUCUUCAAAUUCUUCAUGGUAUCAGAGCAGGUUUAAUCCUAUCUCAUCGUCUUCAUCUUUAGUCAGUUUUUUUUCUACUCAAUUCUAUUCUUCUAAUUUAUGCCUAAAUACGGUCCAGCCUUUGGAAUGGCUACCAACUCAUCAUCCUCUACUUCUGAUAUCAUCAUCUCAUAGUCUUCAUCCUCUCAUCAGAUGGAAACCUCUCAUCUUCCAAUCACAGCCCAUAAACUGAAUGGGCAAAAUUAUUUGCAAUGGUCUCAGUCCAUAUUAAUGUUUAUACGGGGAAAGGAGAAAGAUGACUACAUCACUGGAGCUUCGGCGGCACCAGAAACCACAGCAUCAACCUACAAAAAGUGGAUAGCAGAAAAUAAUAUGGUCAUGUCCUGGCUAGUCAACUCUAUGACCGCUGACAUUGGUGAAAAUUUUCUGUCAUUUGAUACUGCCAAAGAAAUCUGGGACACUGCAAAAGAAACUUUCUCAGACAAGGAAAACACAUCUGAAAUCAUCCAGAUUGAAGGCAUCCUCCACGAUUUGCGUCAAGGAAACCUUACGGUAACUGAAUAUUUCAAUACUCUUACUCGUCUAUGGCGUCAACUUGAUACGUUUGAGGUUCAUAACUGGAAUUGUGUUACAGAUGGUUUUUUGUAUAAAAAGAUUGUCGAAGGGAAACGUGUGUUUAAAUUUUUGUUAGGUUUGAACAAAAAUCUUGAUGAAAUCAGAGGAAGAAUCAUGGGAGUAAAACCCCUACCUAGCCUCAGAGAGGCAUUCUCUGAAGUCCGUCGCGAAGAAAGUCGGAAAAAUCUCAUGAUGGGAUCCCAUCAACAACUGAAUAUGGCAGAAAGCUCGACUCUUAAGACUCAAUUCGCUCCUUUUGACAAUCGUAAAAAAAUUAAAGGAGGUAGACCUUGGUGUGAUCAUUACAGAAAGUCGGGACACUCAAGAGAAACUUGUUGGAAGAUUCAUGGAAAGCCAGUAGAUUGGAAGCCACGUCAACCACUUGAGAAAGAAGGACGAGGUAAUCAUGUGGCUACCGAUGAACAAUCGCCACAAACUGAAGCUAGCCCUUUUAAUAAGGAGCAAAUGGAGAUGCUUCAGAAACUACUGUCUCCUCUUUUGUCAAUACAGUCACAAACUAGCUCAUCUUCCAACUAGGUCAUUGGUUCCGGAACCUUGGCUCACAAAGGUAAUUUUUUGAGUGUCUUCACUGCUGGUAAGAAACGUAAAAAACCUUGGAUAGUGGACUCAGGAGCAUCUGAUCAUAUGACGGGAGAUGCGACAAUUUUUUAUACAUAUAGCUCAUGUCCAAAUAAUUUAACAGUUCGAAUAGUAGAUGGUUCACUAUCAAAGGUUGCCGGAACAGGUUCAGUUGUGCUAUCAAGGGAUCUUACUCUCAACUCUGUUCUCCUUGUUCCUAACUUGGACUGUAAUCUAUUGUCAAUUAGUAAACUCACUAAGGAAAAGAGGUGUAUUACUAAUUUUUCCUCCACUCACUGUGAAUUUCAGGAUUUGGAUUCGGGGAAGACGAUUGGCAAUGCUGAGGAAUGCUCUGGACUCUACAUCCUUAAGGAGCGCCACGAUCCACAAGAACAACCUCAAAUGGCAGUUGGUAGUAAUUCUUUUUCGGUUUCAUGUCAAAAUAACGAUAGUGCAAUUAGGUUGUGGCACUAUCGCUUAGGUCAUCCAAAUGUUAUGUAUCUCAAGCAUUUAUUUCCUUCAUUAUUUAAUAAAAAUCCAAAAUCCUUUGAGUGUGAAAUCUGUCAAUUAUCAAAGCAAGUCCGGUCUCAUUUUCCCAUUCAACCCUAUAAAGAGUCUAGUCCAUUCUCAAUGAUUCAUAGCGAUAUCUGAGGUCCGUCAAGAAUAAAAAAUGUAACUGGUACCAGGUGGUUUGUCUCAUUCAUAGAUGAUCACACUAGAUUAACUUGGGUAUUCCUCAUGAAAGAAAAAUCUGAAACGAGUCAAAUUUUCAAAAAUUUUAAAAAUAUGAUUCAGACCCAAUUCCAGUCAAAAAUACAAAUUCUAAAGUCUGAUAAUGCUAGGGAUUAUUUCAACUCCAUUCUAGGAGAAUUUCUAGCACAAGAAGGGAUAGUUCACUUAAGUUCAUGUGUUGAUACCCCACAACAAAACGGAAUCGCUGAAAGGAAAAAUAGGCAUUUGUUAGAGGUGGCUAGAUCACUAAUGUUCUCCAUGAAUGUUCCAAAAUUAUUCUGGGGGCAAGCUGUCCUUACGGCAGCCUACCUCAUCAAUAGGAUGCCGUUUAGGGUACUAAAAUUCCAAACACCUUGUCAAACACUCCUAAAAUCCUUUCCGACUACUCGUCUCAUCUCCACCGUCCCACCCAAAAUUUCGGGUGCUCUGUCUUUGUUCAUAUCAAUCAACAACAUAGAAGUAAACUUGAUCCUAGGUCACUCAAGUGCAUCUUUCUUGGGUAUUCUUCAAAUCAAAAAGGGUAUAAGUGUUACUCUCCGGUCACAAGAAAAUUCUACAAUUCAAUGGAUGUCACCUUUUUUGAAACCCAUCCUUACUAUCCCAAAAACGAUAUUCAGGGGGAGAAUUCAACUCAGGAAUAUCAAUUUUGGGAUCUUGAGUCAUUCAGUGAGUCACCCAUCACCACUGAAAAUCACAUUCCUCCAGAGUCAUUUAAUCAGCCCGAGUCCAUUGUUGACUUGUGGGAUAAGGAGCACAUCCAAGAGGAAACGGAGGAAGGAGCACUUUCUCAACAAACCCAUGAGGCAGAACCGGGUCCUAAUCCAAGCAAACUUCCAGGUAACAACGCUCCUGAUGGUACUGUUGAUUCCGAGUUAGAAAAUGAUAUUCUUAAUAUGCCCAUAGCUUGGAGGAAAGAAGUUAAAUCAUGCACUCAGCAUCCCAUUGGAAAUUUUAUUUCUUAUGAUAAGCUAUCACCUACGUUUCGUGCAUUCACUUCUAGCAUCACAGAGAUACAAGUUCCUCAGAAUAUUCAGGAAGCUUUCAAGUAUCCUAAGUGGAAGGCGGCAGUCGAUGAGGAAGUUCGGGCGCUGGAAAAGAAUGGUACGUGGGAAAUUACUGACCUCCCAAGAGGUAAGAAACCAGUUGGGUGUAAGUGGAUUUUCACAGUAAAGUACAAGGCAGAUGGUAAUGUGGACAGGUAUAAGGCUCGGUUGGUCGCCAAAGGAUUCACCCAAUCCUAUGGCAUUGACUAUCAAGAAACUUUUGCUCCAGUUGCCAAGCUCAAUACUGUUCGUGUACUUUUAUCCUUGGCAGCUAAUCUCGAUUGGUCGCUUCACCAACUUGAUGUGAAGAAUGCCUUCCUCAAUGGUGACUUAGAGGAAGAAGUUUACAUGGACAUUCCUGCUGGACUCGAGACGACAUCAAAUUUCAACAAGGUUUGCAGACUCCGAAAAUCCUUGUAUGGUCUCAAACAAUCUCCCAGGGCCUGGUUUGAACGGUUCACUAAGGUAGUGAAAGGGUACGGAUUCGUUCAAUGUCAAUCCGAUCACACAUUAUUUGUGAAACACUUCCCAGAAGGGAAACUGGCAAUUAUCAUUGUAUAUGUGGACAACAUAAUUUUGACAGGUGAUCAUGAAGAGAAAAUUGACUUACUUAAAAAAUUACUGACAAAGGAAUUUGAGAUCAAGGAUCUUGGAAACCUCAAGUACUUUCUCGGAAUGGAGAUUGCUAGGUCAAAGAAAGGUAUAGCAGUCUCACAACGCAAAUACGUUCUGGACUUAUUAAAUGAAACAGGAAUGCUAGGAUGCAAGCCAGCAGAAACACCUAUGGAUACAACUGUCAAACUGGAAGAAAGUGAUGGAAGUGCGCCAGAUGAUAAAGGAAGAUAUCAACGUCUUGUGGGGAAACUCAUCUAUCUUUCUCAUACAAGGCCAGACAUCGGCUUCUCCAUUAGUGUGGUAAGUCAAUUCAUGAAUAAUCCAACCGAAAAACACAUGACUACUGUGAUCAGAAUAUUGAGAUACCUCAAGAUGACACUGGGAAAGGGUCUCUUCUUUCAAAGAACAACAAAGAAAGAGAUUGAGAUUUUUUCAGAUGCAGAUUGGGCAGGUUCAGUGACUGAUCGGAGAUCAACUUCAGGCUAUUGUUCAUUUGUCUGGGGGAACUUGGUUACAUGGCGAAGCAAGAAACAGUCAGUGGUAGCCCGUAGCAGUGCUGAGGCAGAAUUUCGUGCUAUGGCACAAGGUAUCUGCGAGGGAAUCUGGUUGAACAAGUUGUUAGAAGAAUUACGGGUUCCAUUGAAGCAUCCCAUGGUGUUAUACUGCGACAAUCAAGCUGCCAUCAAUAUCGCUAAGAAUCCGGUUCAUCAUGAUCGAACUAAGCACGUGGAGAUAGAUCGACACUUUAUCAAGGAAAAGAUUGAAGAAGGAGUUUUCAAAGUCAGCUACACUCCGACAAACUGUCAAACGGCUGACAUUCUCACAAAAGCUCUUGCUCGAGUUAACUUAGAAGAUCUGACAGAAAAACUUGGAAUGAUCAACAUCUACAACGCGGCUUGAGGGGGAGUGUUGGAAAUCAAGCCCACGUCGCCUUCUUGCCUGUGCAUGUUCCUUCCCAUAUUUAGCAUCCUCUGUUUACUUCCCUGAAUUAGUGUAAUGUACAGCCUUUAUUAUAAUUGAUUUAGGAGUAAUUCUAGCAAGGUAGUUUAUUCACUUUCCAUGUAAGAGUAGUUUAUUCACUUCCCAUGUAAGAGUUUAUUCACUUUCCAUGUAAGAGAAAUUUCGUCUGGUGAUAGUGUACCAUUCCGGAAUUGUCUCAUAUCUGUAGGCUAUUUAUUUAUGCUUUCAUUCAUUGUAAAAAAAGGUAUCACAGAAUGAAUUGAGGUGUUCCUCCAUAGUUUGUCUUCAAAUUCUUCAUAUUUUAGUCUUCAAAUUCUUCAGAUUGGUUUCUUCGGAUCCAUACUGCCACAAUCUCUUAUUGUCCAUGGCUAUUGGAAAGAUGUGAAAGUGAAACAAGUGAAGAUUGGUCAAAGAUUGUUCAUGUUAUAGAAAGUUAUUCAGGUUUUAAAUCCCUAUCUUUCUUCUCAUUUGCUAUGGUUUCAGUUUAUCAAUAAGCUUUGUUUACCUUCUUUUUUGACAAUUCUAGUAUGCAUUAGCAUAUAAAGCAAAAAAAAAAGAAAAAAAAAGAUGAGAUACUAUUAAACCUAGUUGUUAUUUGGUUAUUAAAGACCAAACUAUUCAUGUUACUUUAAGUUUUGCACACUAAGAGUUUGGGAAUAAGCUAGUGUUAUGAAAAACGAAAAUAGACCACAAAAAAAAAUAAAAAAAAAAAUAAGAACAUACACAGAUUUACGUGGAAAACCUUAGACGAGAAAAACUACGGGCAGAGGAGAAGAAUAAUCCACUAUGUCAAAAAUUGGUACAAAAUGGGAGAGCAUUAAGCGGUUACAACAGAAAUCCCUUAGAACCUAUACACCAUCCCAUAUAUAUAUAUAUGGGAGAAAAAAAAAAUAAAGCAGGAAAGAAAUCUAUAAUUUUUUCUUCACCAUAUAUAUCGCACCGUAAAGAUUUCGGGUUGGACCAAAAAAGGAAAUUAGGUCACCAAGCUCUAACAAUCUCCACCUUGACACGAAUUCCAAUGUAAGGAAUUAGAAAAACAAACUCUAAUCUUCAACAAAAAAAAAAAAGAAAAACUCUUCACCUCUUCCACAAACCCUAAAGGGUAAUUCAACAACGAAUACUAACCAAGUCCAAGCAAUGCUCAAACUUGGCUAGAGGGAGUAUCUUCAUCAUCAUAUCAGUAGGAUUAUCAUGGGUGCUAACUUUGGCCACAUAAUAUCACCACGAGAAAUGAUAUCACACACAAAAUGAUACCACACAUCAAUGUGUUUUGUCCUCUCAUGAAACAUCUAAUCUUUUGUGAGGAAAAUAGCACUCUGACUAUCACAAAAAACUAUGGUAAUUUGCAAGUUGUCACUAAGUUCUCUAAAUAGUUCUUUUAACCAAAUAGCUUCCUUUCAAGCCUCUGUAAUAGCCAUGUACUCAACCUCAGUAGUAGAUAAAACAACUGUAGUCUACAAAGUAGCUUUCCAACUGAUAACACAACCACCAAUAUUAAAAACAUACUUUGUAAGAGAUCUUCUUUUAUCAAGAUUACCAGCAAAAUCAUAAUCAACAUACCCAGCAACUCCACCUCUAGUUCUCCCAAAAUGGAAAGAAACAUCAGUAGAACCACGCAAGAAUCUAAAAAUCCAUGAAACUGCUUUCCAAUGUUCUUUACUAGGAUUUGCCAUGUAUCUACUGACUGCACUGACUGCAUAUGAUAAACCUAGACAUGAACAAACCAUAGUAUACAUGAGAGACCCCACUACACUAGAAUAUGGAACUCGUGACAUAUAAUCAAUGUCAUCAUCUGAUUGUGGAGCUAAAGCAUAUGAAAGUCGGAAAUGAGCCGCUAAUGGAGUACUAACAUGUUUAGCAUUCUGCAUAUUGAACCUGUAAAGAACUUUCUCAAUGCACCAUUUCUAAUUUAGGUAUAAUUUACCUGCCUUUCUAUCUCUUAGAAUCUCCAUUCCAAGUAUCUUCUUUGUUGCUUCUAAGUCUUUCAUCUCAAACUCCGUACUGAGUUGGACUUUUACCUUUCUUAUAUUUUCCUUAUCCUGGGCUGCUAUUAACAUAUCAUCAACAUAUAAGAGGUUUGACUCAUUCAUGACCACUCAUGAUAUUGAUUAUUGUUUAUACAUAUCCCUAAUGAAGUACAAAAUUUUGAUAUUAUGAAGUGGUGAAAAUCUCAUGAAUCCACUUUUCCUGUACUAUCUAAAAUGACACGUGAUCUACUAACCCCACCGGUGUCUACUGUAGCAUUAGAAUCUUCUUUUUCUAUAGUUGCAAAUAUAACAGGAGACAGGAGGACAACUCUUACAGCAAAGAUGCUAGAAGCUUUGACAUGUUUGAAGGAUUGAGAAGAUGGACGCAUGAGACUUCAAACUUUAGAGGAUGAACUUAAAGAAGCCUUUGAGAAAUUGCAUCUCAAUGCAGACAAUGAUGUUCAAGAGAUUGAUGAUGAUUGAAGAUGAAAAAAAGAAGAAUGAAGAUUGAAUAAGAAGACAAAAGUGAAUAUGAUAAUUGAAGAAUUAUAUGUUAUUCGUUUUUUUUUAAAUCUAUUAAAUGUAGCUAAUUUUUAAAGGUUGAGUAAUGCAUAUGAUUGAUAGUUGGGUGAGUGCCAACCUAGUUGGGAUGUACUCAAACUAUAGUGAUGCAAUUCUCACAUUUUUCUUUCUCCUUAUUUUUUUCAUGUAAUUUGUUGAAAUAUUGAAUAAAAGAAUUAUUUUUUUAUAUUUCAUUUCCUUUUAUAUUCCAUUAUUUUAAAUUUAUUGUUAUUUUGAUCAAAAAUAAAAAAAUUCAAAUAUAAUUUUUUUACUAUUUUUAAAAACAAAAACUAAUAUUUCUAUAAAUUUUACAAUUACAAACUCGAUAAAUAUAAAUGUAAAAAAUAAAAAGUAUAAUUAUUAGAGGUGUAUAAAUAUAUAUAUAUAUAUAUAUAUAUAUAAUUAUUAGAGGUGUUUAAAGUAACAAAAAGAAAUUUUAUUUAAUAAUGAAAAAAACUUAAGAAAAAAUGACUUAAAAAAUUAAAUUAAAUUUUUUAACAAAGUGACUGGCCCAUGGGCCACGACCCGCUAGCAUGGCCCGGCCCGGACCGACGCAACACGUAUGGGUCGUGUUGAGCCACCUAUUUGGCUUGCAUAGGCCAUCGGCCUGACUCGACAAGAUUUUUAAGUGGGUCGUGCCGGCUCGACACGUUGACUCUAAUGGCCUAGUCAAUAUCGGGCCGUACCUAGUCAUAUCCCAUUAUGGCAUUAAGAUAUUAGAAAGCCCCUUGGUGAGCACAAAGAGGGUUAAAAUUAUGUUUAUUGCUUGGAUACAACAAAAUGAAGUUACAAGUAUAUUAAAUAAUAUGCUAGGAGAUAAUAUAUUGACACCAUAUAUAACAGUAGAAUUGAAGCCAAAACAAGAACUUUAGAUGCAUGUUUUGCACCUCUUGUGUGGCUUUGCCUUAUUAUACUAUUCUAUAUGUCAUGUGUAUUUUGUUUUGUGUUGCCUGUAAAAUAUACAUACAUACAUAUAUAUAUACAUACAUACAUAUAUAUAUAUAUAUAUAUAUAUAUAUAUAUAUAUAUAUUUGCACCUUUUUUCUUUAGGGGUCUUUAUAAAUUUAAAGAAAAUAAAAAAUUGUUGGCAAAUAAUGCAUAUAUGAUUGCUCAUCCACGUGUUCUCUUAUCCACUUCCCUUCUUUUAAUUGUGUUAUGAUUCAAUCCCUCUAAAAUCUUCAAGUAGCAAAUAAAACACGUAAAAUAGCAAAAAGAAGUCAAAAUUAAUAAGAAUUCUUACAACAAAGUAGCAUGUAAGAUAUUGAAAAUGGAGUGAAGAUGCAAAUCCGGUUGAAAAGUUCUUUCUUACUUGUCUUUUACAAUACUCUCCCUUGCUUCUCUAUUACAAUUUAUGCAUGUAACUUCCUAUCUUUUGUUUCUUAUCAUUCAUAUAACUUAAUUAUAGUUGACAUCCAAAUAGUACUUAAUCAUAUAAGGAUUCAUUUAUAUAGUAAUAUAGUAAAAGUAAGUUACAAUUAUCAUCUUAAUCAAUGUGGAAGCUACCAUGUUAGGAGUGUUAAAAUAUCCACAAAUCCAUAGUUUUCAUUUAGUAAAAGUACAAUUUCUUGUUUAAUGAAAUACACACUUUAAAGAAAAUGUAAAAAUUUAUAUGAACCACACUUUUCUAUAACUAGACCAAAGUUUCAUAUGCAUGAAACUAUAGAAAGUAUGAUUAAGUUCAACCAAUCAUUAAUCACAUCUAAUAGUUAUGGCCAAAUUAAACCCAAUGUAAAGAUUCUAAUAAAAUACAUUUGGGAUUUAAUAAUUGUUGGUGAGAAGCUCUCAACCAAAAAUAAACUAUUAUAAAAAAGGUUUAAGAAAAAAAAAACCCCAAGAUAUUUUAAUUAAAAUAACUAUAAUUUAAAUAAUUUUUUAUAGGAAAAAGAUCUUAAUUUUUUUAAGAAAAAAAAUUCAUGGUUUUUCUUCAAAUAACUAAAUAUAAGUGGAUUAAAGGUUAUGCAACUCUUUGUUUGAAAAUUAGCAAUAAUUUCAAUACAAUACACCUUUCAAAAUAUAAGUGGUUUUUAAUUGGUAGUUGUUUGAGUCAGAGAUUUAUUUAUUUUUAUUUUUAUUUUAUUUUUAAAAAAAACUUCUUAUCAAAACAUAUUUUAUAUUUUGAUAAAUCCUAGAUUCAACAGUUCUAUUAGAUUAAAAUGACAAUAUUUUUUAUUUGAACUUUAAAUAUAAUAAAUAAAUUCUAAGAACUUUUACUUAAUAUAAUCUUUUGUAUGUUUAUAUUACAUAAAUUGAUAAAUUUUUUCAAUUUAUUCUUACAUUGUAAAUAAGAUUAAUUACAGAUUAAACUUUCCUUCCAAAUAAAAUGGUUGAACAAAACAUUCAUAGAAACCAAAAAAUAAAAAAGUUGAAAUGCAAUGAAAAGAAAAAAAAUAAAUAGAAAAAUAUGAUGCAUUUUACAUUAAGGAUAUAAUUUUCUUAAUGUGGUAAAUCAUUUCUAGCUAGUGGCACCAGGGAUCAUAUUCUUGUUUCAUUGGCUCUUCCAUAUUGCUUUAGUGUUGUUUUUUUGGGACCAAAGCACUUUUGUUGAAACCUUACUUGUAGUGCUAAUGUUCUCUUUUAUACUUGCAUAUCAGCCCAUGGUUAACCUCUUUCCUUGAUUCCAUGUCUUCUAAUAUUCUCUUGUCUAAAUCAAGUGACCUCUCACAAAAGCUAAUAAAGUAAAAGUUUAUGCACUUUAUCAUAAUAAAUACUAAAUCAAAAAAGGUGUGAGUAUUACAUGAUACUAGGAGAUUUUGAAAAAAUUAUAAUAAAUUUAAAAUAGUUUAAAAUUUAUUUUUCAAAUCUAUGAUGGUUUAAAAAAAAUUCAAAUUAAAAGUUGUCUUCUGAAAAAAAAAAAAAAACUUCAAUAUUUUAAUAUCGAAAAUAAAAUGUCCUCACUAAUUUAAGGUCUUUAUGAAUUUAAAGAAAACAAAAAAUUGUUGGCAAAUAAUGCAUAUAUAUAUUGCUCAUCCACGUGUUCUCUUAUCCACUUCCCUUCUUUUAGUUGUGUUAUGAUUCAAUCCCUCUAAAUACUUCAAGUAGCAAAUAAAACACGCUUACAACAUGUAGCAUGUAAGAUAUUGAAAAUGGAGUGAAGAUGCAAAUCCGAUUGAAGAGAAGACCGAUGAAGAGAAGAUGCCAACAGAAAGUUAUGAUUUUAGGAUUUCAUAUUAAAUUUUAAUUUUCUUUCAUUUGUUUAUUAUCCCUUCUACUUUCUCAGUUUACUCAUACAAUGUAAAAGAAAAAAAAAUCAGUUUAAACGCAAUGAAGAAAAAUAAAUUAAUACACCAAUAUGAUGCAUUUUACAUGAAAUAUAGAUAGGUGGCCCCAAGCAUCACAUUCUUGUUUUCCUUGAUGCUGCUUUUUGGACCAAAGCACUUUUGUUGAAACCUUACUUGAAGUACUAAUGUUCUUUUUUGUUAAUCUCAUUGCUUCAUUCCUAUUCUUAUAAUAUUCUUUCCUAUAAUUCAAGUGACUUCUCAUAGAAGUUAGGUAAAGAAAAAAUUAAUUAUACUUAUCUUAAUCAAUACUCAAAAAAAAAUAUUUGAAAAUAGGUGGUAAUGUUUAAAUAAAAUAAAAUAGACAUGCUCUCAUUGUAUCAAUAAUUUUGAGACAAUUCACCUUUUCAAUAUAUAGGUUUAUAACUGGUAUUGGUUUGGGUUAGAGGGUGUUUUUUUUUUUUUUUUUUAACUUCUUAUCAAAACAUAUUUUAUAUUUUGAUGAGUCCUACUUUCAGUAUUUAUAUUAGAUUAAAAUGAUAAUAUUUUUUUUAUUUGAACUUUAAAUAUAAUAAAUCAAUUCUAAGAACUUUUACCUAAUCUAAUCUUUUAUAUGUUUAUAUUAGAUAAAUUGAUAAAUUUUCUCUACUUUCUCAAUUUAUUAUUAAAGAGUAAAUAAGAUUACAAAUUAUACUUCCUUCCAAAUAAAAUGGUCGACCAAGAAACCAAAAAAUAAAAAAGUUGAAAUGCAAUGAAAAAACAAAUAAAUACAAAAAUAUGAUGCAUUUUACAUGAAGAAUAUAAUUUUCUCAGCGUGGUAAAGCAUUUCUAGCUAGGUGGCACUAGGCAUCAUAUUCUUGUUUUCCUUGAUUGUCUCUUCCAUUUUGCUUUAGUGUCUUUUCAUUUUUGGACCAAAGCACUUUUGUUGAAACCAACCUUGUAGUGCUAAUGUUCUUUUUUAUACUUUUAUAUCAAUCCCUUGUUAACCUCAUUGCUUGAUUCCACUUCUUCUAAUAUUCUCUCGUAUGAAUCAAGUGACGUCUCAUAAAAGUUAAUAAAGUAAAAGUUAAUAUGCCUUAUCUUAAUAAAUACUCAAUCAAAAAAGUGCCGAGUAGCACGUGGUAUUAUGAGAAUUCGACAAAAUUACAAUCAUUUUAAAAUAGUUUAAAAAGUAUUUUCAAAUCCAUUAGUUAUCCAAACUUUUCUCAUCAUUUUCUAAAAAAAAAUAAAAUAAUUUUUUAAUGUUUGGUUUUCACAUGGAAGAGAUCAAAUAUAAUUAAAAUUAGUUUAAAAUUUUUAUAUUUUUAAAUUAUUUAAUUUUUAUGUAGAAAAUUUAAAAUAAAUAAAAUGAAUUUAAAGAACAUAUCAAAUAAUUUAUUGAAUUUAAAAUUAUUUUUAAUUUUUAUUCACUUUUUUCCUCACAUUUUCUAUUAAAUUUAUAUGAGAAACAAACACAAUUUUAGUAUUUUCUCUUUUUUUUUUUUGGUUAAUGUUGUUUUCCCUCGUCUUUUUCCAUGGUAUUUAAAAAUAAUAAAUUUGUUCCCUUUAAUUGCAGCUUGUUGACUUGUCCACCUAAUCCAUGAUAUCAGCCAGUACCCAUGUGACCUGGCCCAUCCCAUCCACCCCUAUAAAGAUAUCUCUUACUUUGUUCCCUAUUCUCUCACAAUUCCCUCAGCUUCUCAUCUUCUACGUGCUGUAUUUUCUUGGCUUUCAGCUACUUUGAGUUGUUCCAAAAUGGCUGACCAAAUUCCAUUCGGUGUUGUGGAGCACAUUUUGACCAACUUGGGGUCCUCGGCGUUUCAAGAAAUUGGAUCCAUGUAUGGUGUUCCAAAGGAGAUGACCAAGCUCAAGGGGAAACUGGGCAUCAUCAAGGCUGUGCUUUUGGAUGCUGAGGAGAAGCAGCAGCAGAGCAAUCAUGCAGUCAAAGAUUGGGUCAAAGAUUGGGUCCGGAGUCUCAAAGGCGUUGUGUAUGACGCAGAUGACUUGCUGGAUGACUAUGCAACCCAUUAUCUUCAGCGAGGAGGAUUGGCAAGGCAGGUCAGUGAUUUCUUCUCAUCUGAAAAUCAAGUUGCUUUUCGUUUAAACAUGAGUCAUAGACUCAAGGAUAUCAAAGAAAGGAUAGAUGACAUUGAAAAAGGCAUCCCCAUGUUAAAUCUGACUCCACGGGACAUAGUACAUAGGAGAGACAGCCAUUCAUUCGUGUUGCCGUCUGAAAUGGUAGGAAGAGAAGAAAACAAAGAGGAGAUAAUAGGGAAGUUGUUGUCGUCCAAGGGUGAAGAAAAGCUUUCGGUUGUUGCCAUUGUAGGCAUUGGGGGGUUGGGAAAGACCACCCUUGCUAAAUUGGUAUACAAUGAUGAAAGAGUGGUCAAUCAUUUUGAGUUUAAGAUAUGGGCUUGCAUUUCUGAUGAUUCUGGUGAUAGUUUUGAUGUUAUUAUGUGGAUCAAAAAAAUUUUAAAAUCUCUGAAUGUUGGGGAUGCUGAAAGUCUGGAGACUAUGAAAACUAAGCUUCAUGAAAAAAUAAGUCAAAAGAGGUACUUGCUAGUCCUCGAUGAUGUUUGGAAUCAAAAUCCUCAAAAAUGGGAUGACGUGAGAACUUUAUUAAUGGUUGGGGCUAUUGGUAGUAAAAUUGUAGUGACCACCCGUAAACCAAGAGUUGCAUCAAUCAUGGGAGAUAAUUCUCCCAUUAGUUUGGAAGGUCUGGAACAAAAUCACUCCUGGGAUUUAUUUUCAAAAAUCGCAUUUAGAGAAGGCCAGGAGAAUUUGCAUCCAGAAAUUCUAGAAAUUGGAGAAGAAAUUGCAAAAAUGUGCAAGGGAGUUCCUCUCGUCAUUAAGACUUUAGCAAUGAUAUUGCAGUCUAAAAGAGAACAGGGCGAAUGGUUGUCUAUUAGAAACAAUAAAAAUUUGUUGUCACUUGGCGAUGAAAAUGAGAAUGUUCUAGGGGUGCUGAAAUUAAGUUAUGAUAAUUUGCCAACUCAUUUGAGACAAUGUUUUACAUAUUGUGCUUUAUUUCCAAAAGACUUUGAGAUUGAGAAAAAGUUGGUGGUACAACUAUGGAUAGCACAAGGUUAUAUUCAACCUUAUAAUAAUAAGCAAUUAGAGGAUAUAGGGGAUCAAUAUGUUGAGGAAUUAUUGUCAAGGUCAUUGUUGGAGAAGGCAGGAACCAAUCAUUUUAAAAUGCAUGACCUUAUACAUGAUCUUGCACAAUCAAUUGUAGGAUCUGAGAUCCUUAUUUUAAGAAGUGAUGUAAAUAACAUUCCAGAAGAAGUUCGUCAUGUAUCAUUGUUUGAAAAGGUAAAUCCUAUGAUAAAGGCUCUAAAGGGAAAACCCGUAAGGACCUUUCUAAACCCUUAUGGAUAUUCUUAUGAAGAUAGUACAAUUGUAAAUUCAUUUUUUUCGAGUUUUAUGUGUCUACGUGCAUUGAGUUUAGAUUAUGUGCCAAAGUGUUUAGGCAAAUUGAGUCAUUUAAGGUAUCUUGAUCUUUCCUACAAUAAUUUUGAGGUACUUCCAAAUGCUAUUACAAGGUUAAAGAAUUUGCAAACACUAAAACUCACAGGGUGUGUCAGUUUAAAAAGGAUUCCAGACAAUAUAGGAGAAUUGAUCAAUCUUAGACACUUGGAGAAUAGUAGAUGUCAUGACUUGACUCAUAUGCCACAUGGAAUCGGCAAGUUGACUUUACUUCAAAGUCUACCAUUGUUUGUGGUUGGGAAUGAUAUAGGGCAGUCUAGGAAUCACAAAAUUGGUGGCUUGAGUGAAUUGAAAGGCCUUAACCAACUAAGAGGAGGGUUAUGCAUACGUAAUCUUCAAAACGUGAGGGAUGUUGAACUGGUAUCCAGGGGGGGAAUUUUGAAAGGAAAACAAUGUCUUCAGUCCUUGAGAUUGAAAUGGAUACGGUCGGGCCAAGAUGGGGGGGAUGAGGGUGAUAAGUCAGUGAUGGAAGGCCUUCAACCACACCGACACCUAAAGGAUAUCUUUAUACAAGGUUACGAAGGUACGGAGUUUCCAAGUUGGAUGAUGAAUGAUGAGUUGGGUUCCCUGUUUCCCUACCUAAUUAAAAUUGAAAUUUCAGGAUGUUCAAGAUGCAAAAUUCUGCCACCCUUUUCUCAACUCCCUUCUCUCAAGUCUUUGAAGCUUAAGUUUAUGGAAGAACUGGUGGAGUUAAAGGAGGGUUCAUUAACAACGCCACUCUUCCCAUCUCUUGAAUCGCUCGAACUCCAUGUCAUGCCAAAGUUGAAGGAAUUGUGGAGGAUGGACUUACUAGCAGAGGAAGGUCCUUCAUUUUCUCAUCUUUCGAAGUUAUAUAUUCGUGCAUGCUCUGGUUUGGCAUCACUGCAUCCUUCUCCUUCUCUUUCUCAAUUAGAAAUCAGAGAUUGCCCUAACUUGGCAUCCUUGGAACUGCAUUCGUCUCCUUCUCUUUCUCAAUUAGAGAUCAUCAAUUGCCAUAACUUGGCAUCCUUGGAACUGCAUUCGUCUCCUUCUCUUUCUCAAUUAGAGAUCAGAAAUUGCCAUAACUUGGCAUCCUUGGAACUGCAUUGGUCUCCUUCUCUUUCUCAAUUAGAGAUCAGAUAUUGCCAUAACUUGGCAUCCUUGGAACUGCAUUCGUCUCCUUCUCUUUCUCAAUUAACGAUCAUCGAUUGCCAUAACUUGGCAUCCUUGGAACUGCCGUCAUCUCUUCGUCUUUCUGAUUUAGAUAUCAGAAAAUGCCCUAACUUGGCAUCCUUGGAACUGCAUUCUUCUCCUUCUCUUUCUCAAUUAACGAUCAUCAAUUGCCAUAACUUGGCAUCCUUGGAACUGCAUUCAUCUCCUUGUCUUUCUCGAUCAUGGAUCUAUGAAUGCCCUAACUUGGCAUCCUUCAAAGUGGCUCCAUUACCUUCUCUUGAGACACUAUCUCUGUUCACAGUUAGAUAUGGUGUGAUAUGCCAGAUAAUGUCUGUCUCUGCUUCGUUGAAGUCUCUGUAUAUUGGAAGCAUAGAUGAUAUGAUAUCUCUCCCGAAGGAGCUACUUCAACAUGUUUCUGGCUUGGUAACGUUACGGAUCCGUGAGUGUCCUAACUUGCAAUCCUUGGAACUGCCGUCAUCUCCUUCUCUUUCUGAAUUAAGGAUCAUAAAUUGCCCUAACUUGGCAUCCUUCAAUGUGGCAUCAUUACCUCGUCUUGAGGAACUAAGCCUGCGUGGAGUCAGAGCAGAGGUACUGAGGCAGUUCAUGUUUGUCUCUGCUUCUUCUUCAUUGAAGUCUCUGUGUAUACGGGAGAUUGAUGGUAUGAUAUCUCUCCGAGAGGAGCCGCUUCAAUAUGUUUCCACUCUCGAAACUCUCCACAUUGUUAAGUGCUCUGGUUUGGCAACAUUACUACACUGGAUGGGCAGCCUUUCCUCGCUUACGGAACUUAUUAUUUUUGGCUGCUCGGAAUUGAAAUCACUGCCAGAAGAGAUCUAUUCCCUUAAAAAACUGCAGACAUUUUAUUUCUGUGAUUAUCCAGACCUAGAGGAAAGAUACAAGGAAACAGGUGAAGACCGGGCCAAGAUUGCUCAUAUCCCACAUGUUAGUUUCUACAGUGAUUCGAUUAUGUAUAGUAAGGUAGGUCCGAAAUCCCUAACCUUUCUUCCCAUUUUUAUUAUUUAAGAAUCAAAAUGCUAUGUUUUCAUUUUGUCUCUGGUAAUUCUUUUAUGUUGGCACCUCAUAUGUUUGUUUAAAUGCUCACAUCAAUAACUUUUUGAAAAAUUUUCCAGAUUAACAUCAUUUGCUGAUGCUGUGCACUAAACUAAUCAUUUUACUUGGGAGUUGUACAUUCUAAGAGUUUGAGGAAAUAUUGAGGUCUGGUAUGAUAACUCUCAAUCCUUGGAACUGCAUUCAUCUCCUUCUCUUUCUCGAUUAACAAUCCAUGAUUGCCCAAACUUGGCAUCCUUCAAUGUGGCAUCAUUACCUCGUCUUGAGGAACUAAGCCUGCGUGGAGUCAGAGCAGAGGUACUGAGGCAGUGCAUGUUUGUCUCUGCUUCUUCUUCAUUGAAGUCUCUGUGUAUACGGGAGAUUGAUGGUAUGAUAUCUCCCAGAGGAGUCGCUUCAAUAUGUUUCCACUCUCGAAACUCUCUACAUUGUUAAGUGCUCUGGUUUGGCAACAUUACUACACUGGAUGGGCAGCCUUUCCUCGCUUAAGGAACUUAUGAUUUAUGAAUGCUCUGAAUUGACAUCACUGCCAGAAGAGAUCUGUUCCCUUAAAAAACUGCAGAAAUUUUAUUUCUGUGAUUAUCCACACCUAGAGAAAAGAUACAACAAGGAAACAGGUAAAGACCGGGCCAAGAUUGAUCAUAUCCCACGUAUUAAUUUCCAAAGUGAUCGAGUUAUGGAAUAUAAGGUCCGAAAUCCCUAACCUUUCUUCCCAUUUUUAUUAUUUAAGAAUCAAAAUGCUAUGUUUUCAUUUUAUUAUUAUGUUUUCAUUGUAUCCCUGGCACCUCAUAUGUUUGUUUUUACUGCUCACAUUAAUAAUUUUGAAAUUUUUUUCUAGCUUGGAUGCGCUUUCCGAUGAUGUGCACUAAACUAACCAUUUUACUUGGAGUUGUACAUUCUAAGAGUUUGAGGAAAUACUAAGGUCUGAUAUGAUAACUCUCAAUCUUAAACGUUGUUUUGUGUUUGGAACGUUACUACACUUGAUACAUACCCUCACCUCACCUCACUUACAGACCCAAGAAUACAGAGGGCCACACUUGGUGAAGGUUUCAUCAGUAAGGAGAACCAUUUCAGGUAUGAAAUCCUCCCUUCUCAUUUUCUAAUGACUUCAUUUUUAUUCAAUAUCCAUUUGAAAUUAUUUAAGUUCAUUUUCUUUAGAUAUUAUAUUUUCUUGCUUGCUCAAUAAUUUCAUUUAAGUAAGUUUUUUGGAUAUCACAUUUUCUUUGGGGUUUUUUUUUCUUUUUAGAAUAAUUUCAAAAUGUAAUUUUUAACUAUUCACAAAAUUUGAUCAUAGUUGAGUGAUUAAAAUUCAAGUUUAUUCUUAUUAUCAUUAGUAGUUAUUUGAUAUGUUCGUUUGCUAAUACAAAAAUAAGACUAACAAGUAAUGUGCAUAGAGUUUGUAGAAGAGAAGAAAGAUUUGAUCCAAGAUAUUCCUAAAGAUCGGAAACUUUCAAAGCCACCCAAGAUCGCACAGGUUGAAUUCGGAUUCAUCCAGUUUACAAUCCAUUAAUUCUACUUAUAUCAUCUUUGUUAUGUUACAAUUUGCCUUUACUUGUUAUGCAACCUACCUUAAUAAUUUAGGGAGACCAAGAUAAGGUAUUCCUAGUAGAACUGGCUCACAAAUUGAAAAGGUAAACUUGUAUCACCUGCCUACAUGCCUACAACAAUACAAACACUAGCUCAUGUCUUUCUCACUAUUGAAAUUGUUAUUGCGUGCAGGGAUUUCAGGCGAGGAGGCCCAACUUGUGAUCAUAGAGCAUACUUUUAUCAUAGAGAAGCCCAAGGAAAUAUUUAAGCACUUGAAAUCCUUUCUCAUUGAUUUGCUUCCACCUCCCAAGCAACACCUAGAACCACUCCCACCAUGACGAAGUUAAAAGGUACUAAUGCAACAUUCUCAAUAUAUUAGAAUAUAUCCAAGGAAGGGUGGCCACAUAUGAAGACCCUAUUCCAAGGUCAAAUUUUAGAUUUUUGUGUUUUUCCUAUCACUAUUCCUAUACUAUUACUAGUGCACCUUAUUUGUCAAGAUGAUUAAAAGGGAAUUCCCUAGGAUAAUUAGUGUCUCAAGUGAUCUUAAGGUUCAUAAAUUUUUGGUUUCCACAAGAUAGGUGCCAACUAUUUAUUUAUUUAUUUAUUUUUUUUACACCCAUGCAAUAUUCCAGUCAUCUAUUAACAAAGGCUAAAAUUUCUUGUAGAGAAUAGAAUAAAGAACUAAAUUACAUGAAAAUAGGACAUUAUUAUUCUAUUUACAAGUAAGGGUAAAAAAUUGUUGAGGGCCAUCAAGCACAUUGUUCCUAAAAUAAUAACAUCCAUGUUGUUGAGCAAAAGUUUUUUAUAUUGGCACCUCAUAUGUUUGUUUAAAUGCUCACAUCAAUAACUUUGAAAAUAUUUUCCAGAUUUUUGAAAAAUUGUAAUGUUGUGCACUAAACUAAUCAUUUUACUUGGAGUUCUACAUUAUAAGAGUUUGAGAAAAAACUGUUUGAUAUGACAACUCUCAAUCUUAAAUGUUGUUUUGUGUUUGGAAUAUUACUGCACUUGAUAGAUGCCUCACCUCUCUUACAGAACUUGGAAUUCAUGGCUACCCUGAAUUGACAUCCCUGCCAGAAGAUAUGUUCCCUCAAAAGCCUGCAGACACUAAACAAUUUGCAUAUGUUCACACUUAAAGGAAAGCUGCUGAAAGGAAAAGUGAAGACUAAGCAAAGAUUGCUCAUAUCCCACAAAUUGAUAUCAUACAUCCAUGAAGAUUGAACUGAUACAAAAUGCCUUUCAGGUUCGAAAUCCCUAACUUUUCUUCUUAUUUUCUAUUACUUCAUUUUUAUUAUCUUACAUUAAAAAAUCCUCUGUUUUCAUUUGUUUUGGUAGUUCUUUUUAUUUGCACCUUAUUUGUUUUAUUAAAUGCUUACUCCAGUAAGUUUGAAAAUUUUUACAUCUUCAAAUCAUUUUGCUUGAGUGUUUUGCAUUCUAAGAGUUUGAGGAAAUAUUGAGCUCUAAUAUAAAUAGUAUUGGUCAUAGAGUCUUCCUUUCUUAAGAAGCUUACCAUUAACCUAAUGGCCAAAGGAUCCCAAAAGGAAACAACUUUGGGUUGACUUGAAGAUUUCACAUGGUCCAAACAUUCAUAUUUACUAGAUGCCUGAUACAAAAGAAAUUUUGCUCUCUUUUCAAUUUAGCCAUUGAUGUAGUCUAAAUGUUUUAUUAGAGCAAUAAUUGUCCAGUAAAUGCAAAAUAGAGAAUGGUGUUAAUGAAUUCAGUACUUCAUCUAUGUUGUAGACUUGUAGUUUAGCAGCUUCUGUUGAUAAUGAGUGUGAGGUUGGCUUUAUCAUGUCACUGUUCCAAAUAUUCUUAAAAAAAAAUCAUUUAAGCUCUAUUUGGUUCUUAGAAAAUUUAAGGGAAAAUGUGAGGAAAACAAAAUAGAGAAGAAAAGUGGAAGGAAAAAAAAGUGAAAGUCAAUGAAUUAUUUUUGUAUGCUACUUCAAACUCACUUCACUUUUUUUAACUCUUCAAUAUAAAGAUUAAAUCAUUUGAAAAAUGUGUAAAUUUCUAAUUAAUUUUAAUUAUAUUUGAUUUUCUUUGGUAUUUUCCAAAAGACAACCAAAUAUGAGAAAAUCAUUUUCCUUAACAUUUUUUUUCUUAGUACUUUUAGGGAACCAAACAUAACCUAAAUGUUUUAGUUUAGUAGUUUCAUCAAAUGAGAUAGACAACCUCACAUCUCUUAGUGAGCUGAGGUGCUAUGUCAAUUAAUGCUUUGUCUCUACUCUUCAUUGAAGUCUCUAUCUAUUGGAUGCACAAAUGAUAUGAUCCAAACUCAAAUUGAACACUAUUCUGGUUUUGCAACAUUACUGCACUCGAAAGGCAACUUCAACUCACUUAUAGACCUUCCUAUUGGUGAUUGCACUGAAUCGACAUCACUUUGGAAGAGAUGUGUUCCACACAGAAAAUCUUUCAUUAUAUGCACCUACUCGCGAGAUACCAAAGGGAAACAGGUGAAUACUUGCCCAAGAAUACAAAGGUCAUACUUGGUGAAGGUUCCGUCAAUAAGGAGAACCAUUUCAAGUAUGGAAUUCUCAUUUCUUCUCAUUUUCUUAUGGCUUUAUUUUUAUUCAAUAUCUAUAUGAAAUUAUUUAUGUUCAUUUUCUUUAGAUAUUACAUUUUUUUGCUUUCUCAAUAAUUUCAUUCAAGUUCUUUUGGAUAUCACAUUUUCUUUGGUGUUUUUUUUAGAAUAAUUCAAAAUGUCUUUUUUAACGAUUCACAAAAUUUGAUCAUAGUUGAGUGAUUAAAAUUCAAGUUUAUUAUUAUUAUUAUUAUUGGUUAUUUGAUAUAUUUGUUUUCUUAUACAGAUAAAAGACUGGCAGCUAAUGUGCAUAGAAUUUGUAGAAGAGAAUAAAGAUUUGAUCUAAGUUAUUUCUAAUAGGUUGAGGAAUUCAUUCUUGUAAAAAUUGAGUGUUAAAGCCUUCAAGAGGUUUGAAUCUUGAAGAAAUUAUGUAAGAGCCCAUUGGAGCCAGAAUCCAAGUGUAAAGGAGAUUGGAAGCUUGGUUGAAGCUUCAAGUUAGUGAAACCCUCACUCGGUUAGGAGAUUGAGGAGAGUGGACGUAGGCAAGGAAAUGCCGAACCACUAUAAAAUCCAAGUUUAAAUUCUCUAACUCUAUCUCUUUAUUUUUUUAUUAUAUUGUGCUUGAAUUUGUUGUGUUGAAAAAGUUUUUGAAAAACCCAAUUCACCCUCCUCUUAGGUGUUUUUCUCAUUUAAGCAUAACCUUUAUUUUCUCACACUUGAAAUCCUUUCUCAUUAAUUUGCUUCCACCUCAUAAGCAACCCUCGAAACCACUUACACCAUGACAAGGUGAAAAGAAACUAAUGCAGCAUUCUUAAUAUAUAAGAAGAUAUUAAAGGAAGGUUGGCCACAUAUGAGGACCCUGUUUCUAACGUAGAAUUUUAGAUUUUUGUGUUUUUCCUAUCACUAUUCCUAUACUAUUACCAAUGCACCUUAUUUGUCAAGAUGAUUAAAAGGGAAUUCCCUAGGAUAACUAGUGUCUCAAGUGAUCUUGAGGUUCAUAAAUUUUUGGUUUCCACAAGAUAGGUGCCAACUAUUUUUAUUUUUUUUUACACCCAUGCAAUAUUCCAGUCAUCUAUUAACAAGGGCUAAAAUUUCUUGUAAAGAAUAAAAUAAAGAACUAAAUUACAUGAAAAUAGGACAUUAUUAUUCUAUUUACAAGUAAGGGCCAAAAAUUGUUGAGGGUUAUCAAGCACAUUGUUCCUAAAAUAAUAGCAUCCAUGAAGAUUGAACUGAUACAAAAUGCCUUUCAGGUUCGAAAUCCCUAACUUUUCUUCUUAUUUUCUAUGACUUCAUUUUUAUUAUCUUACAUUAAAAAAUCCUCUGUUUUCAUUUGUUUUGGUAGUUCUUUUUAUUUGCACCUUAUUUGUUUUAUUAAAUGCUUACUCCAGUAAGUUUGAAAAUUUUUACAUCUUCAAAUCAUUUUGCUUGAGUGUUUUGCAUUCUAAGAGUUUGAGGAAAUAUUGAGCUCUAAUAUAAAUAGUAUUGGUCAUAGAGUCUUCCUUUCUUAAGAAGCUUACCAUUGACCUAAUGGCCAAAGGAUCCCAAAAGGAAAUGACUUUGGAUUGGCUUGAAAAUUUCACAUGGUCCAAACAUUCAUAUUUACUAGAUGCCAGAUACAAAAGAAAUUUUGCUAUCUUUUCAAUUUAGCCAUUGAUGUAGUCUAAAUGUUUUAUUAGAGCAAUAAUUGUCCAGUAAAUGCAAAAUAGAGAAUGGUGUUAAUGAAUUCAGUACUUCAUCUAUGUUGCAGACUUGUAGUUUAGCAGCUUCUGUUGAUAAUGAGUGUGGGGUUGGCUCUAUCAUGUUACUGUUCCAAAUAUUCUUAAAAAAAAAAAAAUCAUUUAAGCUUUGUUUGGUUCUUAGAAAUUUGAGGGAAAAUGUGAGGAAAAUAAAAUAGAGAGGAAAAGUGGAAGGAAAAAAAAGUGAAAGUCAAUGAAUUAUUUUUGUAUGCUACUUCAAACUCACUUCACUCUUUUUAACUCUUCAAUAUCAAUUUCUAAUUAAUUUUAAUUAUAUUUGAUUUUCUUUGGUAUUUUCCAAAAGACAACCAAAUAUGAGAAAAUCAUUUUCCUUAACAUUUUUUUUCUUAGUACUUUUAGGGAACCAAACAUAACCUAAAUGUUUUAGUUUAGUAGUUUCAUCAAAUUAGAUAGACAACCUCACAUCUCUUAGUGAGCUAAGGUGUUAUGUCAAUUACUGCUUUGUCUCUACUUCUUCAUUGAAGUCUCUAUUUAUUGGAUGCACAGAUGAUAUGAUCCAAACUCAAAUUGAACACUACUCUUGUUUUGCAACAUUACUGCACUCGAAAGGCAACUUCAACUCACUUAUAGACCUUCUUAUUGGUGAUUGCACUAAAUCGACACCACUUUGGAAGAGAUGUGUUCCACAUAGAAAAUCUUUCAUUAUAUGCACCUACUCGCAAGAUACCAAAGGUAAACAGGUGAAUACUUGCCCAGGAAUACAAAGGCCAUACUUAGUGGAGGUUCCAUCAAUAAGGAGAAUCAUUUCAAGUAUGGAAUUCUCAUUUCUUCUCAUUUUCUUAUGGCUUCAUUUUUAUUCAAUAUCUAUAUGAAAUUAUUUAUGUUCAUUUUCUUUAGAUAUCACAUUUUUUUGUUUUCUCAAUAAUUUCAUUCAAGUUCUUUGGAUAUCACAUUUUCUUUGGUGUUUUUUUUAGUAUAAUUCAAAAUGUCUUUUUUAAUGAUUCACAAAAUUUGAUCACAGUUGAGUGAUUAAAAUUCAAGUUUAUUAUUAUUAUUAUUAUUAUUAUUAUUAUUAUUGGUUAUUUGAUAUAUUUGUUUUCUAAUACAGACAAAAUACUAGUAGCUAAUGUGCAUAGAAUUUGUAGAUAGAAUUUGUAGAAGAGAAUAAAAAUUUGAUCUAAGCUAUUCCUAAAGACCAGAAACUUUUAGAGCUACCCAAGAUCUAACAGGUUGAAUUUUGAUUCACUUAGUUUACAAUCCACUAAUUAUCCUUAUGUCAUUUUUGUUAUGUUACAAAUUGCCUUUACUUGUUAUUCAACCUAUCUUAAUAAUUUGGGAAGACCAAGAUAACGUCUUCCUAGUAGAACUGGCUCAAAAAUUGAAAAGGUAAACUCAUAUCACCUAUCUACAUGCCCACAACAUUAUAAACACUAGCUCAUGUGUUCCUCACUAUUGAGAUUGUUGUUGCAUGUAGGCAUUUUGGGCGAGGAGGCUCGACUUGUGAUCAUCAAUAACAGAAGGCAUGCUUUUAUACAGAGAAGCCCAAAGAAACAUUUAAGCACUUUGUUAGCCCAAGGGUUCUCCUAAUCAGGUUUUGAUGAUAACAAACCAUGGUUAAGUGACUAAUUGGUUUGAAUGGUAAAAAAUCUUAGGUAUAAAUUUGGAAAUUCAUCAAAUGAUCAAAUGAAUACAAGAUCGAGACUUUUGGAAGACUUUUGAUCAUAGGAAACAAAUGUAAGAUGAAUGCAUGGGUGCACUUAGAUUUUACAUAUCUUUUCAUGAAUCUUUGAAAACUCAGUUUAUUCCUUUAAAUUACGAUUUCAUUAAAACCCGAGUUUUAUCAAAUGUACCUUAGGUAAAACGUUUCAAAAUUGGCAUAUUAAUUUACCUAAAGACCUUGCCUAAGUGUUAGAAAGGAAAAGAAUUGAAAAAUAUAGGUUUUCGGGGCCAAAAGGCUAAAUUGAUCGAGGCACAUGCCAGCCGGCUCAACCAACUAGGGAACCGGUCAAUCGGUUGCUCUUGUUCGAUCGAGAUCUGGUCGAGGAGUGUUAAAAACACUUUCUCUCAUCCAGUAGCCUUCUCUUCCCAGUCGAGGUACUCUCCUUACCUUUGGUCGAGGUUCGGUCGAGGCAACGGUAACCUGCCAAAGCAUUAAAUGCUUCAACGGCUAGUGAACCAGUCAACCCCCAGCUCGACCGAUUGAGGCUAUUUUUUGCUUUUUUUGGCUCCCGAGCUUAGAAACCAAUAAAUUGAGAGCUCCACUUCAUUUAUGACAUAGAGAAAACUUGCAAUCAAUUGUCUACCCACUUGUUCUUGCCUUAAAAGCUCUCAUUUAUUUCUUAGUGCAUUAAAUCCUCACUUGCAUAUCCUUUUAGUGCACCCUUGUGAAUCAUCCUAGCUUUGAUUUGUAUUUGAACUAUCAUUGAGCUAGAUUGAGGGAUUCAUUCUUGUAAAAAUUGAGUGUUAAAGCCUUCAAGAGGUUUAAAUCUUGAAGAGAUUAUGUAAGAGCCCAUUGGAGCCAGAAUCCAAGUGUAAAGAAGAUUGGAAGCUUUGUUGAAGCUUCAAGUUAGUGGAACCCUCACUCGGUUAGGAGAUUGAGGAGAGUGGACGUAGGUAAGGAAAUGUUGAACCACUAUAAAAUCCGAGUUUAAAUUCUCUAACUCUAUCUCUUUAUUUUUUAUUAUAUUGUGCUUGAAUUUGUUGUGUUGAAAAAGUUUUUGAAAAACCUAAUUCACCCAUCUCUUAGGUGUUUUUCUCAUUUAAGCUCACUCUUGAAAUCCUUUCUCAUUAAUUUUCUUCCACCUCAUAAGAAACCGUCAGAACCACUUACACCAUGACAAGGUGAAAAGAAACUAAUGCAACAUUCUCAAUAUAUCAGAAGAUAUCAAAGGAAGGUUGGCCACAUAUGAGGACCUUGUUUCUAAGGUAGAAUUUUAGAUUUUUGUGUUUUUCUUGUCACUGUUUCUAUACCAUUACUAGUGCACCUUAUUUUUGAAGGUGAUUAAAAGGGAAUUCCCUAGGAUAACUAAUGUCUCAGAUGAUCUUGAGGUUCAUAAAUUUUUGGUUUCAACAAGAUAGGCGUCAAACCAUUUUUAUUUUUUUCUACACCCAUGCAAUAUUCCAUUCAUUUAUUAAUAAGGGCUAAAAUUUCUUGUAGAGAAUGGAAUAAAUAACUAGAUUAAAUGAAAUAAGACAUUAUUAGUCUAUUUACAAGUAAGGGCAAAAAAUUCUUGAGGGUCAUUAAGCACACUGUUCCUAAAAUAAUAACAUCCAUGUCGUCGAGCAAAAGUUUAUUGCAAUUACAUUAGCAUAUAAAACAAAACUAAUUUUUUUUUAUGGAAAAUUUAACCGCACUUUAGAAGUUUGUGAUUAUUCUUUGGUCCAUCUUAAAACGAGUUCCUGCAUUUUUCCAUUCCUCAAAUUAAAAUCACAAUAAAAAGUUUUAGAUUGACCUAAAAUUUUCUCAUGGCCUAGAAAUUCAUAUCUACCAGAUGGCUAAAGCAAAAAACACUUCUACCUUGUAUUUUAAGUAAUCCCUGCUUGCUAUUUGUUUAUUGAGAGCAUCAUACAAGUUGUGAUUAUAUUUCUUAAUUUUUUUAUAUGAUAAGACGGUAACUGGAUUGAGAAAGAUGCAACUUGUAGAGCAGAAAAUUUCUUAACUACUUUCCUUGUAUUUGCUUUGUGUGUAUCAACUGUUCUGUUAAUUAUUUUUUAAAAAUAUCACUAAAACAAACCUAUUAUGUCAGUGCUCUCUAUUGUUAUGUAUCAUAAUUUAGCUAUUUUUUUUCCCUAGAAAUCAUGCUUGUUAUUGUGUUAAUCAGUAGGUAGCAUAAGAACUAUUUUGUUCAAGUUAUUUUGUAUUGGCAUUCUUCAUGUUUUAAAAUAUUGUCAGACUAGCAAUUUUACUGCAGAUAUAAUGUUCUCAAAUCAAUGCAAAAAGGGACGAUUGUGGGGCUUGGGCACAACCUUCCUUGAAUAGUUGAAUUGAGGAUUUCUAUAAACUAGGUCUCUAUAUCAACAGAUUCUACAUUUCAUCACUAUGGGGACCUUACAAUAAAUAUCGCAAAAAGCUUCAUUUACUACAUAGUAAGGAUAAUCCUAAGGACUUAAAAGCUUGAGUUGUCUUUUCCAUGGCAGCUUCAGAUCUCUUAAUAAGCUCCAAGUCAUUGUCUACCUUGAAUAUAAAUCACUGCUAGAAGUAUGUGCCCUCAACAUUCCCAUGUUCCCGAUAUUGACUAGAUAGUUUUUGCUAAUUCAUGAAGAAUUGAAGGGAUCUUUGAUAAUGACAUCUAUAAUGUACUUCAAGUUCAUGAUCCAAACCCUCUUAUUGCUUUCAAUAACUUCAUUUUUUUUAUAUUACUUUGUGGUCAAUGUUAUAAGGAUGUUGUAUUUUGUUUACCUGAUUCUCAUCCAUUAGCACACAUGAAAGGAAAAGUUUUACAUUGCUUUCCUUCCCUUUGCUCUGUGUUUGUAUAUGUUUAUGCAGCUAAUGCGAACUUCCACCGUAACUUUUUAAGUUUUUUCAUUCUCGAGUUUGGGAAACAACUGGAUUUGAUUGUAAUAUUUUCUUGUAGAUAUCACCUUUCUUAAAAAGCUUGCAUUUAUUCACAUUUUCAAGAUGGCUAAGUCAUCUGAUUAUGCUUAGAACUUUUGGUUUCUAUUAAAUUCAGGUAUGAUGUUUGCAAUUCUAACCCCCUUACUCCUCUUGAAGACUACAUAAGUUUCUAGUGCUUUUACUUUAAUGGUUAUAGUCAAUGUAUCCUCUUGUUACUUCCUGCUUGCAUUCUAUAUGUUCAAGAGCUUUAUUAAAGUAAUUAUUUUAUUGAAGAUAUAAUUGUUUUCAGGUCAAAGCAAAAUUGAAUAAUGACGUGGUUUCAACAACUUCUCAAAAGUAAUUGGAAAGUAAGGAACUUUGUGGUAGUAUUCUGAUAUCACAUUGGGCCUUCAAAUUGUUGUCUUGAAUUGACAUAAAUAACAUAAUUUCUUUCCUAGUUAAGCUGCUUCAACAUGUUAUUAUGCUUCAAACUCUUUCAAUUAUGUGUUGUUUAGGUUUGGCAACAUUAGUACACUGGAUAUGUUGCCUCGAGUUACUUACACGACAUAAAAUUCAUCUUUAUUGUUAACUAGCAUCACUACCACAAGAUGAGUUCCCUCAGCAUUCUACAGACAACUAUAAUUUGGGACAAUUCUGGUUUGGCAACAUUAUCGGAGUUGAUAGGCAACCUAACAAAAACCUUUAAAUUUAUAUUUAUCCCAAACUAGCAUCACUGUUGGAAGACGUGCAUCCUUAGCACCCUAUAACCACUCACAAUUGGAGACUGUUAUGGUUUGUAAACAUUUAACAGACUUGAUAGGUAACCUUGCACCAGUUACAGAGCUUCAAAUUCAUGGCUAUCUUGAAUUGACAUCACUUUCAAACUAGAUGGUUCAUCCAAACCUCAGUUGACACCCAUAAUUCAAGACUUCUCCAUUUUGGCAAUGAUAACAGAUUUGAUAAGCAUCCCUACUUCACUUACAUACACUAAAAUUGAUAGCUACCUCGGAUUCACAUCAUUGUCACAAAAGAUUGGUUCCUUCAUAUCCCUGCAGACACUUGUGAUCUUUUAUCAUCCAUGUAUAUUAGAAAGACUUAAAAGGGAAAUAGGUGAAGAUUGGCCCAAUAAUCUUCAGUCCUAGAUAUUGAUAUUUGGUGAAGAUUGGACUAAUAUAGAGUUAGUUCAGGUUUGAAAUCCCAAUCUUUCUUCUCAUUUUUUAUGGUUUUGUUUUUAUCAAUAUGCUUUGUUUACAUUCUAUAUGGUAACUUUUGUAUGUAUUAGCAUAUAGAUCAAAAAGGACUUAGAUGAUUAAUUUGAAAAGUUUGCAUCCUCAAUUAAUUAGUAAUUAAAGACCAAACUAAUCAUAUUACUUUAAGUCUUGCAUUGUAAGAGUUUGGGAAAAUGUUAGGGUUGACUGAACUACUAUUUUAUAACAGAUUUUGCCUUACUCAAGAAUCUUGUGAUUAUCCCUUGGCACAAUCAUUUCUCGUGUCUAAGAAAUUCAUAUCUACUACAUGGCCAAAGAAUUUAGUAGCAUUCAAAAUUUAUGUUUUCUUUCAAGUCAGGUGUAUUGCUUGCAGUUCUAACAUGUUUCCUAUUUUGAACAUUGUAUUGUUAUUUUACUAUCAAUGUGUUAAGAGCAUUAUACUCUAUUUUCUAUAAUGUUGUUUACUUGUCAUAUGUAUUAAUUAUUUUAUUGCAAAUGUACUUGUUGCCAAGUUAAAGCAAAAGAGGAAAGUGAGGAUUUUUCAUGGACCAAUGCCUCUCUCAGUUGCUGCCACACUUGACUUCUCUCUAAGUUGUUGAAAAUUUAAAAGUGUGGUAGCAUAAAGUAUUCAGCUCAAGUGCUUUAGUGCCUCACUACCCUUGAAGCUUUAGAAGCUGUCAAUACAAUUGGGGUUUCAACAUGUAACCAUUUUGGAAAUUCUAAGAAGUGUAAGUAUUAUGGUUUUACAACUUUAUUAGACUAGAUAGGCAACUUCAAAUUGCUGAAUGCCCUAAAUUAAAAUCACUACUAGAAGGAACCCAUGAGCACUCUAUAGAAACUCAUAAUCUACUACUUUUGCCACUUAUUAAGAAUGCUAAAAGGAAAAAGUGAAGAUUGGCUUGAGCAUGAUUGAUUAAUAAACCACACAUGGUCUCCUUAAUUCAAGUGUGUCAUUUGUUAUAUGUUUCAUGUCAGUAAUCCUACAUUUCUCUUGUUUCUAUUGGCUCUAUUUUUUUGAAUUAUUUUACAAUCAAUCUUCUAACAAUGUUCUACUUUUUUUACAAUUUUAUUUUUUUAUUCUAAAAUGAAUUAAGACAUAUAAAGAAAAAAAUCACCUUGUUUGAUUUUCAUAUACUAUAUGCUUAAAUGUACAUGUGUUAAAAUCUUUUGAUUUUUUAUUGAUUACUUUCUAUUUAAUUUAUUAAAAAUUGUUAGUCUAUUUGGAGAUGAUUUUUUUUUUCAUAUGUAAUAAGAUACCAACAAAUUGAGUGAGGAGCACAUCUUACUAAGUCGCUUAUCAAUCUAUCCACCUUCCUAAUCUCAAGAUUCUUCAUGUUUGAAUUAAAAUACCAUGAAUUACAAAAACAAAAAAUGAUGAAAAUGAGUAUUUCUCGUCAUCUUCAUUUUUAUUAGAAGGCAAUUUGUAGCAUCCUCUUUCCCAUUCCUAAAAAAUACUACAGCUUUGUAGGUUGAGAAAUUAGACAUGUUUUCUUAAAUGAUCUUCUUGGUCCAUGCAUGCUUAUAUUUGGAAGAUUUUUAAACCAAGUAUUUUAUGACAUAUAUGAUAGCUUUCAAGUUAAUGCAUAAAUGGUGAUGGUUAGGAUGCAAAAUAUAGUCUAUGCUGAUUACUACCAAAAAGUGCUAUUUUGUAGAUCUAAUUAUAAUGGUUUUAAGCACCUUUGAGUAGUAAUCAUAUUCAUUUAACCCAAUUAAUUCAUUAAGGUCCUUAGUAAUUGGUUUUAACCAUUUUGUGGCAAGUUUACAUGUUUUUAUCAGCUUAUGAAUCGAUUCAAGCAUGCCAAAUGAUGGAGGAGCUACUUGGACAAGUUAAAGCAAGGAUUUUGGAAGUUUACAGGCUUGAAUUUUAAGUGGAAACACGAGCACAAGCAAUGGAGAAGAGGAAAACAGAGUGAAGAAAACAGAGGACAGCAGCUGCAGUUUUCUUUUGCACUUUUGGAGCACUUUCCGAAGUCCAUUUUCUACAUUCUUUAUACCAUUUCAAAGCUCAGGAAGUCAAUAAUCCAAUGCUUCAAACGGUGCACGAUUCGGAGUUGAAACGAAGGAGUUACAUCCAUUGCAAGCAGAUCACUCCAAGCUGUUUUUGCACGGUUGCGAAAUCAGCCUUUUGUUGCGAGAAUUUCACAGCCAUUUUGCACAGUGCACGGGUGUUCUCCUGAAGCUUCCCGAUAGUUGCGACCGAAACUUUUAGAUCUUUUCUUCAGAUAUUUUUGUAUAAAUUUCCAUUCUUCUCCUUGUAAGCCACCAACCAUAAGAUUUCUUAGUUAGGAAGGUUGGAAAAACGUCUCUAUAUAUAUUCCCUUGCAUCCACUGUAUAUAAAAAAUAUGUAAUAUCAAUCAAUAUAUAAUAUAUCUACAGAGCACUUGCUCUGUUUUUCAUUCAUAUUCUUGUUUUCAUUUUCAUUUUCAUUUUCUAGCCAACCAAACUCUAAGGAUUUUUCCUCAGAGGAUGAGAGGCUAAGCUCUUUGUCUCUUGGAGUGAAGAAAGCCGGGUAAGUUUCCAUAUGCAUAAAUUGGAAGUUUUGUUGUUUUAGUUUUUAAUGAAGAGAAAGUGUGACCCGUUAAUGGUUUUUAUCUUUUUAGUUAACUUAAAACGCCUUUAAAUCACCUGGGCCAACACUUGGUAAGGCAAGUGAUUUCCGUCCAUGGAGAUUCACUAGUUUACCCCUUGCGAGCCUUUGGGAGGUGACUUGAAGGUAGGAUUUUCUAGAAUAGCCAACACUUGGUAAGCUUUUGGACUCCAAGGAGACAUCCAUUAGUUAUCUCUUGCGAGCUUUUGACGGGUAAUCCAAGGUUAAAGAUCACCUUGAAUGGCAAGUGCUAGGUGAGAGGUAUGAGCCAUUGCAUGGUGCAUCAGUGAGAGGGAUUUAGUGUUUGAACCCAUUAAUGGGAAGCAUCUGUACAACACCGGUUGGAGAAGGAACUAUAUGUUAAUUCUCUAAUGCGAGGAAAAGAAACAAGUGACCGGAACUCUCCAUUUUUGUAUGAGGAAUCUGAGCCUAGUGAUCUGAAACUCCAAGAAACAUCUUUUCUUUGUAAGUAAAAUCAGUUACUAUUUUUGGUUAGUUUAAAACCGAACUUUUUCCAUUUAAACAAGUUUAUGUUUUCUUUUAAAGCUAACCUUGAAAUGAAAAGGCACCAAUUCAACUUUGAAUUAAUAUCAUUUGUGAAGUGAAAACUCAUCCUAGUGAACGAUCCUAGAGCCACUAUGCUAUAGUAGCUUUGUCUUUGCUACCCUAGUAUAUGGUGUAAUAGGUUAAAAAUUUUGUUGAUUACUCCCUCAUUCAAGGAGCACCAGCUGGACACAAAUCAGCUGAGACACCAAUUGGGCACAAAUCAAAUGGCGCCGUUGCCGAGGAUGGUGCCACUUUACAAUGAUAUCACCUUUCUAGAGUACUUGUGAUCUUCAUCACAAGUUUGGUGACUUUUCUUUUCCUUUUACUAACUCUUUUUAUUUCUUUAUUGUUCAUAUUUUAGUAUACCUUUUAUUUAGUUUUUAGUUUACCUUAAUUUUCUUUCUUUGAAUUGUUUUUCUUUUGUUUUCUUUUGUGUUCUCUGUUUUUAAUUCACAAAUUGCUAGUUGUGCAUGCCAUAUUGAAUACGAGAUAGUAGAGGAAGCCAUGAACUUCAUGAGUUAUAUGGCUGAAGUCUCAAGAGGAUGGGAUGAACCAAAUGCUAGAGAUAUGGGAAGAAAGACGUCUCAACCUAAUGCUAAGGGUGAGAUGUAUAUUUUGGAUGAUGGCAUAGACAUGAAGGCAAAGAUUGCAGCUAUGGCAAGGAGAUUGGAAAAGCUAGAAAUGAUGAAUAUGCAACCAGUGCAAGCCAUCUCUUAGACACCAUUGCAAGCUAUGCCUUGUGCCAUUUGUCUAUCUUAUGAGCACUUGGUGGAUGAGUGUCCUACCAUUCCAGCCGAAAGGGAAAUGUUUGGUGAUUGCAACACCUACAAUUCCAAUUGGAGGGACCAUCCAAAUUUCUCUUGGAAACCACAGCCACCUCAGUAUCAGCAACCUGCUCAAGCACCACAGCAAGCCUCAAACCUUAAACAAGCUAUAGUGAAUCUUAGCAAGGUUGUGGGAGACUUUGUUGAAGCUCAAGAAGCCAUCAAUGCUCGAGUCGAUCAAAGAAUUGAUAGAAUGGAGAGUAUGUUGAAUAAAAGGAUGGAUGGAAUGCAAAAUGAUAUGGCCCAAAAUUUUGACAACAUCCAAUAUUCAAUUUCAAGGCUCAUAAAUUUGAACACAGUGCAAGAGAUAGAAAACUCCCCUUCUCAACCUUAUCAAAAUUCCAUGAGUAUCCAUGAAAUGGAGGCUCAAGAGGGAGAAUGUUCAAUGGUGAAGGAAAUUGAAGAGGUUAUCACUUUGAGGAGUGGUAAAGAGGUUGAUCUGCCCACAUGCAAGCUAGAACAUAAGGAAGAGAGUGAAACAGAGAAAGAAAAGAGGGAGGAAAUCAAAGGAAAGAAAAAGGGGAAAAGCAUAGAGAAAGAUGGCUAUGAUGUUAAUGUACAAAGAGAACCACAAAGGAUAGUCAUCAAGGAAGAAUUGAUGAAGAAACACAUGCCUCCACCUUUUCUCCAAGCUUUGUAUGGGAAAAUCAUACAAACCAAGUCUCAAGAGAGAGAUGCAAACUUCAUAUGGGAUCCGGGCAAGCUAAAUAAGGAUCAAAUUUUUUGAUGGACUUAGUCUUUUUAAAGACUAGUUAGUCCAUAUCUUUUUGUUUUGUUUUUUUUACUUGUUUUAAUUUUGAUUUCAAUGUUUUAAUUUUGAUUUCAAUACUUUAAUUCUAGUUUGUUUUGAUGUAAUAUAGGUUUUUGGAUGAUCAAAAUCAAGAGGAAUUGCAAAUAAAUUGAAGGAAGUCUUUCGGAGCAAAAUCGGAGUCAAACGGAGCGAAAAUAGGGGAAAAACAGGGGUCUGCGAAAUUUCGCAACCUCUGCGAAAUCGGCACUUUGCUGCGAAACCAGUUCGUAGCCUCAGGACCCUCUCUGCGAAAAUUUUCGCAGCUGCGAAACCACUUUUGGCACACGAGUGCCACUUCGCAGCACAAGAGCCCCCAUUUCGUAGCUGCGAAACGGCUGCGAAGUCCCAAAACGUGAAAAAUCCCAAUUUCGCAGCCAAAGCUCCAUUCCGCAGAGGAUUUCGUGGCUGCGAAACCAACUUUGGCACACGAGUGCCAUUUCGCAGCAUAGUGACUCUCAUUUCGCAGCUGCAAAACGGCUGCGAAGCUCCAAAGCGUAAAAAAUUCCCAAUUUCGCAGCCAAAGCUCCAUUCCGCAGAGGAUUUCACGGCUGUGAAACCAACUUUGGCACACGAGUACCAUUUCGCAGCACAAUGACUCCCAUUUCGCAGCUGCGAAACGGCUGCGAAGUCCCAAAAUGUGAAAAAUCCCAAUUUCAUAGCCGCACCCCCAUUUUGGCAAUUGUUGGACACAUCUCGAUCACUUCCCGAAGUUCAAAUUAUGCAUGCAAUAUCUCGUUUCAAAUAUUAGGAAGUCAGGAGUUCAUAGCUUCAAACGGUGUUCGAUUUGGAUUUGAAACGGAAAAGUUAUGGCCGUUUGAAGAUGACUGUGCAAACCAUGAGCGGAAAUGUCGCACCUCCAUUUUGCUACUGUUGGACACAUUUUUGAAGCACUUACUGGAGCUCAAAUUAUGCAUACCAUAUCUUGUUUCAAAUCUUGGGAAGUCAGGAGUCCAGAACUUCAAACGGUGCACAAUUUGCAGUUGAAACGAAGAAGUUAUGGUUAUUUGAAGACAAGCGCUCAAAGCUGAGCGGGAAUUUCGCAGCCGAGACACCAUUUGGAAGGGUGUUUCGCAGCUGCGAAACCACUUUUGGCACAUGAGUGCCAUUUUGCAGCACAGUUCCCCUCAUUUUGAAGCUGCGAUACACCUGCGAAAUCACUUUUGAGCUACGAAAUGAGUUGCGAAAUCAAUAUUGGGCUGCGAAAUCACUUUUGAGCUUUGAAAUGGCUAUGAAAUGAUUUUCAAACUUCAAAAUGGCUGCGAAAUCACCUCCAAGCAUCGAAAUGGCCUUCAAAUUUCGAAAUUGACUUGCGAGAUGGAGGAAGUUUUGCAAAAACACUUUGCAAAGCCAAUAGAAGUUGCUAAAAUGCCAUCAGAGCCUCACAAUCAUGCAUCUGAAGAGGAGAGCCCCGCACACCCUGGGAUCACACACACCAAGCCUCUCACUCCAUUUUUGACCUCCUUAAACCAUCAAAUCCCAUAGCUACCAGCUGAGAGCUCCAGCUAAGGAGACUAUGCCACCUAAGGAGAUUACCAGAACAGAGUCCAAAGUCCUGAUCCAACCCACUCAAGAGGCCACCAUAGUUGCAUCAGCUCCACAGGAUCCUACCACUACUUGAUCAUCUCUUUACUUUUUGUCUUUACAUAUUAUAUUAGUGUAGAUAAUUCCAUGUUUUGAUGUCUUAUAUUCUGGGAUUGGAUGUAUUACUGAUGAUGCAUCAUACAUAGACAUCAUUUUUGUUUAAACUUGACAUUUUUCUAUUUCCUCUACUCACUAACUCUUAUGUUUUCUUUGAAACAUGUGGUUUCUCCUAUACGACUCAGACUCCAUGUCACUAAGGAGGUACCACUUCCUCCCUAUUUUUUAAUCGCUUUUGUCACAUUGAGGACAAUGUUCAGCUUGGUUGGGGGGAGAGUUGAGGAAGUAAGUAUUGUUAAUAAUGCUAAGUUAUUUUGGUAAUUUAGUUGCUUUUUGCUUAAUUUUUAAAAUUUUUGCUUUAAACUCCAUGGAUAUUAAGGAUUAACUCUCAAAAUUAAAUGAGAGAAGUCGAGUUUCAACUUGAUUACAUGAGUCUUAGAGUUUUUAUUAUGCUCUUCUAAAAGUUGAUGAAUUGUUGAAACUCUCAUUGCAUGCAAACUUAUCUCUUCCACCUUAAGCUAUUCGCACACACAUACAUUAGAUUCCGGUUAUAAGAUGUGAAACUAUCUCACCCUCUAAGCUUGAGAAAUCAUAAUUUGACACCUUUAACCUCUCUUUAAUAGUGUUGGGACACCUCAUAAAGACCAAUGAGUCUUUGAAAAAAUAGAAAAAAGAAAAAGAAAAAGAAAAAAAUAAUAAUAAUAUAGAAUAAACUUCUUUGCUUGCCUUGAAACCUGAGCAUGGUCCGAAGGGGUGGCGAAAGCCUUUAAAGCCUGGUGUCCUAAGCCUUUAUUGGUUGGGAGUCACCGAUCCUCUGCUUGUUACAUGGGUGAAUUGGUUAAGUGUAGUAAGUGAAAAGAAUUGUGAAUAAGAGGUGCGUUCCUAACCUAUCAAGAGAUGGUUAAUUUUGCUAAACUUAAAGAAAGACUUAGGUUGGGGGGAGAUGAUAGUUAUCCAUACUAUACUCGGAAGCUAAUCACAUUAACACUUAGCUUUUAGUGGAAGAAUUUGAUUUGGAUAUUUUGAGAAUGGAAAUUCUUUUGAUACUUAAACUUGCAUAAUAUCCAUUCUUUGUACUCUAUGAUCAAGUGAAUGCUUUGACAACUCUUAUUAUAGGUUGAGUUUCACAUCUUUAUUGAUCCAUGGAUGUCCAUCAUGCCACUCAUAUCAUUUUUUGGAGUGAUAUGCAUGAUCUCUUUUAUGUAUAUUAUUAUAGUUUACUUAGUUUUUAUCUCCUCCAUUGCUAAGGGACUAGCAAUGAGUCGGUUGGGGGGUGUGAUUACUACCAAAAAGUGCUAUUUUGUAGAUCUAAUUAUAAUGGUUUUAAGCACCUUUGAGUAGUAAUCAUAUUCAUUUAACCCAAUCAAUUCAUUAAGGUCCUUAGUAAUUGGUUUUAACCAUUUUGUGGCAAGUUUACAUGUUUUUAUCAGCUUAUGAAUCGAUUCAAGCAUGCCAAAUGAUGGAGGAGCUACUUGGACAAGUUAAAGCAAGGAUUUUGGAAGUUUACAGGCUUGAAUUUUAAGUGGAAACACGAGCACAAGUAAUGGAGAAGAGGAAAACAGAGUGAAGAAAACAGAGGACAGCAUCUGCAGUUUUAUUUUGCACUUUUGGAGCACUUCCCGAAGUCCAUUUUCUACAUUCUUUAUACCAUUUCAAAUCUCAGGAAGUCAAGAAUCCAAUGCUUCAAACGGUGUGCGAUUCGGAGUUGAAACGAAGGAGUUACAGCCAUUGCAAGCAGAUCACUCCAAGCUGUUUUUGCACGGCUGCGAAAUCAGCCUUUUGUUGCGAGAAUUUCGCAGCCAUUUUGCAUAGUGCACGGGUGUUCUCCUGAAGCUUCCUGAUAGUUGCGACCGACACUUUUAGAUCUUUUCUUCAGAUAUUUUUGUAUAAAUUUCCAUUCUUCUCCUUGUAAGCCACCAACCAUAAGAUUUCUUAAUUAGGAAGGUUGGAAAAACGUCUCUAUAUAUAUUCCCUUGCAUCCACUGUAUAUAAAAAAUAUGUAAUAUCGAUCAAUAUAUAAUAUAUCUACAGAGCACUUGCUCUGUUUUUCAUUCAUAUUCUUGUUUUCAUUUUCAUUUUCAUUUUCUAGCCAACCAAACUCUAAGGAUUUUUCCUCAGAGGAUGAGAGGCUAAGCUCUUUAUCUCUUGGAGUGAAGAAAGCCGGGUAAGUUUCCACAUGCAUAAAUUGGAAGUUUUGUUGUUUUAGUUUUUAAUGAAGAGAAAGUGUGACCCGUUAAUGGUUUUUAUCUUUUUAGUUAACUUAAAACGCCUUUAAAUCACCUGGGCCAACACUUGGUAAGGCAAGUGAUUUCCGUCCAUGGAGAUUCACUAGUUUACCCCUUGCGAGCCUUUGGGAGGUGACUUGAAGGUAGGAUUUUCUAGAAUAGCCAACACUUGGUAAGCUUUUGAACUCCAAGGAGACAUCCAUUAGUUAUCUCUUGCGAGCUUUUGACGGGUAAUCCAAGGUUAAAGAUCACCUUGAAUGGCAAGUGCUAGGUGAGAGGUAUGAGCCAUUGCAUGGUGCAUCAGUGAGAGGGAUUUAGUGUUUGAACCCAUUAAUGGGAAGCAUCUGUACAACACCGGUUGGAGAAGGAACUAUAUGUUAAUUCUCUAAUGCGAGGAAAAGAAACAAGUGACCGGAACUCUCCAUUUUUGUAUGAGGAAUCUGAGCCUAGUGAUCUGAAACUCCAAGAAACAUCUUUUCUUUGUAAGUAAAAUCAGUUACUAUUUUUGGUUAGUUUAAAACCGAACUUUUUCCAUUUAAACAAGUUUAUGUUUUCUUUUAAAGCUAACCUUGAAAUGAAAAGGCACCAAUUCAACUUUGAAUUAAUAUCAUUUGUGAAGUGAAAACUCAUCCUAGUGAACGAUCCUAGAGCCACUAUGCUAUAGUAGCUUUGUCUUUGCUACCCUAGUAUAUGGUGUAAUAGGUUAAAAAUUUUGUUGAUUACUCCCUCAUUCAAGGAGCACCAGCUGGACACAAAUCAGCUGAGACACCAAUUGGGCACGAAUCAUAUGCUCAACCUAUUUAUUGACAAACUACCAAGGGCUAGUGCUAAGGUAAACACCCAGCACUUGCAUCAUACUCUCUCUUCUCUGCCCUCUUUAGUUGUUUUCCAAAGUUCAUAUAUAAUGUCUUUAUCAUUCAAGUUUUCAUUUUCAACCACUUUUUAAACUUUUGUCUUUUUAUGGUUUUUACACGACAAUCCAUUUCUAAGAAAUUAUUGUACUAUAUUUAUAAAUCUUAUCUUUUUGUUCUUAUAGACAAUAGAACAACGUGGUAAUUGCAUGACAUACAAUUUGUAAUAGAUGGUCAACUAUAUAUUAAGUAAUCUUUAAUUGCCUUGGAGUUGAAACGUUUGAUGUUGAUAAGGUUUGAUAAUUCUCGCUUUGGUGCUUUGUUGGAUUUCAAUUCAGGUGAUUAAUUGAUCUUGUUAUAAUUCUUUGAUUGUUAUUAUAACUAUCGUGAUAAUCAUUCUUAUUUUAUUGUGGUAAUUGACUUCACUAACUUUUUAACAAUUAUAUCAUGAGUGAAAUGCCCAACCUAUUAUUGUUAGUAUUCCAUUAACAUACCUCUAAUGCCACCACUAAUAAACAUCAUGUAUUUAUAUUUAUAACACGUUUCAUUACUGAAAUAAUUUAAUAUUUUCAAAUUUCUUUUUAGAGUGUGAGAAAUAACCAUUAAUCUUUACAACAACAUAAGUAUCAUUGAUUUGAUAUUGCUUUCUUGAGUAAUUUGGCAAUUUAAUUAUGAAGUUUAGUUGGACAUUACUUGAGAUUCAUGUCUUAUGUAUAUGGUAUAUUUUCCAAACUUCAAUUAUAUUUAGUAGACUUGUAAGUGGUGUUUGUCUAUGAGUUUCAACUCUUGAAAACUAUUAUUGGAGCCUAAGUUCACUUUCAGUAAGGAAAAAAAAAAAAAACAACCUUUUCCUCAAUUGUGUAAUUUUAUUCACUAUUGACAUGCCCUUAAAUGGCAUUGCUAUUAUUUGUAGGGAACAUUGUCAAGUUCCAUAUUUGUCUAGAAAGUUAGAAGAAGUAUUUAAUUUGACAUGGUUUGGACAUCUUGCUACUAUCUUUUUAAAUUAGUUAUCAAUAAUUUUUCAAAGUUGACCUUUUUGUUUAUCUCAUACUCCUUUUAUAUUAAAAGGUACCGCAUGGGUAUUAUGUAGAGGAAUCAUGCCUUCUUUAAUUGAGGUGAGCCUCUUGCAAAAUAUUUCAGGUUUGCUCUCAUUCCAUUUGUUACUUCAUGUCUAUUUUUUUGUAAUCAAUCAAGCAAGAGUUUCUUACUUGUACAAUGGUAAACUUGCUUGCAUGAAUAAUAAUCUUUUUGCUAUUUUUUUCUUUCUUUAUUAUAUUCAUUGAUACGCUUAGAAGUGAAUAGUGAACCAAGUUUUUUGUUAAAAGAAAUCAAAUAUUGGUAAUUAUUUAGUAUCAUGUUUGUAAUAAUCAAUUAUUGAUUGUAAAGAUACUUGGCUUAAUCAAUUAUUAUAUUGAAAUCAAUUUAGUACUAUGACUAAUACCAAAAGGAUAAUAUUUAGUCUUGUUUGACCAUUAGUCACUAUUCUAGAGACAAAUGCUCACAAGUUUUGCAUCUUUGAAGCAUAUGAGAAAAGUUGGUUCAACUAUAUCACCAACUUACAAGCUCCUUAUAGUGUCCAUAUAUAUAACCUUCGUUGUUCAGGUUUAUGAUUCAUAUCUAAUUUUUUUUUUCAUCUUUUUAUUGUUUAUAAUUUUUUAAUUGAUUUGUUUAUAAAUUUUUAAACUUUAUUGGCAAUACUAAUUUUUUUUUAUUCUCAUGUGCAAUAGAAUAAUAAGUUGAAUAAGAAGCAUAAACUACUUAAUUGGUAUAACCGUUUACUCAAUUCUCUUCUCAGAUAUUUUUGUUCAAGGUAAUCAAAGUAUCAUUCUUUUUAUUUUUAAAGGUACUUGAACUCAGUGAGGACCAUUCCCAAAACACGCAAUCACUACAGUUGGAUUACUGAUAUCAUAUCCUUGAUUGACAUCUAUGCCAUUACAUUUGCAUCUAAAGGAUUUAUGAGGAAAAAAAUAUCUUCUUUAUUUCCAUUUUCCUUCCUUCUUUUGACCAUAAUUUGUGUGCUUAUUGGUAGCAUUCAUACCCUAAUAUAUUUGCUAGCAUAUAUAUGCAUAUCAUAAUCUAUUGAAUUUUUUAGCAUAAGGUCUUAGAGUAUUCACAUAUCUCUAGGUUCUAUAUAUUUAUAAUUUUUACAACAUCAAAUGAAGUAUAUGAACCUUAACCUGAAGGUGAAGUCUCUUUAAAGGGAGUUUCAACAUGUUAGCAAUUACCUAACUUAAUAAUCUAACAAUUUGGAACUCUAUAUAAUUUUGCAACUCUUUCAUAAAGUAAUUGUGUUACCUUUAUUCACAUUUUCUAUCUUUAUUUUUAAAAAAAUGAAUUGGUAAUUGUGUGUCAAAUCUUGCUUACAAUCAUUAAUAGGUACUUAUAUGCUAAAUGGAUAAAGUUAUUUUACAAUUGUUUCAAAAUAUUUGGAAUAUAUAUAUAUAUAUAUAUAUAUAUAUAUAUAUAUAUAUAUAUAUUUAUAGAUGUAAUCACUACCAAGCCAAUGCGAAAAGCUAUAACAAUGAGGAUUACAAAGCUUCAAUUAUGUCUUGGAGACUCAUAUUGACAAGUUGUAAAUGGUGGGUGAAGUCUCUUUAAAAGGAGCUUCAACAUGUUAGCAGUUACCAAACUUAAGAAUCUAACAACUUGGCACUAUAUAUCAUUUUGCAACUCUUUCAUAAAGUAAUUGUGUAACCUCUAUUCACAUUUUCUAUCUUUAUUUAAAAAAAAAAAAAUGAAUUGGUAAUUGUGUGUCGAAUCUUGCUUACAAUCAUUAAUAGGUACUUAUAUGCUAAAUGGAUAAAGUUAUUUUACAAUUGUUUCAACAUAUUUGACACACAAGUACCUAUUAAUAAGUAUAUAUUUAUAGAUGUAAUCAUACCUAGCCAAUGCGAAAAGCUAUAACAAUGAGGAUUACAACGCUUCAAUUAUGUCUUAGAGAUUCAUAUUGACAAGUUGUAAAUGGUGGGUGAAGUCUCUUUAAAAGGAGCUUCAACAUGUUAGCAGUUACCAAACUUAAGAAUCUAAUAGCUUGGCACUAUAUAUCAUUUUCCAACUCUUUCAUAAAGUAAUUGUGUAACCUCUAUUCACAUGCUCUAUCUUUAAUUUUUUUUUUAUAAAAAAAAUUUAAUUGGUAAUUGUGUGUUGAAUCAUUCUUACAAUAUUUAAUAGGUACUUAUACACUAAAUUGAUAAAGUUAUUUUACAAUUGUUUCAACAUGUUCUGAAAACAAAAAAGAUUAAUAAGUAUAUUUUUUCUAGAUGUAAUCACUACCAAGCCAAUGUGAAAAGCUAUAACAAUGAGGCUUACAAAACUUCAAUUAUGUUUUGGAGAUUCAUAUUGAAAGUUGUAGAUUAUGGAUGUAUAGUAUAGGAGUUAGAUUGAGUUUAUCAUUCUAUCUUUGACAUCUUAGUUUUCUAUUUAUUGUCCCUCAUAUAUAUUUGUCAUCUAUUCUUUACAACCAAUUUUUUAAGGACUUCUAUAUUUGUUUAAAUUUAUAUAUAUAUUUUUAUUUGUACUAGAACUUCACCAAGCUACAAAAGCAUCACAAGUUUUGCAAUUGGAGUUCAUGGAUCGGGUAUUUUAGUAGUUUUUGAACUUGAAAUUUUUUAAUGAUACUAAUGAGGAUGUUUACCUUGAUUAAUUUAACACUUAUAUUGCAAAUAUCUAUAUAGGAGUUCUAUACAUUUAUUUAAACAUUUAUAGACAUAUUUAUCCUCUUUCUAGCACAUUCUAAUGAUAUUUUUAACAUUGAUAUAAAUUGUUUGCUUGAAGGUUUCAACUAUUGAAAAUUAUUAUUCAAGCCUAAUGUUAAUCUUUUUCUAUAGUGGAUUUCAAAUAAUAAAUUAUUAUUUGAUUAUUUGUAGGGAAAAUAAACAACUUCUAUGUUUGAUAAGAAAGAAGAUAGAGUAGAUCAAUUUCACAAUAUACGAAUGCUACGCUUUCUAUACUUUUAAAGAUGGUUACAAUUGGCUUUCUAUACUUAACAAGUACAUCUUAGCUAAAAGUGAAAAAAUGUUUCUCUUUGCACAUGCCUUCACUACUAUUUUAAUUGCUAUCUUAAUAUGUUAUGGAAAAACCACGCAAAUAACAAUAAUAAGGAGAAGAAAUAAAAGAACAAAAAUAGAAAACUUAUAAAGUAGGACGAUUUAUGUGGUGUGGCCUAAAACCUACAUUUAUCUGUGAAAAUGAAGAUGAGCUUCCACUAUUAUUAAAGAAGAUUACAAUCCUAAAGCUCUCAAAUCUCAUGAUUACACUAAAAAUGGACUUUUUUUUUUAAAUCAAAAUCUCUUCCUUUAUUUUCUUGAUUAUAUAAGAAUAUUCCAUAGAGAAUUAAUUGUGUAAUUAUCAAAGAUAACUAUUCCUAAAAGAAAAAUCUUAUAAUAUGAUAUUUCCUUUAGAAUAAAAGAAAAAUAUCUUAUAUAAAUAUAUCAUAAUAGGAAAAUAUUAAAGACUUAUAAAUUGACUCAAAACAAUUUGAAAUAUUUUUCAACAAUCUCCACAUUGGCUCAAAUUCUCAAUAUUCAAAUAAACUCAAAAGUCUUCUAUGUUACUUUGCUCUUAUACACCCUUAAGGGAACUUCAAGUAAUAUCAAUACCAAUUAAGUCUAAGCAAUGCAUAAACUUAAUCAUAGAAAUAAGUUUAGCCAUCAUAUCUAUAAAAUUAUCAACUAUAGGGAUCUUUUUCAUUACAUUAGUACCUUGUUCAAUCACAUCUCUAAUAAAAUGCAUUCUAACAUCAAUAUGUUUGGUUCUCUCAUGUAACAUAUGAUUUUUAGUCAAAAGUAUGACACUUGGCUACCAUGAUAACAAUAAUCAAUGAUUGGAACCAAAUAAUUACAUUUUGUGUGCCUAAAAUUAGGCAUUCAUAUUUAAUAUCCAAUUCUAGUUUCAUCCCUUUACUCAAUUUUAUUCCUAAGUCCUUAAUUUUGGGUUUAAUGUAUUUUUUAAAUAUUUUNNNNNNNNNNNNNNNNNNNNNNNNNNNNNNNNNNNNNNNNNNNNNNNNNNNNNNNNNNNNNNNNNNNNNNNNNNNNNNNNNNNNNNNNNNNNNNNNNNNNNNNNNNNNNNNNNNNNNNNNNNNNNNNNNNNNNNNNNNNNNNNNNNNNNNNNNNNNNNNNNNNNNNNNNNNNNNNNNNNNNNNNNNNNNNNNNNNNNNNNNNNNNNNNNNNNNNNNNNNNNNNNNNNNNNNNNNNNNNNNNNNNNNNNNNNNNNNNNNNNNNNNNNNNNNNNNNNNNNNNNNNNNNNNNNNNNNNNNNNNNNNNNNNNNNNNNNNNNNNNNNNNNNNNNNNNNNNNNNNNNNNNNNNNNNNNNNNNNNNNNNNNNNNNNNNNNNNNNNNNNNNNNNNNNNNNNNNNNNNNNNNNNNNNNNNNNNNNNNNNNNNNNNNNNNNNNNNNNNNNNNNNNNNNNNNNNNNNNNNNNNNNNNNNNNNNNNNNNNNNNNNNNNNNNNNNNNNNNNNNNNNNNNNNNNNNNNNNNNNNNNNNNNNNNNNNNNNNNNNNNNNNNNNNNNNNNNNNNNNNNNNNNNNNNNNNNNNNNNNNNNNNNNNNNNNNNNNNNNNNNNNNNNNNNNNNNNNNNNNNNNNNNNNNNNNNNNNNNNNNNNNNNNNNNNNNNNNNNNNNNNNNNNNNNNNNNNNNNNNNNNNNNNNNNNNNNNNNNNNNNNNNNNNNNNNNNNNNNNNNNNNNNNNNNNNNNNNNNNNNNNNNNNNNNNNNNNNNNNNNNNNNNNNNNNNNNNNNNNNNNNNNNNNNNNNNNNNNNNNNNNNNNNNNNNNNNNNNNNNNNNNNNNNNNNNNNNNNNNNNNNNNNNNNNNNNNNNNNNNNNNNNNNNNNNNNNNNNNNNNNNNNNNNNNNNNNNNNNNNNNNNNNNNNNNNNNNNNNNNNNNNNNNNNNNNNNNNNNNNNNNNNNNNNNNNNNNNNNNNNNNNNNNNNNNNNNNNNNNNNNNNNNNNNNNNNNNNNNNNNNNNNNNNNNNNNNNNNNNNNNNNNNNNNNNNNNNNNNNNNNNNNNNNNNNNNNNNNNNNNNNNNNNNNNNNNNNNNNNNNNNNNNNNNNNNNNNNNNNNNNNNNNNNNNNNNNNNNNNNNNNNNNNNNNNNNNNNNNNNNNNNNNNNNNNNNNNNNNNNNNNNNNNNNNNNNNNNNNNNNNNNNNNNNNNNNNNNNNNNNNNNNNNNNNNNNNNNNNNNNNNNNNNNNNNNNNNNNNNNNNNNNNNNNNNNNNNNNNNNNNNNNNNNNNNNNNNNNNNNNNNNNNNNNNNNNNNNNNNNNNNNNNNNNNNNNNNNNNNNNNNNNNNNNNNNNNNNNNNNNNNNNNNNNNNNNNNNNNNNNNNNNNNNNNNNNNNNNNNNNNNNNNNNNNNNNNNNNNNNNNNNNNNNNNNNNNNNNNNNNNNNNNNNNNNNNNNNNNNNNNNNNNNNNNNNNNNNNNNNNNNNNNNNNNNNNNNNNNNNNNNNNNNNNNNNNNNNNNNNNNNNNNNNNNNNNNNNNNNNNNNNNNNNNNNNNNNNNNNNNNNNNNNNNNNNNNNNNNNNNNNNNNNNNNNNNNNNNNNNNNNNNNNNNNNNNNNNNNNNNNNNNNNNNNNNNNNNNNNNNNNNNNNNNNNNNNNNNNNNNNNNNNNNNNNNNNNNNNNNNNNNNNNNNNNNNNNNNNNNNNNNNNNNNNNNNNNNNNNNNNNNNNNNNNNNNNNNNNNNNNNNNNNNNNNNNNNNNNNNNNNNNNNNNNNNNNNNNNNNNNNNNNNNNNNNNNNNNNNNNNNNNNNNNNNNNNNNNNNNNNNNNNNNNNNNNNNNNNNNNNNNNNNNNNNNNNNNNNNNNNNNNNNNNNNNNNNNNNNNNNNNNNNNNNNNNNNNNNNNNNNNNNNNNNNNNNNNNNNNNNNNNNNNNNNNNNNNNNNNNNNNNNNNNNNNNNNNNNNNNNNNNNNNNNNNNNNNNNNNNNNNNNNNNNNNNNNNNNNNNNNNNNNNNNNNNNNNNNNNNNNNNNNNNNNNNNNNNNNNNNNNNNNNNNNNNNNNNNNNNNNNNNNNNNNNNNNNNNNNNNNNNNNNNNNNNNNNNNNNNNNNNNNNNNNNNNNNNNNNNNNNNNNNNNNNNNNNNNNNNNNNNNNNNNNNNNNNNNNNNNNNNNNNNNNNNNNNNNNNNNNNNNNNNNNNNNNNNNNNNNNNNNNNNNNNNNNNNNNNNNNNNNNNNNNNNNNNNNNNNNNNNNNNNNNNNNNNNNNNNNNNNNNNNNNNNNNNNNNNNNNNNNNNNNNNNNNNNNNNNNNNNNNNNNNNNNNNNNNNNNNNNNNNNNNNNNNNNNNNNNNNNNNNNNNNNNNNNNNNNNNNNNNNNNNNNNNNNNNNNNNNNNNNNNNNNNNNNNNNNNNNNNNNNNNNNNNNNNNNNNNNNNNNNNNNNNNNNNNNNNNNNNNNNNNNNNNNNNNNNNNNNNNNNNNNNNNNNNNNNNNNNNNNNNNNNNNNNNNNNNNNNNNNNNNNNNNNNNNNNNNNNNNNNNNNNNNNNNNNNNNNNNNNNNNNNNNNNNNNNNNNNNNNNNNNNNNNNNNNNNNNNNNNNNNNNNNNNNNNNNNNNNNNNNNNNNNNNNNNNNUCAAGCAAGUACCCACAUAUGCAAAGUUUUUGAAGGACUUGUGCACUGUGAAAAGAUGACUCAAUGUUACAAAGCAAGCCUUCCUAUCCGAGCAAGUGAGUGCUAUAAUCCAAUGCAAGUCUCCAAUCAAAUACAAAGAUCCGGGGUGUCCUACAAUCUCAGUCAAUAUUGGAGGAACCCAAGUGGAGAAGGCAUUGCUUGAUUUGGGGGCAAGUGUUAACUUACUUCCAUACUCUGUAUACAAGGAGCUGGGGUUGGGAGAACUCAAGCCAACAUCGAUCACCCUAUCCUUAGUUGACCGAUCAGUGAAAAUCCCCAAGGGGGUAAUAGAGGAUGUAUUGGUUUAAGUUGACAAAUUCUACUAUCCAGUAGAUUUUAUGGUGCUUGAUACGGAUCCCAUUGUCAAAGGGAUCAACUAUGUUCCAAUCAUCCUUGGAAGACCAUUCCUUGCAACAUCCAAUGCAAUAAUCAAUUGUAGGAAUGGGGUCAUGCAACUCACUUUUGGGAAUAUGACAUUGGAACUCAACAUCUUCCAUCUAUGUCAAAAGCACAUCCAUCCUGAAGAAGAUGAGGGCCCAGAAGAAGUGUGUAUGAUAGAUACCCUGGUGGAGGAGCAUUGUAAUCAGAGUAUGCUUGAUCAGUUUGAAGAGAAUCCAAAUGAAAGACAUGAAGAUCUUGAUGAUGGGUUAGCUGAACCCAUGGGAAUGAAUGCCGUUAUGUCAAACUGGAGACAAAAGCCAGUGAUCCUCCCUUUGUUCAAGGAUGAGGAAGAGAUGAAAGAAGCUAAGGAUGCAAUCCUUAAGCUUGAAUUGAAGACCCUUCCUGCCGAGUUGAAGUAUGCUUACUUGGAGGAAGGCAAUAAAGCCCCGGUGGUAAUUUCUUCUUCUUUAACCAUUUCACAAGAGGACAAUCUUCUAAGAAUCCUUAGAAAGCACAAGAAGGCCAUCGGAUGGCAAAUUUCUGAUUUGAAGGGGAUAAGCCCAUUGAUUUGCACGCACCAUAUUUAUAUGGAAGAGGGAGCUAAGCCAACUCGUCAGCCACAGAGGAGAUUGAAUCCUCAUAUGCAAGAGGUAGUAAGGGCUGAAGUGUUGAAGCUUCUUCAAGCGGGCAUCAUUUACCCCAUUUCAGAUAGCACUUGGGUGAGUCCAACCCAAGUUGUUCCAAAGAAGUCUGUGAUAACCAUAGUCAAGGGGAAAAAUGGAGAUGAAGUGUCCACACGCCUCACAACUGGUUGGAGGGUGUGCAUUGACUACAGGAAGCUGAACAUAGUAACGAGAAAGGAUCACUUCCCUUUACCUUUCAUGGAUCAAGUCCUUGAGAGAGUAUCUGGGCAUCCUUUUUAUUGCUUCUUGGAUGGGUAUUCCGGGUAUUUUCAAAUAGAGAUUGAUGUGGAGGACCAGGAGAAGACUACCUUCACUUGUCCAUUCGGCACCUAUGCUUAUAGGCGGAUGCCUUUUGGAUUAUGCAACGCUCCUGCUACCUUCCAAAGAUGCAUGCUUAGCAUCUUCAGUGACAUGGUUGAACGAAUCAUGGAAGUCUUCAUGGAUGACAUCACUGUGUAUGGGACUUCUUUUGAGGAUUGUUUGUCACAUCUUGAAGAUGUUUUGAAAAGAUGCAUAGAGAAAGACCUCGUACUCAAUUAGGAGAAGUGCCAUUUUAUGGUAAAUCAAGGUAUUGUUCUUGGGCACGUAAUCUCAAAGAAGGGUAUAGAGGUAGAUAGAGCUAAGGUGGAACUAAUUGUGAAGUUGCCACCUCCCACCAAUGUAAAAGGAAUAAGGCAAUUCCUUGGGCAUGCCGGGUUCUAUAGGAGGUUUAUAAAGGAUUUUUCCAAGAUUGCCAAACCUCUUUGUGAAUUAUUGGUGAAGGAUGCCAAGUUUGAGUGGGAUGAUAAAUGUCAAAGGAGUUUUGAGCUUCUUAAGCAAUUCUUGACAUCAGCGCCCAUUGUGAGAGCACCAAAUUGGGAGUUGCCAUUUGAAGUGAUGUGUGACUCAAGUGAUUAUGCCAUUGGGGCUGUUUUGGGACAAAGAGAAGAUGGUAAACCUUAUGUGAUCUACUAUGCAAGCAAGUCUUUGAACGAUGCUCAAAGGAAUUACACCACCACUGAGAAGGAAUUACUUGCUGUGGUGUAUGCUUUGGAUAAGUUCAGAGCUUAUUUGAUAGGGUCUUCCAUUGUGGUAUUCACGGAUCAUUCAGCUUUAAAGUAUUUGCUAACCAAGCAAGAUGCCAAGGCUAGGUUGAUUAGGUGGAUACUUUUGCUUCAAGAGUUCAACCUUCAGAUCAGAGAUAAGAAAGGUGUUGAGAAUGUGGUAGCUGACCACUUGUCAAGGCUCAACAUCGCUCAUGACACCCAUGGACUUCCCAUAAAUGAUGAUUUCCCUGAGGAAUCCUUGAUGCUUGUGGAGGAAGUGCCAUGGUUUGCACACAUUGGCAAUUACUUGGUCACGGGAGAAAUACCAAGUGAAUGGAGCUCUCAGGACAAGAAGAAUUUCUUUGCCAAGGUCCAUGCAUAUUAUUGGGAGGAGCCUUUUCUCUUCAAGUAUUGUGCGGACCAAAUUAUAAGGAAGUGUAUGCCUGAACAAGAGAAGCAUGGGAUCCUAUCUCAUUGCCAUGGGAAUGCAUGUGGAGGCCACUUUGCCUCUCAAAAGACGGCAAUGAGAGUUCUUCAAUCGGGCUUUUGGUGGCCCUCACUUUUUAAGGAUGCCCAUGAGGUAAGUAAGGGAUGUGAUAAGUGCCAAAGACUAGGCAAGCUUUCAAGGAGAAACAUGAUGCCUUUGAACCCCAUCUUGAUAGUGGAUCUUUUUUAUGUUUGGGGCAUAGACUUCAUGAGACCUUUCCCUAUGUUUUUUGGCCACUCCUACAUCUUGGUAGGAGUUGAUUAUGUUUCAAAGUGGGUUGAAGCUAUACCCUGUAGAACCAAUGAUCACAAAGUGGUUCUCAAGUUCCUAAAAGAAAACAUCUUCUCGAGGUUUGGAGUGCCUAAAGCAAUCAUCAGUGAUGGAGGCACUCACUUUUUCAACAAGCCCUUUGAAGCUCUUUUGGCCAAGUACGGAAUUAAGCAUAAGGUAGCUAGCUACACCUUAUCAUCCUCAGACGAGUGGCCAAGUAGAGUUAGCCAACCGGGAAAUUAAGAACAUCUUGAUGAAGGUGGUGAACACCAAUAGGAAAGAUUGGUCUGUUAAGCUCCUUGAUUCCCUAUGGGGGUAUAGGACGGCUUAUAAGACAAUCCUUGGGAUGUCACCGUACCAUCUUGUUUAUGGCAAAGCUUGCCAUCUUCCCGUUGAGAUUGAGUUCAAGGCAUGGUGGGCCAUUAAAAAGCUCAACAUGGAUUUAACUAAGGUUGGGCUAAAGAGGAGUUUGGAUUUGAAUGAGCUUGAGGAAUUGAGAAAUGAUGCCUAUUUCAACUCAAAAAUAGCUAAGGAAAAGCUAAAGAGAUGGCAUGAUCAGUUGGUGACCAAGAAAGAAUUUUUCAAGGGACAAAGAGUCUUGCUAUAUGACUUUAAGCUUCACCUAUUUCCGGGAAAGCUCAAAUCAAGGUGGGUAGGGCCUUUUUUCAUCCACCAAGUACACUCACAUGGAGUAAUUGAGUUACUCAACUCAAAAAGUGCAAAGAUCUUCAAGGUAAAUGGGCAAAGACUCAAGCCCUACAUCGAGCCAUUUUCCCGUGACAAGGAGGUACUCAUCCUCCAUGACCCAUCACAUCCUUGAGAAAGUGUGGUAAGUUGAUGAGCUUAGCAUGAAAAGCUAAGUGCUCAUCUCUUUUUGUUUUAAUUUUAGUAUUACAUUCUUGUUUACUUUGCAUUUUUAAUACUUUUGCACAUAUUUUGUUUAGGUUUCUUAGUUUUGAUUUUGAUUUUUUAUGUUUUUAAUGGAGCUUUGAUGUCCAAUAGCAGGUACGAAAGCUCACAAGCUCACAAAUGUGGAGAGAAAGGUGAAAUAGGGGAGAAAUAUAUCUAAGUCCAAGCUUAAAAGCCCAUUUCGCAACUCAAAAAGUGAGUUGCGAAAAUUUGGCAAGGUGAAUUUCACCUUACGAAAUGCACAUUUUGGCAAGAUGCAAUUUACAACCUCUCGGGAUUGCACUUUUGCAAGGAGUAACCAGUGCGAAAAUUUUCGCAAGUCAUUUUUCACCUUGCAAAAUUGUUUUCAAAGCAAAUAUCAAAAUGCAACCUCUCGGGAUUGGUUUUUAAGGGGAGUAGCUAGUGCGAAAAUUUGGCAAGGUGAAUUUUCACCUUGCGAAAUUUUUUCUUCAUGCUUACCAAAGAUUUGAUUCUUUUUAAAUUCAUUUUCAAACUUCAAUUUUAUAGUUUUAACACUCCUCAGUUCAUCCCCGUACUUAGACAAAUUUUCAAAAAAAAAUUUCAUGGCCAAAAACCCUUUUUAAAGCCUUCUCAACUUCAUUUUUCAUGCAUAAAACGCUAUUCCCCUUGCAUUUCCUCUCUAGGCCGCGUGCUUCAUUGUUCCAAGGUGAGUAAUUUUUCAUUUUUCUCCAUUUUUGGCUCUUUAAAUUGCUUGUUUAUAUCAUUUCUAUGUUUUAGGAACCAUAAACAUGCAUUUUCAUCCAUUAAAACCAUUUCAAAAAUCCAUUUUUUCAAAUCAAAGACCCACAUGGCCGGCCACCAUUUUUGCAAAAAUCUCUAUCUUGCAAUGUGUUUUAGGCUCCCAAACUUACUCCAUUGCAUUUAGAAUCAUGUUUCCAUUAAAACCAUACCCUUUUUCUGAAUUUUAAACCGUUAAAAAUGAAAACUCAAAUUCAAAGUAAGCAUUGGAGAAGAAGAUGAAUAGUGCCUGUGAAUAGUGCUGCGUGAAUAGUGCCCGUUGCCAAAUUUAGCAACCACUAUUCAUGCCUUGCAAAUUUUGCACUGGUUACCAUUUCAACUGUAUUUUUGACACUUUACCCCUAGGAUGCUCUAUUUUUCGUGCUUUUCAGUCUUAUUUCAGUAUUUAUACCAUGGCACGGACAUGGGGGGCAUCCUCUUCAGCUAGUCAACGUGGGGCCCACUCACAGAGAGGUGGUCAUUCUACACCAUCUCAGCCUGCCCAAACCCUAGUUCCCUCUACUCAGCAUGGGUACGGGACCAGACGAUCAUCUGGGUCUUCCAGGGCACUAGUGCCACCCCCUAUGAGCAGUCCUCCACCUAAGAGGACUAGGAUUUCAAGACCAGGCGAGUCCUCCAGAGCCCCUCCAUCACCUCCAACAUCUACUAUCCCAGGCUCUUCACACCUAGCAAAGGUCCUCAAGCGGCCUAUGAUAGUAGGGCCACCCCUCCCAGGCAACACGGAGAUUAGAGAUAGGUCAUUUCACGAUGAGAUCUGUAUGGAGCAUAAGACUCUCCGCCUAUUACCAGAGCUAGAGGAGUCAUACCGCCUUCUGCAGAGGUACCACAUCGAGCCAUUUAUGACUCCUAGGUCCUUCUAUUACCCUAGGGUAGUCUUAGAUUUCUACCAGACUAUGACUACUAGAGGCGUCCAGGACCCCAUAGCCAUUCAUUUUUUGAUUGAUGGCCAGCAUGGUAUUUUAGAGGCCCGAGAUAUAGCCGCCACUAUGCAUUUUCCGCCUAUCCCUGAGGACCUUGGUUCCUUCCGGCAUUGGUCUCAGUAUUCAGAGCCCGACAUGGUGUCUACCUUAUUAGGAGGUAGAGUCACUGGUAGGACCAUUUUGAGGAGGGAGCUUCCUCCACGGAUGUUACUUAUCGAUUUGGUGCUCCGCACCAAUCUUUUUCCACUCCAGCAUGUCGUCCAGAGGAGAGGUGCUAUCCUAGAUGCGCUUUACCGCAUCUUUGAGGGAUUCUACUUUGGACCCCACCAUCUAGUUAUGGCUGCUCUUACCUAUUUUGAGGAGAAGGUGCAUAGGAAGCGCCUACGCAGAGCUGGUACUAUUCCACUCUUAUUUCCGAGGCUGAUCUCUCAGGUCUUAGAGGAUAUGGGAUACCCUUCUCAGCCCCACCUAGAGCGUCGUCAUCAUUGUCGAGAGCUCUUUACCAGUGAGAGUUGGACCCAUUUCUUAGACCGCUCACCCAUGGACCAGGGUAUCCCUAGACCAUUAGCUCCCGCGCCUCCAGCUUCUCCAGCGCCUCCCGAUUCUCCAGCAACCUCAGCACCUACAGUACAAACAUCACCAGAGCAAGACCCACAUACCACAGAGCCUUCUUCUUCAGUACCUGCUCCAGUGACUUGUACUACUGAUACUCCCACACCACCAGUCACUCCUGCUCCAGCCUAUGCUGAGUCUUCAGCCGGGCAAUCCAUCACUGUCCCCCACUACAGAGUUCAGAGCUCUCAUGUCGUCCUUUCACUCAUUGAGCGCCUCUCAGGCCACCUUAGUCUGUGAGAUGCAGGCCAUCAGACGACAGAUGGAUACCAUACAGACACAUCAAGCUCAGCAUACAACUAUUCAGGCUCAGCAUACAGCUAUCCUGGACCAGCACUUUGCCAUGCUCUCUCAGAUCCACCAUCACCUGGGCAUAUCACCUCCUCCACCUCAGGAGCCACAUCCAUGAUUGGAUAUUUCUAUCUCCAUUUUGUAUAUGUUUUUUGUAUAUGAUACAUGUUUUAUAUUCUGAGGUUGUAUGUACCUCAUGCUUAUAUCUUGUACUCAACUCUCUCAGUUUAUAUAAGCAUCAUUUUUUGUAUCUUAUUUCCUCUCUCACGUUUCUUAUGGUUUUUGAAUCAUGUGGAUGCACUCACACGCCUUGAAUACCACAUCACCAUAAGGUAUAUCAUUCCUUCCUCGUCUUUUUCGAUAGAAACAUUGGGGACAAUGUUCAUCUCGGUUGGGGGGAGAGUUGAGGAAGUAAGUAUUUCCUAUUUUAGUUAGUUAUUUUGUUGAUUUAGUAGUUUUUGACCUUUUUCAAAUUUUUUUGUUUCAUUCUCUAUGGUUGUUAAAGAUAAUUUCUCAAAAUAAAAUAGGAUAAGUCGAGUUUUAACUUAAUUACUUAAGUCUUAGAGUUUGUUUUAUGCUUUCAAAGUUGAUAAUCUAUUGAAGCCCUCUUUGAUUUCGAACUUAUUUCUUUCAUUUCAAGCUUUACACACACCGUGCACAUUAGAUCCCGGAUAUAUGAUGUAAAACUUUCUCACCCUCUAAGCUUAGGAAAAUUUUGACUUGGUUCAUUACUUAACCUCUUUUUAAUAGUGUUGGGACACCUCAAAAAUACCAAUGAGUUUUAAAAAAAAAAAAAAAAAAAAAAAAAAAAAAAAAAAAAAAAAAAAAAAAAGAAUAAGCUUCUAUUCUUUCCUUGAAACCUAAGCAUGAUCCGAAGGGGUGGCGAAAGCCUUUAAAACCCGAUGCCCUAAACCUUGAUUGGUUGGGAGUCAUUGAUCCUCUGCUUGCUACAUAGGUGAAUUGGUUAAGUUUAGUGAGUAAAAAGAAUUGUGAAUAAGAAGGUGCAUUCCUAACCUAUUAAGAGUUGGUUAAUUUUGCCAAAGUUCGAAAAAAGCUUAGGUUGGGGGGAGAGGAUAGUUGUACAUACUAUAUCCGAAAGCUAAUCUCAUUAAUACUUAGCUCAUUAUGGAAGAGUUUGAUCCGGAACCUUGAGAGUAGAGAUUCUUUUGAUACUUAAUUGCAUAAUCUCCACUCUUUGUACUUUUUGUUUAAGUUUUAGCUUUGACAACUCCUAUUGCAUUUUGAAUCUUCAUAUCUUUANNNNNNNNNNNNNNNNNNNNNNNNNNNNNNNNNNNNNNNNNNNNNNNNNNNNNNNNNNNNNNNNNNNNNNNNNNNNNNNNNNNNNNNNNNNNNNNNNNNNACUAUUUCAAUUGGUUGGUAAAGUUGAGAAAAGCUUCCACCAACCUCGCCAUUAAGUUGUGCUCCUUGCUCCAAUUUCUAAUUUUGCUUCCUACCCUCUUCUGGAGUUAGUGUGGAAAUGACUUUAUACAAGGGAGACGAAGGUUGGUUUUAAGUAAGGUAGCUUAUUUGUAAACUUGUAUUUUCUUUAUUCAGGCGGUAGUUCUCAUUUCUUAGCCUUGAUUUUCAAUUUUGAUCCUCUUGUCUUGUGAUUACUACCGAAAAGUGCUAUUUUGUAGACCUAAUUAUAAGGGUUUUAAGCACCUUUGAGUAGUAAUCAUAUUCAUUUAACCUAAUUAAUUCAUUAAGCUCCUUAGUAAUUAGUUCUAACCAUUUUUAGUGGCAAGUUUACAUGUUUUUCAUCAGCUUAUGAACCAAUUCAAGCAUGCCAAUUGAUGGAGGAGCUACUUGGGCGAGUUAAGCAAGGAUUUUGGACGUUUACAGGCUUGAAUUUCAAGUGGAAACACGAGCACAAGCAAUGGGAACACCAUUUCGCAAGGGGAGGCAAUUCACUUGCCAAAUGACCAAUUUCGCAAGGGGAUUUUCCUCAUGGUGCGAAAUUUGGCCAUUUCGCACCAUGAAGAAACCACCUUGCGAAAUUUGGACCUUUCAUCUUCCCCUUGCAAAAUGCCUUUGAAAUCCUCUGUUUUGAGACGCUGUUGAUGAUAUUCCACUGCCGGUUCUCCAAGAUAUUUUGCUUGACUUUUAGCUUUGUAAAUACCUAUUUUACCCUUGUAAUCAACCAAUGAAAAGGUUGCUUUUGUAAUAGCUCUUGUAAUUUAGCUUUUUAUUGUCUUUAAAUAGAGGUGAAGAGCCUCAGACACGAUCAUCUUGUAACCUGUAACUUUAUAAGUUAUAAGAGCACUUUUGUUCAUACGCUUCUUUUCUCUUUUCUUUCUCAUUUUCUUAGUAGCCAAACAUCCUUGGAGGAUGAAAUCCCCAAGGAUGAGAGGCUAAAACCUUUUAUUUUCUUGAAGUAAUGGAUGCCAUGUGAAGCUCCCGUGUUAGGAUGGAGAUUUCCAAGCCAUAAAUGUAAGUAGCUAAGCGUCAUAAAUGUUUUUAUUCAAAGUAAAGCUUUUAAUCCCUCUGACUUGCUUUGAAUGGCCAAUACUUGAUAACCUUUUGGUCUCAGUGGAUUUUAUUGUUAGAUCCAUUGACGUUCAUUAAUUAUCUCCUACGAGCCAUUGUAUUGCAAGUCAAGGAGAUGACCUAUACCAAUAAAAGAGCAUUUAUGAGGUUCAGCUACCCUUUUUGCAAGUUUUCAAGGACUAAAACUCAGUUGUUAAACUCGUACCGGUUCGGGAAGUAAGCAUCACCUUAGUUACUUCCCCAACUCGAGGUGAAAAGUCCCAAAAUCUCCAUUUUUACACAGUGAGUUAAGCAUGGCAAUCCAAAGCUUUGAGAAACUUCUUUUUCCAUCUUUUAACCUAUUUUCAUGUUAGUUUAGUUUACAACACCUUCAUCUUUUUAUGUUUUCAUCUUAACCUAAUUUUUAUUAAGAAAAGUUCACUCCAUCCUCCGAACUUCACCAGUUAAAGUAAAAACCCUUCCGAAUGUUCGAUCCUAGAGCCACUAUGCUAUAGUAGCUUUGCUACUUUAGUGUAAGGACCUUAGGUAUAAAUUUUGUUGAUACCCUUACAUGCCAAGCUACCAAGAAUCGGGUUAUCAAAUGGUGUCGUUGUCGGGGAAGGUGCUACUUCACUGUGAAUACAUCAGCCGGAGGUAACUUGUGAGACUUCUCAUGAGUGAGGUGAAUUCUAUCUCAUUUUUCAUUUACUAACUUUUUAUUUUAGUUUUAGAACAUUUUUAACUUAGUUUAGAUAAGUUUCUUUUAGCUUUUAACUUUCAUUUUUAGUUUAUUUUUCAUACUCUGUUUUUCUUUCCGCAUGCUCUGUUUUUUUUCUUUUUCUUUGUUUUGUUUAUUUGUUUUGUUCCAGCUGAAUCCGUGCAUGCCCUAUUGGAUUAGAGACCAAGAGGAAAGGUUAAUGUGGAUAGAGACUCCACGAGCUACUGAAUUAGAGAUUAUUUUGGAAGUCAUGGAGAAUCAUCCAGAGGAUCAGCAUUCACAACACGGGCAGGAGAAUGAUCCGAACUUGUAUAGGUCCAUGAGGGACAGGAUGCACCCUCCGAGGAUGAGUACACCAUCUUGCAUCAUUCCUCCUACAGAGCAAUUGAUUAUCAGGCCACACAUCGUGCCUCUACUUCCUCCUUUCCAUGGGAUGGAAAGUGAAAAUCCAUAUGCGCACAUAAAGGAAUUCGAAGAUGUGUGCAAUACUUUUCAAUAAGGGGGAACAACUAUUGAGCUUAUGAGGUUGAAGCUCUUUCCAUUCACAUUAAAGGACCAAGAUAUGGCUCAAUUCCUUGAGGCCGAGAAGCAUAAGAACAUGGACAAAACUUCAAGCUGAUUUUUUGAAGAAGUUUUUCCCUACUCACAGAACAAAUGGAUUGAAGAGACAAAUCUCCAACUUCUCAGCAAGUGAGAAUGAAAAAUUUUAUGAAUGUUGGGAGAGGUAUAUGGAGGUCAUCAAUGCAUGUCCUCACCAUGGCUUUGAUACAUGGCUUUUGGUGAGCUAUUUUUAUGAUGGCAUGUCAACUACAAUGAAGCAGAUAUUGGAGACAAUGUGUGGGGGUGAUUUCAUGAGCAAGAACCCUGAGGAGGCUAUGGAUUUCCUAAGUUAUGUCUCAGAGGUUUCCCGUGGAUGGGAUGAGCCCAAUAACAGAGAAAUGGGGAAGAGACCAGUUCAGCAAAUGUCAAGAGGGGGGAUGUACAAUCUGAGUGAAGACAUGGAGAUGAAAGCCAAGGUAGCUGCCAUGGCUAGAAAAAUAGAGGAAAUGGAGUUGAGAAAAGUUCACGAAGUCCAAGCUAUUUCAGAACCUCAACAACAAGCCAAUCCUUGCUCCAUCUGUCAGUCAUUUGAACAUAUGGUGGAAGAAUGUCCACCAUUCCAGCAGCAAGAGAAAUGUUCGGGGAACAAGCUAACCUGAUUGGCCAAUGGAAGCCAAAUUCAAAUGCUCCCUAUGGCAACACGUACAACUCUAGCUGGAGGAACCACCCAAACAUUUCAUGGAAGCCAAGGCCAAACCCAUAUCAGUCACCAGCCUAAUCAAGCCAACAGAGUCAAGGUCAAUCCUCAGUUGAGCAAGCACUCAUAAACCUUAGCAAGGUUAUGGGUGACUUUGUGAGUGAGCAAAAAUCCAUCAACUCUCAACUAAAUCAGAAGAUUGACAACGUAGAGAGUACAUUGAACAAGAAGAUAGAUGGGAUGCAUGAUGAGUUGUCUCAAAAAAUUGACAACAUCCAAUAUUCCAUCUCAAGGCUCACAAAUUUGAACACUGUCAAUGAGAAAGGGAAGUUUCCCUUUCAGCCUCACCAAAAUCCUAAGGGAAUACAUGAAGUGGAAUCCAAAGAUGAGGAUUCUUCAAAGGUGAGGGACGUGCAAGCUAUUAUCACUUUGAGAAGUGGAAAGGAAGUGCAUCAGCCGGAGCAUGAUCAGAGGAAAGCCAAAGAAGACAAGGCUGAUAGAAAAGAAGAAAAGAAGAAAGAACAAAAGGGAAAGGAAGUUCAGAUGAAAUAAAGCAUGGAUGAGGAACCUCAAAUUCUUUUAAAGGAAGGCAUGAUGAAGAAGCACAUGCCUCCUCCAUUUCCUCAAGCCUUGCAUGGGAAGAAACCGAUCAAGAAUGCUUCUGAGAUUCUUGAUGUGCUAAGACAAGUGAAGGUGAAUAUUCCUUUACUUGAUAUGAUCAAGCAAGUACCCACAUAUGCAAAGUUUUUGAAGGACUUGUGCACUGUGAAAAGAUGACUCAAUGUUACAAAGCAAGCCUUCCUAUCCGAGCAAGUGAGUGCUAUAAUCCAAUGCAAGUCUCCAAUCAAAUACAAAGAUCCGGGGUGUCCUACAAUCUCAGUCAAUAUUGGAGGAACCCAAGUGGAGAAGGCAUUGCUUGAUUUGGGGGCAAGUGUUAACUUACUUCCAUACUCUGUAUACAAGGAGCUGGGGUUGGGAGAACUCAAGCCAACAUCGAUCACCCUAUCCUUNNNNNNNNNNNNNNNNNNNNNNNNNNNNNNNNNNNNNNNNNNNNNNNNNNNNNNNNNNNNNNNNNNNNNNNNNNNNNNNNNNNNNNNNNNNNNNNNNNNNNNNNNNNNNNNNNNNNNNNNNNNNNNNNNNNNNNNNNNNNNNNNNNNNNNNNNNNNNNNNNNNNNNNNNNNNNNNNNNNNNNNNNNNNNNNNNNNNNNNNNNNNNNNNNNNNNNNNNNNNNNNNNNNNNNNNNNNNNNNNNNNNNNNNNNNNNNNNNNNNNNNNNNNNNNNNNNNNNNNNNNNNNNNNNNNNNNNNNNNNNNNNNNNNNNNNNNNNNNNNNNNNNNNNNNNNNNNNNNNNNNNNNNNNNNNNNNNNNNNNNNNNNNNNNNNNNNNNNNNNNNNNNNNNNNNNNNNNNNNNNNNNNNNNNNNNNNNNNNNNNNNNNNNNNNNNNNNNNNNNNNNNNNNNNNNNNNNNNNNNNNNNNNNNNNNNNNNNNNNNNNNNNNNNNNNNNNNNNNNNNNNNNNNNNNNNNNNNNNNNNNNNNNNNNNNNNNNNNNNNNNNNNNNNNNNNNNNNNNNNNNNNNNNNNNNNNNNNNNNNNNNNNNNNNNNNNNNNNNNNNNNNNNNNNNNNNNNNNNNNNNNNNNNNNNNNNNNNNNNNNNNNNNNNNNNNNNNNNNNNNNNNNNNNNNNNNNNNNNNNNNNNNNNNNNNNNNNNNNNNNNNNNNNNNNNNNNNNNNNNNNNNNNNNNNNNNNNNNNNNNNNNNNNNNNNNNNNNNNNNNNNNNNNNNNNNNNNNNNNNNNNNNNNNNNNNNNNNNNNNNNNNNNNNNNNNNNNNNNNNNNNNNNNNNNNNNNNNNNNNNNNNNNNNNNNNNNNNNNNNNNNNNNNNNNNNNNNNNNNNNNNNNNNNNNNNNNNNNNNNNNNNNNNNNNNNNNNNNNNNNNNNNNNNNNNNNNNNNNNNNNNNNNNNNNNNNNNNNNNNNNNNNNNNNNNNNNNNNNNNNNNNNNNNNNNNNNNNNNNNNNNNNNNNNNNNNNNNNNNNNNNNNNNNNNNNNNNNNNNNNNNNNNNNNNNNNNNNNNNNNNNNNNNNNNNNNNNNNNNNNNNNNNNNNNNNNNNNNNNNNNNNNNNNNNNNNNNNNNNNNNNNNNNNNNNNNNNNNNNNNNNNNNNNNNNNNNNNNNNNNNNNNNNNNNNNNNNNNNNNNNNNNNNNNNNNNNNNNNNNNNNNNNNNNNNNNNNNNNNNNNNNNNNNNNNNNNNNNNNNNNNNNNNNNNNNNNNNNNNNNNNNNNNNNNNNNNNNNNNNNNNNNNNNNNNNNNNNNNNNNNNNNNNNNNNNNNNNNNNNNNNNNNNNNNNNNNNNNNNNNNNNNNNNNNNNNNNNNNNNNNNNNNNNNNNNNNNNNNNNNNNNNNNNNNNNNNNNNNNNNNNNNNNNNNNNNNNNNNNNNNNNNNNNNNNNNNNNNNNNNNNNNNNNNNNNNNNNNNNNNNNNNNNNNNNNNNNNNNNNNNNNNNNNNNNNNNNNNNNNNNNNNNNNNNNNNNNNNNNNNNNNNNNNNNNNNNNNNNNNNNNNNNNNNNNNNNNNNNNNNNNNNNNNNNNNNNNNNNNNNNNNNNNNNNNNNNNNNNNNNNNNNNNNNNNNNNNNNNNNNNNNNNNNNNNNNNNNNNNNNNNNNNNNNNNNNNNNNNNNNNNNNNNNNNNNNNNNNNNNNNNNNNNNNNNNNNNNNNNNNNNNNNNNNNNNNNNNNNNNNNNNNNNNNNNNNNNNNNNNNNNNNNNNNNNNNNNNNNNNNNNNNNNNNNNNNNNNNNNNNNNNNNNNNNNNNNNNNNNNNNNNNNNNNNNNNNNNNNNNNNNNNNNNNNNNNNNNNNNNNNNNNNNNNNNNNNNNNNNNNNNNNNNNNNNNNNNNNNNNNNNNNNNNNNNNNNNNNNNNNNNNNNNNNNNNNNNNNNNNNNNNNNNNNNNNNNNNNNNNNNNNNNNNNNNNNNNNNNNNNNNNNNNNNNNNNNNNNNNNNNNNNNNNNNNNNNNNNNNNNNNNNNNNNNNNNNNNNNNNNNNNNNNNNNNNNNNNNNNNNNNNNNNNNNNNNNNNNNNNNNNNNNNNNNNNNNNNNNNNNNNNNNNNNNNNNNNNNNNNNNNNNNNNNNNNNNNNNNNNNNNNNNNNNNNNNNNNNNNNNNNNNNNNNNNNNNNNNNNNNNNNNNNNNNNNNNNNNNNNNNNNNNNNNNNNNNNNNNNNNNNNNNNNNNNNNNNNNNNNNNNNNNNNNNNNNNNNNNNNNNNNNNNNNNNNNNNNNNNNNNNNNNNNNNNNNNNNNNNNNNNNNNNNNNNNNNNNNNNNNNNNNNNNNNNNNNNNNNNNNNNNNNNNNNNNNNNNNNNNNNNNNNNNNNNNNNNNNNNNNNNNNNNNNNNNNNNNNNNNNNNNNNNNNNNNNNNNNNNNNNNNNNNNNNNNNNNNNNNNNNNNNNNNNNNNNNNNNNNNNNNNNNNNNNNNNNNNNNNNNNNNNNNNNNNNNNNNNNNNNNNNNNNNNNNNNNNNNNNNNNNNNNNNNNNNNNNNNNNNNNNNNNNNNNNNNNNNNNNNNNNNNNNNNNNNNNNNNNNNNNNNNNNNNNNNNNNNNNNNNNNNNNNNNNNNNNNNNNNNNNNNNNNNNNNNNNNNNNNNNNNNNNNNNNNNNNNNNNNNNNNNNNNNNNNNNNNNNNNNNNNNNNNNNNNNNNNNNNNNNNNNNNNNNNNNNNNNNNNNNNNNNNNNNNNNNNNNNNNNNNNNNNNNNNNNNNNNNNNNNNNNNNNNNNNNNNNNNNNNNNNNNNNNNNNNNNNNNNNNNNNNNNNNNNNNNNNNNNNNNNNNNNNNNNNNNNNNNNNNNNNNNNNNNNNNNNNNNNNNNNNNNNNNNNNNNNNNNNNNNNNNNNNNNNNNNNNNNNNNNNNNNNNNNNNNNNNNNNNNNNNNNNNNNNNNNNNNNNNNNNNNNNNNNNNNNNNNNNNNNNNNNNNNNNNNNNNNNNNNNNNNNNNNNNNNNNNNNNNNNNNNNNNNNNNNNNNNNNNNNNNNNNNNNNNNNNNNNNNNNNNNNNNNNNNNNNNNNNNNNNNNNNNNNNNNNNNNNNNNNNNNNNNNNNNNNNNNNNNNNNNNNNNNNNNNNNNNNNNNNNNNNNNNNNNNNNNNNNNNNNNNNNNNNNNNNNNNNNNNNNNNNNNNNNNNNNNNNNNNNNNNNNNNNNNNNNNNNNNNNNNNNNNNNNNNNNNNNNNNNNNNNNNNNNNNNNNNNNNNNNNNNNNNNNNNNNNNNNNNNNNNNNNNNNNNNNNNNNNNNNNNNNNNNNNNNNNNNNNNNNNNNNNNNNNNNNNNNNNNNNNNNNNNNNNNNNNNNNNNNNNNNNNNNNNNNNNNNNNNNNNNNNNNNNNNNNNNNNNNNNNNNNNNNNNNNNNNNNNNNNNNNNNNNNNNNNNNNNNNNNNNNNNNNNNNNNNNNNNNNNNNNNNNNNNNNNNNNNNNNNNNNNNNNNNNNNNNNNNNNNNNNNNNNNNNNNNNNNNNNNNNNNNNNNNNNNNNNNNNNNNNNNNNNNNNNNNNNNNNNNNNNNNNNNNNNNNNNNNNNNNNNNNNNNNNNNNNNNNNNNNNNNNNNNNNNNNNNNNNNNNNNNNNNNNNNNNNNNNNNNNNNNNNNNNNNNNNNNNNNNNNNNNNNNNNNNNNNNNNNNNNNNNNNNNNNNNNNNNNNNNNNNNNNNNNNNNNNNNNNNNNNNNNNNNNNNNNNNNNNNNNNNNNNNNNNNNNNNNNNNNNNNNNNNNNNNNNNNNNNNNNNNNNNNNNNNNNNNNNNNNNNNNNNNNNNNNNNNNNNNNNNNNNNNNNNNNNNNNNNNNNNNNNNNNNNNNNNNNNNNNNNNNNNNNNNNNNNNNNNNNNNNNNNNNNNNNNNNNNNNNNNNNNNNNNNNNNNNNNNNNNNNNNNNNNNNNNNNNNNNNNNNNNNNNNNNNNNNNNNNNNNNNNNNNNNNNNNNNNNNNNNNNNNNNNNNNNNNNNNNNNNNNNNNNNNNNNNNNNNNNNNNNNNNNNNNNNNNNNNNNNNNNNNNNNNNNNNNNNNNNNNNNNNNNNNNNNNNNNNNNNNNNNNNNNNNNNNNNNNNNNNNNNNNNNNNNNNNNNNNNNNNNNNNNNNNNNNNNNNNNNNNNNNNNNNNNNNNNNNNNNNNNNNNNNNNNNNNNNNNNNNNNNNNNNNNNNNNNNNNNNNNNNNNNNNNNNNNNNNNNNNNNNNNNNNNNNNNNNNNNNNNNNNNNNNNNNNNNNNNNNNNNNNNNNNNNNNNNNNNNNNNNNNNNNNNNNNNNNNNNNNNNNNNNNNNNNNNNNNNNNNNNNNNNNNNNNNNNNNNNNNNNNNNNNNNNNNNNNNNNNNNNNNNNNNNNNNNNNNNNNNNNNNNNNNNNNNNNNNNNNNNNNNNNNNNNNNNNNNNNNNNNNNNNNNNNNNNNNNNNNNNNNNNNNNNNNNNNNNNNNNNNNNNNNNNNNNNNNNNNNNNNNNNNNNNNNNNNNNNNNNNNNNNNNNNNNNNNNNNNNNNNNNNNNNNNNNNNNNNNNNNNNNNNNNNNNNNNNNNNNNNNNNNNNNNNNNNNNNNNNNNNNNNNNNNNNNNNNNNNNNNNNNNNNNNNNNNNNNNNNNNNNNNNNNNNNNNNNNNNNNNNNNNNNNNNNNNNNNNNNNNNNNNNNNNNNNNNNNNNNNNNNNNNNNNNNNNNNNNNNNNNNNNNNNNNNNNNNNNNNNNNNNNNNNNNNNNNNNNNNNNNNNNNNNNNNNNNNNNNNNNNNNNNNNNNNNNNNNNNNNNNNNNNNNNNNNNNNNNNNNNNNNNNNNNNNNNNNNNNNNNNNNNNNNNNNNNNNNNNNNNNNNNNNNNNNNNNNNNNNNNNNNNNNNNNNNNNNNNNNNNNNNNNNNNNNNNNNNNNNNNNNNNNNNNNNNNNNNNNNNNNNNNNNNNNNNNNNNNNNNNNNNNNNNNNNNNNNNNNNNNNNNNNNNNNNNNNNNNNNNNNNNNNNNNNNNNNNNNNNNNNNNNNNNNNNNNNNNNNNNNNNNNNNNNNNNNNNNNNNNNNNNNNNNNNNNNNNNNNNNNNNNNNNNNNNNNNNNNNNNNNNNNNNNNNNNNNNNNNNNNNNNNNNNNNNNNNNNNNNNNNNNNNNNNNNNNNNNNNNNNNNNNNNNNNNNNNNNNNNNNNNNNNNNNNNNNNNNNNNNNNNNNNNNNNNNNNNNNNNNNNNNNNNNNNNNNNNNNNNNNNNNNNNNNNNNNNNNNNNNNNNNNNNNNNNNNNNNNNNNNNNNNNNNNNNNNNNNNNNNNNNNNNNNNNNNNNNNNNNNNNNNNNNNNNNNNNNNNNNNNNNNNNNNNNNNNNNNNNNNNNNNNNNNNNNNNNNNNNNNNNNNNNNNNNNNNNNNNNNNNNNNNNNNNNNNNNNNNNNNNNNNNNNNNNNNNNNNNNNNNNNNNNNNNNNNNNNNNNNNNNNNNNNNNNNNNNNNNNNNNNNNNNNNNNNNNNNNNNNNNNNNNNNNNNNNNNNNNNNNNNNNNNNNNNNNNNNNNNNNNNNNNNNNNNNNNNNNNNNNNNNNNNNNNNNNNNNNNNNNNNNNNNNNNNNNNNNNNNNNNNNNNNNNNNNNNNNNNNNNNNNNNNNNNNNNNNNNNNNNNNNNNNNNNNNNNNNNNNNNNNNNNNNNNNNNNNNNNNNNNNNNNNNNNNNNNNNNNNNNNNNNNNNNNNNNNNNNNNNNNNNNNNNNNNNNNNNNNNNNNNNNNNNNNNNNNNNNNNNNNNNNNNNNNNNNNNNNNNNNNNNNNNNNNNNNNNNNNNNNNNNNNNNNNNNNNNNNNNNNNNNNNNNNNNNNNNNNNNNNNNNNNNNNNNNNNNNNNNNNNNNNNNNNNNNNNNNNNNNNNNNNNNNNNNNNNNNNNNNNNNNNNNNNNNNNNNNNNNNNNNNNNNNNNNNNNNNNNNNNNNNNNNNNNNNNNNNNNNNNNNNNNNNNNNNNNNNNNNNNNNNNNNNNNNNNNNNNNNNNNNNNNNNNNNNNNNNNNNNNNNNNNNNNNNNNNNNNNNNNNNNNNNNNNNNNNNNNNNNNNNNNNNNNNNNNNNNNNNNNNNNNNNNNNNNNNNNNNNNNNNNNNNNNNNNNNNNNNNNNNNNNNNNNNNNNNNNNNNNNNNNNNNNNNNNNNNNNNNNNNNNNNNNNNNNNNNNNNNNNNNNNNNNNNNNNNNNNNNNNNNNNNNNNNNNNNNNNNNNNNNNNNNNNNNNNNNNNNNNNNNNNNNNNNNNNNNNNNNNNNNNNNNNNNNNNNNNNNNNNNNNNNNNNNNNNNNNNNNNNNNNNNNNNNNNNNNNNNNNNNNNNNNNNNNNNNNNNNNNNNNNNNNNNNNNNNNNNNNNNNNNNNNNNNNNNNNNNNNNNNNNNNNNNNNNNNNNNNNNNNNNNNNNNNNNNNNNNNNNNNNNNNNNNNNNNNNNNNNNNNNNNNNNNNNNNNNNNNNNNNNNNNNNNNNNNNNNNNNNNNNNNNNNNNNNNNNNNNNNNNNNNNNNNNNNNNNNNNNNNNNNNNNNNNNNNNNNNNNNNNNNNNNNNNNNNNNNNNNNNNNNNNNNNNNNNNNNNNNNNNNNNNNNNNNNNNNNNNNNNNNNNNNNNNNNNNNNNNNNNNNNNNNNNNNNNNNNNNNNNNNNNNNNNNNNNNNNNNNNNNNNNNNNNNNNNNNNNNNNNNNNNNNNNNNNNNNNNNNNNNNNNNNNNNNNNNNNNNNNNNNNNNNNNNNNNNNNNNNNNNNNNNNNNNNNNNNNNNNNNNNNNNNNNNNNNNNNNNNNNNNNNNNNNNNNNNNNNNNNNNNNNNNNNNNNNNNNNNNNNNNNNNNNNNNNNNNNNNNNNNNNNNNNNNNNNNNNNNNNNNNNNNNNNNNNNNNNNNNNNNNNNNNNNNNNNNNNNNNNNNNNNNNNNNNNNNNNNNNNNNNNNNNNNNNNNNNNNNNNNNNNNNNNNNNNNNNNNNNNNNNNNNNNNNNNNNNNNNNNNNNNNNNNNNNNNNNNNNNNNNNNNNNNNNNNNNNNNNNNNNNNNNNNNNNNNNNNNNNNNNNNNNNNNNNNNNNNNNNNNNNNNNNNNNNNNNNNNNNNNNNNNNNNNNNNNNNNNNNNNNNNNNNNNNNNNNNNNNNNNNAAAAAAAAAAAAAAAAAAAAAAAAAAAAAAAAAAAAAAAAAGGAAUAAGCUUCUAUUCUUUCCUUGAAACCUAAGCAUGAUCCGAAGGGGUGGCGAAAGCCUUUAAAACCCGAUGCCCUAAACCUUGAUUGGUUGGGAGUCAUUGAUCCUCUGCUUGCUACAUAGGUGAAUUGGUUAAGUUUAGUGAGUAAAAAGAAUUGUGAAUAAGAAGGUGCAUUCCUAACCUAUUAAGAGUUGGUUAAUUUUGCCAAAGUUCGAAAAAAGCUUAGGUUGGGGGGAGAGGAUAGUUGUACAUACUAUAUCCGAAAGCUAAUCUCAUUAAUACUUAGCUCAUUAUGGAAGAGUUUGAUCCGGAACCUUGAGAGUAGAGAUUCUUUUGAUACUUAAUUGCAUAAUCUCCACUCUUUGUACUUUUUGUUUAAGUUUUAGCUUUGACAACUCCUAUUGCAUUUUGAAUCUUCAUAUCUUUAGUUUGCCAUGUGAGAUGUGUUUUGAUAUCAGUCAUGCCACUCAAUUAUUUUUUGGAGUGAUUUGCAUGACCUCUUUUAUGUAUAUUAUUAUGUUUGCUUAGUUUUUAUCUCCUCCAUUGCUAAGGGACUAGCAAUGAGUCGGUUAGGGGGUGUGAUUACUACCGAAAAGUGAUAUUUUGUAGACCUAAUUAUAAGGGUUUUAAGCACCUUUGAGUAGUAAUCAUAUUCAUUUAACCUAAUUAAUUCAUUAAGCUCCUUAGUAAUUAGUUCUAACCAUUUUUAGUGGCAAGUUUACAUGUUUUUCAUCAGCUUAUGAACCAAUUCAAGCAUGCCAAUUGAUGGAGGAGCUACUUGGGCGAGUUAAGCAAGGAUUUUGGACAUUUACAUGCUUGAAUUUCAAGUGGAAACACGAGCACAAGCAAUGGGAACACCAUUUCGCAAGGGGAGGCAAUUCACUUGCCAAAUGACCAAUUUCGCAAGGUGAAUUUCAUCUUGCCAAAAUUUCGCAAGGGGAUUUUCCUCAUGGUGCGAAAUUUGGCCAUUUUGCACCAUGAAGAAACCACCUUGCGAAAUUUGGACCUUUCAUCUUCCCCUUGCGAAAUGCCUUUGAAAUCCCCUGUUUUGAGACGCUGUUGAUGAUAUUCCACUACCGGUUCUCCAAGAUAUUUUGCUUGACUUUUAGCUUUGUAAAUACCUAUUUUACCCUUGUAAUCAACCAAUGAAAAGGUUGCUUUUGUAAUAGCUCUUGUAAUUUAGCUUUUUAUUGUCUUUAAAUAGAGGUGAAGAGCCUCAGACACGAUCAUCUUGUAACCUGUAACUUUAUAAGUUAUAAGAGCACUUUUGUUCAUACGCUUUUUUUCUCUUUUCUUUCUCAUUUUCUUAGUAACCAAACAUCCUUGGAGGAUGAAAUCCCCAAGGAUGAGAGGCUAAAACCUUUUAGUUUCUUGAAGUAAUGGAUGCCAUGUGAAGCUCCCGGGUCAGGAUGGAGAUUUCCAAGCCAUAAAUGUAAGUAAUUGAGCGUCAUAAAUGUUUUCAUUCAAAGUAAAGCUUUUAAUCCCUUUGACUUGCUUUGAAUGGCCAAUACUUGAUAACCUUUUGGUCUCAGUGGAUUCUUAUUGUUAGAUCCACUGACGUUCAUUAGUUAUCUCCUACGAGCCAUUGUAUUGCAAGUCGAGGAGAUGACCUAUACCAAUAAAAGAGCAUUUAUGAGGUUCAGCUACCCUUUUUGCAAGUUUUCAAGGACUAAAACUCAGUUGUUAAACUCAUACCGGUUCGGGAAGUAAGCAUCACCUUAGUUACUUCCCCAACUCGAGGUGAAAAGUCCCAAAAUCUCCAUUUUUACACAGUGAGUUAAGCAUGGCUAUCCAAAGCUUUGAGAAACUUCUUUUUCCAUCUUUUAACCUAUUUUCAUGUUAGUUUAGUUUACAACACCUUCAUCUUUUUAUGUUUUCAUCUUAACCUAAUUUUUAUUAAGAAAAGUUCACUCCAUCCUCCGAACUUCACGAGUUAAAGUAAAAACCCUUUCCAGUAUUCGAUCCUAGAGCCACUAUGCUAUAGUAGCUUUGCUACUUUAGUGUAAGGACCUUAGGUAUAAAUUUUGUUGAUACCCUUACAUGCCAAGCUACCAAGAGUCGGGUUAUCAUCUUGCCACUAUGAGUGUCCAACAUCCAAACCAAGGAAUAAUUUUUAAUAAAAUAUUAAUAUUAAUGUUAAAAUAAAAUCAUAUAUUUAUAUUCCUUAUCACAUUUAUAGGAAGAGAAAUAUUUGGGACUAGGCCCAGUUCACUUUUUAUAAUUAUAAAUAUCAUAAAAAUAUGAAUAUUAAUAUCCUUAUCCUCAUAAAAGCAUAAUUAAUUUAUUUUAUAAAAAAUUAAUAAUAAUAAUAAUAAUUACUAGUACGAUUUUAUUUUAAAUGGAUUUAAAAAUAAAUAAAGUUUAAUUUUUAAGGUAUACAUGCAUAAGUUUUUCAUUACAUAUACACAUUUAAUACUUAAUUAGUAAUAGUGUAUUCUAAAAUUUUUUUAUCUAGUCUAUAACUAAUUAAUCCAUUUUUUGGAAUUCUAAAUUGUUCUUAAAAAUUAAAAUAUUCAUUAAAGAAUUGAAGUGUUUAUUAUGUUUAACUUAAUUUAAAUUUAUUUAUUUAGUGAGAAAAUUCAUAAAAUAUAGUUUUAUGUAUAAAGGAAAUAGUAACGACUUUACAUUUAACGAAUCUUUUAUUUUAUAUUGAUUCAUUUAAUAGUCUAUUAUAUAUAUUUAAAAUUUAUUAAACUCAUUAAUAAAUUCAAUACAAAGUUUUACUUAAUUUGAAAUUCAUCUCUCUAGUGAAAAAAUUGAAAAAAUAUUAUUUUGUGAAAAAAAAAUACAAUAAAAUCAUUCUAAACUAAUUUUUAUCCAUAGAUUUUUUGUAUUUAUUAGUUUAUUAUUUGAUUUUUAAAUUAAUUUAAAAAAUUAUUGGACUUAUUAAUGAAUCCAAUACAUUAUUUUUUUGUUUAAUUUAUUUAUCACACUAUCAAACAAACUUUUAUUAUUUAGUAAAAGACCUCUCAAAAGAUGUUUUUUUUUCUAAAUAAAAAAAAAUAAUAUUCUAAACGAUGUUUGAUUCGAGAGUUUUUUAAAAAUAAAAAUUAUUUUAAAUUAUGUGUACAUAAUUGUUUCAAAUUUAUUUCUUUUUUCCAUUACCAUUUUCAUUCCUACCUAACAUUGAAAUGGAAACAAAUAAUCAAUCAAACCUUACAUUUAUUCCUAAUCCAAUGACAAGAAUUGGUAUCACCAAAUUCAUUCCAUUCUCUAGUCUCAUGUAUCAAAAAUAGUCAUAUAGUACCAAAAACUUCUUCUAAGUAAUGUGGGAUAUCACAUUCACUUUCAUACAGAUACAAUUUUUAUUGUAUCACAUGGAAUUGUGAGGCCUUUUAGUACCAUUUGUAAUGACUCACCUCCAAUUAUAUAAAUAUUAUUUGGUCUAAGUCCAAUGGACUCUAAUCGGUUUUAAAACUUGGCUAUACUGUUAAGAGAAGUCUACUAUGUAUACAAUCUUCUCCUAAUAAACAUGUGACAUAACAAAUGGUGGGACUCAAACUAAAGCAAGGCCGUUUCAAACUGUCUACCAUCUUAGUUUCAGCAUGAAUUCAGUUUGUUCCAAACAACAUAACUCUGGAGUAUUUUAAACAAACGAUUUCCAUUGAAAACACAUUAUUAAAGUAUAAGGAAAACAAACCCGAUCUUCAAGCGGUUCUGGGGAUUGCUUGUGGAAGAGUAGUGAAAUAAAAAUAUCCACUAAGUGUAUAAGGACCCAAGAUCAACACAUGCAACAGGAUAUCUAAUUCCUCCUAAUAUCAUCAGCAUGAAGAAAAUUGGCAUCAUUUCCAUUGAGUUCUGAUGCCCUCUCUGAAAAAAAAAUAAAUGCAAAACAUUUGUUUUUUCUAAUCAUCGGUCAUUGACUCAUGCCCAAUUGGUGUCUCAGCUGAUUUGUGUUCAGCUGGUGCUCCUUGAUUGAGGAAGUGAUCAACAAAAUUUAUACCUAUAACACCAUACACUAGGGUAGCAAAUAAAAAGCUACUAUAGUAUAGUGGCUCUAGGAUCGUUCACUGGGAAUGAUUAAAUUAACAAGCAGUCAAGGAUACCAAUUCCAAGUGAAUUGGUCUCGUUUCAUUUCACGGUUAGCUUAAGAAAUAAAACACAAACUUUGAUUGGUAAAGGUUGAGACUUAAACUAACUAACUUAACAGAAGUCUGGAAUAAUUUAGGAAGAAAAACAUUCCUUGGAGAUUUAGGUUCACUGGGGUGGUUCCUCAUGCAAAAGACAUAGCUCCGGUCAGAUGGUUCAUUUCCUCGCAUUAGAGAUUCAACUUAGAGUCAAUUCUCUAAUCGGUGAUGUACAGAGACUCCUUCAAUUAGAUUUCACUUUAAUUCUCUCACUGAUACAACUUGCAAUGGUUCAUGCCUCUCACGAGCACUUACCAUUCAAGGUGAUCUUUAACCUUGGACUUCCCUUCACAAACUCGCAAGAGAUAACUAAUGGAUGUCUCCUAAGAGUCCAAAAGCUUACCAAGUGUUGGUAAUUCCAGAAAAUCCUACCUUGAAGUCACCUACCAGAGGCUCGCAAGGGGUAAACUAGUGCAUUUCCAUGGUUGGAAAUCACUUGCCUUACCAAGUGUUGGCCUAGGUGACUCUAAGGUGUUUUAAGUUAACUAAAAAUAUUGAAAUCACUAAAGGAUUUCACUUCCUCUUCAUUACUAGCUAAAACCACAGAGCUUAGCAUUCUUGCACUUGGAACCUUCCCCGGCAACCUUAGCUCCAAGGAAUUGGAGGUUUAGUUACUCAUUCUCUGGGGAAAACUCCUCAGAGAAUUCAUAACUUAGAAAUAAAAUGAAAAUACAAAGUGAGAAGGUAAGGUAGUAGAAAGAAAAUAGACUUUACUUGCUUACCAAACGGUUAUAGAAGGAAUUCCUCCCUGAGAACAGGCUCCCGAGAGGUAUAUAUAUCAAAACAAUAUAAAACUAAUUGUUACAGAGAUAUUUGGUCUUUUUUACUAACUUAAAAACUAAGGAAUCAUGUAAUUGGUGGUUUACAAGGAGUAUUUUGGGAUUUAGACAACAAAAAUCUAAUGGAAAAUAUCUCCCAAUGUCGGUAGCAAGCUUCGGGAGGCUUCAGGAACCAUUUCGCAGGAGUAAAAUGGUGUCUGCGAAAUUUCGCAGACACCCAAGAGGGCUGCGAAAUUAUUUCGCAACACCGAGCUAUCUUCAUAGGGCUGCGAAGUUGGCUUCCACCUUGAGGUUCCCAGCUCCCUUCUCGCGGCAUGGUUCGUGAAUCGUCAGAAGGAGAAACACCUUACUGUACAAAAGUGCUGCGAAAUUCUCGCAACAAAAGGUUGAUUCCGCAACACUUUAGAGUGAUUGACUUGUAAUGGCUGCAACUUCUUCGUUUCAAAUCCGAAUUGCGCACCGUUUCAAGCAUUGGAUUGUUGACUUCCUGAGCUUUGAAAUGGUAUAAAGCAUGCAUCAUUUGGACUUCAGAAAGUGCUCUAAAAGUGGCUGCUACGACUGUCAUCAAGAAUAGGCUUCAUGGCAGAUUCUCUUUGCUUUUUCUCCUUGCAAUCCGGAUUCACUCUUGGCAAAUGAAUUCUAAGCUUUGCCCAAGAUUCCUCAUAGCUCUCCUCAGACUUGACUUGCUUUGGUGAUCAAAAUACUAGCAAAAACACCAAAACUUACACAAAGUGAUCAAAAUUGCUUUAAAGGAUCCUUAACAUGCCAAUUGAGUUAAAAUGCCUAAACUACUACUCAAAAGUGUUUAAAAGGAUUAAUUAUAGGCUAUCAAAUAGUACUUUUUGAGUAGUAAUCACUCCCCCCAACCGACAUAUUGCUAGUCCCUUAGCAAUAUAGGAGAGAAAAAUGAAAAUAAAUAGCUAAUUAUACUAAAAUUUACAACAUCAUGCUAAAGGAAAAUAAUUCUCAAGUGGCAUGAUGAUCUAUUUCUCACAUGAAGCAUUGAAGAAAUACAAACCCAAAUCUCAACAAGAGUCAUAACAACUAUGCUAAACACUGUCAAUCAAGGGAGUGCAUUAUGCAAACUGAAGUUUUAAAAUCAUUUCCCCUUUCAAAGAACUAAACUUCAAUCUUCCACAAAAAUCUAUGUGUAUUGGCUCCUUAGGUUCCGAGAAUAAUAUGCUAAACUAGCCUUUCCCCCCAACCUAUCUCUUUUCAACACUUUAGCAAACUGACCAAAAUCAAUAAGAAAAUAACACACUUUCAUCAUUCUUUUUUUUUUUUUUUUUUUUUUUUUUUUUCAGGGCAGCUUUAUGGGGUACUCUUUCUGACUUGUCCAUGUAAUGGGGGUCCAUCGAUGACUCCCAACCAAUUAAGGUUUAGGGCACCAAGUUUUAAGGAUCUUUCAACCACUAACUACUCGGAUUUUUCCCCGGACUUUUAAGAAUGAGUUUCUAAUACCCAAGCAUCUACCAUAUGCUAACUCUACCUAUUCACCCAUAUAACGAGCAUUGAGGUCGGUGACUCCCAACCAAUUAAGGCUUAGGGCACCAGGCUUUAAAGGCUUUCACCAUAUGCCCCUCAGACCUUGCUCGGGUUUCAAGGCAAGCAAACAACUUUCUUUAUUUCAAAGGCUCAUUGGCCUUUUGCAGGGUGUUUCAAUUUUUAUCAAAUGAGGUCAAAUAUACCAAGUCCCAAAAUUAUCCUAAGUCAAGAGGGAAAUAGCUUUUCAUCUUAUAAUCGGAAUCUAAUGUGCACAGUGUGUGGAUAGCUUAAAGUGGAAGAACUCAAUUCAAUUUCAGUAGAAGUUUCAACAAUUGGACCACUUUAGGAAGCAUAAUCCAUACUCUAAGUCAAGUGAAAAACAACAGUUCAAUUUCUCUUGGUUUAAUUUGAAAAUUUUUCUCAAAAUUCAUGGAGAAUAGAGUAACACUAGUAAAAAGUAAAAACUACAACUAAUUAACCAAUAUAAUUGCAAUACCAAAAAGGUUUAGACUACUUCCUUCCUCAUACCCCCCAACCGAACUGAGCAUUGUCCUCAAUGUGAUUUGAGUGACUGUAAUAAAAGGGAGGAAGUGGUACCUCCAUGCUGAUAUCAAAUUCGAAUAUUGAUUGGGGAAAACCACAUGUUUCAAAAGGAAUAGAAUAUGUGAGAAAAGGAAAUAAGGAAACUUUAAUGCUAACUUUUAACAAGAAAAAUUCAACUUGUAUUACUUUGAGUUCAUUUGAUUACAAUGCUAAAGACAAGUAACACAAGGAAUCCCAUAUAUAGUACCAAAAUACUGGGAUUUCAUUUCAACUAAAACAAAACAAACAUAAAAACAUAAAUAGCAAAUAUAUAUAAUGUCUGAUGAGUAGGGUGAUGGUGCUAAGCAGAAGGAUCUGCCUCUUCAGUAGGUGGAUCAGCUGGUGCUUCAGGCUCUGGAGGAUGAGACUCUGAAGGCUGAGAGUGUGGCUCUGGUGGAGUAGGAAUGGAGGGCUCUACAGCUUGUGGCAGAUCGAAAUGGACUUGGAGCUGCCUUAGGAUGGCAGCUUGUUGAGCCUGAGAGGCUAACAUCUGCUCCUGGCAUGCUUUAAUGGCUGCCAACUCCUGAGCAAGAUUGCUCUGAGAAGCUGUAAGAGUCUCCAAUGCACGGCACAGCUCUCGAUAUUCGGAUAUAGGGAUGGCCAUCCUCGGCUCAGCUGAUGUGGAUGGCUGUGAUGGAGUAGGUGCAGCUGGUGAAGCUCGAGGGAUGGCAGGAGUAGCAAGUGUUAUACCUUCAGGUAUAUGUCUUGGGGAGGCUCUCCUUGCUGCUGGUUGAGGCUGCCCAGGCUGAUCAACUUUGUAGGCCGUCAUAUUAUUCCAUUUAUCAAGGGUAAAUGGCUCACGGCAUAUUCUCUUUCUUUCCUGCUGAGGCUCAGAGGGGUAUCCGAGAUGCUCCAAAACUUGGCAUAGCAACCUUGGGAAGAGGAGUGGAAUGCAAUCUGCUCUUUGAAGCUUCUUCUUGUGAACCUUCUCCUCAAAGUAUAGAAGGGCUGCCAUGAUAAGAUGAUGAGGCCCAAAAAAGAAUCCUUCUGACAUCUUGUACAAGGCUUCCAGGAGAAUUCCCCUUCUUUGGGUCCAAUGCUGCAGGGGAUAGAUAUUAUGCCUCAAAAAGGCAUCAAUAAAAAACAUCACUGGAGGUAGCUCCCCCCUCAACAGGUGUGACCGAUUUGCAGCUCCUCUAGUUAGGGUGCGAACCAUCUCUAACUCAAUAGGAUUUGCCCAAGCUUUAAAAUUGUCGAAUUGGGUUGGCUCAAAAGGAAUUUGCAGGGCUUCAGCAAUAUGUCUUGCUCCCAAAAUUCCAUGUCUUCCAUCAAUUGUGAAAUGGAUCAGAGUUGGAUUUCUUACCUCUUUGGUUGUCAUGGACUGGUAGAAAUCAGUGACUACCCGGGGAUAGAAAAAAUCCCUUGGAGCUAGCAGAUGCUCCAUAUGAUAUCUCCUCAGCAGCUGGAAGGAUUGGGCAAGCUCUGGCCUCACUCUAAAUGCUGUUAAAUCGAAACAAAGCUCAAAAUGGAAUGCCCGAGUUCGACAAUCCAAGUUUCCUUCGAUUGGGGGCUGAGGCAGCAUUGGCCUCCUAAUCACUUCUUCCAGAGGUGCUUCAGCUGCAAUUUGGGGCUCUGGAAUUGGCGCUUGAGGCUCCUGAGCUUUUUCUUGGGGUUCCGGAGAUGGUACCGGCGAUGGAAUUGGCAGGGGACUCAGCGAGGGAAUUGGCGAGGGAACCGGUGACGGCACUGGAAUUUGUACCGGUGAAGGAUUUGGUGAAGAUACCGGAGAUUGAACCGGUGUUAGCUUUGGGGAUUUCUCAGGGGAUUGCUCAGUCAAAUCAAUUGGUUCAGAGCUCUCAACCCUGGGCUUCUUCUUCAAUGGCCGACCGCCUGACCUUGUUAAAUAUCGCCUUGCCGGCGGCUUUGGUGGCGCCGGCUUCACUAGAGAAGGUUUUGGUCUCGAGGGCGAAGGCUUUGGAGCAGGUUCUGGAACAGAACCUGGGCUUGGCUCCUUUCGCAGACUCCUUUUGCGGUUCGAAGGGGAUGAAGACUUUGCCCCUCGCGUUCGUGCCAUUUUGGGCUAUCGAUCUUUGGCCGGCGCUGCUGAACGGAGAAGACGACCGGAGGCUUGGACGGCGAAGCUUGGUGAAGAAGACGAAGGGGCUGCGAGAAUGGUGCUCUGAUUUUUGAAACCCUUUUCGCAGCACUUUUGAUCGGUAUAAAUAGGAAAAACGGAAGCCCAAGGAUCAGUUUAAGUUUCGCAACAAAACGCCAAUUUCGCAGCAACUUGCCAUUUUCGCAGCAACUUCGCAGAGAGUUUCGCAGCUGCGAAAUUGAUGUUACUGUGCUGCGGAGUGGCACUUGUGUGCCAAAUCCACUUUCGCAAUUGCGAAAUACCCUGCGGAAUGGGACUUUUGGUGCGAAAUCACGCAUUUCCACUUCGCAAUGGGUUUCGCAGCUGCCAAAUGGAUGCUACUGUACUGCGAAGUGGCACUCGUGUGCCAAAUUCACUUUCGCAGCUGCGAAAUACACUCACAGAGGCUUCUACAGUGCUGCGGAGUGGUUUGGCAACAAAAAUCACAUUUCGCAGAAGUUUCCUUCUCUCUGCGAAAUUUCGCAGAGCUCUGUUUUUCCCCUGUUUUUGCUCUGUUUCGGCUCCAAUUUCGGCCCGAUUUUUUUUCUUUUCAAUCCCCUUGAAAUUUCUUCCACCUGGGAUCAUUUAAAACAAUUAAAACACAUCUAAAAACAUGAUUUAAGAUCAAAAACUAAGAUCAAAAGUAUGGAAACAACUUGAAAAUUUACAAAAUUUACAAAAAUUUUGGACUGUGGUUAAACCACGUCCAGCAAACCCUUUUUCACUUGGUUUUUUGAGGCUCAAGGAGGUUGAUUGCCUCCUUUUUUGAUUUGAAUGACUCCAUGAACGGCUUAAGACGAUAUCCAUUGACUCUAAAGCUGUCCUUGCCAUUGGAAUUCAAUAAGUCCACCACUCCAUUGGAAUAUACUCGGUGAAUAACAAAUGGACCAAUCCACCUUGAUUUGAGCUUCCCAGGAAAGAUAUGGAGUCUUGUGUCAUACAUCAAAACUUUUUGCCCUUCCUGAAAUUCCUUAUUGGAAAUGAGUUGAUCAUGCCACUUCUUCAUCCUCUGUUUUGCAACUUUGGAGUUGAUAUAAGCAUUAUUUCUUAAUUCCUCCAUCUCAUUAAGGUCUAGAAAUCUCUUUUCUCCGGCCUUGAUCAAGUCCAUAUUCAGCUUCUUUAUUGCCCACCAAGCCUUGUAUUCAACUUCCACAGGGAGGUGGCAUGCUUUACCAUAGACAAGACGAUAGGGAGACAUCCCAAGAAUAGUCUUAUAAGUUGUUCUAUAUGCCCACAAUGAAUCAUGAAGCCUAAUAGACCAAUCUUUUCUGUUGGAAUUCACCACUUUCAUCAAGAUGUUCUUUAUUUCCCUGUUAGCUAGCUCAACUUGCCCGGAAGUCUGAGGAUGAUAAGGUGUGGCCACCUUAUGCUUCACUCCAUACUUGGAUAACAGAGCUUCAAAAGGUUUGUUGCAAAAAUGAGCACCUCCAUCACUGAUUAUGGCCUUGGGCACCCCAAAUCUUGAGAAAAUGUUCUCUUUAAGAAACUUGAGAACCACCCUGUGAUCAUUUUGUUUACAGGGGAUUGCCUCAACCCAUUUAGAAACAUAAUCUACCCCCACCAAAAUGUAAGAAUUACCAAAAGACAUUGGGAAAGGUCCCAUGAAUUCAAUGCCCCAUACAUCAAAUAUCUCAACUAUCAGAAUGGGGUUCAUAGGCAUUUGAUUUCUUUUUGUUAGCUUUCCAAGCCUUUGGCAUCUAUCACAAUUUUUACACAUGAUGUGGGCAUCUUUGAAAAGAGAGGGCCAAGUAAACCCUGACUGCAAUACCUUCAUGGCUGUUUUCUGAGAGGCAAAGUGGCCUCCACAUGCAUUCUCAUGACAAUGAGAUAGAAUCCCUUGCUGCUCAUCUUCAGGGACACAUUUUCUAAUAAUCUGAUCUGCACAAUACUUAAAAAGAAAGGGCUCUUCCCAAUAAUAAGAAUGAAUUUUGGCGAAGAAGUGCUUCCUGUCCUGUGCAUUCCACUCACUUGGAAUUUCACCAGUUACUAAAUAAUUAGCAAUAUGAGCAUACCAAGGAGUUUUCACUAGGAACAUGAGUGAUUCUUCAGGAAAAUCAUCAUUGAUAGGCAAGGGAUGGGAAUUAUGUGCUAUAACUAACCUUGACAAGUGGUCAGCUACUACAUUUUCCACACCUUUCUUAUCUUUGAUUUGAAGAUCGAAUUCUUGUAACAAAAGAAUCCAUCUAAUCAACCUUGCUUUUGCAUCUUGCUUUGUCAAUAAAUACUUCAAGGCUGAAUGGUCAGUAAACACAAUGAUGAAAGACCCCACUAAAUAAGCUCGAAAUUUGUCCAAAGCAAAUACCACAGCUAACAAUUCUUUCUCUGUAGUUGUGUAGUUCCUCUGAGCUUCAUUUAGUGUUUUACUUGCAUAGUAAAUCACAUAGGGCUUCCCAUCUUCUCUUUGGCCAAGCACAGCUCCUAUAGCAAAGUCACUGGCAUCACACAUUAGUUCAAAAGGUAAUUGCCAGUUAGGGGCUCUUACUAUUGGAGUUGUUGUUAGAAACUUCUUCAGUUGAUCAAAGCUAUGCUGACACCUUUCAUCCCAUAUAAACUUAGUAUCCUUAGCUAACAAAUCACAAAGAGGUUUUGAAAGACUUGAAAAACCUUUUAUAAACCUCCUAUAGAAUCCUGCAUGGCCAAGGAACUGCCUUACUCCUUUCACAGUUGUUGGAGAUGGUAAUUUGGCAAUAAGCUCCACCUUUGCUUUAUCAACUUCAAUGCCUCUUUCAGAGAUGAUAUGGCCAAGGACAAUUCCUUGACGUACCAUAAAAUGGCAUUUCUCCCAAUUCAGCACCAAAUCUUUUUCAAUGCAUCUAUGAAGAACUGCUUCCAAAUUAACCAAGCAUUCCUCAAAUGUACCUCCAUAUACGGUGAUGUCAUCCAUGAAAACUUCCAUAAUUCUCUCCACCAUAUCACUGAAAAUACUCAACAUGCAUCUUUGAAAAGUAGCAGGUGCAUUGCAUAACCCAAAAGGCAUUCUUCUAUAAGCAAAUGUUCCAAAUGGACAUGUAAAAGUGGUCUUUUCUUGAUCUGCCAAAUCAAUUUCAAUCUGAAAAUACCCUGAAUACCCAUCCAAGAAACAAUAGAAUGGAUGUCCAGAGACUCUCUCCAGCACUUGGUCAAUAAAUGGCAAUGGAAAAUGAUCCUUCCUGGUGACAGCAUUCAGCUUUCUAUAAUCAAUACACACCCUCCAACCUGAAGUGAGGCGUGUAGUAAUUUCUUCCCCUUUUUCAUUCUGAAUCACUAUGAUCCCUGACUUCUUUGGUACCACUUGAGUAGGACUCACCCAAGGGCUAUCAGAAAUAGGGUAAAUGAUUCCUGCUUGAAGUAGCUUCAGCACCUCAGCUCGCACCACCUCUUGUAGAUGAGGAUUCAACCUUCUUUGAAAUUGACGAAUUGGCUUUGCUUCCUCCUCCAUAUAUAUAUGAUGAGUACAAACUAAAGGACUAAUGCCUUUCAAAUCAGAUAUUUGCCAUCCUAUUGCCUUCUUACACCUCUUAAGAACUUCCAUUAAACCAUCCUCUUGAUGACUGGUCAGAGAUGAGGAUAUCACAACAGGACAUUGAUUAUUUGCUUCAAGAUAUGUAUAUUUCAGCUCCAUAGGUAAAGGCUUCAGAUUGAGUUUUGGAAUUUCUUUUUCAACAGCUGCCUCCUCUUCUUCAUUGAACAGAGGUAGAAUUCCUUCUAUCUUUCUCCAACUUUGUAGAGUAGCAAGCCCAAUAGGAGAUUCAGAAAAACCUUCCUCAAUAUCCUCAAGACUUUCAUUCAACUUGUCUUGCAUAUUUUGAUUGCAGUGCUCCUCUACCAAAGUAUCAAUUAUACAUAACUCUUCUGGACCUUCUUCUUCUUCCGGAGUGAUUUGCUUUUUAGACAUAUAGAAAAUAUUGAGAUCCAAUGUCAUAUUACCAAAAGUGAGUUGCAUAAGCCCAUUUCUACAGUUGAUGAUUGCAUUUGAAGUUGCAAGAAAUGGCCUUCCAAGGAUGAUAGGAACUAAAUUAGCUUCCUUUACAGUAGGAUCUGUAUCAAGAACAAUAAAAUCUACUGGAUAGUAGAAAUUAUCCACUUGAACCAAUACAUCCUCAAUUACCCCUCUUGGAAUUUUCACUGAUCUAUCUGCCAGAGAUAAAGUGAUUGCUGUUGGCUUCAACUCUCCAAGGCCCAAUUGCUUGUAGACAGAAUAUGGACGCAAAUUCACACUUGCUCCCAAGUCUAACAAGGCUUUCUCCACUACCUUUCCUCCAAUCAUGACUGAAAUGGUAGGACUUCCAGGGUCUUUGUACUUCAAAGGAGACUUGCAUUGUAAGAUUGCACUUACUUGCUCAGUCAAGAAGGCUUUCUUGUUUACAAUCAACCCUCUUUUGAUAGUACACAAGUCCUUAAGGAAUUUUGCAUAUGUUGGAACUUGUUUGAUCAUAUCCAGCAGUGGAAUAUUAACUUUCACUUGCCUCAAGACUUCAAGGAUUUCAGCUGCAUUUCUAACCCCCUUUUUCCCCUAUAAUGCUUGAGGAAAAGGUGGAGAAGUUGAUUUCUUCAGCAUUUCUUCCUUCAGAAGCUCCUUCUCUGGAAUUACUUUCAUUGUUGCAUCAGAGUCCUUCUUUUCGUCACUGAUCUCACUGCCUUUAUCUUCCAUUUCCUUCCCUUUCUUCAUCUCUUCUUCUUUCUCAACAUGUGGCUUGGGUGUUGGCUGCUCAAUUUUCUUACCACUCCUUAGAGUGAUCAAGGCCUUCACAUCUUUCACCUGUGAUGAUUCUCCCUCAUGGCUUUCCACUUCAUGGACACCUUUGGGAUUUUGGUGAGGUUGAGAAGGAAAUCUUCCCUUUUCUUGCAGUGUAUUCAAAUUUGUAAGCCUUGAAAUUGAAUAUUGGAUGUUAUCAAAUUUUUGGUUCAUAUCAUUUUGCAUUCCAUCCAUCCUUUUAUUCAUCAUACUCUCCACUCUAUCAAUCCUUUGAUCGAGUCGAGCAUUAGUGGCUUCUUGCUUUUCAAUAAAAUCUCCCAUUACCUUGCUGAGAUUGGCUAUUGCUUGUUCAAUACUUGAAGAUUGCUGAGAUGGUGGAUCCGGCUGUUGGUAUUGAGUUGCUCUAGCCUUCCAUGAGAAAUUUGGAUGAUUCCUCCAACUUGAAUUGUAGGUAUUUCCAUAUGGCGCAUUGUUAUUGGGCCUGAAUUGUCCAACAACAUUUGCUUGAUCUCUAUACAUUUCUCUUUCAGCUGAAAUUGCAGGGCAUUCCUCCACCAAAUGUUCAAAUGAUUGACAAUUGGGACACAGCUUCACUUGCACUGGUGCUUCAGCAACAGCUUGCACUUCAUGUAUUUUUUUCAGCUCCAGCUCCUCCAAUCUUCUUGUCAUAGCUGCCAACUUUGCCUUCAUAUCAUCAUCUUCUUUCAAAGUGUACAUCCCAGCCUUUGCAUUGUAAGCAUUCAACUGAGACUUCAUCUUUCCCACUUCUCCUUUAGUUGGUUCAUCCCAUCCCCUUGAAACAUCAGCUACAUAGCUCAAGAAAUCCAUAGCUUCCUCUGGAUUUUUGCUCAUGAAAUCUCCUCCACACAUUGUCUCGAGGAGUUGCUUCAUUGAGGAGGACAUACCAUCAUAAAAAUAGCUCACCAAUAGCCAAGUAUCAAAACCAUGGUGAGGACAAGCAUUUAUAGCUUCCAUGUAUCUCUCCCAACACUCAUAGAAUUUCUCAUUCUCUUUAGCUGAGAAAUUUGAAAUUUGCCUUUUCAAGCCAUUUGUUCUAUGAGUAGGAAAAAAUUUCUUGAGGAAUUCAGCUUGUAAAUCAGUCCAAGAGCGGAUACUCCUUGGCCUUAAAGAAUUAAGCCAAAUUUUGGCCUUAUCCUUUAAAGUAAAAGGAAAUAACUUAAGCCUCAUCAAAUCAAUUGAAGCUCCUCCCUCUUGGAAUGUAUUACAAACAUCUUCAAAUUCCUUGAUGUGUGCAUACGGAUUCUCACUUUCCAUCCCAUGGAAAGUUGGUAGAAGUGGAACAAGAUAUGGUCUGAUCACUAGCUGCUCUGUAGGGGGCACUAUACAUGAUGGUGCACUCAUACGAGGUGGAUGCAUACGGUCCCUCAUUGAUCUGAAUUCAUUGAGAUUGUCUUGACGACCUUGGUGACUAUGCUGAUCUUCAGGUGCAGCCUCCAUGAUAUUCAAGAUUACUUCCAAUUCUCUUCUCUGAGGUGUAUCACACUUAACAAGCCUACCUCCAAUGUCUCGUAUCCACUUUGGCAUACACAACUAGUAUUCAGCUGCAACUUAAAUAAAAACAGAGGACACAAAGAAAAACAGGGCUACAACAACAAAAUUAAACUAGACUAAAUUUUAAAAGAUAAACUUAGAUUAUGAAUUAACUAAGAAAGAAUGAAAAUUAGUAAAGUGAAAGAAACUUUACCAACUUGUGAUGAAAAUCACAAGUGCUCAAAAAUGGUAUCACAAUGAACUUGACACUCAUUCCCCGGCAACGGCGCCAUUUGACUCAUGCCCAAUUGGUGUCUCAGCUGAUUUGUGUUCAGCUGGUGCUCCUUGAUUGAGGAAGUGAUCAACAAAAUUUAUACCUAUAACACCAUACACUAGGGUAGCAAAUAAAAAGCUACUAUAGUAUAGUGGCUCUAGGAUCGUUCACUGGGAAUGAUUAAAUUAACAAGCAGUCAAGGAUACCAAUUCCAAGUGAAUUGGUCUCGUUUCAUUUCACGGUUAGCUUAAGAAAUAAAACACAAACUUUGAUUGGUAAAGGUUGAGACUUAAACUAACUAACUUAACAGAAGUUUGGAAUAAUUUAGGAAGAAAAGCAUUCCUUGGAGAUUUAGGUUCACUGGGGUGGUUCCUCAUGCAAAAGACAUAGCUCCGGUCAGAUGGUUCAUUUCCUCGCAUUAGAGAUUCAACUUAGAGUCAAUUCUCUAAUCGGUGAUGUACAGAGACUCCUUCAAUUAGAUUUCACUUUAAUUCUCUCACUGAUACAACUUGCAAUGGUUCAUGCCUCUCACGAGCACUUACCAUUCAAGGUGAUCUUUAACCUUGGACUUCCCUUCACAAACUCGCAAGAGAUAACUAAUGGAUGUCUCCUAAGAGUCCAAAAGCUUACCAAGUGUUGGUAAUUCCAGAAAAUCCUACCUUGAAGUCACCUACCAGAGGCUCGCAAGGGGUAAACUAGUGCAUUUCCAUGGUUGGAAAUUACUUGCCUUACCAAGUGUUGGCCUAGGUGACUCUAAGGUGUUUUAAGUUAACUAAAAAUAUUGAAAUCACUAAAGGAUUUCACUUCCUCUUCAUUACUAGCUAAAACCACAGAGCUUAGCAUUCUUGCACUUGGAACCUUCCCCGGCAACCUUAGCUCCAAGGAAUUGGAGGUUUAGUUACUCAUUCUCUGGGGAAAACUCCUCAGAGAAUUCAUAACUUAGAAAUAAAAUGAAAAUACAAAGUGAGAAGGUAAGGUAGUAGAAAGAAAAUAGACUUUACUUGCUUACCAAACGGUUACAGAAGGAAUUCCUCCCUGAGAACAGGCUCCCGAGAGGUAUAUAUAUCAAAACAAUAUAAAACUAAUUGUUACAGAGAUAUUUGGUCUUUUUUACUAACUUAAAAACUAAGGAAUCAUGUAAUUGGUGGUUUACAAGGAGUAUUUUGGGAUUUAGACAACAAAAAUCUAAUGGAAAAUAUCUCCCAAUGUCGGUAGCAAGCUUCGGGAGGCUUCAGGAACCAUUUCGCAGGAGUAAAAUGGUGUCUGCGAAAUUUCGCAAACACCCAAGAGGGCUGCGAAAUUAUUUCGCAACACCGAGCUAUCUUCAUAGGGCUGCGAAGUUGGCUUCCACCUUGAGGUUCCCAGCUCCCUUCUCGCGGCAUGGUUCGUGAAUCGUCAGAAGGAGAAACACCUUACUGUACAAAAGUGCUGCGAAAUUCUCGCAACAAAAGGCUGAUUCCGCAACACUUUAGAGUGAUUGACUUGUAAUGGCUGCAACUUCUUCGUUUCAACUCCGAAUUGCGCACCGUUUGAAGCAUUGGAUUGUUGACUUCCUGAGCUUUGAAAUGGUAUAAAGCAUGCAUCAUUUGGACUUCAGAAAGUGCUCUAAAAGUGGCUGCUACGACUGUCAUCAAGAAUAGGCUUCAUGGCAGAUUCUCUUUGCUUUUUCUCCUUGCAAUCCGGAUUCACUCUUGGCAAAUGAAUUCUAAGCUUUGCCCAAGAUUCCUCAUAGCUCUCCUCAGACUUGACUUGCUUUGGUGAUCAAAAUACUAACAAAAACACCAAAACUUACACAAAGUGAUCAAAAUUGCUUUAAAGGAUCCUUAACAUGCCAAUUGAGUUAAAAGGCCUAAACUACUACUCAAAAGUGUUUAAAAGGAUUAAUUAUAGGCUAUCAAAUAGCACUUUUUGAGUAGUAAUCAGUCAUCCAUACAUAGAAAAAUCUGUGUGAUCUUAAGCCAGAAAAGAUGUUGCAUCUAAUCAAAUUCACUAGAUAUGAUGAUAUCUAUACUUUUUUUUAAAAUUAUAUUCAUAUUUAUGUCAGAAAAUAAAUUUUUUAUUUUUUAUUUUUAGAACAUUAAACUUUUUAAAAGUCCUUUCUGGGAUAUUUUCUAGCUUUUUCCUUUUGCUAAUUUUUGCUAUUCAAACAAAUCUUAAGAAAUGAAUCAAACUUGGACACAAUUGAAGAGCUUGGCAUCCUUGUUUUUAGAUUCCAAAGCAUAUAUAGAGAUUGGGGUAAAACACCUUGUACCUAAGAAAAAAAAAGGAAAAAAAAAACACCACAACAAAAAAUUAACCAAAAAUAAAAAAAUUAACUGGAAUAAAAAAUCAAGAAAAUAUUUUUCUGGGUUAAUAAUUAAUUAUAAUGAAAUCAAAAGAAAAAGAAAAAAUACAUACUUCUUCCUGGCUUUGCCUACACUGAAAGCCAUGAAAGAAUUGGGAAAGCAGUAAAGAACAAGAACAAGAACCACAUCCAUAUUCUGGGGAAAGCAAAUCCUCUGCUGCCUUCUUCAGAUUGAAGGCAACUAAUAAACGUGUUAAGGGGUUAUGAGUUUGACUUGGUUGAGUUUGAAGCUACAAAAGUAAGAAAAAUGGUAGUAAUUUUGGAAGCAUUUCUAACUCUUCUAUAACUUGAGAGAUAAAAAAUUUUAAAAGUUAAAAAUGUUAAAAGAGCUUUUUAGAAUCACCCCAAAUGUACUCUAAAUUAUUUAUGACUUGAUGUCACCUUCACACUCAUUUUUCAGUGUCAUUUAUUUUUGGUGUUCCCAUAUUGAAGAUUUAGGGUAAUGUAAUAUUCAAGCCUUCACAUUUUGCCUUCACUAACCUUUGAAUUUUAAUUAAAUUCUUUGAAGGAUAUUUGACCACUUCAUUGUCCAAAAAUGCUUAUAUUGCCAUUUUUUUUUUGGUCUUUUUCUACAAUUCCAAUUUUACUAUUUUUCUUUUAUUUAUUCCUAUUAUUAUUUAGGCUAUUAUUUAUAAUAUUCUUAAUAUUAUAUUUAUAAUUGUUAAUAGUAUAAUUACUUUUCAUUUAUUUGUCAUUUAUAUUGCUUAUCUUAUCUUUAAUCAUGUAUAAGACUCAAAAAUUGCAGAAAACAUUAAUAAGUAACUACUAAACUUCAAAGAGAUAAUAAAAUUCAACUACAUUGAUAUUACAACAAUACAAAUAAAAUAUAUAGCAACCAGCCCUUAAAGGGGCUUUUAAGAGAUAAUGAGUCUACUUCAGAUUGACAUUUAAAGUAGAAUCACCAUCUCUAUAGAUAAAUAUGAAGCCUAAAAAGAAUAGAACAUCACUAAAUAAUAUUAAUAAAGCAACAACUAGAUCAAUUGAUAGUGAAAAUAAAGGUUUACAAGAUGAAUCACAUAAAUAAGAACAACUAAAUUGAGAAACAAAUUACAUGUCUGACAAAUCUAAUGAGGGAAAACAUUAGAGCUAGGUGCCCAAUGAUUGGCUCCGUGAAGUUGACCUACCUCCUCAAUAGGUACAUAGGAGUCCUUACCUAAAAAAACAUUAAAAUCAAUAGGGUGAACAUAAGAUCUAAUAAAUAGGCACGAUAUGCAGAUGUUAGGAUGGUUAGUCCAAGGUAAAAAAAAAUAGUUCUAAAAUGUAUCACGUAAUAAUUUUGGUGUAUUAUGAGAGGAAAAUGGACUUGUGAGGACUAUACUUUGUGGAUAGAAAUGCGAGGAAGAGUGAAAGACACUCAGUGGAGUAAGAGAGCGGUGGAGUAAGAGAGCUAACAGUUUAGGGUAGUCAUACAAAGUGUGGGUAAAUAGAUGUAUCUAUUUUUGUUCCUAACAAUAUUUUUUUUAUUGUAUAGUGAAAUAUUAUCUCUCAAAUAUGGAAGUAAGAAUGGUUAGGUGUACCAUGUUAAAAUCUUAAGUGAAUAUAUUUUUAUAUUAGAAUAAACCAUUUUCUUAAUUAUAAGUAUAUUUGAAUAUUUUACUAAACUAUUUUAAAAUAAAAUAUAGUAAAAAAAAUUAAUAUAUAUAUAAUAAUAACAUGAUAAAUAACAUAUCCCAAACCAAAUGCAACAUAAAUUUCUAAAUUGUCUCUCCUUUCUUAGUUCUCUAUAAUAAUAUUGCCAUACCCAUUGUUUAAGCUAUAAAUUAACAUUUUAUGUUCUUUGAAACAUAUGUAUUACCAACUCAAUAUAUACAUAGCUACGAAGACAUAUUUCUCAUUUUCCCAAUCAGAAAGCAUUGUGAGUUGAAACCUUUUUGUUUAGAAAGUUAACUUGCAAUGUUAAUAUUCUUUUUUUAUAUUAGCCCCCUAGGAAUAUCAUUGCCUUUCACCACACUUUAAGUUUUUUUUUUCAAUAUUCUUUUUUACUUCUACACUAGAAUUUAUGUAACUUCUUGUUCUUUAUUUAUUAUUAUUAUUAUUUUCAAUAUUUUCUCUUAAGUCUACCUUACACUUCUUAUUACCUCUCAUAUAUUUUUUUUUUUUGUCUUUUUCAAAUACUUGGUUGCUUCUCUAUUACAAUUCAUUAACUUCCUAUCCUUUUAUUUAUUUUUAUUUUUUGCAAAAUUCUUUCUUAAACUACAUAAAUCCAUAGUUUUUAUUUUAAAAGCAUCAAGUAAAGAACAUAGACCUACUCAAACACCAUUGUAUAAUACCCCUAAAAUUUCCAAAAAUCCCUAAAAUUUCAUAAAUUCUCUGCAAACUUAUCCCUAAUUAGAUGCUAUUAUAUUAAAUAUAUCUAAUUCACUCUAAACACAUGAUUGAUAAUAAUAUAAAAAACUAAAACAAUAUUAAUAUGCAAUUUAUUAUUUUUCAACACACUGUAAUAGUUCCCAAAUAUUUUCAAACAUCAGCUAACAAACCUAAAUUUAUUAACUCAAAAUACAUAACUGAUAACAAUGGAGAACUAAAAAAAAAAAAAUUAUAAAUAUAACAAUUUUAUACUUUGAAUACAAUUCAAUAAAUCCUAAAUUUUUAAAAACAUUUAACUAAUAAACUUAACCAUACUCAAAUAUUAUUGUAUAACAUCUCUAAAAAUUUCAAUAAUUUAUCAAAUGUGAAGACUACACUCACCGAUUUAGUAGAAUCAUUUGCCUCUUUUGUUGGUAAUUGGGAUUUUUGCUCAGUAGCUUCGCUUUCCUUUGCUUCACUUUCUUCUGCUUCAUUUUUUUAUUCUGUUCGCAAUUGGCAUUUUUGUUUUUUCGUCACUUUUUUUAAUCUUUUUAUCAAAUCACUCUUCAAUGAACUCAUUGUUUCCUUCGUGCUUGAAGAUACAAUAUGAGAUAACUUGAAAAAAAUAGAAUAACAAUUUUUCUAAGGAUUCAGAAUGAAACAAAGGAUGAAAUGAUAGACGAUAAAAUUUCUAGGGUUUUUGAAGGAAAAAUGAGAUUUUCGUUUUGUGCAUCAAAGGAAGAUAAUGAAAUAGAAGAAGAUGAUGAAAGAUGAAGACUCGUUCUGUAAAUGAAGCGAAAGAGGAUAUGAGUUUUCCUUUUUGUGCACCAAAUGAAGAUAAUGAAGUAGAAGAAAAUGAUGAGAAAGUUUUUUUGGAAAAUAUGAGGAGUUGUUCUGUAAAUGAAGCAGAAGAGGAGAAGUUGUAAGUGUUGGAGAGAAAAAAGAAGAAGGACAUUUUUGUCUCAAUCAACAAUUUUGUUUUGUUUUUUAACCGAUGGGUUAUAUUUGCAAAUAUGGGGGUUAUUUUGACCCCUUUAACCAAAUAACCCUAUUUUUUAUCGAGUUACAUCUUUAAAUUAGGUGUAAAAAGAAAUUUUGAUAUGGUAGAGACUGUAUAGUUAUAUAUUGAAAUUCCAUGGUUCAUUAGAUAAACCAUCCUUGAAUUUCUUUGGUUUCAAUCAAGAUGAUAGAUCAUCCUUCCACAGAGUGACCUGAUAUGACAUUGAUUUCUAGGGCUUCAAACACGAAGGGUGUCAAUGACUAAGAACUCCGUUUGAUUGUCAAAAAAAUGAGGAAAAAAACCCUAAAAUAAAAUAUAAAUACAAUUCAGAAUUUCAAUUUUACAUUGUUAGGGACCCCAAAAAUGGGAACAUUCACUUAAUUGAGCGUAAUCCAACCACCUGCCUUAGUUCAAUUCAGUCCCCACUUUCUAGAAACCAAAACAAUAUAAAAAUUCCUGUGUUUGACUGCUCAGAAAGCAUAGGACAAGCAAAGAAAACGACGGUGCCUCCUUGAUCAAACAGUUUUUUUUUUUUACCUUUUCUUUUCUUGCAUUUUCUUUUUUCGGCAACCAAACAUAACUUUUUAAUUGAGCAUUGUUGUAUACAAUUUAGAUUUCUUUCCCUCGGUUUCUCCGCAACCAAACAGAAUUUUUCUCAAUUGAGCGAGGGUAUAGUAUAUCCUUCGUUUUCCUAUAACCAAAUAGAACUUCCCUUGUUAUUUUUUUAAUCUUUUCUUUGAAUUUCUCGGAAACCCAACGGAGUUUACUUCUGGUGCAACCGUGCAAGAAAAUGGUUUUACCUGAUCGCAAUUCACCGGACUAGCUGAAGCAAUAGAGGCUUAAGAAAAAGAGACUGAGCUUUGUUUGUUAGACCCCCUAUGUGAGUACGCAAAGUAAGAAGAAUUGAAGCUGAAAUUAGGCAGCUUCCAAACACGUCUUAGGAGUUGGUUUUAAAACCCAUUUUUUCCCCUUUUUGGUUGCAAUUGGUCUGCAAAGAUGCCAUUAAAAGGUAACCGCGGUUGGUUGCAUGAACAAGAAAAUGAAAAAAAAAGAGUUAAAACUAAUUAAAAUUAUUUAAUAUUUACAUUGAAGAGUAAAAAUAAUUACAAUAUAUUUAAAUAAACACAUAAAAAUAAUAAUUUAUUAAUUUUAAAUCUAUUUUUAAAAUUUUCAAUUUUUCAUUUAUUUUAUUCCCUCUAAGCUUUCUAACUAAGGUCAUAAUUUGGACAAAUUGUUGGAUUCAUAGCUAAUCUAAAUAAUCUAAUAGAGAUAAAUAAAUAAUUAAUUUAAGUUCAACCCAACUUCUAAGCUUUCUAACUAGGGUCAUAACUUGAACAAAUUGGAUGGUUAACAUACAACUUGGACAAAUUGGUGGGUUCAUAGCUAAUCUGAAUAAUUUAAUAGGGAUUAAUAAAUAAUUAAUUUAAGUUUAGCCCCACCUCUAAACAGAGGUAUUUAAUUCAAGCUCAACCAACUUCAUUUCUUCGAGCUCUGGUUGAUGAGGUUAAACUUGGGUUAGCCCUUGAUUGUAUAAUUCAAAAUACAUGUAUAAUGUUUUUUAAUAAAAAAAAUUUAUAUACUUAUAUCAAAUUUUAAAUAGUAAGUAGGACAAAAUUUUAAAAUAACAAAAAAAAUAAAAACAAAGUUAUAUAUCUUUUUUAAAAAGUAAAAAAAUAUAUUAUAUAAUAUAAUUUGAUUUUUUUUUAUAAAAAUUUAGAAAGAAUAAAAUUAUUAUAUAAAAUAACAUAUAUUGGAAAUAUUAUAAAAGCAUUAAAAGUUUGUUCAGUAGUUAUUCAAAUAAGUGUUUCUAUCCCUAAUUUAAACUUUGGUUUCAAUCUAACUCGAAUUGAAUUUGAGUUGAAAAAGUUUAACUUGAAUAUUAAAAAUAAUUGUCUAAACCAAAUCAAAUAUCAGAUUGGAUUCGACUAAUCUGCCAAAGUUACACUCCUACCAAGAACCAUACACAAUAAAAAAAUUUUAAGAUAUUUUUUGUUCUAGGAAAGUACUCAAAAAGGAGAAAUAAAGAAAAAAAAUGAUUUUAUAUGUAUAAUUAAAAUUAGUUAAAUUUUAUAUAUUUUAAAAUUAUUUAAUUUUUUUUAUAUGGAAAAGAAAAAAAAAAAGAGUGAAAUAAGUUUGAAAAAACAAGUAAAAAUGAUUUGUUAACUUUAGUAUUUUUUUCUUUUCUUUUCUUCUAUUUUUUUCUUUUUAGUUUAUUUUUCUCAAAUUUUUCAAAAAAUAAACAUAGAAUUAAAAAAUAAGAAAUAAUUACAGAAUUGGAAAAUCAAUUUUAGAAAUUGCUUAUAUGAUUGCAUUAGUUUGUGUAAAUAAUAAUUUUAUUGAAUGUUAAAAGAGUGGUAUUAAAUGCACAUUAUUUAAUAUUUUUAUAUGGAUAUUUUUAUUUCUAAAGAAAGUAAUCUUUACAUGGAUUGGACCACUGUUUAUUUAUCCAUGUGGGCCAGCCUAUUAAAAACAUCAAACCAACAACUCAAGGGACGACCCUGGUCAUUCUCGGGGGCCCACAACCUUCAUCUCAAACAAAAGCCCAUGGGCAGGAUCACCUUCCACACACAUCUUCAUACCAACCACCACACUACCAACAAUCCUCCUCCAUGAAAGCCCACCUCCAUCACAGCAAGCAGAAAAUCCAACACGCCAACUAUAAGGAUUGCACAGACAAUUUGGCAAGAAAGAAAAGCAUCUGUAUUCUUAUUAUAACUGGACUAUAUACAAUACAAUGCUGUGACUAAUUAAGGAAUAUACAUAUAUAAACAGAAGAUAGAAAGAGUGAUUACAAAUCAAUUUACAAAGAUAAUUCUAGAAUGAACGUAAAUCAUGGAAUUGCCGUUGUUAUGCAGAUUCCCUUAUACGGCCCCUCAAAAUUAAGGUGCCAUCAGCAACAUUGAUUUUGCUACGCAGUUGUUGAAAGCGAGAUCGUGCAAGGGGCUUGGUAAGUAAAUCGGCAAGCUGAUCAUCUGUAUGUACAUGUGCUACACGCAACUGGCCUCUUUGAACAAAGUCUCGUACAAAAUGAAGAUCAAUGGCUAUGUGUUUCAUCCUGGAAUGCAUGACGGGAUUGAGACUGAGUUGUGUGGCACCAACAUUAUCACUUAGCAGUAGUGGAGUGUCACGAAGCUUGACACCAAGUUCAUUGAGAAGAGAUUGAAUCCAGGCCAUGUUAGAGGCAGCAAUUGCGAGGGCUCGAUACUCUGCUUCGGUGGAUGAACCAGCAACGACCUUUUGCUUACGGGUGUGCCAACUGAUGGGGUUGUUACCAAGAAAUAUAAUGUAAGCAGUUGUAGACUUGCGAUCAUCAAGAUUAACCCCCUAGUCAGCAUCGGAGAAGCCACGAAGAACUGGAUUGAGUUGCCGUCAUAAUAGAAUACCAAAAUGAAUGGUAUGUUUGAGAUAUCGUAGGAGUCUUUUAACUUGCUACCAAUGGAAGACUGUAGGUUGAUGCAUAAACUGAGCAAGUCGGUUGAUAGCAAAGCCAAUAUCUGGGCGUGUAAGGGAUAGAUAUUGAAGAGAACCAAUGGUGCUGCGAUAUUCAGUGGCAUUAUAGCUCGUAGUGCCAUCAUUAAGGAGAAGUUUGGUAGACACGGACAUAGGUGUUUGAACUUCUUUGGCACCUAUCACCUUCAGUCGACGGAGGAUAUCAUGAACAUAUCGAUUUUGGGAGAGAAACAUACCUUACUUUACUAGUAUGACUUCGACUAUUAGGAAGUAAUGCAGAUCACUUAGUUCCUUUAAAGAGAACUUAUCACCCAAGGUUGAGACUUUGGUUGGAGCUUGUUUGUUCGGUAAGGAACAAGCCAAGGGUAACAUUGGCAACCAAAGGUCCGCAAUUUGUGAUAGUUAGGGGUACGACCAGAGAGCACUUCAAAGGGACUUUUGUACGAGAGCAAAGGAGUGGGGAGAUGAUUGAUGAGAUAGACCGCAGUGGCUAGAGCAUAAGUCCAAUAAGUGGAAGGGACUGAGGCAUGAUGGAGCAAGGUCAUCCCUGUUUCAACAACAUGACGAUGGUGACGCUCAAUCGUGUCGUUUUGUUGAGGGGUGUGUGGAGCAGUAGUGUAAUGGCUAAUACCGCGAGUAGUAAGAAAGGAUCGUAGUUUGAUGAAUUCGCCACCGUUAUCUGAGUACAAGUUUUUAAGCUUGCAUGAAAAUUGAUUUUCGACCAUGGUAGUGAAUUGCACAAAUGUGGAGUGAACAUCAGAUUUAUGCCGUAAAGGAUAAAACCAAUAGUACUUAGUGAAAUGAUCAACAAGCAGUAGAUAAUAGUGAUAGCCAUCAAUAGAAGAAACCGGUGAAGGUCCCCACACAUCAACAUACAAAAAUUCAAGAGUGAUAAUACUCUUGAGAGAAGUUGAACUAAAGGGAAGUUUGUGUGACUUAUUCCAUUGACAGGAAAUACAAGACAACGUAGACUUAGAAGAGGCAACGGGUAAAUCAUGACUUCGAAGUAACGAUGACAAAAUCUUUGGAGUUGGAUGCCCCAACCGAUGAUGCCAGCAAUCAAAGGUGACCCGAGUUCCAGCUAAGCGAAUUUGAUUUGCUUGAGGUGAGGAAGAUUGCAAUGCCACAGGAUACACACCAUUUUCACACCUUCUGCGCAUGAGCACUGCCCCUAUCAUCCGAUCCUUCACAAGGUAAAAGAAAGGGUGAAACUCAAUGGUAACAUUGUUGUCAUGAGUGAAUUUAUGAACAGAUAUUAAGUUUUUGUUAAUAAGAGGCACAUGUAAUGUUUCUUUUAACAUAAGAGAGUGGGACGGAGAAGAAAGGGUUGUGGAACCAAUGUGGGCAAUUUGCAAACCUGUACCAUCUCCAAGAACUACCUCAUCUUGUCCCUCAUAUUCGGAAUGAAUAGAGAGAUUGGCCAAGUCGGAGGUGAUAUUGUGGGAGGCUGCGGAGUCAAGAAGCCAUUUUUUGUUUGUCGAAGUGGCACAGUUCGCAGUAGGGCGUGACUGCAAUUUGGCACAUGUUUUGGCAGUGUGUCCAGACUGAUCACAGAUUUGGCAAACAACAUGGGACUUUUGUGAUCCAGACUUGUUGUUAUUAGAGUUUUGCUUGGAUCGGGAUAUGUUGUUUUUGAACCAACCAUUGGAUGACUUUCUUUGAGAGGAAUUUGCUGUGACGACUAGAGCGGAAGCAUUGUUAUCCAUACAUUUGAUGUAAUGCUCAUGACCAAUGAGCAAAUCAUGUAACUCAGCAAAAGAGAGAGCAGUUUCUCUAGUGCGAAUGGGCGCAACCAUAUCUCUGAAUUCCGAACCAAGACCAUUAAGCACGUAGAGCAUCAAAUCAUCAUUCGAAACUGGUGCAUCAAUAAGGGAGAGCUCAUCGGCAAUCACCGUGACCGCAUGAAGAAACUUAGACACCGUGCGAGAACCUCGUUGGAUAAGGGUUAAAUCCUCCUUCAACUGCAUAAUCCUAGCUCGAGAUUUGUUUGCAAACAAACGGGCUAGAUGCUGCCAAGCAUCACGACUCGUAGUGGUCAUUGCGAUGAGAGGCAUCACGGUUUCAGAAACCAAGGAGAAGAUCGCGUUGAGCAGCAACUGGUCCUGUCGAUACCAGUGUGCAUAGUGAGCCAAAGCAGAGGGAGAAGACUUCUCAGUGAAUGUGGGAGGACACGGGAGGGUGCCAUCCAAGUAUCCCAUUAAAUCAUAACCAAACAAGAUGGUUAUGAACUUUGCACGCUAGGAAGGGUAAUUUGAUGCGGUAAGCUUGUAAGGAAUUUGGCUGGAGGUGUUGAUGGUGACUAGGGGUAAGUAAGAGGAAGGACUGGAGUCACCCGAAACAGAGUGGGGAGUGGAGUGGACGCUGGACGACAUAGUGCAAAGGAGGAUCGCUAUGGUCGUGAGAGAAGAAGACCUUCUAAUACCAUAUAAGGAUUGCACAGACAAUUUGGCAAGAAAGAAAAGCAUCUGUAUUCUUAUUAUAACUGGACUAUAUACAAUACAAUGCUGUGACUAAUUAAGGAAUAUACAUAUAUAAACAGAAGAUAGAAAGAGUGAUUACAAAUCAAUUUACAAAGAUAAUUCUGGAAUGAAUGUAAAUCAUGGAAUUGCCAUUGUUAUGUAGAUUCCCUUAUACCAACCAUCAACCUCCGCACAGACCUAACACUGCAUAGCCGUGUUUUAGGAGUGUUAGGACGUGAUUAGAGAGGAUCUACUUUGAGUGUUCAUGGAGUUUCGCUAUAAGAGGAAUCAGUUUACCAAAAAUUCUUCAUGAAACCAUCCAUUUAUCUCAGGGAACAUUUAUUAAGUAGAGUCAAAUAGAUUUACAAAUAAGAGAUGAUUUAUUCAUUUGAAAGAAAUAACCUUAUUUCAAAUUGCCCUAAUGUGGCCUAAUAAGCAAAAUUACUGGUUAUAUUUUGGACACAUCUCAGUAGAGGUUCGGGGGAGAAAAUAGAAGAAGCAGAGAUGCUUACUUACUUCAGAGGGGCCACUGCUCGCCACCACCACUUCAUGGCUGUGCCCAUUUCACUUGCCCAAGCCACUCUCUUCUCCAAACCCUCCAUUUUACUCCACAGAAAUGCCAUCAAUGGCUUCUCCUUUUUCAUUCCUUUCUCCUCUUCUUCUGCUCAGAAGAUUCAGACUCACAAGUGGAGGCAACCGGUGGUCUCGGUUCUGGAGCUUGGUGGAGUCAAGAUUGGUAGAGAUGGUAACAUACACACAUCCCAAAAUUGCGUUUAAAAAGGAUCUUUAGCUUGAAUUUUGUGUGCCCAAUUUGCGUUUUUGCAGGCAUUUGCACUCGAGUCGUGUCGUUUGUUUGCAAUUUCACAAUCUGAUUUCUUUUCUAUUGUGCGUUUUUUUUUCCUGCUAGGUUCGAAUUCAAGCAUCCAAUUUGCGUUUUUCUGGGUAUUCUUAUGCCCAACUUGUGUCAUUCAAUUUGCAAUUGUCGUUAUCAGACUUCCUUCUCUCUUUUGAGACUUACAUAGUUAGAGACGUCAUUUCAGUGAAAUUAAGAAUGCAUGUUCCAACUUUCACUUCUUUCUCUCUUUCCUUUUUUUUAGCAUUUAAGAAUCCAUGAAUGUUAAAUAAUCUGCAUUAGCAGCUUGGCUUUCAAGGGAAGCAAGGUCCCACAUGCCCAUACCAACUGAAUAUUAAUAUUUAAGUUUAUCUGGCUUGUUCCAAUUCAUUUUAAUGCCAUUGAGAUUAGUAGUUUCAAGGGAAGCAAGGUCCCACAUGCUACUACUUCUUCAUGAUUUUUUUUUUAAAAAAACAAGUAGAACUAUAAAUCAAUACCCUAAAUACAGUUCCAUUUAUAAAAAAUCUUGAGAGUGGGUUGCUCCGUGGCCUGUAACGAGUCUAGUAAUAAUGUCACACCUCUUUUAAAUCUUAUUUUCCUAUAUUUAAUCCACAUAUUUUUUUAAAAGAAGCCAACACAAUCCACAUACUUGUGAAAGAUGACAAUAACUUAGUUGCAACUGCAAUAUUUUACUUAGAUAUUCUCCCAAUAUUGCCAUUUUUAUCAUUUGCUCUCCCUUAACAAAGUUUCAUCACCAUCCACCAACACAGCAUUUUAAGAUUGCAAAACCAAGUAAUAAAUCAUCACCUAUCAAGAAAUUAAAUAAAAUAAUAAACCAUCACAGAGAGCCACAAAAUAUAUUUAGGAUAGAAGAGAAAAAUUCUAGCAAGGUGGACUUGAGACCAUAACUCAAUCAGUUGACUGUCUUGGCAUUUGAGUUUGGUUGUAAGGUGGGUGUCCUUCCUUUCUUUUACUUAGCUCUUCCUUUGAGUGCCCCAUUGAAAUCUAUGAUGGCUUGGUAUGGGGUGGAAAAGAGGCUCUGUAAAAGGUUGACCAUAUGGAAAAAACAAUAUAUCUCUAAAGGAGUGAGAAUUACUUUGAUUCGAAACACUUUUUUUAGUAUGCUUAUAUACUUUUAUGUCUUUGUUUUGCAUGCCAAAGUCAGUCAAAUUCAGGUUAGAGCAUAUUCAAAGGAAUUUUCUUUGGGGCGACGAGGCUCUCAUUUGGAAGCCACACUUGGUAAGGUGGGCAAUUGCUUAUUUAGAUAAAGGAGGGGCUUGGGAGUUAGGUGUCUAAUCAACACUAAACAAGGCUCCCCAAUGCAAAUGGAGUUGGCGUUUUACUUAUGAAAGGGGGGCCCUUUGGAAGCAAGUUACAAAAUCUAAGUAGGGAACCUAGUAUCCAAACUUCCAUCCAAACUUACAUAUAAAAAAAAAGUCCAGAACAGGCAUUCAGUUUACCAGGUUUAUCAGUUCUCUCCACUGUUUAUUCAACUCUUAAAUGCAGUAUUCUGGACGUACUCCAAAUUUGAAAUUCCUUUGGUAAAAUAAAGGCAUGGUACUUACAGUGGUCUAUUAAGGAAAAGGUUUGUUUGACCUAGCUUUUGUACAAAAAAUUCAAGGAUAGUCUUGCAAAUAUGUAUUGUAUGGGUGUAUAUUUCUCUAUCAUGAUACAAGUGAGAAAAAAUUCAGGAAAGUUGUUUUGUUUAAAAAAAAAUUGAAAGUUAAUUUAUGUUUUGAGAGGGAUAUUAGACAACCUAGGAUUCAAAGGGACAUGUUGUCUCUUAGGAAAAUAUAAUUCAUAGCAUUCUCAAUCACUUACAGGUUAUUUUAGUCCUUUUAAAUUGAUUUAUUUAAUUUUUUUCUUUGUUGUAGGCAACCAACGAAUAUAUUUACAACACCUACUAUUAUCAUUAUUUUGGUAAUUAGCAUUGAUGGAGAUUGUAAAAAUUCUCUAAUGGUAUGCAGGAGAAAAAUAAUAUUUAUGAAUUUUUGUUAAACACAAUUGUCAUAAUGAUAAUAAUUAAUUAGAAUAAUAUAAGUUUGCAAUUGGAAAAUUUUUAAAAAAUAAAAGCUUUUGGAAAUAGUUUGAAUAGGAGUAGAAAUUCUUGGAUUUCAUGGAGAGCUUAGGUGGGAUCUAAAGCAUGGGGCUGUUUGCUAUCUAUUUUAGUAUUUGCUGCUCUUCUCUCUUAUAGGUGUUCAGUUGCAACUUGUAUUCUCUGAGCGUACUUGGGUUGUGCCCCCUUUUGUGUUCUUCAAUAUAAUCUUCAGGCUCAUGAUUAGUGCAAUUUCUACUAAUUGAACACUUUUCACUUCAAAUAAUAUUCAGUAAUCUAAAUAGCAUUCAUCAAAUUAUUUUUAACUCGCCUUUAGAUUUAUAAAGAACCCAAAUAUGAAAUUUUCUUCUUAGGCAUGAGAAAUUGUCAUUGUUAUAAACCCCAUGUUUGUCUUGUACUUACAAGCAUAAUUAUAAAGCAUGAUCUGCAUGUCUUAUCAUGAAAUAUAAUAAUGUCAUAAAAUAGAUGAUUGAUAAAAUAUUAGAAGUCCAUUGCAAAUGCUUAAUGGAACUGAAAAUUAUUACAAAGAAAGUGUGUAUUUCACUCAAACUUUUAUGCAGUAGUGGUAGCUUAUAAACUCACAACUUUGUAAUCAUGUGCUUGAAUCAAGCAAACGUAAUGGAUCUCAGCUACAACUGCUCUACAUUUUAACCAUUGUUUUAUGUUAUGGGAAUAGUGACUGAAUUACAUUUGUGGGACUUAGUUUUCACAUGUGUUCACAUGUCAUAACUGUAAUUUCCCUAAUUUUAUGAGUAAGAAAAACUCUUUCAUUUUCCCUAUUUUGACUGAAACUUUUGGAACUUGGACUUUAUACGGUGCAAAUGUAUGUUAUCAGCUAUUGCUUUUGACUAGUCAUGAGUAGAUAUUAUUUAUAAAAGGACACCAAAGAGGAUAUAAUCCAAGUGCAUUUGUAGUCAACAAGUUACUCUUGGCAUCAAAAUUGAAAGAAACAACAAUGAAGAAAAGCAGCAAGAAAGUGCCCCUACCUCCCAAACUCUCAAUGAACUACUGGAAGGAUCUACUACUAUUCAAGAUAACUUCUUCUAAGCACAACUACAUGUAACAGUACUUAGCCCAAUUUGCGUUUUUCUGGGUAUUCUUAUGCCCAACUUUUGUCAUUCAAUUUGCAAUUGUCGUUAUCAGACUUCCUUCUCUCUUUUGAGACUUACAUGGUUAGAGACGUCAUUUCUGUGAAAUUAAGAAUGCAUGUUUUAACUUUCACUUCUUUCUCUCUUUCCUUUUUUUUUCCCUGUUAUACUCCUCGUUCUGUUUGGCGAUAGUAGAAUUCAGGAAUGGUUUCCCUUUUCUUUUUUCUUUUAUUUAUUUAUUUUUUAAUUUUUGGGUUUCUUUUGGUUAUAUGAAUUCUACAUUUUUCCUUUCUUUUUUUUUUUUUUUUUUUGUGAAAUUGGAAUUGAAGAACUUAUUUUGCGUUUUACAAGCUUAGCGGGUUACGUUUCUGUUCUAUUUGUUGUACUGUUGGAGGUGUUUGGUGCAUUUAUAUAACUAGGUUUGCAAUUUCGCCUUCUAAUAAAGGUUAAAUUUUCUCCCUUUUUAUUUUUUAUUUUUUUAAUGGUGUAUUUGUGUUGGGUAUUUGGUGAAAUGGGGAUUCUGUACUGGGUUUAUGGCAUUUUUUCAUUUGGUUUGAUAUUUGUGAAUGCGGGUUUUGUAGGGAAGAUGUGCAAACUUUUUGAAAGUAAGAAUGCAAUUACAACUUUGAUUUCCUUUAUAUUUAUAUUUAAAUUUUUUAUGCUUAUUUGCGUAUUGGUUGAUGUCAAAAUUCAUCUAAUGGGUUGUUUUUUAUUGCUUUGGAUUGGUUUAAUGUAGUUGAAUGGUGGAUUUUGUUUCUAAAACUUGGGGUCAAUUUCAAUUUUUUUAUUUAUUCAACUUGAAGACCUGGGAGUCUAUGUGAUUGGAAUUGAUCUAUCGGAGUGCGACUCUAGGCUGUUUUUGUAUGCUCCUUGUAUACUUUGAGGGCACUGUUUUUGGUGCUUCCUCAUUCUCGUUUAAUAUACUUACUUUUAUCUAUCAAAAAAAAAAAAAUUUGAUUUACUCGAGUUUUUGGAUUUUUCUGAUUGCUUUGAUAAACUUGGCUUGCAGAGCCUUAAAAAAUAAACUAUACUCACUAAGCUAUAUCUCAAAUAAUACUUCGUCAGGGCGUGUAAUGCAACUUGGAGUCUUUUUAUUUUUAAAAUUUUUUGGGUUAUUCUAUUCUGAAUAUUUGGUAAAAUUAGAAUUCAUGUACUCAACCUUUUUCAAGUUCUUUUGGUUGGCUUGAUAUAUUUGGUUGUGGGGUUUGUAGAUGUGGUGAGGGAUGAUCCUACAAACAAUGUCCCGGAUGCAAUUUUUUUGAAACUUGGAAUGCAGCUUCACAGGAGGGAUUAACACCCAAUUGGAAUUCUGAAGAAUGCAAUAUAUGAUUAUUUCAAUGCCAAUUACUCAAACAAAUUUGAUAAGUUUGACAACCUUUGCCCAAUAGUCUCCACAAAAGAGGUUUGACCAUUAAGAAAUAAAAUAGAAAUUGUAUGCAUGUUUUUUUUCACUGUUUUGAGCUAUACAUUGCACUAUUUGGAACUUGUAUUAUCUUGCUAGGACUGGUGCUUGACAUUUUGUUGUUGUUUAUAUUUAUUUUGCUACCCAUUUCCUGUUGGUUUCUGUCCUGCCCUUGGUGUUUUAACAUUUAAGAAUCCAUGAAAGUGGUAUUUGCAUUUGUUACCAAUUAUUCCAUCGACGAUGUUCUAAGUACAUAUUAAAAAAGUCCAGAACAGGCAUUCAGUUUACCAGGUUUAUUGGUUCUCUCCAGUGUUUAUUCAACUCUUAAAUGCAGUAUUUUGGACGUACUCCAAAUUUGAAAUUCCUUUGGUAAAAUAAAGGCAUGGUACUUAUAGUGGUCUAUUAAGGAAAAGGUUUGUUUGACCUAGCUUUUGUACAAAAAAUUCAAGGAUAGUCUUGCAGAUAUUUUUUGAUAGAUAAUCAUAAAUAUAUUAAAGGGCAAAGGCUACAAAGUAUACAGGGAGUAUACAAAUUAGCCUAAAACAAGAACACAAAAAACAAGCACCCUCACCCACCCUUAAGUGGCCGCUAGCCACUCCAAAAAGCCUAAGAGCGAAGAGGACUCCUCUUUAAUAUACACCCUAGCCCAACUCCACAAGGUACAUACAAAAGAAUUUUUGAGUUUCCGUAUAUCUAAAAAACCACCCCUAAAAGCUAAUCUAUUCCUCUCCUUCCAAACCGUCUAAAAAAUACACAAUGGGAUGGAAUUCCAAAUCUUUUUCCUUUUUUUCCCCACAAAAGAGCCUCUCUAACUAAAUAACGCCUCUUUAACUAAUUUCGGGAACACCCAUUGAACCCCAACAAGGGCAAGGACGAUCUCCCAUAGGCCCCUUACCACUAUACAAUGUACAAGAAUGUAAUUUACAUUUUCCUCUUCACAACUGCACAAAAAACAGCUAUUAGGGAGCUGUCAUCCCCGUUUUUGAAGCCUAUCCAAGGUGAGAAUCUUCCCCCACGACGCUUCCCAAGCAAAAAAGGCCGCUUUGGUUGGGACCUUGUCCACCCAAAUGCAUUUAGUCGGAAAGGCGCAUGCAUUAGGAACAGCCAGCAAAUUGUAGGCAUCCUUAACCCCAUAUUUUCCAUGACCCCCACCUUUCCAUAGCACUGAGUCCUCCUCUGAAGAUAUCCUGAAGUCCCUGAGCGUAUUAAGCAAUCCUCUAAUCAAGUCCAGCUCCCAAUCAUUAAAAUCUCUAUGAAAUCUAAGAUCCCAACCUCCUUGAUCAAUGCUUGGGUCCAACAUCUCAUUAACCGUUGCAUUCUUGUGAACCGCCAAAUAAAAAAGCUGGGGGAAAGUUUGGGACAGCGCUGCAUUGCCACACCACUGGUCAGUCCAGAAUUUAACUCUAGUCCCCUUCCCCACCUUAAACUUUAUGUUAUCCCAGCACCACUUUGCCUCCUUCAUAAUCUCCUUCCAAACCCCCACUCCAUAAGUCCUACGGGCUUCUUUAGCUCUCCACCCAAAAUCUUCCUGACCAUAUUUCACCCCAAUCACCAUCUUCUAGAGAUUAUCCUUUUCAACGGCAAAUCUCCAUAACCAAUUACCCAACAACGCUUUGUUCAAGGGAUCAAUCUUCCGAAUGCCAAAGUCACCCUUCUCCUUUUGAGUGCAUACCACCUCCCAAUUAAUUAAGUGGACUUUCCUCUCCAAGCUUCCCCCUCCCUAAAGAAAGUCCCUUUGUAAUUUUUAGAGUCUAUUUGCAACACUCUUUGGCAUUUGAAAGAGGGACAUAUUGUAAAUAGGCAAGCUGGUCAGAGUGCUCUUGAUUAAGGUGAUACGCCCACCCUUCGAUAUAUAUUGUCUUUUCCACUAGGCUAAUCUUCUCCUCAUUCUCUCUUCCACCCCAUCCCAUAUAGAGAUAGCUUUGUGAUGUGCUCCAAGGGGCAACCCCAAGUAAACAGUGGGCAGAAACCUCACUUUGCACCCAAUUUCCACAACCAUUUCCUCAAUUUCUUCCACCUCACCAACCGGAAUUAAGACGCUCUUAUCUAGAUUAAUUCUGAGACCGGAAGACACCUCAAACCAAGCCAAAAUCCAGCUUAGAGCAAAUAGUUGCUCUUUCCUAGCUUCACAAAAGAUGAUUGUAUCAUCAGCAAAAAGAAAAUGUGAAACUAUUAUCUCCGCUUCCCCUUUCCCCCGAAUUCUACAGCUUGACAAGAAGCCCCCAUCAACCGCCCUUCUUAUCAGAUUGCUUAGCACUUCCAUGCCCAACACAGAGAUAUAGAGAGAAAGGAUCUCAUUGCCUUAGCCCCUUGGAAUUCAAGAAGAAGCUAGCUGGCACCCCAUUGAUCAUGACUGAAAAUUUGGCGGUUGAGAUGCACCACCAAAUCCAUUCCAUUGACCCAAAGCCCAUUUUAAACAAAACUUUCAUGAGAAAAUUCCAGUUGAUGUUGUCAUAUGCUUUUUUAAUGUCCAAUUUACAGAUAAGCCCUUUCUCGUUCCUUUUGUGCCAGAAAUCAAUCACCGCAUUGGAAAUAAGUGAUGCAUCCAAAAUUUGUUUGCCUCUCACAAAGGCAUUUUGAUUCUCAUAAACCACCUUGUCUAACACCUUCUUCAGCUUAUUCACCAACACCUUAGCCAAAAGCUUGUACAAACUCCCUAACAAACUGAUUGGCCGAAAAUCUCCCAGGUCUUUAGCCUCUCAUUUCUUAGGGAUAAGGACUAAGAAAGUGGAAUUGAGGCUUUUGGCAAAAGAUCUCUGGUCAUAGAAUUCUUUAAACAGGUCCACAAUCUCCUCCUUCACAAGCUCCUAGCUUGAUUGCCAAAAAGCAACUGUGAAGCCAUCUGGGCCUCGAGCUUUAUCACCCUUCAUUUCCAUUAAGGCAGAGUAAAUUUCCUCUUUAGUAAAAGACAUCUCCAAGACUUCAGCUUCACAGGAAUUGAGGCGAUUAAGGUGCAGCCCCUCAAUAUUCGUUCUCUAGCCUGACUCUUUUGAGAGCAAAUGCUGAAAAGCAUUCACUAUCCCCUUCCUCACCUCCUGGUCCUCAGUCAUCCACUCCCCAUUAAUUUUAAUUCUAUCCAGGGAAUUAUUCCUUCAGUGGGCAUUUGCCAUCCUAUGGAAAAAGCCAGUGUUCCUAUCCCCUUCCUUAAGCCAUAGCUCCCUUGACAAUUGUCUCUAGUGGGUCUCUUCCAUUAGCACCCAUUUUUUAAAGGAGUCUUUGGCUUCUUUUUUCAGCUCAGUUUCUCCUUCAGACAGGCUUCUCUCACUUUCCACCCCAUCCUAGAACUCCACUUGUUGAAGAGCUGAGUUCUUAUUGGCUUCCAGCCUACCAAACACCUCCCUGUUCCACACUUUGAUUUUUUGCUUCAGCUCCUUCAUUUUAGUGGCUAACCUGACACUGGCCCUCCCUCUCACCUUAAACCCUUGCCACCAACCCCGAAGAAGGUCCGUAAAACCAUCAGCUUUAAGCCACAUAUUUUCAAACCUAAACGGGAAAGGACCCCUCCUUAACCCACCCUCCCAUCAACAAGAUAGGAAAAUGAUCUGAGGUAGGUUUGGGCAGCCUGCUUUGCAUGACCUCAUUGAAAUGAUCAAGCCAAUUUUGGGUCACCAGGAACCUAUCGAAUCUGGCCCAAGCCUGAUUAAUCCUCCCCCCACUCCAGGUAAGCACACCCCCUUGCAAUGGAAGGUCAAUGAGCUCUAACUCAUCAACAACCUGGGCAAACCUUCUCAUUGCACUCGUUAGCCUUCCCUGAUUACUUUUUUCCCUCUAGGACAGGAUGACAUUGAAGUCACCCCCUAGACACCAAGGAUCAUCCCAAAUGCCUCUAAUUGUUCCUAUCUCCUCCCACAUCCACUCUCUUUCCUCUCUAGAGAAAGGCCCAUACACACUAGUAAACAUCCAAACUAGCCUAUCUUCCACGUUCCUCAGCCUACAAGAGAUUGAGAAGUUUCCUACUUCCAUUUCAAUCACUUCUAGGGUCCUCUUAUCCUAGCAGAUCAAUAAACCUCCCGUAGAACCAUGGGCAUCCAGGGUACCCCAAUCGAGAAAUCUACCAAUGCCCAAGCUUCUCACCAACCCCUCUGUCAUUGCUUGAAUUUUGGUCUCCUGAAGACCAAACAAAUCCACCCUUUGAAUCCUGAUCAUGGCCUUAAUCACCUUUCUUUUAGAGCUGUCGUUAGUUCCACGAGCAUUCCAACUCAAGAGUCUUAGCUUCAUUUAACCACCAUGAUUUGACAUCAUCUUCCUUGCAUUUCACACUUCUGUUUCUUCUCCCCCUCGUAAUUAAUUGAGCACUCUAGUCUUUUCAAUUCCCUUUCGAACUUAGAUUUUUCUAGAAGGUUUUUAUUAUGGACUCUUUCCUUUCUAUUUCAGAUUUUAACCAAAAAAUCCAAAAUUUCUUUCUCCAGACCUUUUGUCGAAAACCCCAAAAACUCACUAAAUUUGGCCAAAUCACUCUCCUCCAAACUAUCCUCCUCCCAUCUCUUUCCUUCUCGUGGCAUAGAUUGAACUAAACACAACUCCUUUCCACAGUUAUCUUUGUAGCCAUUAAUAACCUCCGUCAAUUCCCAAUGCUAACAUUCUCCUCUUCUAGGGGUCCCGGAGUGAGAAGCAUGCGUAAAGGGGUUUCCCUCUAGGAAGUCUCCCUAUCAUCCCUAGAAAGGUUGCAAUACUCCCCCAAUGGAGUCCGACCGAAAAAGAAAGAAGGAGAAGAUGAGGACCCAGAUGCCAACAAACCACUAGGGUUAGGAGCACACCCAUACCUCGAUGCUUCCUCAAUUAGGGCGCUGUCAGUCCUUGAUCUCUCCAUGGAAUAGAACUCCUCCUCAAUUUGCUUCCGCCGGCCAUCAUUUUCCCAGAAGGAAAAGCUUUCAGCAUCUGGAUCCCUCAGAGGACUUGGGCCAGCCCACACUAGUGGCAAGGCCACCCUAGAGCAACCCACCAAAGAUUGGGGUGGGCCUCGACAUAUUUCCAUCCUAUCCGGCCCAGGCGCCCCAAUGGUCUCCAAGGUAUUUAACUUCCUAGAGCCCUUUAAGGACGAAAGCCCAAUAGGAGACGACCCAACCUUAGGAGAUGAAACUGGAUCAAGCCCAAUGGGCCCAGAGCCCAAAUCGGAGCGUCGAGAAGCCCCAGUAGGGCCAAGCUUAAUGGGCUCCCCUUGCAAGCCUUCCUGGUCCCCCACUGAUGGCCUAACGAGGCCCCAAGACCGAGCCCAAAGGAGCCCCGACCCACCUGUUUGCCCCCGUGUCCCAUCAGCAGACUGCAGAUGGGUCUCGAUCCUUGCAUCGUCCACCUCUUCCAGCACGCGCUUGCCCGCACGUGUAGAGACGUCACCCUCAACCUUUCCUUCUGCUCCGCUGUUCUUCCCCUUUCUCGCUGCCGACAACACUCUCAUUAUCGGUCUUACCUCCUACCACAAGGUUAGCAAAUAACACACCCCUUCGACCCCAAUUUCUACCAUGCUAGGGAUCUCCUCGCCGUUUAGCUUCACCAGGAUUCUUGCCCAUUGCAGCUCCUCCAGGUUCUUCUUCUGAGAUUCAAUGGCUAAAAAUCUCCCACACUUCUUCCCUACCUUUCUAAGGGUGGCCCGAUCUCAUAACGAGAUGGGUAGCCUCACGAUUCUCACCCAUGCCUCAUUCUUCUUCUCUCCUUCCAACAGACACCCCGUCCUAGGGCUCCAUUUCUCUAGUCGCAGAAGUGUCUUCCCUACCAAAAUUCCUCCUAGAUUUAGAGUUUUUUCGGCUUCCACUACCAUCUCAAACUCUAGUAGCACCUUUCCCCAUUCCAACUUAGCCAAACCUAAGUUGCCCUUCAACCCCCAACUUCGUGCCAUUUGGGUCCCCCAACUUCUCAAGUCAUCCCCCUUCACUGACUUUGGAUCCCACGAGGCAACAAGGCAGUGAUCCAACCUCUUUAGAUUUCGACUGAGGUCCUUGUGGCUUACUUCCACCCUAGCCACUAACCUACCAUUGCGAUUUUGCAGCUUAACCACUUUCGUAAAACUUUUCCCUAAACUGGGCACAGACGACAUCAUCUCGUCCUUCUGACUCUCCUUCCUCUCCGUAGCAACACCCAAAGCCCUAAGCGUCUCCACCAUAGAAACCCAACCCUCUUUUCCUCUUCUUCCUUUGGGGAUAAAGAUGUUGAACAUUUUCUUCUCUAGGUCCUCGACACCUAAACGGAUGAAGAAUCCCCCCUUAUUUUCAUCAUGCAACAGUGAGUAGAUCUUCCAUCUUUCCCUCCAAUUUCUUACCCAUUUGCCUGUUCGUGUGUCCUUAAUGCAAAGAGCCAAACUUUCCACAAAAAUCCCUAGACUAUCUGGACCCAUUUUAAUCCACGAAGACACCCCUCUUUUUCUUUCCACAAUAAUGACUUGCACUUUGCCCUUCUUCUUUUCUACAUCGAUCUCGAAGGUCUUCGACUCCACCUCAAAGCUGCUCUUCCCCCGGCUGUUCCGAGGCUCCAAGCAGACGAUGUUUUCUGCACCAUCGCUCGCACACAGAACCACUCGCUCUCUCUCUCUCUCUCUCUCUCUCUCUUUCUCUAGCCCUCUCUACAUUGUAUAGGAUUACCAUUUGGUCCUUGGACAAAACCCUAGUCUUGCAGAUAUGUAUGUAUGGGUGUAUAUUUCUCUAUCAUGAUACAAAUGAGAAAAAAUUCAAGAAAGUUGUUUUGUUUUAAAAAAAAUUGAAAGUUAAUUUGUGUUUUGAGAGGGACAUUAGACAACCUAGGAUUCAAAGGAAUAUGUUGUCUCUUAGGAAAAUAUAAUUCAUAGCAUUCUCAAUCACUUACAGGUUAUUUUAGUCCUUUUAAAUUGAUUUAUUUAAUUUUUUUCAUUUUUGUAAGCAAGCAAAAAAUAUAUUUACAACACUUACUAUUAUCAUUAUUUUGGUAAUUAGCAUUGAUGGAGAUUGUAAAAAUUCUCUAAUGGUUUUGCAGGAGAAAAAAAUAAUAUUUAUGAAUUUUUGUUAAACACAAUUGUCAUAAUGAUAAUAAUUAAUUAGAAUAAGUUUGUAGUUGGAAAAAUUUUAAAAAAUAAAAGCUUUUGGAAAUAGUUUGAAUAUGAGUAGAAAAUUCUUGGAUUUCAUGGAGAGCUUAGGUGGGAUCUAAAGCAUGGGGCUAUUUGCUAUCUAUUUUAGUAUUUGCUGCUCUUCUCUCUUAUAGGUGUUCAGUUGCAGCUUGUAUUCGCUGAGCGUACUUGGGUUGUUCCCCCUUUUGUGUUCUUCAAUAUAAUCUUCAAGCUCAUGACUAGUGCAAUUUCUACUAAUUGAACACUUUUCACUUCAAAUAAUAUUCAGUAAUCUAAAUAGCAUUUAUCUAAUUAUUUCUAACUAGCCAUUAGAUUUAUUAAGAACCCAAAAUAUGAAAUUUUCUUCUUAGGCAUGAGAAAUUAUCAUUGUUAUAAACCCCAUGUUUGUCUUGUACUUACAAGCAUAAUUAUAAAGCAUGAUCUGCAUGUCUUAUCAUGAAAUAUAACAAUGUCAUAAAAUAGAUGAUUGAUAAAAUAUUAGAAGUCCAUUGCAAAUGCUUAAUGGAACUGAAAAUUAUUACAGAGCAAUUGCAUAUUUCACUCAAAACUUUUAUGCAGUAAGGGUAAUCAUGUGCUUGAAUCAAGUAAACUUAAUGGAUCUCAGCUACAACUGCUCUACAUUUUAACCAUUGUUUUAUGUUAUGGGAAUAGUGAUUGAAUUUCACAAUCCCAUCAUUAUAAUUUAUGCAUUGUAAUUUCAUUUGUGGGACUUAGUUUUCAUAUGUGUUCACAUGUCAUAACUGUAAUUUCCCUAAUUUUAUGAGUAAGAAAAACUCUUUAAUUUUCCCUAUUUUGAUUGAAACUUUAGGAACUAGGACUUUAUAUGGUGCAAAUGUAUGUUAUCAGCUAUUCCUUUUGACCAGCCAUGAGUAGAUACUAUUUAUAAAAGGACAUAAAUGAGGAUAUAAUCCAAGUGCACUUGUAGUCGACAAGUUACUCUGGGCAUCAAAAUUGAAAGAAACAACAAUGAAGAAAAGCAGCAAGAAAGUGCCCCUACCUCCCAAACUCUCAAUAAACUACUGGAAGGAUCUACUGCUAUUCAAGAUAACUUCUUCUAAGCACAACUACAUGUAACAGUACUUAGCCUGCGCUAUGGUGUCAAGAGGUAGGCUCAUUGGAACAUGCCUAUUUUGAUGGAUUUUAGUUUGUGGGGAUAGUUAAAGUGUAAAGUGUUUGAUAAAAUAAAUUUGCUAGUUUUAAUAAAUUGGAAUUACUACUGAAUGAAAUGUGAAGCUAGAUAUUAGGAGAAAGAAAGAUAAUUAAUUUAUUUGUAUGACACUAUGACUUACACAUUGUGAAGCUUACUGGUUGGGAAUUGUUGAACGGGGGAACUUACUUAAUAGGGGAGAAAGAACCACACAUAUUUCUUAAUGAGAAAAUAUAAUUACAUUAGCAAAAGGCCAAAAAUACAUGAGUAGUUCACUAAUUGCAUAUUAUUGGAAAGAAAGCUGAGCAACAUAUGAUUCAUAAACUUUUUACAAUUUAAAGGCCUGGGUCCAAUGAGAUAUGUUGCAUCAUAUUACCUAAUGAACCAAUGAAGUUUAUGGAUUUCCAAAACUUCUUGGAGAGGUUCAUUAUUUUAUGGUUCUUUUUUUCUUUUUUAGGGUUCUUUAUUUUCUUUUUGCCGAGAUAUCUAGAAUAUGGCAUGGUAGGUAUUUUUGCUCCAUACCUCUUUGGAGCUCAAUUAUUUGGCAAAGUAGGAAGAAAACAAAUUAGCAUCAACUUUGGCUUGACUUGAGAUCACAAAUCUGACUAGAGAUUUUGCAGUAGUGUGUUGAGGUCUAAUUCGAAUCCAGGUUGUGAUGUGUGCAUCAAAGAGUCUUUCCAUAAGCCAUUAAGCUUUGAGGUGUUUUGUGAUGGCAUGACUGGAUAAUGAGCUGCAUUUUGGUCUGGAAUUUGGAGUUCGGUUAUGCAUUUCUGUAUCUAUAUCUCCAAAAUUAUUAACUAAUUUUAAUUAUUUUAUCUAUUUUUCAAAAUAAACAUUCAAAAUUGAAAGUUUGUGUCACGAGUCUUCAGGCUUAUCCGUAAUAGAAUGCCCUACAUUAACUCUUACUGUUAAUGCAUAUAAUACCAGGUCAGUCAUCACAACCAUUUGCUUGCUUAUGUUGACUUUCAAUGGCUUAAAAUUCAUGGCUUCAAUGGUUAUUACCAUGCUAACACUCAAACUAAUUCUUUUUUUUUUAGGUAAAUAAGAGCUUGUAUUAGAAGCGCCUAAAAGUGGCAAAAACAGUUCACAUGAAGUAUGCAAACAGAUUGCCCAAGAAACUAGGCAAAGAAAACAAAAAACCUUUCCCUUAAUUAGACAUAUGACCACUCUAUAAAAUCAAUCAUAGACGAAGUAUGAUCCUCUAUAAACACCCUAGCCCAAUUUACAAGAGUAUACAAAAAGGAAUGUUUUAAAGCUUGGUGGGACUAUUGAUAUCAUUAAAUGCUCUUUCAUUUAUUUCCUUCCAUAAAGUCUACAUUAAGCAUAAAGGGGCAACCCUCCAAGACUUCUCCCUUCUCUUACCCACAAAGGCACCAUACCAACCACCAAAUUCCUUUUAAUCAAAGAAUGCAAAACCCACUGCACACCAAAAAGGGAGAAAAUCAAACUCCAAAGCAUUGUAGCCUUUCUGCAAAACAAGAUUAAAUGGUCACUGGUUUCCUCUUUCUCUUUACACAAGCAUAUUCAAACUAAUAACUAAUAUUUGCUGGAUUUAAAGCUUGUUUGUUAGUGUUCUUCAUGGUUGUGCUUCUAUUUUUAAUUGAUUCUCUUGGCCAUCACCGUUUCCCCCUUAUUAAGAUUGGAUAUUUAAGUUUCAACGAAACAGCCUACUAAAUCCUCAAGAUAGAUCCUAUUUAUAAGGCAUGGGAGUUUUGGUCAAUGUCUGCUUCCAAGAUUCUUAUCCAUAUUUCUAUGAAUUCUUAUGCCAGAAAGUCUACUUCUUGCAGAAUUUUGAUGAUGUCUUGGUUCCUCCUGAUCACGUCGGUAGGAGUUACAAUGAUACAUACUACAUUGACUCUCAAACUGUCUUGAGGUGCCACACUAGUGCUCAUCAAGCAGAGCUGUUGAGGAGGGGACACACUCAUUUCCUUGUGACUGGAGAUGUUUAUCGUAGAGAUUCCAUUGAUUCAACUCACUACCCUGUUUUUCAUUAGGUUUCUUAUCUCUGAUUUUAUCAAUGAUUGUUUUCUAUUAACAAGUUUCUUAAUGUUUUCUUCAGUUCAAUAACUUAUCAUGCAGAUGGAAGGUGUUCGUGUCUUCUUUCCAGGUGAUUGGGAGCAUGGUUCAAAGUCGCGGUAUCGGUCAUUGACUCGGAGGGUCAUGAAGCAUAUCGGUCUCAAUUCGGUAUCGGACGAUACGUAAAAUAAGAUAAUUAGAAAUUUCAAAAAAUUAUAAAAAUAUUAUAUAAAUUAAAAAAUAGAUAUAAUUGAAUAAGUUGAAAAUUUUAAGAAAACAAUUUUUUUUUUUUCACAUGUAGCUCAAAAUUAUUUGUGAUAAUAUUCAAAAUUGAGGAUUUAAUUCUUACCUUGCCAUAUAAACACUUUAAUUUAUCAUUAAACCUCAUUCAUACCUUUCAUAUCAUUUUACUUUAGCAAAUCGGGACCCAAUUCUCCUAAUAUGUUACUAUUAAAUCAUAUCUCAUAAAUCCAUAUAAAAUGCAUUUUUUACUUUACUAAUUUUAGCUUCUCCCACCCUCGCACGCCACCAUUGCUAUCAAGAGUCAAGACCCACAACACCACAUGCAAUUGCAAAUUUGCAACCGUGCAAGACCCAACACAGGAGGGGGAGCAAUUUGAUUGUGAGGGGGUUGUCUUGUCGAUGUCGCUGGUGAAAGAUUCAAUCCACUUUAUGAGUCACCACCGUUGACACCAAAGCUCCACCCUCCGGUAAUGCUCGAUUUUGAGGAAAAUCAGGUAAGUAAAUCCUAAAUCAUGCCCUCAUCCUUCAAUGGUUUCUCUGCUUAUUUCCGAACGGGUCACGGGUUGGUUUUUUCUUCUUCGUCUUCUUUGAUCUUCUCAUUGAUGGUUUAAAAUUUCAUAAUAGGUGUUUGCUUUUGAAAGGGCAAUCUUUGAUUUUUUUAUUCUCUAUAACCUAACUGAGUCAACCGAGUUAACUCGGAAAAUCAGAUUAGUCAAUCGAGUCUUACCGAUUCCCAGUCGAGUUCAUGCAUAAUACCGUAUCUGGUAUCGGUCUCGUCGUGGCAGGUGUCGAGGCCGAUACGACUUGGCUGAGUUGUAUCAGACUCGGCCGAUACUUUGAACCCUGAUUGGGAGACAUCUGGAAUGGAUGACAUGUCUUAUGCGGCUGAGGAUUUAAAGAAAUGUCUUGAGGGUUUGGUGCAGCACUUGUUUGGUAAACUUAGAUCAGGAGAUUGUCUUAAUCAGAUGCGAACUUAAUACUAUCAGUUGAUGCUACAGUGAGAAAUAUGGGUUAAGGAAUUAUUUACCAGGUCUAAUAAUUCAAAAUCUGGGAAAUACUUCAAGUAAAAGGGGGAAAAAUAAUGAAAUAAUAAAAUAAUAAAUUUAAGUGGGGAAAGCAAUUCAUGUUAUGCAAAAGCAGUACAGGUUGGUCAUUUAGAAGUCAAAUCAAGAUAGUCCAGAAUAAUAUAGGGAAUUAUUUGCGAUUCUCAAGGUACUUGUUAAAAAUCAUUGACAAAUUACCUAAAGAAACAUUUAAGAGUGCUAUUAUUCUUGAAAUUUCUGAAAUCUAUCAGAAAGGUAGUUUUCAUCUUGGGGUUUACAAUAUACUGUAUAGAAUCUGCGUGGGCUAAAUCUGUUGAAAUUUGCAGGUAAUCUGGAAAUGCGCUGGAUUGAUACAUAUUUCCCUUUCACCAACCCAUAAUUUGAACUUGAGAUAUGUUUUCAGGUAUGCUUUUGAUCUGGCUGGUGGUUACAUUUUAGCACUAUAUAUUUUGAAUUUCUUUAAAACUUUGUUUUUGAACUAAUUUUAGUAGAAACAGGCUCCAUUUCAUUUUUCUGUUUUCAUCUUUUGCAAGAAAGGGUAAAAAUCAUUUCAAAAAUGUGAACUUCAGUUUAUUCCAUUGCUGGCAUGUGUGGCUUUCAUCUGUUAUUGAAGACACUAAGAUUCAUAGACUGAUAAUAUUCCAAUGCUUAUAAUAACAGUAAUGUUGAUGAUAAAAUAAUAUAAAAGUAGAAACAAAAUUAGUUGUCUCCCUUUUUUUUCUUUUAGUUUCUUUGUUCUUCUUACCCCUCUGAUGUGGGGAAGGGGUGUGGGGCUCUUUGUUGUCGCCAAAUGUGAAAAAAAGAUGCAUUAUGUCCUUUUAUUUUGGACUUACAGGACCUAUUAUGAAGGCAUUGCUUUCUUCAAUGUAUAUUUAUGACUUCAAGACAUUUUUGUAUUUUAUUUUAUGGCAGCAUUUUUAUAUUGAAGGAGAAAUUCAUAAACAUAUAUACACACAUGCUAGUGAGCAUACACAAACACUGAUGUUCCACACAGUAAUUAAAAAAUUCUUGCUUUGAGGAGUAUUUUUUUCCAAAACUCAUUUCCAUGUCAGAUGGCAACAUGCCAAUGACUAUUUGCCAGCAAAUGGAAUGCUGGCAACACUUUUAUGGAUUGAAUGUUUUCCUUUCCCUUUUCCUUGUAGUGAAUGAUGUGUACACUUUAGUUGCUCUUACAUAUUUGAUGCAUUGUGCUUCAUGCCCUAACUGAUGCAGAACAGAAAAGUACCAGAAAAAAUGAUGGGAGUCUAGGAAUUACUUCCAAAAACCUUAGGCUUCACAUAUAGGUUUGGUUUUCAUCACACAAAAAAGAAAACAUUGAAAGUUGGAAGGUUUUGUGUUUUCAUUCAUUAAUCCUUUUAGAAGAUAGAGUGAUCAGCUUUGUUAACUACAACCCUAAGACUCUUAAGACCCCUAACACUCUUUGGAACCAAUCACAGUAAUGAUUAGGCUGAGAAAUCAGAAACUUGAACUGAUAAAUAAAAAUUAAAAGGCACUUGCAAAUAUAAAGCAAUACCCCCCACGCCCUUCGGAAAACUCAACCUUGACAAGUUAAAGGCAUGAAAUUUCUCAUAAAGAUCACAAUUCAACUGCUGAAAUUCAUUGCUUGUGAUCCACAUACAAUCUCAAAGUGGCCUUUCUCUCCAUUCCACAUGAUACUUUUGAUAACCUCCUCUUUUGGUUGAAACAAUUUAGUGACCAACAACUUUUCAAUCUUCUCUUUCAAUCAAGGGGCUGGUAGAAGAUGACCAUUUGGACCAUUAAUUGAUGUAGCAGCUUUAGGAUUAGGAUAAAGGGUGUGGUCUUCAAUAUUAGAGAUCUUAUUAAUGCCCAUAUUUUCUGGCAAGUCAAGCACAUAAGCGUUGGGACUUGUUUUCCUGAGAAUUUUAUAGGGACCAACAUUCUUUGAGUGGAGUUUCUUAUUGGCACCUCUAGGAUAUUGUUCAGGCCUUAUUCACACAAUAACCAUGUCACCUUCAAUAAGUUCAGCAAAUUUUCUUUUCACAUAAUCGUAUGACUUGUUUAUUUAUUUGAUAGGCAAGCGGGAAAAACAUGUAAUCCAUAUGACUUAUAAUUUCAUUGAUGAAAACAAUUUUCAUUGAACAUGAUAAUGUAUGUCAUCUAUAUGCGCACUAAAAGCAUCAGCUUCAAUGCUAGGUCAUGCAUCCAUUGGUAAAGGAGCCAAAUCCAUAGGCUUUCUAGGAAGCGAUUCAGUCACAAUCUCAAAAGGACUGUGACCAAUAGACCUGUUCAGUAGGCAAUUGAGGCCUUGCCAUAAAAUCUAUAAGCUUGCUGAAUGUUGCACAGAGAGGAAAGUUUUUGAGCAACAUCUAUGGUAGGUCUUUUCGAGCAACAUCUAUGGUAGGUCUUUUCGAGCAACAUCUAUAGUCAUCAGGAUCAUAGGCUCUAUAAUCAAAUGAAUUUCGGUUUCUUCAUCUUUUUGUUGUUCUUGUUCUUCUUCAGGCUCCAUUCCGAUGUACAAAUUGUUCUUUGGACAAUUUAGGUUAUUUGGCCGGGUUGUUGACACUUAAAACACCUAUUAACCUUACCCUUAGGAUCAACAGCAUUAAAAGAAUACAACUUAGAUCCUAUAGGUUGGAUAAAUGGCUUGAAUUGGCCUAUUCUUGCACUGCAACCUACAUCAGUGAACCUUCUCUGCACUGGUUCUAUGGAUGAAACUCACAUCCCAAGUACUCCUCCAUAUCUAAUGCAAAUUGAAAAGCAUGUUCUAGGAUGUAUAAUGGCUGAUUCAUCAACUCUCUUCUCAUUUUAGGUCUCAAUCCAGCUUUGAAUCAUGCAAGAGUUUGCCCUUGGGUCUUCUACUAUUUGACUCCAAGUCUUUAGCUCAUGAAAUCUUUGCAUGUACUUUGGUCUCUGCAACAGACAUGUUGUUCUGAUUCAUAGUAAUGAGGUGAUUACAUAACCUAUUACAAUAAUUGGUCCUGCAUGUAUUUUUCACAUAGCUUAUCCUUCAUCUCCUGUCAUGUGCUGACAGGUGGUAGCCUCAUCUUCCCAUCUUCCUAGUAUCUCUUUCAAUUUCUGUCCACUAAUCUUUUGCUAAGCCUACUAGUUUCAUUUUAGUAAACCACCCUCUUUGUUCAUCAUUCAUGCAUACCAAUCAAAACGGUCCUCAAUUGUAGCUAGCCAAUCAACAAAUUGAGUAGCAUCACCCCUCCUUCAAAUUAGGAACUUCUCCUUUUACUUUCCUUGUGAUAUCUUCAGCAGUUUCACAAGGUUUACACCUUGUUUCAGGUAGUUCUCUAGCCCAUUCAGAUAUAGGAUAUUGUGGUGCAUGUCCGAUGUUCCUCCAAGUUUUUGUUAUUAAUUUGAGAUAAUUCUCCUUGCACAACACGUGCUAAAUCAUUAGUGGGCUGAGAUAUUUGUGUCUCAAUGUUGCUUAGUCGAAUAUGCAGGCUAUCAAGCUGUUCCAUCACCAAAAUAGUAUCUCGUCAUUUUGACUAUUAGAUAAAUCUAUUUUGAAACUCCUAGGUCUUGUAAUCAUGCUCUCAGCUUGCUCUGAUGCCAAAAUUGAUGCCGAACAGAAAGGUAAAAGAAAACAUGUUGGGACUUUAGGAAUCACUUCCAAAUUUUAGGCUUCACACUUAAGUUCAGUUUGCAUCACGCAAACAAGUUGAACUAUCACAGUACGAUUGGUUCAUAAUAAGGUGUCAUCUGAUUGGUUCUCGUGGAGACAACCUGUGAUCGUUCAAACUAGGGGCUGCGCCUGAUUGAUUGCAUUGAAAGUUGGAAGGUUUUGUAUGAGAUAAAUGAACCAACUUUAUACACUAUAACUCUAGACCUUAGACUCUUUUGGAGCUAGUGGCAAUACUAAUGAAGUUGGAAAAUCAACAAUGUGAACUGAUAAAAAAAAAUGAAAGACUCUUGAAAAUGUGAAGCAUUAAUGAUUUUGGAAAUAAGAACACUUGUGAUCCUUUGACUAGACUCAUAAACAAAACUUAGACUGAAAUCCACAUUGAAGUAUAUAAAAUCCCGAUUAGGCCUAUUAUCAUCCAAAGUAUGCCAAAUCAUAAUUUGGGCCUUAAGAGUCCAAUCUCUAUGCAUUUGUUAACCUUUCAUAGGUGAUUGCCACUUGUCUUCAUCGCUAACAAACACGAUUAUAGCAUCAAAGAAGGGCCAUGUCCCCAAAUCUGGCAAUAAAAGUUCUUUUUACAAGCUAACCUUAGGGGUCCAAUUACUACAUUAUUGUGUUAACCAUGAACAUUGGUGCUCCUGUUCUGCUUGCAUGGUUACACUGAACCUGCUAUCCAAAUAUGUUGGUUGACCAAAUAAGAAACUCUAGGAAAAUGAAUGAAUUCAUAGCGACAUAGCUACAUUGAAUGCAACUUGUGUGUUUGUGUGAACAGGAUUGGGUGAGUUAAAGAGAGUUUUUAGAAGGGAGAAUACCUUUUUAAUUGGUCUUAGUGUUCAGUAUGCAGCUGGUUCAGUGAUCAUGAGGCCAGUUUAUAAUACAAUUUUCUUGAGAUUUUUAUUGAAGUGAUCCCUUGAAAAGUCAGGCUACUUUUUCAAGAAGUAAAUGUUUUAUCUGUUGGGCUUUGUGGAGCCUAGUUUUGUUUGAUCCGGUCUGACGACUCAACCCCGAAUAAUAUUGCAUGGUUUUUUAAUGGGAGAUUUACUGAGGCCUGUUAGACCCGUUUAGCCCAUUGUGGAACCACCUUUUGUAAUUAGGGUUUUUUUUAGUGUGAGUGUGGUUGCCGUGUUAUAUAUAGAGAGAAAAUACUGUAACCGCCGAGGUUGUACUUUGUAUUCUUCCCUGAUAAUAGUGAUAUCCCUGCAACUCCGUGGACGUAGGCAAAUUGUCGAACCACGUAAAUACUAUCUUGUGCGUGUGAUUGUUUUUCUUUGACGUGUGUUUUUCUCUAUUUUUCGUUUCUCACAGGUUGGGAAUUUGGUUUAAUUCCCUACAACUGGUAUCAGAGCCUAGGGUUAGGUUUGAGUGGGAGCAAUGACAGAGGAAGCAGGAAAGGCGUCUGGAAUAGAAAAGUUUGAUGGCACAGACUUUGCGUGUUGGAGGAUGCAGAUUGAAGACUAUCUCUAUGGGAGGAAAUUUCAUUUGCCUCUUUUGGGGACAAAACCUGAGAGUAUGAAGGCUGAGGAAUGGGCGCUUCUUGACAGAUAGGUUCUAGGAGUUAUUAGGUUAACUCUAUCUAGGUCUGUUGCACAUAAUGUUACAAAGAAGAAGACCACAGCAGAUUUGAUGAAGGCUUUGUCCGGUAUGUAUGAAAAGCCGUCAGUAAACAAUAAGGUGCAUCUGAUGAAGAAAUUGUUCACUUUGAAGAUGGUAGAGAAUGCAUCAGUAGCACAACAUCUUAAUGAAUUUAAUACAAUCACAAAUCAAUUGUCGUCUGUAGAAAUUGAUUUUGAUGAUGAGAUUCAUGCUCUGAUCAUCUUGUCUUCUUUGCCAAACAGUUGGGAGGCAAUGAGGAUGGCAGUAAGCAAUUCUACGGGAAAGGAAAAGCUCAAGUACAAUGAUAUACGAGAUUUAAUUCUGGCUGAGGAGAUUCGCCGAAGAGAUGCAGGUGAAACCUCAGGAUCUGGUUCUGCCCUAAACCUUGAAACAAGAGGCAAAGGUAAUGACAAAAAUUCAAAUAAGGGUAGAUCAAAUUCCAAAAAUUCUAAUCGGAACAGAAGCAAAUCUAGAUCAGGCCAACAAGUACAAUACUGGAAUUGUGGGAAAACAGGUCACUUUAAAAGGCAAUGCAAAAGUCCUAAGAAGAAGAAUGAAGAUGAUUCUGCUAAUGCUGUAACAGAAGAGGUACAGGAUGCAUUACUUCUUACAAUAGAUAGUCCACUUGAUGAUUGGGUUUUGGAUUCAGGAGCUUCAUUUCAUACCACUCCACACCGAGAAAUCAUACAGAAUUAUGUUGCAGAUGAUUUUGGUAAUGUGUAUUUGGCUGAUGGUUUAGCCUUGGAUGUUGUGGGUUUGGGAGACGUCCGGAUAUCAUUGCCCAAUGGGUCUGUUUGGUUACUGGAGAAGGUUCGACAUAUUCCUGACCUGAGGAGGAAUCUGAUUUCUGUUGGACAACUUGAUGAAGAAGGACAUGCAAUACUAUUUGUUAGUGGUACUUGGAAGGUUACAAAGGGAGCUAGGGUAUUGGCUCGUGGAAAGAAGACUGGUACUUUGUAUAUGACCUCAUGUCCAAGAGACACAAUUGCAGUUGCUAAUGCAAGUACUGAUACAAGCCUAUGGCACCGCAAACUUGGUCACAUGAGUGAGAAAGGGAUGAAGAUGUUGUUGUCAAAAGGAAAACUACCAGAAUUGAAGUCCAUUGAUUUUGACAUGUGUGAAAGUUGCAUCUUAGGAAAGCAAAAAAAGGUGAGCUUCUUGAAAACUGACAGGACACCGAAGGCUGAAAAAUUGGAAUUAGUACACACUGAUUUGUGGGGGUCUUCUCCGGUUGCAUCCCUAGGAGGUUCAAGGUACUACAUCACUUUUAUUGAUGACUUAAGUAGAAAGGUAUGAGUUUAUUUUCUGAAAAAUAAAUCCAAUGUAUUUGAAACUUUUAAGAAGUGGAAGGCCAUGGUUGAGACAAAAACAGGUUUGAAAGUAAAAUGUUUGAGGUCAGAUAAUGGAGGAGAGUACACAAAUGGAGGGUUCAGUGAGUAUUGUGCUGCACAGGGAAUUAGGAUGGAGAAGACUAUUCCUGGGACACCACAGCAGAAUGGUGUGGCUAAGCGCAUGAACAGAACUCUCAAUGAGCGUGCUAGAAGUAUGAGGUUGCAUGUUGUUAGCACUGCAGCUUACUUGAUAAACCGAGGACCAUCAGUUCCCAUGGAGUUCAGACUUCCUGAGGAGGUUUGGAGCAGUAAAGAGGUGAAGUUUUCACAUUUAAAAGUUUUUUGUUGUGGUUCUUAUAUUCAUAUUGAUUCUGAUGCUCGUAGUAAACUUGAUGCAAAGUCAAAAAUAUGUUUUUUCAUUGGCUAUGGUGAUGAGAAAUUUGGCUAUAGGUUUUGGGAUGAACAAAACAGAAAAAUCAUCAGAAGUAGAAAUGUGAUAUUUAAUGAACAGAUUAUGUACAAGGACAGGUCAACUGUAGUGUCAGAUGUUACAGAGAUGGAUCAAAAGAAAUCUGAGUUUGUCAACUUAGAUAAAUUGACUGAAAGUACUGUCCAAAAGGGGGGGUGAAGAAGAUAAGGAGAAUGUAAAUUCACAGGUAGAUCUUACUACACCUGUAGCUGAAGUUCGCAGAUCUUCCAGGAACAUUAGACCUCCACAACGUCAUUCACCUGUUUUAAAUUAUCUCCUAUUGACUGAUGGUGGUGAGCCAGAGUGUUGUGAUGAAGCCUUGCAAGAUGAGAAUUCAAACAAGUGGGAGUUAGCCAUGAAUGGUGAGAUGGAUUCUUUGUUGGUGAAUGAGACAUGGGAACUGACUGAAUUGCCAAUAGGAAAGAAGGCUUUGCACAACAAGUGGGUAUACAGAAUAAAGAAUGAGCAUGAUGGUAGCAAACGUUACAAGGCCAGAUUAGUUGUUAAAGGGUUCCAGCAGAAGGAGGGCAUUGACUACACAGAGAUAUUUUCUCCAGUAGUGAAGAUGUCAACAAUCAGACUUGUACUGGGAAUGGUGGCUACAGAAAACUUACAUCUUGAGCAGUUAGAUGUGAAAACAACAUUCCUUCAUGGUGACUUGGAGGAAGACCUUUACAUGAUUCAGCCAGAAGGGUUCAUUGUUCAGGGACAAGAAAAUCUAGUCUACAAACUGAGAAAGAGCUUGUAUGGCCUUAAACAAGCUCCUAGACAGUGGUACAAAAAGUUUGACAGUUUUAUGCAUAGAAUUGGGUUCAAGAGAUGUGAAGCUGAUCACUAUUGCUAUGUUAAGUCUUUUGACAAUUCUUACAUCAUAUUACUGUUGUAUGUGGAUGAUAUGCUUAUUGCAGGGUCUGGCAUUGAGAAGAUUAAUAAUCUGAAGAAGCAAUUGUCCAAACAGUUUGCAAUGAAGGAUUUGGGAGUUGCAAAGCAAAUCCUUGGUAUGAGAAUCAUUAGAGACAAGGCUAAUGGUACAUUGAAGCUUUCACAGUCAGAGUAUGUGAAGAAAGUUCUCAGCAGGUUCAACAUGAAUGAAGCUAAACUAGUGAGCACACCCUUAGGGAGUCAUUUCAAACUAAGCAAAGAACAGUCACCAAAGAUAGAAGAAGAAAGGGACCAUAUGAGCAAGGUGCCCUAUGCCUCAGUUAUUGGCAACUUGAUGUAUGCUAUGGUGUGUACAAGGCCAGACAUUGCACAUGCAGUGGGAGUUGUGAGCAGAUUCAUGAGUAUGCCUGGAAAGCAGCAUUGGGAGGCAGUCAAGUGGAUUCUAAGAUAUCUGAAGGGUUCAUUAGAUACAUGUCUUUGCUUCACAGGUGCAAGUUUGAAAUUGCAUGGUUAUGUAGAUGUUGAUUUUGCUAAUGAUAUUGAUAGUAGAAAGAGUACUACUGGGUUUGUUUUUACUCUAAGUGGUACAACUAUAUCAUGGGCUUCAAAUCUACAGAAGAUUAUUACUUUGUAUACUACAGAAGCUGAGUAUGUUGCAGCAACUGAAGUUGGAAAGGAGAUGAUUUGGAUACAUGGUUUCUUAGAUGAAUUGGGUAAGAAGCAGGAGAUGGGCAUUCUACAUAGUGACAGUCAGAGUGCAAUUUUUCUUGCCAAAAAUUCGUCUUUUCAUUCAAAGUCGAAGCAUAUACAAACAAAAUACCACUUUAUCUGUUAUCUUGUUGAAGAUAAACUGGUAAUACUUGAGAAGAUUUGUGGAUCUAAGAACCCGGCAGACAUGUUGACUAAGGGUGUCACUAUUGAGAAGUUGAAGCUAUGCGCAGCUUCAAUUGGUCUUCUAGCUUGAGGACAGGAGGAUGAGUUGCAGGAAUGAGGGAUUGUUUCUUGGAUGAUAGCGGUUUGAUGUUGGUGAUUGAACUAGUCUCCAAGUGGGAGAUUUGUUGGGCUUUGUGGAGCCUAGUUUUGUUUGAUCCAGUUUGACGAUCCGACCCGAAUAAUAUUGCAUGGUUUUUUAAUGGGAGAUUUACUGAGGCCUGUUGGACCCGGUUAGCCCAUUGUGGAACCACAUUUUGUAAUUAAGGUUUUUUAGUGUGGGUGUGGUUGUCGUGUUAUAUAUGGAGAGAAAAUACUGUAACCGCCGAGGUUGUACUUUGUAUUCUUCCCUGAUAAUAGUGAUAUCCCUACAACUCCGUGGACGUAGGCAAAUUGCCGAACCACGUAAAUACUGUCUUGUACGUGUGAUUGUUUUUCUUUGGCGUGUGUUUUUCUCUAUUUUUCGUUUCUCACAGGUUAGGAAUUUGGUUUAAUUCCCUACAUUAUCUUGGAGGUUGUAAAAGAUGCAUUCUCAUAAUAGAUGCCUUGAUUAUGUUUCUUCAGUAGAAGAACCUACAAUUAGGGUCCUGUGUAUAUCCUUUCUUGGAAUUUUCAUAAAUUUACCAUUAUUAACUUUCUAUUUUAGGACUAACUGUUCAGCAAAUCUAUGGAAAAGACUAAAUAGUAAAUACUAAGUAGUUCCUCCAAGGGCUGCUAAAAAGCACUUCCCAGGGCCAUGAGCCAAAACUAGGCCACAUGGAAAGGGGUUGUAACAAGUCACUUGACUUGGGGUUGUUAGAGGCCAUCAUUAGUCAAGAUUGGUUUUAGAUUCAACUUUAGGAAUUUAUUUAUUUUCCUGAUUUCUAUUUUAUUUUUAGUUACAUAAUCAUAUUUGACUCUUGUUUUCCACUCUAAAUUCACAAUAUGUGAACCUUAUGAUAGAAAUUUUUAACUUCAGAACAUGAGUUGGGAUGUAUCAUAGAAGAAAGAUUCAAAUCCUUGGACUAGCAUUUCUGUAAUGCCUCAAUGAAAUUUUAUUGUAUGAUUAUCUACUUGAAGUAGCGAACCAUCAUCCUUUUAUUUAUUUAUUUAUUUUUGAUGGGAAACGACAAAGAGAUAUAUUGAUAGAAAAAAGAAGUACAAGAAAAGGAUGAGAAAUCCUCCCACCAAAGAAAAUCUAAACUACAAUAAUACAAAAACAAGAAUAUACAAUGUAAAAACAAACAAACUCUCUAGAUUAGACCAACCCAUUGGAAUUACACACUGCUAGUCAAUCAAGUUGUAACAUAUUAAGGGGAAUCCGCUUAAAAACCAUUAUCUUUUUAUUGGCAUUGAAUUGUGAAACCAUUAUGCCAUUACAUUGACAUCUCCAAAUGAAUGGUUUUAAUUUGAAUAGUUUUGUAUUAACUUAUUAUUUGACAAUUAUUGCCUAUAGUUUUUUGGCAGAACUGCUACGAUCUCACUAAGCAACAUCCAUUGAUAAUUUAUCAGGAGAACUGGUUGGAAGUUUUAGGUUGUGGGGUGACAGAGCAAGAAAUAUUAAAGAAAAGUGGUAAAACAGGUAAUGUUGCUUUGGCUUUUGGGCUUGGAUUGGAACGGCUAGCAAUGGUUCUGUUUGGGAUACCUGAUAUUUGGCUUUUCUGGUCAACUGAUGAGCGGUUCACCUCUCAAGUAAUUCCCCAAUUCAGUAAAUGAUAUUCUAUUUUAUUUUAUUCUCCUUUUCUUUGUCUUUGUGGUUAAGUAAUCAUUUCCAAAAUUGAUAUCCUUAGGAAAAUAAAGCAUGCUGAAAAUUGACCUUGUUGACAUUCUUAAUGUCUGAUUUGGGUUCCCUGAAUGUUUAAUUUAAACACUUUGUAUGCAGUUCUCAAAGGGCCAGCUUGGGGUCAAGUUCAAGCCAUUUUCAAAGGUAUUGCUUAUAAUUUUCUCAGUUUGAUAGUAGUAGUAUCUUCUUCUGAUGUUGUGUAAAUUGAAACUCUUGCAUAAUUUUCAUGCAAAAGGAUCCAAGACAUUUUGGGGGCCUGCAUUUUUAAGUAUAACCAGAAAAAGUCCUUUAUGCAAAUUUGUCUUUUACAUUCUGAAAUCGAAAAGAUUAAUUACACACAACAUAAUAACUAAAUAUUUAUACCUGUUAGAGCCCAAUGUAACCUUCUCUAUUGGCUGCUAGAAACUGACUAUCGUCUUUUUGCAGUAUCCUCCUUGUUACAAGGACAAGAGUUUUUGGAUUAAUGAGUUGUUCACAGAAAACAAUUUAUGUGAUGUUGUAAGAGGAGUUGCUGGAGAUCUUGUCGAGGGGGUAUUGCCUUUUUAUGUUUCUUAUUGUAAAUUGUUCAUUAGCUAUAGAUCUCUUCAUGGUUCACUUGGUAGAAUUUUCCUAAUCAUUUGUAUAGUUACACUGAAAGCACCGUACCAAUUUGUGUUUUAAUUAGGGGUGUUCAGGGUUUGGUUUGUUUAGUUUUGAACUUUAAAAUAAAACCAAACCAGUCUAAUUGGUUUUAUGUAUUAGGAACCCAAACCGGCCUAAUCGGUUUUAUGUAUUAGGAACCAGACUAAUUGAACUUAAAGAGGGAACUGAUCAGUUCAGUUCAGUUCAGUUAAUUUACUAUAUUUCGGUCAACAAAUAAAACUGAUUUUUUUUUUUUUUUUUUAUAAUCAAUUUGGGCCAAAACCAAAAAGCUCAUAAUAGGACAUUGUUGGUCAAAAAGCUUAAAAUAGUUUAUUACAACAAGUUGCUUUAGAGUGCUCAAAUUACAUCAUUGUAACUCAUUUCAAAUCAUAUUAUUGUAACACAGCCGCAUGAAUAACUAUUGUUGUAGUCUAUGCUUAUCAUACUAAGUAGUUCAAAAAUACGAAAAACUAUGUUUGGUUUGGGAUUCUAUCGAGUGUGAAAGAAGUGUGCCAAAUUAAAAAUGUAACUAAUGGUUAUUGUGUAUGUAUAUAAUUUUUGGUUUGGUUUGGUUUAUUAUUUGUUUUCUAAAUGGCAUAAUUCGGUUUUUUUUAGAAAACCCAAAUUGUUGAAAAAUCUUUAAAAAUUGAUUGGUUCAGGCCAGUGUGGCUCAGUUCUAUCAUUUUUGUCCAUUUAAUCGGUUUUUUACACAACCCUAGUUUUAUUUCACUUUUCAGUUCUUGGACUUUCCAUGAAAAUAAUAUUGUUGUCAUGAAGCUACUGAGGCAGUUAUUGGACCAAUUCCAUCCUCUGAAGCUGCUCAUAAAAGAGAUCCUCUCUCUUCUUUUCUAUCUACCAUCAGUUGCAAUAAUAGAUCCAGUUUGCACAAAGCCAAGCUUAGAAAAUCUGUUCAUUGACAACCUGAAUAGUCUCUGGAAGCAUCCAGUAUCUUUUCUCCUUUGUGAGGGUGGAUAACCGGUCUGGGUCCCCUGCAUCAUUUUUCAUAGGCUGCAGAGCUGCUGUGUCCGUAUAGGAAGUAACAUGUUCUUCCUUCAUAGCUUUAAGUGCCAUCAGGAAUUGGAUAUGCUAAUAUGAGUGGGAGGACUCCAGAUGGUGGACUUUCGAAGACCUCCACUCUGAUUCAUUGAUGCCAAACAUAUAAUUGUGAUAAAGCGAGGCUUUGGAAGUUAAUAUUCUUUUAAGGUGUUUCAUAUAUUGAAGGUUUAUAAAGAGGUCAAAAUUGAGAAAUUACUAUUCUCUAAAUAAUAGGAUAGUAGUCAAUUUUUCGUUCAAAAUUUGUCAUAUAUUCCAAGAGGAUUGUUAACAAUCUGAUCUAUAUUGAAACAGUGGCCAUAAUAAGUCCCUAUUUUCCUAGUGCCUGAAAGUGAAGCUCCAUUCUGAAGUUUUCUGAACUAUAAGAUACAUUUUUGACUUCCAGGUGCAAUUGAUCGACAAUUUCACCAACAAGAAAGGAAUGACCAGUCAAUGUUAUCGGAUAGCAUACCGGUCCAUGGAGCGUUCACUUACAGAUGAGGAGAUAAACGAGUUGCAGGUAUUUCAUGUUUAGGGGAUUUGUACAAGUGAUUAGUAUUUCGUCUUGAUUACGGGUAAUGACUAAUAACCUGAAAUUUGGCUUUGAUUCUGGGUGCAGUGGAAUGUUAGGGAGCAAGUGCAGAGCAAGUUGAAGGUUGUUCUUAGAUGAGAUUUCUGAUGCUGACAACCUAAUUUUACUAUCUCACUCUUGUAAGUCUCCUUAUGGACAUUUUCUAUUAUUAUUCUUUUUGUUCCUACCUUGUACAUUUUACAAUUAUCAACAAGAGUUUGAACUAGUUACAGUGGGGAAAUUAGGCAUUCAAAACCAGCUUUAAUGGGAGAAACACUUCAAGGAAAAUAAGGAAAAUGUACUAGAAAGAAUAGUGCAUACGUUGAUCAAUGUGAAAUUUAUUUUUGUAUACAAUGUUUCUCUAAUAAUUUUAACAAUGCCUGACCUUAAAUAUAGUAAUUAAUUGCUCUUUUGCAGUUGUAUUCCCUUUUAUUUUAGUUUUAAAAUUUUUUUUUAAACAUCAUCAACAACCAUUUUAUUAUAUUAAAAUAGUAGGUGCAAUAUUUAUGAAAAUAGGUGUAUACUAGUCCAAAAAUAUCAAUUUAUCAAUUUAUCUUAUAGGCAAAGGUUGGGAUCUUUGCCUCAAUGGCUAAACUCUGACUUGAGUAUAUAGAGAAUUCUCUUAUUAUUAAACCAAAGUGGUCAUUGAGUAACUCUCUAAUCCCCAACUCCCCUAGUUACCCAAAGAACUCCAUUAACAAUUAGCAUAUAACUUAUGCAGCACAUGCUACUCUGAUGGAGCCUUUAGGAACUAUUUUCAUGUUUGUUUGGCUAAUUCAUCCUCAAUAUUAUGGAAAGGAAAUAAGAUAGAAAGAAACAUGAAAUUCUCUUGUUUGAUUUACUAUGAAAAAUAUGAAGAAAAAUAAAAUAUAGUAGAAAUUAUUUAAAACCCGUUAUAUGUUCAAAUUCUUUAGUUUUUCUAUGAUAGAAAAUAAAUUUGAAGGAGUAACUUUAUUGGGUUUGAACUUGUAUUGCACUUCACAUUUUAUUUCUUUCUUUUUACUCCCAAUUUUCUUUUUCACAUACUUUCCUUAAUCUAAUUCAAGCCUUAAGGAGUCUAGUGCAACUCAUAGAAAAUACCUAAAUACUAAUGCCCCCUUAUACCCAAAUGCAAUUAGCAAGACCAAUGGGUUCAACCAAUUCUAUAACCUGCACUGAAACAUUUGAAUAAAGCUUUAUUUGAGAAAGCUUCCUAAACACUUAGAGGAGAGUUUGGAGGUCAUAGUUCUAGACAGUUUGAAAUAGAAAUCUCAAAAGUAGACCCUACAUUUCCUAAAGAGACCCCCAUUUUUCCUAAAAUAUGAUAUGGAAAGCAGAUUCUUAUUUACUUCAAUUUUUUGGUUGUUAACGUUAUCCUUAUUUUAAUGAAUAAAUGAAAACAAUUUUAAAAAGCAGAUGUUAAACUUAAAACAAAUCACACAACACCAGUAGCUUGUGGAAGAAUCAGACAUUCCCAACCUUCCUUACAUUCAAGCCAUUGUUAGGGAAACACUAAGGCUUCACCCCGGCUUUACUGUACUCAGUAGACAAUCCUCCCAAGACUGCACUGUUGCGCGUUAUCACAUUCCUGCAAACACAGAGAUCUCAGUUAAUGAGGACGGAAGUAUAAAGAAGGGGUUGGAUGUAGAGGGACAGCAGUUUUUUCUGCUGCCGUUUGGGAGUGGAAGAAGGAUUUGCCCCGAAGCUUCUCUAACACUGCAAAUUGCCCCCUCAACCAUUGGUGCUGUAAUCCAGUGCUUUGAUUGGAAGGUCGGCGAUGGAGGAAAUGGUAGCAUUAAUAUGGAAGAGGGACAUGGUAGGAUAAUGCAGAAAAGUUUUCUUGAAUUUGGGUCAGGCCACUUCCAAGGCCCAGUAGUAGCAAUUGGUUUUGUUGAAAGAGAUGGGUGUCAAGAUUAGUACAUCAUGUGCUAUCUGGGCUCUCUUACCUUGCAAAUUUGACCAAAAAUAUAUAUAUUUUUUUUUUAAAUUCUACAAAGUAAAUCCUCUUGCAAAAUAAUUCUUAAACUAGUACUUCUCAUCUAUGUGGAUAUCCAUGUCAUAAAAUCGUAAUUGAUAACUAUAGCUUUAAAUUUAUUUUAAAAUGGUUAAAACUAUAGUUACCAACUAUAGUUUUAAAUUUAAACUUAAAACUGUGGUUAAUGAUAAUGAUUUUAAAGAUAAUUUAAAAUAUUUAAAAUUGUAGUAUCUAAUUACGGUUUUGUGAUGUACAAAAAAUUAAAUAAAAAAUUCUUAGGCCACCAUAUGGAUGCCUAGGUGGCUGAUUUAGAUGCAUUAGUUUGGAAACUAUUUUGAUAAGAAAUUUAUUUUGUAGAUUUUUUUUAAUAUAUUAUUUUUGUUCAAAACUCAAUUUUAAAUUUUAAGCCACCCUAUCCAACCACUGGCCAUCAACCUCCACAUGUCUCCUUCCAUUUAUUGUAGAAUGAGGUGUUUCUAAAAUAGUUUUCUAUUCUUAAAAACUGAAAAUUGUUUUCAAGACUUAAAAACAUGUUUUGUAUUUUUUUUGAUGAAAAACAAUUUUAUGAGAACUUGUUCUAGAAAUAGGGUAUUUCCUAAGAACAAAUUUUGAUUGUUUUUAGGUGCUUUCACUUGUUUUUCAUAGAUUGUUUUAAAAAAUAUUUAUAAUAAUUUGUAAGAAAUAUAGAGAAUGAUUGAAAAUAAAACAUUAUCAAUAAAAGACAUUUUUAGAAAAUAUAAACAUAGAAAAUAGAUUAAUAACAUUUUAAAUUCUUAAAUAGAUCCUUCACAUCCUAAAUUCAUUGUCAUCAUUAGUAUCAAAUUUUGUCUAGUGUUUUUUCAAGAGCCACUUCUCAUGUUACCUUCAACUUUAUUACAUCCCACUAAUAUUGACAUAAAACUUGAACAAUAUGUUGCUUAAUUAAAGUGCAAGUGUUUUGAGUAUCGGUUGACCAAGAAAUUCAUGAGGGAGACAAUAAGGCCUGCUAUAUAGGGCAAAUGUGUAAGUCUAGGGUAUUAUUAGAUGCACAUCAUUAUUGGGAGUCAAGAUGUUGAUAUAUAUUUUCAUAACCCUAUCUAAUUUAUCUUUUUAUAGAGGAUUUUGAUGUAUUCCUCCUCCAUGGAGAAGUAAAUUGUUUGACUAUGCUAAAUUAUGCUCUUAUUAGAUAAUUGUUACCUUGUACUUAUAUUCACUGUCAUUGGACUGCUCAAGUUUAGACCCGAAAAAAUAGCAAAGAAUGAACAUUUGCUUUCUUGUUGCAUGUAUUUUGAUCAAAUCAAGUUUUAGUAGUAGUUGAAUCUGUGUCUCUGAAACCAGGUUCUCUGACAUGAAAAUGAUAUUGAAUUGGCUUUACUUGAAUAUUUUAUGAGCAUAACUUCCACUGUCAUUGACAGAACAUUACAUGGAAAUUAUACAAGAAUUUAGUGGCCAACAACUUCACAUUCGAUGGCUCAAGCAGAAGGUGACUUAUAGUCUCUUUAAUAUAAUUUAAGUCAAGGAAUAGCAUAGAUGAGAAGCAUAAUAGAUUCCAAAAUUGUUGAGACAUACUUAUUCUUUGUGCUUGUAGUCUUUUGCUAGAAUUGAAUUGUCUUCAGAGAAACUUCUCAUGCAAUAAGAAUAUGCACACUAGAUGUAAGUCUCUUAUCUCUUACAUAAACAAUAUGAAAAUAAACAUAGAAGCAAUCAUUUAGAAAACAAUAAGAUAUAAGUAAUGGUAGACACCAACUUCUUGAUCAAGUGUGGUGGCUCAUAGAUGAGAACUGCCAAAGGCAUACUAUAUGAGGCUAAAAACUCAAUUCUUAAAGCGACAUAUGAUGGGAUUGAAUCCUAAAAAGUAUGACAUGAUGUAAUAGAUUGAAAUUCAUUUAUAAAUUUAUUUAUUUAUGUUCUUUUGGCUUCUCUUUAUUAUCUUAUUUGCAUUAAUUUGUUAUCUGAGCAUAUAUAUACUCAUAUAUCUCACAUUGUACAUAACUUAAGUGCAUUAGGAGUUGCAUAAAUGAUACAAGUCAUGGGUUCCUUAUAAGUAGAUAAGUUAUUCAUAGUUAGUUUAUAGAUUUGGGCAAUCUAAUAGAGAUUAUAGUGUAUUACCUCCAAAUAAGAGAGAUGACUUGUCUUGGUCAUUGGGAUGAGUUUUUCAUUAUAUGAGUGCAUUAGUGUGUAUGAUUACAAAUUGGACAAGAUCUAUGAUGGAUCAUAACGUAAGGUUAUUGAUUGUCAUGAUUCAUUAAACUACUAUAUUGUAUGGACUCCUAUCCUUAAAGAGAAUAUUGAGCUUGGACCAAAGUCAAUAAGCGGCUUUGAUCUACGGUGAAAUCCUAAUGUGGUCACAUAUCUCUAUGGAUUGGGUCACUGUUGAUGGAGGUUGGUGGUAACAUGUAUUCCCAAUGGAGGCACCUGAUAUCUCAUGGUAUUGAGACAAUGUGUCCCUUUGCAUAAUCCAAAGAGCUUGUAAUCUAAAAGACUAUAGCUAUAGCAUUUCCUUUAGUGGAAUUUUUACAUAUACUCUUUGGAGUUAGAGUAUGUCAAUUGAUCACAUAAUAAGAUUUGUAACUUAAUGAUUGUAGAGAUGAUCUUGAUAGGUAAUAACACUACCUUGUUAGAUUGUACACACCACUUCAUGGGGAGUCUGCAUGUUGUGAAUAGUAGGUCACGAACUUGAGCUUCAUCUUGUUGUUAUUUACAUAAGGUAUUAAAUGCAAUUGAUUCUCUAUAGUGGGAUAUUGUAUCAGCUUCAAAAUUGGAUUUUGAGGAAGCCAAUACUCCUAUGGGUUCCAAUGGUCCUCAUUUGAACUCAUAUACCUUGAUGACACGAUUUAUGAGGAUUGGAUUAACUCUAACUUCACUUUUAUGUAUAAGGGCAUUUUGGUAAUUAUGCAAAGUUGCACAAGGGUUAGCAAACAAAGUUUUUGGAUUGGGCUAAUUAAUUAAUUAAUUAAUUAAUUAGAUGAUCCUAUUAGGUUAAUUAAUCAAUUAGGACCCAUUUUGAGUUAGAUUAAAUAGUCCAAACCCUUGGUAGACUUAAGUCACUUAAGCCUAGUUGGAGAACCCUAUAAAUACCCCUUUAGGGGUUAGGAUUUCCAAAGAGUUGUCUUCCACCUUUAGAGAGAAAAGAAAGCUAUAGCCUCCAUCUUCCCAAAUCUCCCCAUUGGUUGUGUGCCAAGAUUAAGUUCGAGCCAUCGAGUGGAAGAUCUAGGGUUUAUGAGACUUCCUGCAACUACAUGUUAGGAUAGAGCCCUUAAAUGCAUGACAUGAUGUAACUAAUUUAGGAAUUCAUUAUUUAUUUAAUGAUAUUCCAGUUUCAAUUUUAUCUAUCUUUAUUCCAGGCAUUAUACUUUAUAAGCAUUCUUGUCUAGCAUCUCUUGAAUUGUACAUGACUUAGGUACAUUACGAGUUAUACAAAAGAUCAAAGUCAUGGGUUGUUUUUACAAGUAGAUUACUUGUUCACGACCGGUUCAUGGACUUAGAUAAUUCAUUAGAGGUUGUAGUAUACUACAUCCUAAUUAAAGGGAUGGUUGGUCUUGACCAUAGAGAUGAGUUUCCCCUAAUGAGUGCAUUAGUGUGUAUGGUUACACAUUGGACAUGACCUAUGGUGAGUCAUGACGUAAGGUUAUCAAGUGGUCAUGACUUCACCAAGCUACUUCAUUGUGUUGUCUCUCAACCUUGAGAGAAUAUUGAGUUUGUGCUAAAGUUAGUAGUGACUUUGACCUACGAGUGAGAUCGUAAACUAAUCAUAUAUUCCUUAUGAAUUGGGUUAGUGUUGAUUAAGCCCGUAGCAAUAGGUAUUCUCAAAAGAGGUACCAUGAUAUCUCAUAGGAUUGAGAUAAGAGUGUCCCCUUGGGUGAUCCUAAAGAGGCGUGUUCAUGAAAACUAUGGUCAUAGUAGUUCCUUAAGUGGAACUUGACAUAAACUUUUGAAGAGCUAAGAUAUGUUAAUUAAACACACAAUAGGAGGAUUUUUAACUUAAGGAUAGUAGAGGUAGUCUUGAAAGGUUGAUAGCUUUCACCUUGUUAGAUUAUAGAUGCCAUUUCACAGAGAGAGUAAAUGUAAUGAAUAGCAGGUCACAGAUCCGAACACUUAGUGUCUUUUUGUUAUUUACAUAGGAUACUAAAGUGCAAUUGAUUCUCUGUAAUGGGAUGUUAGAUCAACUUAAGAAUUAGAUUCUAAGGGAGCCAGUACUACUAUGGUCCCCAUGGUCCCCGCUCUAAGCACAUAUACCUUGUUGGCAUGGGUUAUGAGGGUUGAAUUGACUCUAGGUUCAGUUUUAUGUAUAAGAGCGUCUUGGUAAUUAUGCAAAGUUACAUAAGGGUAAGUGAACAAGGUCUCUAGAUUGGGUUAAUUGAUUAAUUAGUAGGUCCCGUUAGGUUAAUUAAUCAAUUAUGACCCAAUUUUGGACUAGAUUAAGUGACUUAAGCUCAUGUGGGUUCAAGUUACUUAAGCCUAGUUAGGAACCCUAUAAAUACCUCCUAGGGGUUAGGAUUUCCAUAACUUUUUAUCUUCCACCAUUUAGAUAGAAGAGAAAGUCAUAUCCUCUACCAUUCCAAGCUCCCUAUUGUUUGUGUGCAAAGAAACGAGGUUGAGUUAUCGAGUGGAAGAUCAUGGGUCUAAGAUACUUCCAACGACUUUGAUUUGGUUUUUCAAUACUUGUAUUCAAGGUUUGGAAACAUCCAAACCUAAAGGUUAAUAUUUUAACCCUAAAGGUUAUUUUUUUUGAAAAAUUGGUAUUGCUUCCAUUACUUAGAUCUAAGACGCCAACACUACGAAACUAUUCUUCAUCAAAAGAGUUGAUUUGGGAACAUCCAAAUAAGAGGUAAAGUUUUCUAAUGCACACAUCUAGAUUUUUUUUUUUUGGUUAAAAAUGUAAUUUUUGUUUUCGUUGUAUAAGAUUUAAAUGCCCUAAAGAGUAUUCAUGUACCCAACCUGAGCUUAGGAUAGGGAACAUAGAGAUCUAGGAUUCCCUAUAACAUCGUAUUAUGUAAUGAGUAUAGAAAAAUGGCCACUUAGUAAUACAGGACCUUACAUUGUAAGUUUGGAAUUUGCAAAACAUUGUUUAAGGAUAAUGAUACACAAACAUGGGAAAGUUUAGGAAUGUGUGUUUUGAUAUGUACCUUCAUGUAACAAUUGUAAAAGCCAAAAAUCUAACAUCCUCAUUUGGACUUCAACAAUCCUAUGAAAUUUCUUUCAUUUACAAUCCCAUUUGAUUAUUUUAAUCUCUUUUCUUAUUUUGUAGGGAGCCCUUUAAUUCAAAGACUUUGACAUGUCAAAAGAGCUUGGUGAGGUUGAGAGAGCAAUUUAGAAAAAAUUUAAUGCUACUGUAUUAUAAAACAAUCUUAAGUCAUUUGCCUUGAGUUGGUAAGAGAACUUAUUGCAAUUCAAUCUAGGGUUAUUAUAGACCAUCCAUUUCAGCUCUCAAUGUUGUUUCAAGUAACAUAUCUGAAUGAUAUUUUAUGAAUUUCAUUUAAUAUAAUAUGUGUUCUAAAUGAUGCUUCUUUUUUUAUAAUUAGAGUUAGUCCCUAUUUACUUUUCUUAGAUUUUACCAACUAUAACUAGAAUUCCACCAAUUCCUCUUUUAAAGAAAAAACAUCAGAUUGAUUGUGGGUGUUCAAUUUCUAUUAGAUGUGUGAGCAUCAAACUAAUAUGUGAAGUUUUUUUAUAUAGAAAUAAAAUCUUCAGAUGUUAAUGAGGAUGAAGGCACUUCUUUUGCUCAACAUUACUAAAUUUAAGCUUCAGAUGUCAAUGGGCUCUUUUCUUUAGAUGUCAUGGUAGCAUCUUCAGUUAGUAUUAUUUGCAGCCCAGUUACAGAAGACCCAAGAAGCUAGAUGGGCUUGAGAUGCAUGGAGUGGUAGUUGAGUGAUUUAUCUUAAUGUUGUUGAUUCAACUUUUUGUAUAUAAUGUAGCAAUGACAUUUGCCUAAUAAUAACAUCAUAGUUGAUUCAACACAACAUAAUUAAGCUUAAACUUCUAUAUUAGGCUCAAACGGAUCAUGUAUAUUCUUAUAUUUAAUAAAAAGGGGUCAUAUCAUGACCAUUUAUUGUUCAGCAGAUCAUUUUUCACCAAUGAAAGCGAUAAUCAUUUUAAUGGUUACUAGGCUAUGUUUGAGUAACAUUCUUCACCUAGCCAUUACCUUGUCCACAUGAUAACCUAUAGUAGCAACAAAGAAAAAUUGCAUCCAUAUCAAGACUUAUAGUAGCAGCCAAAGCAUAUCCAUCUCCAUAUUAGCACAUAUGGUUGUGACCAAAAUUAACUCACACUUUUAAGCAUUAUAGGCUCAAAUUUUUUAUAUUUUUACAACCUUAUAGUUGCAGCCACUCUUAACUGCAACUAUACACUACCUUUAGUUGCAAGUAAAUUGAGGUUGUGGUCAUAGUUUUAAUACUUAUGGCCAUACUUUUACAUGUGGCUGCAACUAUAACAUUUCUCUAUACCCCCAUAUGAUCACACCUUGUUGUGGUCUCUUUUGUUCACACCCAUAUCUUAUAGUUGGGCUAAAUUUUUCUUUUAGCCGCAAUUAGUGGAAACUACUAAAAACCCACUUUCUUGUAGUGAUUUAAGAGUUUUGAGAUUAUAAUAACUCUUUUGAUCUUCUCUCUCUAUGGAUAUAAGUGUAUUUUCAUUAAAUCCCAUGAUUCUCAUUUAUUUAUUUAUUUUUAUUUUUUGUUUAUUGUUCCCUUAAUUGAGCAUAACAUAUUGAGAUGAUUAUAUUUUAGAGUUUUCAAUAAUAUAUAAUAGGCCUAAAGGAUAUGGAAGUUUGUGAUAUAUACAUGAAUAAAAAUACUCUUUGACUUAUAAAUGAUCUAAAUAUGGUAAAAAAAGAAAAAAAAAUAAAAACAAAACAAAAAUUGGAAUAAUUAAAUGUUUUUUAAAAGGGAUAAAGAUUCCAUAGAUUUUUUUUCUUCUCUUUUCAUAAUAUAGGCAAUAUCUGUGUAUUCUCUUCCAUGGAUAUAUUAGUUGGAUUAAGAAUAUUAAACAACAUGCAAAAUAUUUAUUAGAGAAAAAAAAAUGCAUUUCUUGAAUAUUCAAUAUUUAUAAAAAAAUUGAACAAAAUAAAAAACUCUCUUAUUGCUAAUUAAUGUCUAUGUUAAGCACUAAAGAAUUCAAAUUUUAAUUUCUCACUAACAAUUAUUUUUUCUCAUAUUAUGUGUACAUACUGGAGGAAGAGAUUACCUAUCCAUAUCUUAUUUAUCUUCUUUAAUGGGAAGAAGAUGUUAGAUAGUGAAAAAUAUAUGAACAAUUGAGGGGUAAAGGUUCUUUAGUCUACAAGUGAGUAUGUCAUUUUAUCCGUCUCUAAUAUUACACCUGAGGGAUAAGAGGUCUCUACUAUACAAGUGAGUAUGUGAUUUUAUCCAUUUGAUAUUUGAUCUCGGAUAGACUAGUGAAAAUUGUCUCAUAUAUAUAUAUAUAUAUAUAUAUUAUAGAUCGUGAAUUUGGUUGCUAUGGCUGGAGAUAUGAUCUAUGACUUUUGCUUUUAUAAUUUUAUGUUUCUGAAAUAUGGAGAUUUUAAUAUUUAUUAUUAUAUAUAUUUUGCAUACUCUGGUAAGGUAAUAUAUUGUUAUUAUACAAAGGCAAAUUAAAUUUUAAAUGCAUUUAUUAUAUUUUGAAUUAGAAAUUUAAAUGUAUUUUCAACUUCAAACCCAAGUUGAUUUUAAUUACUUUAAAAAACAAGUUGUUCUUACAGCCUAAAUUAACUUACAGGAAAUCAACUGUCUAAAUUGAAUCAAAUUGACCUUAAAUAAGAUUCAUUUUAUUGUCGAUGUAGCACAACUUGAAAUAGGAGUCAAUUUAUAGGAAGCUUUUGAAAACACAGUGCACCACAUCCAAGGAAAAAAGAAAUGAGGGUUUUUCAUUCAUCACUAAAAGAUUAGUUUGAUUUUGAUUCAAGUAUAAACCGACCAUGUUAAUUUAGAUUUUUUUUCCUAGUUAUAUAAAUUUUUCAUCCAUUAAAACCUAUAAGUCUCAAUCCAAUGGCUGGAUUUUAUAAUCUUAAUGAUAAUAGCUUAGAAAUCAAUUAUAUAUAAAGAUGGUUAGUUCAUUGAAAAAGUUGUUGGCUCAUAGUUCAUAACCAAUAAAACUAGUGGUUCAAUUGUAAUCAAACUAUCAUGUCAUCAUAAAUAUUUAACUAAUAUAUUAUUUAAAUUAAAAUAAUUAUAAAAAGUUAAAAAUCUAUAAAUAAUUGAAAAUUUAAACAUAUUUUUAUUAUAAAAUUUGAGAAUUUAUUAUAUCGCAGGAAGUUAGGGAUAAUCAUCUUGUCGAGCUGUCAACCGAUUCAAGAAAUUGUAGUAUUUGCUAGGGUCAAUUAGGAUUUUAGCCUUAGAAAGUAUAUAUAUAUAUAUAAAGAAAUUGAAUGAGAAAAAAUAUUCCCAUUUUAUCACAUCUCUUAAUUUCCUAUAAAACGAGACUUGAUAAUGACAUAUUAUUCAAUUUCUUUGUUAGCAUUUUAUUUCGCCUUUCUAAGUUUCUUCUCUUUCUACUUUCUUUUCUACAACAUGUUAUCAACACAAGCCUAUAACAACUGGUUUGAAACAUCAUUUUUUUUUUCCUUCUAAGAUUUCUACAUAAAACAUUAUGAGAAGGUAUUUCAUAAUGUAGUUUUUUUUUUGUGAUUAUUAUAAUUAUUCAUUGUCUUGUGUGAUAUAGAAGAUUACUUAAAUUUUAAUUAUUCAUAGUCUUAAGUUAUGUAAAAUAUUUGUUAAAUUCAUAUAGUAAAAAGCUAUAUGAAAAAUAUUGUGUUUAUAGAUAACCAAAAGUUAUGUAACUAUUAAUAUUAUUCAUAACUAGAGGUUAUGAGAAGUCAAAAGCUAUAUGAAAAAUAUUAUAUUAUUAUACAUAGUCAAUGCAUUAUUAUUAUUAUUAUUCAUAAUAAGAAGUUAUAAAUAUGAGAAUAUUAAUUUAUAAUGUUUAUAUUAGCUAGAGACUAUGUCAAAAAAAAAAAAAGUUGUGGCUUGGAAGUAUUAAAUUUUUUCAUUGUUGUAUGAUGUCUAUCAAAAUGGUAAUAGUUAUAAUUAAUUAAUUAUUGACAUCUGUGCUUACCGUAUGUGCAUACAAGUUGGAAUGAGUUUUAUGCACUUGUAGAGCUAGCCAAGGCCUAGGAGGGGCACAUAACGCCCCUAAAAAUUAAAAUCAUAAUAAGGGUUUUGAACACCCUUAAUCUUCUAUUUAAGGGGAAAACAUGCUUUCCACUACACUAUAUAUAAUUAUCUCUCCAUAUUUUUCCCUCCUGAAAUAAUUCUUUUAUUUGUGCCCCUCCUAGAGCAUAUUCCUAGCUCCGCCACUAGUUUUAUGUAUGAAUUAUGAUACUUCUAUUUUAUGUUUUUUUUCAUUUUACACUUUAAACUAUUAGUGGGAAUUCUAAAAUAUAUAUAUUCCUAAUUCAAUGAAUCAAUGAAAAUAAAUAUUUUAUUUUUGUGAAAACUAUACCCAAAAGAAAACUUUUUAUUAUUAUCUUACAUUAAAAAAAAAUUUGGAUGGUUCUUGAGAUUAAGGUUUGGGUAUAGGAAUUUUUUAUUUUUUAUUUUUAACCCUAUGCAAUCAUUAGAAAAAAAAAGGUUUAUUGCUUGUUUAGUUUGACCUUAUUCAACCACCUAAGCCAUUACUUGAAUUUUUCCAAUCAUGCUACUCUAGUUAGGAUUAUUUAUUUAUUUAUUUUGAAUGGUGUAUGAUUUCUUUUAUUUAUCAUAACGAGUUUAAACUAGUAGAGGAUUAAAAAUCCAUUGUUAGAUAGACUUUUAUAAUUUUAUUUUUAUUUUAAAAAAUAUAAAGCAUUAUCUAGGAGAUUUUUCAAUUGUUAAUUAAAUUUGUCUUAGGCAUUAAUCUUCUUUUGAGGACUUCUAUGUUUGUUGGAUCAACAUCCUACAUGGGGUUUUCUAGUACUUUUCUUUUUAGAAACUUCAAGCUUGUUUAACAAUAUAGCAUUCUUAUAAACAGUCCUACUAAAUCAUGUAGCAUAGUCAUUGGAUACUUACUAUAGUAAUAAUAUAUGUAAUUCUAGGUUGCUUACAUGUUCAUUUUGGGGUUAAUAAAAUAGGAUAUGGUGAACCAUUUUUAUGCACUCUUUUGAUCUACAAUAACAUUGGUUUAAGCUAAUUUUAUGUUAUAGUUAAUCUAGCUUUGGCUAUUGUAUGACAUAUAUAUAUAUUUUAAAUUAUAUUACUCUUCUAUGAAUUUGGGUUUAUUUUUUUUAAUACUUUCUUAUUGCAAUAUUUCAUACAUAGUUCUCUGAUAAUGUCAAACCUCAUCAAACUGGAGUUUGACGCCCUUGAUAUCUUAAGAAAAAACUACUUGUCAUGGAUAUUAGAUAUUAAAAUCCACCUUGAUAUCAUAAACCUUGGGAUAACCUAUAAGGAAAGAAAUGACAUGCCCUUACAAGAUCACGUAAAAGCCUUAAUAUUCCUUCAACAUCAUAUUGAUCAAGGGUUAAAAGGUGAUUAUGUCAUGCUAAAAGAGACUCUCAUUCUUUGAAGCAAUUUGAGAAAAUGAUAUGACUACCAAAAGAUUGUGAUCUUGCCUAGAGCCCAUUAUGAUUGGUUGUAUUUAAGAUUACAAGAUUUUAAGUUUGUCAACAAACACAAUUGUAAUAUCCUUGAAGUAUUAAAAUAUAUACAAAUAUUAAAACAUUGAUAUUAGUAUGUUAAAUUAUGAGAGUUGGAAGUAGAGAUUUUGUAUAAAAGUUCUAGCUAAAUUUGAGGAUUUAUAACUUGAUUAAUAAUCUUAUCAACAGAAUGAUUAGCCACAGAAUGAGAAAAUGAUAAUUAAUGAUUUAUCACUGGUAGUGAUCUAUAGGGAUGGUGGUGGAGGUUUGGAGUUAGUUAAAUUUGAUAGAGAAUUUUUGGGUUUCUUUAAAGAGAAAUUAAUGUUCUCAUAAAUAUGAAUGAGAUAGUAAUUGAAAUUCUUAGAUGAAUUGGGGAUAUAAUUAGCCAUGUACUUAGGAUGAUAAACUAGUUGUGAAGUGGCUUAGAGAUGUACUAAAUGUAGUGAAUUUUUUUUUUUUUUUUUUUGUAAAGGAAUUGCUAGCAUCAACAAUUAGGGUAAUUAUGAUCCUAUGAGUUAGUUGAAAUAUUGUUUGAACUAUUGAUAAUUGUUGCUAAUAGUAGAUAUGUUCUUGGUUGUGAUAUUCUCUAUUAUUAAGACUUAUUGAAAUUUGCAGUAUGAGCAACAUGGAGAGUGUUACUAGCACUUAUAAUUCAUAUUUAAAGUACCAUAAUAAGUGUCCUUAUGAAAAGUAAUAGAGGGCAAGGUCCCUAGGUGAGAGUCCUUAAAAGAAACAUUGUAAAGUAACCUAGGGUGAAAGACUUAAAAGAUCCUUGCAAGAUCCAUGUGUUGAUAUAAUAUGGGGCAUGCAUAGAUGUAUAUCCCUCAGUGAGAGUCCCUAAAAUAUAGGUACCCAUGGCUACAGACAAAUGAUGUGCUACCUAAACAAUAUAUGAAAGUCUUAUAAAAGACAUAUGAUAAACUAGAAAUUAGUGAUUUUAAAAAUAUAUAUUUAUUUGGGUGAUAAUACAUACUUUUGAAUGAAUUCUUGUUUAGUGUUACUAAAAAGCAUGAAGAUCGAUGACAUUUUGUAUGAUCCAUUUUGUGAACAAAUCAUUUUCUACUAAGCUAUGACUUACCUUUAUUUAAAAGUCUAUAUAUCAAACAUAGCUUAAGGGAUUAAGAAGAAGAAAAAAUAGUUAAAGUAUUAUGCAAAGCUUGAAGAUUUUCUAUCGUUUGUGUUCACUAUAAUUUUUUAUUGUAACUAUGUAUAUUAAAAGCUACUUGGUGUUGUACAUGGUAGGAAAAUGAGAGUUAGAAGUUGGUGAAGUAUUGUACAGUUGUGUGUAGGAACCUACAUUGAAGGAUUUUAUUUUAAGGUUAAUAAAAUUUGAUUUUGAUUACAUAAACUCAAGAUUUUCAAUUGUAAAUGAGUUUUUAGUGUUUAUAAUUUUUCAAUUGAAAUUUAUGGAAAUUUAAGAAUGAUGUUUUAGAGGUUUUGAUAUGUUGAAAAAGGAAGAAAAUAUGAAAGUGGGAAAAUCUUAGGGGGUCUAGUGGAGGUGUUGGAGGUACGCAACUUAAGUGGCAUGCCUCUCUUCCCUUGUGUUCUAUAGGUGUGCAACUUAAAUGGUGCAUAAUUUAAGUGGCACACCUCUCUUCCCUUGUGGUUGAUGCACCUUUCUUCCCUUAUGUUCCAUAGGUGCACAACUUAAGUGGCACACCUAUCUCUUUUGCCUUAAAAUGGUUAUUUUUUUACCUUAACAUAGUUGUUUUACCCUAGCAUAGUUAUUACACCUCUCUAUUUUACUUCAACAUAGUUAUCUUUUUAUCCUAACACAAUUAUUUUACUUCAACAUAGUUAUCUUUUUACCCUAGCGCAAUUAUUGCACCUCUCUGUUUUACCUUAGCACAUGUAGUUAUUUUACCUCAACAUAGUUAUUUCCUUAAUACUAUAUUUAUAUUUGAAAACUUAAAAGUAAAUGGAGAGAUAAAUGAUAAAAUAAUAAAUUUUAAUUACAAAUUAACAAUUUUUUUUUUCAAAUUUUCUUCAAAAAAAAAUUCUCCCAAGUAAAAUUGUUGAAGAUAAAAAUCCCAUAAACUCAUUUUGAGUAUCACCAAUAUGAAAACAAUAAAAUUUGUCAUUUUUUUUUUAUCUUAAAUUGCGAAACUUUUAAAAAUGAAAUAUUUCUCAUACUUAGUCAAAUUUUCAACACAACUAAGUCCACAAAUAAGAAAGACUUGAUGUUUUUCCAACUCAACAAGCUUUAUUUAAAAAGCUUUUAAAUGAGAAAAAUUUGGUCUCAAACACUAAAAUUCCCUUCUUAAUUUACAUCUCAAGUACUAAAAUUGUAGGUUAGUCUUUAAUAAUAUUUUAGAACCAUAGUUUUAGAAUUUAGGGCAUGAUAACCACUUUGCAUGAUGAUUCAAAAUUAACACUCAAUUGAAGCUAUGUGGAGAAAAGGUUAUUGAAAAAGACAUGAUAAAAAAGUUAUUUAUUACUUUUCAUACUUCAAAUAUUCAAAAUUAAUGUAGAUUUACCAAAUAUUCAAAAUUAAUUUCAUGCUUUCUAAUUGUAUUCAUUUUUAUCCUUCAUAAUAUUUUCUAUCAUAUAAUAUAAUUUUCUCUCUCAUCCUUGGAGGUAAGCAUGGUUGAUCGAACCACACUAAAACCUUGUGUACCUUUUUGUGUGAUUGUUUUAUUCUUAUGCUUCUUUAUUAAUUUGUUUGCAUAAGAACUUUUUGCAUACCCAAUAAGUGGUAUCAAAGCUUCCACACAAGGAUUAAAAUAUCGGUUUUUAUGAAUAUAUUAGUAACUCGAUUUUACAGAUUUAUCAGGAAAUAUUGACGGAUAUUUUGACACAAAAUAUUAAUAAGAUGAAAAUUGAUCAAAACUCAUGAAAAUGUUGGAAAAAAAAUCUAAAAAAUAAUAAAAGAAGUAACAAUUGACAUUUUGAAAUUAUUUUAUUGAAGAAAUUGAUAUAUAUAUAUAUAUAUAUAUCAAAGCUGUCCUUCUGGAUACCGAGGAGAAGCAGCAGCAGAACAAUCAUGCAGUCAAAGAUUGGGUCCAGAGGCUCAAAGGCGUUGUGUAUGAUGCAGAUGACUUGCUGGAUGACUAUGCGACCUAUUAUCUACAGCGAGGAGGAUUGGCAAGGCAGGUGAGUGAGUUCUUCUCAUCUUCAAACCAAGUUGCAUUUCGUUUUAAGAUGAGUCGUAAACUCGAGGAUAUCAAAGAAAGGGUAGAUGAUAUUGCAAAAGAUAGCCGCCUGUUAAAUCUGAUUCCACGGGACACAAUACACACACGGGUAGAGAAUACCUGGAGAGAUACGCACUCAUUCGUGUUAAAAUCUGGAAUUGUGGGGAGAGAUGAAAAUAAAAAGGAGAUAGUAAACUUGUUGGUGUCAUCUGGCGAUGAGGAAAAUCUUUCUAUUGUUGCCAUUGUAGGUAUUGGGGGAUUGGGUAAGACCACUCUUACUCAAUUGGUAUACAAUAAUGAAAGAGUGGUACAACACUUUGAGCUUAAGUUCAUCAUGUGUCAUUCUUUAUACCAUUGAAUCCUUUGAUAAAGGCUUCAAAGGCAAAAUCAAUAAGAACCCUUUUAAGGCUUGAUAGAAUUGAUUUUAAAGAUGAUUCAACUGUAAAUGCAUUAUUCCUAAGUUUUAAGUGUUUACGUGCCUUGAGCCUAAAUUCGUUGAGUUUGUAUGAGGUCCCAAAAUAUUUAGGCAAAUUGAGUCAUUUAAAAUAUCUUGAUCUUUCCGACAAUUAUUUUGAGAUACUUCCUAAUGCUAUUACAAAGUUAAAGAAUUUGUUAACUCUAAAAGUCCGUAAUUGUCCGAAUUUGAAAAGUUUUCCAAAUUUUACAAGGAAGUUGAUCAAUCUUAGGUACUUGGAGAAUCAUGGGUGUCAUAGAUUGGCUCACAUGCCAUAUGGCAUAGGAGAGUUGACUUUACUUCAAAGGUUACCAUUGUUUAUUGUUGGGAAUGACAGCGAGGGGUCAAGGGAUCAUAAAAUUGGUGGUCUGAUGGAAUUGCAGAGGCUUAACGAACUAAGAGGAUGGCUACACAUAAAAAAUCUUGAAAACGUGACGGAUGUUAUACCAGUAUCCAAGGGAGAAAUUUUGAAAGAAAAACAAUACCUUCGGUCCUUGAUAUUAGAAUGGCAUCAAUAGGGUGAGAAUGAGAAUGAUGAGUUAGUGAUGGAAGGCCUCCAGCCACACCCGAACCUAAAAGAGUUCUUUAUAAAUUGUUAUGGAGGUAGGAGAUUUCCAAGUUGGAUGAUGAAUGAUGGGUUGGGUUCCCUCCUUCCUAACAUAGCUAAAAUUGAAAUGACGUAUUGCUCAAGAUGCCAAAUUCUGCCACCCUUUUCCCAACUCCCUUCUCUCAAGUCUCUGCUGCUUAAUGGUAUGGAAGAGGUGGAGAAUGUGAAGGAGGGUUCAUCAGCAAUGCCAUUCUUCCCAUCUCUUCAAUCCCUCACACUCAGUUGGAUGCCGAAGUUGAAGGGAUUGUCUUUCAAAAUUAUAUAUAAAUUGGUGGCCUAAUUUCACAUCAAUACGACUGGCGUCAUGUCCAUCUCUUUCUAAAUUGUCUAUUGAUUUUUGCUCAAACUUGACAUCCUUUGAACUUCAUUCAUCUCCUCAUCUUUCUGAAUUACAUAUCAAAGAGUGCCAUAAAUUAACAUCCUCGGAUCUGUAUUCAUCUCCUUGUCUUUCUAAUCUAUCUAUUUGUGGUUGCCGUAACUUGACAUCCUUCAAAGCGGCUUCAUUACCUUGUCUUGAGCAACUAAUUCUGAAGAGAGUAAAAAAUGAGGUAUUACAGCAGAUAAUGUCUGUCUCUGCUUCUUCAUUGAGGUCUCUGUCUAUCAAGGGCAUAGAUGAUAUGAUAUCUCUCCCAGAGGAGCUGCUUCAACAUGUCUCCUCUCUCGAAUAUCUCAACAUUAAAGACUGCUAUAAUUUGGCAACAUUACCACAUUGGACAGGCAGCCUCACCUCACUUACAUACCUUGGAAUACAUAGUGCCUAUAAAUUGACAUCACUGCCAGAAGAGACACGGUCCCUCAAAAACCUAUGGCUACUUGAUAUCCUUGGUUGUUUGCAGCUAGAGGAGAGAUGCAGAAAGGAAACAGGUGAAGAUUGGCCCAAGAUCGCCCAUAUCCCAGAAAUUCCCAACCUUUUUUCUCAUUUUCAUUUGCUUCAUUUUUAUUAUCUUACAUUCAAAAUGCUCUGGCAUCAUUUUGUUUUGAUAAUUCUUCAUAUAGCUUGGAAUUCAUGGCAACCCUGAAUUCACAUCAUUACGAGAAGAAUGUGUUCUCUCAAAAUUGACAACUAUUACCUCACAUACAGGGCCUAAUAUACAUUCAUAAUUGCCUUGAAUUCACAUCACUUCUGGAAGAGAUGCAUUCCCUCAAAAACCUGCACACACUUGAUAUCUCUAGUUGUCCACACCUGGAGGAAAGAUGCCAAAAUGAAACAAGUGAAGAAUGGCCCAAGAUUUCUCAUAUCCCACAUCUUUGCCUCGAGGAUGAAGUGAGAACUGAUACAGAAUGGCAUGUCAGGUCCGAAAUCCUUUAUCUUUGUUUCGUUUUGGUAUGUCUUUUGUAUUUGAACCUACUGUGCUUGACUAAAUGCUCACAUCAGUAAGGUUGAAAUUUUUUGCUUCUUCAAACUAACUGUUGAUGCUGUGUACUAAGCUAGGCAUUUUACUUCAAAAGCUUUGAUUUCACCUUGCUGAUAUCAAUGUAUUUGGAGCAUAGAUGGCAUGAUAUCUCUCCCAGAGGAGCCACUGCAACAUGUUUCCAUGAUCCAAAGUUUCAACAUGGAAUACUGCUCUGUUUUGGCAACAUUACCGCACUAGAUAGCCAGCUUCACUUCAUCUAUACACCUUCAUAUUGGUGAUUGCACUGAAUUGACAUCACUGCUGGAAGAGAUGCAUUCUCCUGACACUCAAAAUCUUUCAUUGUCUGCACUUACUUGAAAGAUGCUAAAAAGGAAACAUGUGAAGGCUGACCCAUGAUUGCUCAUAUCCUAAGAAUUCAUACAUGGUGAAGAUUCCAUCAAUUGAGAGAGCCAUUCCACCCGUCGCAUUUUCUUAUAGCUUCAAUUUAAUUCAAUAUUCAUUAAUUAUAUGAAUUCUGUUUUCAUAAUCAUAGUAUGUGUUAGCAUAUACAGCAAUAAUGAUUUUGUUAUUUAUGUUCAGACCUUAACCAUUUGAUGAAAUUCUUAAACAAAUAAGUUUCGAAAUUUUGCUCUCCAAUCAAUUACUAAUGUGAUGUAAACUUAGACAUAGUAAUGAAUUGGUAAUUGAAACCUAAACUAUUUCUUGUUUUUAAGUUUUAUAUUCUAAAAACUUCAGAAAAUUCUAGGGUUGAUAUAAUUAAUAUUUUGUAGCAGAUUUCAUCUUACUUAAAGAUGUGAUUAUUCCUUGGCCCAACUUGAAAUCCGUGUCUGCAUUCGUUCCUUCCCCGAAAUUCAUAUUUACUAGAUGCAAAAAAGACUUCUACUCUCCUUUCAAUUCUUGUCUACUCUUCGCCAUAUGUUUCAGGUAACUCUCUGCCUGCUAUUGAUGGCUAUGUCAUCUUUCAUUUUGCCAUGAUUCUAUCAAGAGUGUAAUACAAUUUGUAAUUAUAUUUGUUGAUUCUAGUACAUACUAAAAUAGUAACAAGAUUGAGCAAGUUAGCAAUAUGUACAGUAUAAAUUUUCUACACUGCUUCCAUUGAAUCUGCUCCAUGUAUAUACUAGCACAGACUAAACAGAACUCCAUGUUGUGCUUUUCAUUAUCUUUAAAACUGACACCAAACAUAACACAGGCAAAAUUUAGUAUGUUAGUCACGUGGCAUGUUCAGUUUUCCCUCUUCUUUGGUGGGCUAGUCCUAUAUGAUUUACAGUCUUCAUGUCUAGAAAAUUUCUUAGAUUAAUAUUUUCUUUUGGCAGAUGUAAUGCUCCCAAAUCAAUGGGAAAGGGACAAUUGUGGGGCUUGGACACCUGACUUCCUUGAGUAAUUGAACUGAGGGUCCUUAAACUAUGUCUCAGUAUCAGUGGCUGCCACACUUGACUUUCUCAAGUAUUUGAAAAUUCAGAGGUGAGAUAGGCUAUGUUUAUGUGUCAACGGAUUCUAAAUUUCAUUACUCUUGAGACCUUUGCAUAGAAGGACGAUGAGGUUGGCAUAUGAACCCCAAGGACUUAGAAUUGAGUCUAUCUCUGCUAUUCUGGAAAUUCUAAAAAUCAUCUAUAGACUGCCUCACAUCUUAGCUUCAAAUUGCUGUGUGCCCUGAAUUGAAAUCAAUUCCAAAAGGACACACCUCUCAGCACUCUCAUGUUGACUAGAAAUGGAUGGAUAAUUCAAAAGCACCCAUAGGCUCUUUAAUCAUGCCACCUACAAUGUAUUUCAGACUCAUGAUCCAACCUCUCUUCCUGCUUUCGUUGGCUUCAUUUUUUAUUGCAUUCAAUGAUCUAAGAAGGUUAUUUUUGUUUAUCUUCUAGAUUAGCCAUCUUUUGUAUACUUUGUGUGUACAUUGGGAGCCUCCUUUUAGGUGUUUUUAGUAUGUUUUCUCUUUUACCUAACAAAAAAAAAUGAUCGAAGAAAGUUAUAUUCUGCUUGUAAUUUUGUUUACUUGGUUCGUAUGCAUUAGCAAAUAUGAAGUGAAAGCAAAUAUGCUGUGUUUAGAAUACCACUUGUAUUAUACAUAAAAAAGUCAUAUAACACUUUGUAUGGUGCAAGCUGUUUCCAUCAUUACUUUAAGAUUUUACUUUGAGUUUGAGAAAAAUUCUGGGUUGAUUUAAUUUCUAUUUUCUUGCAGAUUUCACCUUGGUUAAGAAUUUUUUACUAUUAAUAUCUACCAGAUGUCUAAGGCAUCUAAUAGUGUUCAAACUUUCUGAUGUAUAUUAAAUUCAGGAGGGAUGUCUGCAAUACAUUUCAUCCUUACCCAGAGCUGACAUCAGUGCCAUAAGACAUGGUUGUCCUCAACACCCUAUGGACACUCAGAAUUGGCGAUUGUUCUGGUUUGGCAACAUUAACAGACUCAAUAUGCAGCCUUAUAUCAUUUACAGAGCUUCAAAUGCAUGACUUCCCUGAAUUAACAUCACUGCUAGAAAAGAUGGUUCACUCAAAUCUCUGCAAACACUUAGAAUUGAGGACUUUUCUGGUUUGGCAACACGACCAGACUCGAUAGGCAGCCUCACUUCACUUACAUACUUGAAAUUCAUAGAUGCCUUGAAUUCACAUCACUGCCAAAAGAGACUGGUUUCCUCAUAUCCCUGCAGAAACUCAUAAUCUCUUAAUUGUACAUGUCCAUUGGAAAGAUGUUGAAUGGAAACAAGUGAGGAUUAAACCAAGAUUGCUCAUAACUCAAGAUAUUGAUAUUUGGUGAAGAUUGAAGUGAUAUAAAAGGUUGUUUCAGGUUUGAAAUCCCAUCCUUUCUUCUCAUUUGUUAUGGUUUCAUUUUUAUCAAUAUGUUCUAUUUACAUUCUAUUUUGGUAAUUCUAGCCAUUUUCCUGCUCUAGAGCACUACUUCAUUUUUAUUUUACUAUCAAAAUGUUAAGAGUGUUACACUUUGUUUCAUAAUUUUGUUUUCUUAAUUAUCAUAUGUAUCAAGAGGUAACCAGGUAGUACAAAUGAGCAAUAUCAGUUGAGAACUAGUAACUAUUGCAUAAACCAGUUGCCCUCCCCCAAUCAAUAAAAUUUGAAUUUCGUUUUCCAAAGCUAUUAAUUGCUAGUGCUUUGUAGUUUGAUGGUUAUAGUUGAUAAUCGUUUGCCAAAAUGGUCUUGGUACUUCCCAAAAAAUUUAAUUGUAGAUGUAAUUGUUGCCAAGAAAAAGCGGAUAUUAAUGUCCAUACAUUGUACUCAUAUGAGGAACCUGAAAGUGAGGGUUUGUCAUAAACUAAUUGUCUUUGUCUCAAGUGACUUUGCACCUCAUUGCCCUUGCAACCUUAGAAGCUAUCUGUGUGGUUGGUGUCUCAGCAUCUUACAAUUCUAGAAAUUCUAAAAAUUUUCAACUGUUCUGGUCUUGCAAUUGCCUAGAAGUAAAAUCAUUUCCAAAAGGGAUAUACUCAUGACCAUUCUACAGAAACUCUGAACACUUAAUAGAGAAAUGCCAAAAGGAGAAGUUGAACACUGCUGAUUCAUAAAAUCUAGGGACAAUUGUGUUUUGAAUCUAGCUGGGCCCAAAAAUUAAGUUUUGAUCCAUAUAAGUUGCAUAAUUGAUGGGGAGGAUAUAAAAUAUGAAGAGACCAAUAUACCCUUCAAAACUAUUUUCUACCAUAAUGUUUGACAAACUUUUUUAUCUUAAUUUUUUUUAAAUAAUUAUUCUAAAAAUUUAUUAUUUUUAGAAAAAUAAUUUAAAAAAAUAUAUAUAUAUUCUAAAAAUAUAUCAUUUUAAAAAAAUAAAUUUGACAUAUUUUUAGCUAUUUUUUAUAUACACAAUUUUAAACAUAUAUAUUUUUCAAGAUGUUUGAUUUUAAAAUAAUAAUAAUGAUAAUAAUUUAUUUUUAUUUUUUUUGGAAAAUGAUGUAUUUUUUUCCAAAUCAUUAAAUUAUAUUAAAUUUUAUUGAGGUUUACAAAAGAAAUAAAAUUUAAAUUAAUGUUUUUUUUUUCAUAGUGAACAAAGGUCAAUUUUGGAAAGAUAAAAAAUUAAUAUAAUUCUUUUUAAUUUUCACACUUUUUCUAGGUUUUGGGCCUAAAUAGUGAACUUAUAUGGAUCAAAGCUUAAUUUUUUAGCCCAAUUGGGUCCAAUACACAAUUAUCCCAAAAGAAAAAAAUAUCAAUCUUCCUAAAUAAGUUGAAAUGGUGAGAUUGGAGGAGUAAACUACAUAUGAUGUAAUAUAUUUCUCUCUUCCAACAUAGGCCCAACUAAAUAAUGGGCUUGAGGCAAAGCCCUAACUACUGAACUGAAUGGACUGGGCUUGGUUAUCUAAGAAUUUCAUUUUUCCUUUAAAUCCAAGUAAUUCACCAAUUAAAACCAUGAACAUAUUUGUCUAUAACAAGGGAUUGCAGGAGCCCUUUAAACACUAAAAGUGGGGUUUAAAAGUCAAGAAAGGUUUAUUUCCUUAAAAAUUUUAACAAUAUAAAAAAAUAUAUCUUUAUUUUAAAUGAAAGUAUUUUUAAAAUUAAUUAUUCAUUACAUCUUAUUAACACUCACUACUUAUUAAUAAUUAUAUUUAUAUGGUUUAAAAAAUUAUUACUCUUUUUAAAAUAAGUCCUUGACAAGUUUAUAAAAUAUAGGAGUCGCUAGUUUUUCUAUUUUUAAGAACAAAAGAUGUAUUUAAACGACACCUAAUUCAUUAAAAGAUGUCUCGUAACUAAUUUUAUGAAAUUUUAAAAUUACAUUAAAUUUAAAUGACACACCUAAAAUUAUAUAAAAUUUAAAUCUCAUAAAUUGAAAACUUAAAAAAUGUCAGACCAAAAUUUUCAAAAUUCUUUCUUAAAUUCCCUCAAUUCCAAAUCCCCAACUUUAAGAUUCUGAAUCCAUUUUUUCCUUUUCCAUAUAAAUCCCUUGACUCCAUAAAGACGGUAAAAGAAAAUAAUAACAUUUAGAAACAUACAAUUUUUUUUUUUUUGUUUUUUUUUUUUGUAGAUUUCCCUUCAAAAAAAGUUGCAAGAUGUAAAAGUUUAUAAAUAUUAAAAAGGUAAUUUUUGAAAAUAAAUAAUAUAAUUUUUUUAUUUAUUCCUUUAUUCAUGCAUGCUAAAAAAAGAAGAUAAUAUCCAAAAACCAAGUAAUAAGAAAAAAAAUCAUAAUGGAAAUGUUUAUUUCUUUACUUAUAUUUAAGAAACAAGGUUAGUUCAAAGAAAUUAAAAGAAACACAUUAAAUAAAUUUUCAUUUUUUUUUAAAAAAGUUUUAUUUCGAUUUUUUGGUAGUAUUAUAAUUUGAGAUAGAUUGGAGGAGCAAAGAAGAGAGUCACCGUGAGUAGGUCACACGGGCUUGGGGAAAGGCCCAACUACUCAACUGAAUGGACUGAGCUUGGUUAUCUAACAACUUGUUGCUAGUGCCAUCAUCUUUAUUUGUGGGUAUCUCAGAAUUUCAUUUAACCCUGAAGAUAUUUCUCUACAACAAGGGAUUGGAAUAGCUUUUUAAAUGCAAAAAGUGGGGUUUAAAAGUCAAGCAAGUUUUUAUUUCCUUAAAAUUUUUAACAAAUAAAAGUAUUUUUAAAAAUUCAAUAUUAUUUAAAAAAAAGUUAAAUCAAACCCUUAUUAAGAUGUUAAAAAAAUAUAUUUUUAUUUUGUUUAUCAUUAAAUCUUAUUGACACUCAAUACAUAUUAAUACUUAUAUUUUUGAAAUAGCUUUGAAAAAUUAUUACCUCUUUAAAGUAAGUCUUUGAUAGUUUUUUCUAUUUUUAAAAAUAAAAGUGGUAUUUAAAUAACACCUAAUUUUUCAUUCAUUAAAAUUAUAUGCCUCCCAAAUAGUUUUGUACUGGGAUUUUUUAAUUCCACUUUCAUUAUAAUGCUUCUUAUCAUUUUUAUUUUUUUAUUUUAUUUUUAUGGUUAGAAUCAUUUAACAUUGAAUACAUAUUCAACAAAGCUUUAGCCAAACAAUGGCUAUGAAAAAUUAUAAAUUGAAUGAGUCUAGACAAUGCUUCUUAAAUUUUAUGACUAAAUAGAAAAAAUUAAAAUAUUUGACUCCUUACUAAAUGCUAAAUUAACUUUUUAAAAUAACAAAAACACAAUUUCUACAUAUUAAUGAUUAAUAUUUAAGAAAUAUAAAAUAAAAAAAAUAAACAACUUAAUACUUAAAGUUAUUAAAUCAUAUUUAGAAUUAAAUUAAAUUAAAUUAAAUUAAAUUCUAUUUAAAUUUAAGUAAAACAAUACAAACACCACAUAAGAUUUUCAGCUCUUGAUGUGAGUUCUCUUUAAAAGAUAGUAGAAUUAUACACAAAGCAAUAACAUGAAGAGGUAGUCUACAAAACUCUAUGAAGGAAAAUUAAGAUUUUUAGCUCCUCUCUUUUUCUUUCAUUCAAAUGCUCAAAGCUUAAGUUUUUGUUUAUAUACACAACUUAUAACAUAAAAUGAAUGACUCAACCAAACUAUGAUUCUAAAAUAAUAUCUAAAAAAAUAUAGCACAAUAAUUCAUCCUAUAUAAAUUUAUGAUUUAAUCAAUUUGAUCCCAAUUAAGUACGUGCAUUAUGAGUCACAUUCAUCUUUGUCUUCCAAAUAUUAAAAAGGAAAUUAUAUCCAUAAUUAAUUGCAUGUAACCUUUUGUAAAAAUAUGAUGGAUUUAGAACCCCACUACUUGAUAAUGGAUCCAUUAUUAAAGGUUAUUUAAUGCCACUUUUGCAUUCUAUUCUUUGAAUAAUUUAGUAUUAUUGAGGGGUCAUUGUCUUCCCAUGAGAAUCUUGAAAAAUCCAACCCUUUUGAAAGGGUGUGAAUAAGGUUCCAUAUAUCAGGAGGCUUAUUCGUUAUUUUUCCACCCAAAGCAUCGUUAUGCAUUCAAACUUUUUUUGGUAGGAAAACUGCUCUCUCUCUCUCUCUCUCUCCUUCCCUCCCUCCCUCCCUCCCUCCCUCCCUUUUUCACUAAAUGCUACUGCCUUCACAUUGUAGCCUCACAAGUCAAAUCCAUAGGACCGAUAAGCAUCACACUCUUUCAUAUCAUUUUACUAAGAAUUUAGUCAUUGUAAAAUAGAUUAUGUAUGUGUGAUUGGACAAAAAUUUACUUUGGUGUAACUUGAAGUCUUAUUAUGUCUGAAUCCAAAUAGAAAAUGGCAAAAAACUAUUAUUUAUACUUUAGAUUUCAUAAAAAAAAAUUUACUUAAACAAAAUAUGUAAAAAUAAAAUUUAACUUAAAAAAGGAAAUGGUUUUGCCACUAACUUUGAAUAUCUAGCUGUAAUUAUAUGAUCUAUAGUUCUCAUUAAAAAAGCUCAAAAAGGAAUAUCUAAAUGUAGUAAGAGUGUAUUUGAUAUUGUUUUUAUUUAAAAGGAUUUUAGUGGAAGUGUUUUUCUUUACAAGUGUUUUUGGGAGAAUCACUCAUGAAGUGCUUCUCCACUAAGCAUUGCAAGUGAUUCUCUUAUUGAUCUAUCAAAAAAUUACCUACUUUGUAAUUCUAUUAUAAUAAAUUUGUUAAUUUGAUAGCAAAACAAAAUGAUAUUUUACUUUAUAAGUUUCUUUAGAAAUAAAUUAAUAAAAUGAAUUUAUAUUUGUAAUAUUAUUAGUUGUGAUCGAAUUUGUUAUUUUUUUAUGUUAUAUUAUGAAUUGCUUUAAUAUUAACUACUUUACAUAAAAUCUCAUAACAUGUUGUAUAUAUAACUCAUUUUUUAAUUUAGUAGAUUGUGUAUUCGUUUAGAGAAAUAAGUUGAUAAACUUAUUAUGAUAUAAAGUAUACAAAUUUAAUGUAAGAAUCUUUUGCUUUGUGUCGCAUGAACCAAUGAUUUUUAAGUUCUAACAUAGUUCCUUUACAAAUCUCUCUUCUAAGUUUGGUGGGAAAUGGAAAUAAGCAUAUUGAUGCCUACAAAGUUUCUAUAAUGGAAAUGUGAUCCUUUUCUUUUGCAAAAAAGAAUUAUGGAAAAUAAGAGGAUUUUUUUUUUUGUUAUACAUUUUUUAGAAUAAAAAUAAAUGAUGAACAAGCAUAUUUAAUAACACAUUUAUAAACUUAAAACAGAAUUUUAUAUAAGGUUUAUUAAAAAAAAUGUUAUAAAUAUUAUUUCUUAUAUUUAAAAAUAUAAAUACUUCAAUUACUAAAAUGAUCUAAAAACAAUUUAUUGGCGCUCCCAUUCUCCUUUAGAUUAAAAACUCUUGUUAACAAUGAUUUCCUAUUAAUUUUAAAAAAUCAAACACUAAUGAAUGAUUAAUUAGAGAGAAAUGUUUCCUUCUCUUUUCCUUAGAAGUGAACACUUUGUAAACUAAUGUUUUUCUAGAAGUCCAUUGUCAUUUCCUUUCUGAUUGCAACACAUCCAUAUCAAAGGCCUCUUGGAUGGUAUGGUUAGCUUUAGAAAUAUAUAUUUGGUGUUUCUCUACAACACUCAACAUGUUGGUGGGUUAUUACGAGGAUUGUAUGACUCUUAUAUCUUGUGUAUAUAUUAAAAUGAUAUGAAUGAAUAUAUGAUUAAAUCAACAUGAGCUCAAAUACGUAUGGGCAUGGUGAAUCAAAUUCUCCUUUUCAUCAAAGACGCAAAAAAUAGAUUAAAUUUAGUCCACAGUCACAUUGAACCUUUCCCAAAUAUGACAUAAUUAGAAUCUUUAUCGGAGUACAUGAUAUACAUUAUGGAUUAAAAUCCUAAAAGUGUAAGUUUUCUUGAGAAAAAGGAUUGUAUAACAUAGUGUUGGAUCAUUGUCUUGCAAGAGUUUAUGUAUUUUAAACUUACGUAUGCUUAUUUAAGUUCAUGUGUUCUUCAAGAUGGUUAAUUUGAGAAACAAGUACACCAAAAAAGAAAGGAGACUAGAGGUUGAUGAAAUUUAAGAGUUAAUAUGUGAAUGCUUUGAACAUGAAAGAAUUUUUAAGAAGAUGACAAAGCUAUUCCAUGAAAAGUUAAUUUUACGUAAGGAAUUUCGUCUAAGUCAAAGUAUUGUUCAAUUCCCAUAUGCAUGUCUUAUCUAGGAAAUUGAAAAUAAAGUAGACAAGACCAUAUGAGGUUACAUAAGUCUUUUUGAAUGGGACAAUGAUCAUUAAAUAUCUAAAGUUCAAGGAGAUGUUCAUGGUAGACAACCAUCACUUGAAAAGGUUCAUGGAUAAAAGUGAAAUAUUAGGGAAUUUAUUACCUCACAAGUAAUAGAGGGCAAGACAAGGUAAUUAUAAACAAAUAACAAUAAACAACAACAAUAAUAAAAUAAUUUUUGUUAUCCUAUUUUGCUACUUAGAGGAUAGUGGAAAUUAGAACCUUGCCUAGAGAAAUCAAAGAAAAAAAUAGCUUCUACAUCCAUAGAAUAUAAGUUGAUUUUGAAUUCAACUUCUGAAUUUGAAAUGAUUUCAAAAUUUAACCCAUAAUUUUGAAUUCACUUCUUCAACACUCUACAUACCUAAUUCAAAAUUACUUCCAACAUUUGGAAUUUGUAAUUUUUUAGGGUUUUUUUAGACAUUUUGAUGUAAAUUUAAAGUGGUCAAUUAGGAUUGGCCACAUUUCAUGGUUUUGAUUGUAAUAUAUAAACUUACUUAGUUUUAGGGUUUUAAGAGUCUUGGAUCUAAAGUUUUGUUGAUUCAAUAUACCUAAUUAGCUUUUUCAAUAGAUAUUGUGUGACAAAAUCACCCAUGAGGUAGUUAUCUUGGGUUGUAAAACAUGAAAGUCUAGGUUUACGAUUAGAGAGGAAUAAUGGGUAAAAUAUAGGUACCUAAAAUGAAUUCUAAUAAUUGUUUGAGUAAAGAAAUUGAAUAAUAAACUCUUUAUGUAGAUCCGAUUUUGAGAAGGCACAAUAGAACUUUGUAGAGCUACUAGAGAUUCUUGGCAUUUCUUGAUCCCUAAUUAACAUAAUUUAUCUUAUCGUUACAUAUCCUAAAAGCUAAAUCUACAAGAGGAGUGAGAACUUACACGAUGUGACUUAUACCUGAAUUUGAUGGUAAUUCUUAGGGAUUAAGAUUAAAAAAAAAUAUGUUUUAAAUGCAAUUAUGAUAAUACUAUUGGAAUACUCUCCUCUUUGAUAGGUUGAAUCAUAUCCAUACAAAUAUAAGCCAGCAUUUGGAUCAAACUUUCUCAAAUGUAAGUUUUCAUCAUUAAUUUGAAUCAAGAUGCUUGAUUAGAAAAUUGGAAGUUCUUCAAAGAACUUACAACACAAUAUUAUAGGCAAUCAUUAAGUAAUUAUGAAGAUUUGAAUGGAAAUAAAUUUUAUUUUAAAAAAGCUAGUGAUAAAAAGAGAAAAUUAAAAAUCAUGGAAUUGCUUUUAAAACUAAUUCAAUGGACGGAAAUUUGAGAAAGCCUCCUAACAACCAAAUUAAUUAACCCUAAACAUAACAAUAAAGAAUUAAGGGCAUGGGGGCCUAAACUUCAGUCAAUGUAGGCCUCCAUCUGCAUAUCUAAUUCAUUCAAUGGGCCAUACUUCUAUACUUUUUGAAGAGAAGACUAGACUUUUGCUGCCCCUUGUGUUAUCGAAGGCUAAAACAAAGACUAAUUGCUUUCUCUAUUCCAAGUCUUCUGCAUAUCUAAGCCAUCCAAAUGGAUCAUACUUUUUAUGGAUAAGACUAGACUUCUGGCCUUGUGAUAUGAAGGCCAAGACCAAUACUAUUUGCUUUCUUUAUUCUAAGUCUCUGUGUACCUAACUCAUCUAAUGGGCCACACUUUCCAUGGAUAAGACUAGACUUUUGCCCUCGUGAUAUGAAGGCCAAGACUAAUUGCCUUCUAAGUAGGGUAAUAACAUAAGGAAGUUUCAUAUGGUUUUGUAAUGAAAGUCUAGAUUAUAAGCAUAUAUUUGAUAUAUAUUUUCUCUCAAAUAACAUGUAUAUUUUUUUGUCAAAUGCUCUUUAACAAAACUUUUAUCAUACAUUUUUUUUAUUGUUGUACUAUUUUCCUAUAUCUAAUAUUUUCAAAGCUUCCAUCCUAUUAUGCUAUUUAUAUCUUAGCAACAUUCCUUGCUACCUUACAACAAUUACUUUUAUUUGGAAACCAAUAUGUAUUUAGAUAGAUGACUUCGAACUUCAGAAAAAUUUUGUUCGUCAAUGUAACUUCAUGUACGAUAUAUAUGCAUAUGUUCUGAAAAAAGAAAAUGAAAAAUCGCAAAAUAUACAUGAUAAAUGUUAAGAUUCAUAUAUUGAUGCAAGUACAAAACAAACAAUUCAACAACAAAACUUUCUCCCUUUGAAAGUAAAAAUUAUUUUUACUUGGAAACAACAUUUGUAUAUAAUGAAGAUUUGCAACCUUAAGUUUUUGUCUCUCAAUCUAAUCCACUAGACACAUUUGUGCUUUAAAAGCUCGAACUACUUUAUAGGAAAGACCAAGACUUCUAGCAAUUGAUAUAGAGUUUUCUUUAAAAGCUAAGACUAAGACUACAUAAUUCUUACUUUGUGGAUGAAAAUCAAGAUUUUCAGCUCCUUUGUUUUUCUUUCUUUCUAGUGCCCAAGGUUUAAGUUUGUGUUUUAUAUACAUAACUUAAAACACAAAAUAAAUGACCCAACCAACCUAUGAUUAUCUAGAUAGUACUUUAAAAUAUAUAUAAAUUUAUAAUUUAAUCAAUUUGAUUUCAAUUAUGUAUGGACACUCUGAAUCACAUUCAUCUUUGUCAUCCAGAUAUGAAAAAAAUAAAAAAGUUCAAAUCCAUAAUUAUGCAUCCUAAUCUCUUUUUAAACAUGAGGGAUUUAUAACCCCCCCACUACUUGAUGGACCCUUUCCUAAAGGUGAUUCAAUGCCACUUUGUUUGAUCUUCACAAUCUUUAUCACAUUCUUUGAUCUUUUGCAUUCUUUGAAUAAUUCAAUAUUAUUGAGGGGUCAUUCUCAUUAAAUGAGAAUCUUGAAAAAUCUAACCCUUUUGGACGGGUAUGAGGAAGGUUUCAUAUUAGGGGACCCAUGUCUUACUUAUCCACCUAAAGCAUCAUAAUGCAUUCUCCACCUAUUGUAUUAUAAAAUCAUGCACGAUUUCAAACUUGAUUCUUUAAUACAUUUGAGAGAAAUUAGUAGUUGAAUUUUUUUGUCUUAAUAUGAGUAGUAGAAGAUGUUUUCCACUUCUCCACCUAUUGUAUUAUAAAAUUCAUGCCACAAGUGCGUCUUCAAAAACCACAUCCACUACAUGCGAUAUGUCCACAUUAGCUUGAAUUUUGAUAUAUGUGAAGUUGUUCAAUUUCCCUUUAUAUAUAUAUAUAUAUACUUUUUAUUGUAAUUUUGUGUUACUUUUAUAAGGUUGAGUUUUAUUUUUAAAAACUUUUCAAAAAAUACAAGAGAAAAAAAUUAAAAGAAAAAUAAAAUAUAAAAAAGUAUAUAAAAGUAAAAAAGAAAAUAGAUUUAAAACUAAUGAAUUAUUUUUAAUUAGUUUCUCAAAUUCAUUUCAUUUAAUUUCUUUAUUUAUAUAAAAUUAAAUAAUUUAAAAAUAUAUAAUUAUUUUGAUUUGAUUUUUCUAUUAUAAAUCAAAUACCAGAAAAUAAUUUUUCUUAGUUUUUUUUUCGUUUUUUCUAUAUAUCUUUCAUAUGUAUAAAUCAAUGGAGCCACACCCCUUCAACAACCCUUAAUCAUGUUGUAUCCAUAAUAAUAAUUCACUUUUUUUUUUUUUUUUUCAUAUCAGUUCACAUGUGACCUGAUCAUGAGCAACUAGGCAUCGUCUAAGCUGUACCUCUGGAUGCUGAGGAAACACAACCAUAUUUUCUAUCAUGUCACAUUGGACUUGGAAUAGUUCCAGGUAGACAAGUUAAUAAUAGAUUUGAAAUCUUCACCCAUUAAUUUAAGUUCUUCAUCUAAUGUCCAUAUUUUUCUACCAGGCCACAUAGGACUUUGAAUAGUUUAAAGUGACCAUGUUACCUAAUUAAUUUGGAGAGUACUUUGCAUACUGGAUAGAUCACUAACCUCAUUUAAAUAAUAAAAUCUUCUAAAUUCUUUUUUUUUUUUUUUUCUGAUUUGACAUGAUUAUGCUUUAUUUUAUAAAUUAAUUAAUAAUUAUAUUUAUUUAUCUUGGCUUCCCGUACACAUUUUAUGAAAAUAUUAUCCAUGUAUGUAAUACUCAAGAUGAAUGCACCCUUACAAUUAAAUUCAUCUUUUAAAUUUGAAAAAAAAAACUAAAAAUUAAUAUUUUUUUAAUUAACAUUUAAGUAAUAAAAAUAACAUAACCAAUUUAAUUUUUGGUUUUUCAUUUUUAAAAAAUUACUCUUAUAUUUCACAACUUUUCAUCCUUAAUGUGCUACAAAUCAUUUUACCACUAUAAGGGUUAUGAAAUAAAAAUCAUGUGUGUGGAAUAAAUAAGGAAAAGAAAAUUAAAUUAUCUUAUUAUUUUGCCAUGUAAUUUCGAUUCCUAAACUUUCCUCAAAUCUUUUUGUUUAUAUUUGAUUCUUGGAAAAUGACACUAAAAAAUUAAAAAAAAAUUAUUUUCUAAUGUUUGGUUUUCAUAUAGAAGAUAUCGGAUAUAACUAAAAUUAGUUAAAAAAAUUUGUAUUUUAAAAUUAUUUAUUUCUUAUGUUGAAAAGUUAAAAUAAGUAAAAUGAGUUUAAAGGACAUACAAAUAAUUUAUUAAAUUAAAAACUAUUUUUAAUUUUUAUUCAUUUUUUCUUCACAUUUUCUAUUAAACUUACGGAGAACCAAACACAUCCUUAGUAUUUUCCUUCUUUAUUUGUUAAUGUCGUUUUCCCUUAUCUUUUUCCAUAGUAAUUAAAAAUAAUAAAUUUGUUCCCUUUUCUUUUAGGUUAUGUUUGGUUUUUAGAAAAUUUGAGGGAAAAAAAAUAAAAAGAAAAAAUGGAAGAAAAGAAAAAAUAAAGGAAAAUAAAAAAAGAUUUAAAAUUAAUAACUUAUUUUUAUAUGUUUUUUCAAAUUCAUUUCACUUAAUUUCUUCUAUUAUAUAAAGAUUAAAUAAUUUUAAAUUGUAUAAAAUUUUAACUAAUUUUAAUUAUAUUUAAUUAUUUUUAAAAAUUUAUAAUAAAACCAAAUAUGAGAAAAUUAUCAUCCUUUUCAUUUUUUUUCUUUCCCGAUCACCAAACAUAACCUUACCAUUUUUCCAAAUUUCGGAUUCGUACGUUUGAAUAAUCAGCCUCAUGUCCAUCCAAAAGGAACUGAAUGAGCAUAAAUGGUACAUCAAUUUUAUAUUGACGGCCUUCAGUACCUUUAAUUGCAGCUUGUUGACUUGUCCACCGAAUCCAUGAUAUCAGCCAGUACCCACGUGACUUGGCCCAUCUCAUCCACCCCGAUAAAGAUAUCUCUUACUUUGUUCCCUAUUCUCUCACAAUUCCCUCAGCUUCUCAUCUUGUACGUGCUGUAUUUUCUUGGCUUUCUGCAACUUUGAGUUGUUCCAAAAUGGCUGGCCAAAUUCCAUUCGGUGUUGUGGAGCACAUUUUGACCAAGUUGGGGUCCAAGGCGUUUCAAGAAAUUGGAUCCAUGUAUGGUAUUCCAAAGGAGAUGACCAAGCUCAAUGGGAAACUGGGCACCAUCAAGGCUGUGCUUUUGGAUGCCGAGGAGAAGCAGCAGCAGCAGAGCAAUCGUGCAGUCAAAGAUUGGGUCCGGAGGUUCAGAGGUGUUGUUUAUGACGCAGAUGACUUGCUGGAUGACUAUGCAACCCAUUAUCUUCAGCGAGGAGGAUUGGCAAGGCAGGUCAGUGACUUCUUCUCAUCUGAAAAUCAAGUUGCUUUUCGUUUUAAGAUGAGUCAUAGACUCGAGGAUAUCAAAGAAAGGCUAGAUGAUGUUGCAAACGACAUCCCCAUGUUAAAUCUCAUUCCACGGGACAUAGUACUACACACACGGGAAGAGAAUAGUGGGAGAGAAACCCACUCAUUCUUGUUGCCGUCUGAAAUUGUAGGAAGAGAAGAAAACAAAGAGGAGAUAAUAAGGAAGCUGUCAUCUAACAAUGAAGAAAUUCUUUCCGUUGUUGCCAUUGUUGGCUUUGGGGGAUUGGGUAAGACCACCCUCACUCAAUUGGUAUACAAUGACGAAAGAGUAAAACAUUUUGAGCAUAAGACAUGGGUUUGCAUUUCUGAUGAUUCUGGUGAUGGUCUUGACGUCAAACUGUGGGUCAAAAAGAUUUUAAAAUCUAUGGGAGUUCAGGAUGUGGAGAGUCUGACCUUGGAUGGUUUGAAAGACAAGCUUCACGAAAAAAUAAGUCAAAAGAAGUACUUGUUAGUACUUGAUGAUGUUUGGAACGAAAAUCCUGGAAAAUGGUAUGAAGUGAAAAAAUUGUUGAUGGUUGGUGCUAGAGGUAGUAAAAUUAUAGUAACCACCCGAAAACUUAAUGUUGCAUCCAUUAUGGAAGAUAAGUCUCCCGUUAGUUUGAAAGGUCUAGGAGAAAAGGAGUCUUGGGCUUUAUUUUCAAAAUUUGCAUUUACAGAACAGGAGAUUUUGAAGCCAGAAAUUGUAGAAAUUGGAGAAGAAAUUGCAAAAAUGUGCAAGGGAGUUCCUCUCAUUAUUAAGACUUUAGCAAUGAUAUUGCAUUCUAAAAGAGAACUGGGAUUGUGGUUGUCUAUUAGAAACAAUAUUAAAAAUUUGUUAUCACUUGGAGAUGAAAAUGAGAAUGUUCUACGGGUGUUGAAACUAAGUUAUGAUAAUUUGCCAACACAUUUGAAACAAUGUUUUACAUAUUGUGCUUUAUUUCCAAAAGACUAUAAAAUUGAGAAAAAGUUGUUGGUACAAUUAUGGAUCGCACAAGGUUACAUUCAAUCUGCAAAUGGGAAUGAGCAAUUAGAGGAUAUAGGAAAUCAAUAUUUUGAGGAAUUAUUGUCAAGGUCAUUGUUGGAGAAGGCGGGAAAGAAUCCUUUUACUAAUACAUUAAGUUGUAAAAUGCAUGACCUUAUACAUGAUCUUGCAUAAUCAAUUGUAGGAUCUGAGAUCCUUGUUUUAAGAAGUGAUGUAAAUUACAUUCCAGAAGAAGCUCAUCAUGUAUCAUUGUUUGAAGAGGUAAAUCCUAUGAUAAAAGCUCCAAAGGGAAAAGCCAUAAGGACCUUUUUACCAUGGGAAUAUAAUUUUGAAUCUGAUAGUAAAAUUGUGAAUUCAUUUAUUUCAAGUUUUACAUGUUUACGUGUGUUGAGCUUAGAUGCUUUUCAUGUAAAGAAAGUGCCAAAGUAUUUAGGCAAAUUGAGUCAUUUAAGGUAUCUUGAUCUUUCCUUCAACGAUUUCAAGGUACUUCCAAAUGCUAUUACAAAGUUAUAGAAUUUGCAAACACUCAAACUUGAAGGGUGUAGUAAUUUGAAAAGAUUUCCAAAAAAUUUAGGGGAAUUGAUCAAUCUUAAACACUUGGAGAAUGAUGUAUGUAUUGCCUUGACUCAUAUGCCACGUGGAAUAGAAAAGUUGACUUUACUUCAAAGUCUACCAUUGUUUGUUGUUGGGAAUGAGACAGGGUGGUUAAGGAAUCACAAAAUUGGUAGCUUGAGUGAGUUGAAAAGCCUGAACCAUCUAAGAGGAGGGUUAUGCAUACGAAAUCUUCAAAACGUGAGGGAUAUUGAACUGGUAUCCAAGGGAGAAAUUUUGGAACGAAAACAAUAUCUUCAGUCCUUGAGAUUGGAAUGGAAACGGUCGGGCCAAGAUGGGGGGGAUGAGGGUGAUAAGUCAAUGAUGGAAGGCCUUCAACCACACCCACACCUAAAGGAUAUCUUUAUAGAAGGUUAUGGAGGUACGGAGUUUCCAAGUUGGAUGAUGAAUGAUGGGUUGGGUUCCCUGCUUCCCUGCCUAAUUAAAAUUGAAAUUUCGAGAUGUUCAAGAUGCAAAAUUCUGCCACCCUUUUCUCAACUCCCUUCUCUCAAGUCUUUGAAGCUUCAAAACAUGAAAGAAGUGGUGGAGUUGAAUGAGGAUUCAUCAGCAACGCCACUCUUCCCAUCUCUUGAAUCGCUCGGACUCUUUAACAUGCCAAAGUUGAAGGAAUUGUGGAGGAUGGACUUACUAGCAGAGGAAGUUCCUACAUUUUCUCAUCUUUCUCAAUUAGAGAUCAGAAAUUGCCAUAACUUGGCAUCCUUGGAACUGCAUUCAUCUCCUUGUCUUUCUCAAUUAAAGAUCAUCGAUUGCCCUGGCUUCUUAUCCUUGGAACUGCAUUCAUCUCCUUCUCUUUCUCGAUUAACAAUUGAUGAUUGCCCAAACUUGACAUCCAUGGAACUGCCGUCAUCUCUUUGUCUUUCUCAAUUAGAUAUCAGAAAGUGCCCUAACUUGGCAUCCUUCAAAGUGGCUCCAUUACCUUCUCUUGAGACACUAUCUCUGUUUACAGUUAGAUAUGAUGUGAUACGGCAGAUAAUGUUUGUCUCUUCGUUGAGGUCUCUGUCUAUUGGAAGCAUAGAUGAUAUGAUAUCUCUCCCAAAGGAGCUACUUCAACAUGUUUCUGGCUUGGUAACGUUACAGAUCCGUGAGUGUCCUAACUUGCAAUCCUUGGAACUGCCCUCAUCCCAUUGUCUUUCUAAAUUAAAGAUCAUAAAAUGCCCUAACUUGGCAUCCUUCAAUGUGGCUUCAUUACCUCGUCUUGAGGAACUAAGCCUGCGUGGAGUCAGUGCAGAGGUACUGAGGCAGUUAAUGUUUGUCUCUGCUUCUUCUUCAUUGAAGUCUCUGGGUAUAUGGGAGAUUGAUGGUAUGAUAUCUCUCCCAGAGGAGCCGCUUCAAUAUGUUUCCACUCUCGAAACCCUCUACAUUGUCAAGUGCUCUGGUUUGGCAACAUUACUACACUGGAUGGGCAGCCUUUCCUCACUUACGGAACUUAUUAUUUACAACUGCUCGGAAUUGACAUCACUGCCAGAAGAGAUCUAUUCCCUUGAAAAACUGCAGACAUUUUAUUUCUGUGAUUAUCCACACCUAGAGGAAAGAUACAACAAGGAAACAGGUGAAGACCGGGCCAAGAUUGAUCAUCUCCCACGUAUUUAUUUCGAAAAGGAUUUUCCUAUGAGAUAUAAGGUCCGAAAUCCCUAACCUUUCUUCCCAUUUUUAUUAUUUAAGAAUCAAAAUGCUCACAUUAAUAAUUUUGAAAAUUUUUUCCAGCUUUACUGCGUUUUCUGAUGCUGUGCACUAAACUAAUCAUUUUACUUGGAGUUGUACAUUCUAAGAGUUUGAGGAAAUACUGAGGUCUGAUAUGAUAACUCUCAAUCUUAAACGUUGUUUUGUGUUUGGAACGUUACUACACUUGAUACAUACCCUCACCUCACUUACAGAGCUUUGAAAUCGUGGCUGCCCUGAAUCGACAUCACUUACAUACCCUCAAAAACCUGCAGACACUUAACAAUCUGCAUCUGUUCACACUUAAGAGGAAAGAUGCCGAAAGCAAAGGUGAAGACUAACCCAAGAUUGCUCAUAUGCCACAAAUUGAUAUCAUACAUCCAUGAAGAUUGAACUGAUACACAAUGCCUUUCAGGUCCGAAAUCCCUAACUUUUCUUCUCAUUUUCUAUGACUUCAUUUUCAUAUCUUACUUUUAAAAUGCUCUGUUUUCAUUUGUUUUGGCAGUUCUUUGUAUUUGCACCUUACUUGUUUGAUUAAAUGCUUACUUCAGUUGAGUUUGAAAAUUUUUACAUCUUCAAAUUAUUUUACUGUAAGUGUUUUGCAUUCUAAGAGUUUGAGGAAAUACUGAGCUCUAAUAUUACUAGUAGAGUCCACCGUUCCUAAGAAGCUUACCAUUGCCUAAUGCCCAAAGGAUCCCGAAAGGAGAGAACUUUGGAUUGGCUUGAAGAUUUCACAUGGUCCAAAAAUUUGUAUUUACUAGACGCCUGAUACAAAAAGUAGUUUAAAUUUAGCCAUUAAUAUAACUUUUUUAUUAGAGAAAUAAUUGUCAAACAAAUGCAAAAUAGAAAAUGGUGUUAAUGAAUUCAGUACUUCAUCUAUGUUGCAGUUUAGCAGCUUUUGUUAGAUAAAGAGUAUGGGGUUGGGUUUAUCAUGUUACCAUUCCAAAUAUUCUUAAAAAAAAUCAUCAAGGCUUUGUUUGGUUUCUUGAAAAUUUGAGGGAAAAAAUAAAGAGAAAAAGUGGAAGGAAAAAAAAAAGUGGAAGUCAAUAAAUUAUUUUUCUAUUAUACUUUAAACUCAUUUCACUUUUUUUAACUCUUUGAUUUAAAGAUUAAAUAAUUUGAAAAUGUAUAAAUUUGUAAUUAAUCUUAAUUAUAUUUGAUUUUCUUUGGUAUUUUCCAUAGGACAAUUAAACUUGAGAAAAUCAUUUUCCUUAACAUUAUUUUCUCAAUACUUUUUGGAAACCAAACAUAACCUAAAUGUUCUAGUUUAGUUUAGCAGCUUCAUCAAAUUAGAUAGACAACCUCACAUCUCUUAUUCAGCUGAGGUGCUAUGUUAGUUAAUGUUUUGUCUCUACUUCUUCAUUGAAGUCUAUCUAUUGGGUGCACAGAUGAUAUGAUCCAAACUCAAAUUGAACACUACUCUUGUUUUGCAACAUUACUGCACUGGAAAGGCAACUUGAACUCACUUAUAGACCUACCUAUUGGUGACUGCAUUGAAUUGACAUCACCUUGGAAGAGAUGUGUUCCACAUGGAAAAUCUUUCAUUAUAUGCACCUACUUGCAAGAUACCAAAAGGAAACAGGUGAAUACUUGCCCAAGAAUACAGAGGGCCACACUUGGUGAAGGUUUCAUCAGUAAGGAGAACCAUUUCAAGUAUGAAAUCCUCCCUUCUCAUUUUCUAAUGACUUCAUUUUUAUUCAAUAUCCAUUUGAAAUUAUUUAAGUUCAUUUUCUUUAGAUAUUAUAUUUUCUUGCUUGCUCAAUAAUUUCAUUCAAGUAAGAUGUUUGGAUAUCACAUUUUCUUUGGGGGGUUUUUUCUUUUUAGAAUAAUUUCAAAAUGUCAUUUUUAACUAUUCACAAAAUUUGAUCAUAGUUGAGUGAUUAAAAUUCAAGUUUAUUCUUAUUAUCAUUAGUAGUUAUUUGAUAUAUCCGUUUGCUAAUACAAAAAUAAGACUAACAAGUAAUGUGCAUAGAGUUUGUAGAAGAGAAGAAAGAUUUGAUCCAAGAUAUUCCUAAAGAUUGGAAACUUUCAGAGCCACCCAAGAUCCCACAGGUUGAAUUCAGAUUCAUCCAAUUUACAAUCCAUUAAUUCUACUUAUAUCAUCUUUGUUAUGUUACAAUUUGCCUUUACUUGUUAUGCAGCCUAUCUUAAUAAUUUGGGGAGACCAAGAUAAGGUAUUCCUAGUAGAACUAGCUCACAAAUUGAAAAGGUAAACUUGUGUCACCUAUCUACAUGCCUACAACAAUACAAACACUAGGUCAUGUCUUUCUCACUAUUGAAAUUGUUAUUGCGUGCAGGCAUUUCAGGCGAGGAGGCCCAACUUGUGAUCAUAGAGCAUACUUUUAUUAUAGAGAAGCCCAAUGAAAUAUUUUAAGCACUUGAAAUCCUUUAUCAUUGAUUUGCUUCUACCUCCCAAGCAACACCUAGAACCACUCACACCAUGACGAAGUUAAAAGGAACUAAUGCAACAUUCUCAAUAUAUUAGAAUAUAUUGAAGGAAGGGUGGCCACAUAUGAAGACCCUAUUCCAAGGUCAAAUUUUAGAUUUUUGUGUUUUUCCUAUCACUAUUCCUAUACUAUUACCAGUGCACCUUAUUUGUCAAGAUGAUUAAAAGGGAAUUCCCUAGGAUAACUAGUGUCUCAAGUGAUCUUGAGGUUCAUAAAUUUUUGGUUUCCACAAGAUAGGUGCCAACUAUUUUUUUUACACCCAUGCAAUAUUCCAGUCAUCUAUUAACAUGGGCUAAAAUGUCUUGUAGAUAAUAGAAUAAAGAACUAAAUUACAUGAAAAUAGGACAUUAUUAUUCUAUUUACAAGUAAGGGCCAAAAAUUGUUGAGGGCCAUCAAGCACACUAUUCCUAAAAUAAUAGCAUCCAUGUCGUUGAGCAAAAGUUUUUUUAUAUUGACACCUCAUAUGUUUGUUUAAACGCUCACAUCAAUAACUUUGAAAAUAUUUUCCAGAUUUUCGACAAAUUGUAAUGUUGUGCACUAAACUAAUCAUUUUACUUGGAGUUCUACAUUCUAAGAGUUUGAGAAAAAACUAAGGUCUGAUAUGACAACUCUCAAUCUUAAAUGUUGUUUUGUGUUUGGAAUAUUAUUGCACUUGAUAGAUGCCCUCACCUCUCUUACAGAACUUGGAAUUCAUGGCUACCUUGAAUUGACAUCCCUGCUAGAAGAUAUGUUCUCUCAAAAUCCUGCAAACACUAAACAAUUUGCAUCUGUUCACACUUAGAGGAAAGCUACUGAAAGGAAAAGUGAAGACUAACCAAAGAUUUCUCAUAUCCCACAAAUUGAUAUCAUGCAUCCAUGAAGAUUGAACUGAUAUAGAAUGUCUUUCAGGUCCGAAAUCCCUAACUUUUCUUCUUAUUUUCUAUGACUUCAUUUUUAUUAUCUUACAUUCAAAAAUCCUAUGUUUUCAUUUGUUUUGGUAGUUCUUUUUAUUUGCACCUUAUUUGUUUUAUUAAAUGCUUACUCCAAUAAGUUUGAAACAUCUUCAAAUCAUUUUGCUUAAGUGUUUUGCAUUCUAAGAGUUUGAGGAAAUACUAAGCUCUAAUAUAAAUAGUAUUGGUCAUAAAGUCUUCUUUUCUUAAGAAGCUUACCAUUGACCUAAUGGCCAAAGGAUCCCAAAAGGAAACGACUUUGGGUUGGCUUGAAGAUUUCACAUGGUCCAAACAUUCGUAUUUACUAAAUGCCUGAUACAAAAGAAAUUUUGCUUUCUUUUCAAUUUAGCCAUUAAUGUAGUCUAAAUGUUUUAUUAGAGCAAUAAUUGUCAAGUAAAUGCAAAAUAGAGAAUGGUGUUAAUGAAUUCAGUACUUCAUCUAUGUUGUAGACUUGUAGUUUAGCAGCUUCUGUUGAUAAUGAGUGUGGGGUUGGCUUUAUCAUGUCAGUGUUCCAAAUAUUCUUAAAAAAAUCAUUUAAGCUCUGUUUGGUUCUUAGAAAAUUUGAGGAAAAUGUGAGGAAAACAAAAUAGAGAGGAAAAGUGGAAGGAAAAAAAAGUGAAAGUCAAUAAAUUAUUUUUGUAUGCUACUUCAAACUCACUUCACAUUUUUUUAACUCUUCAAUAUAAAGAUUAAAUCAUUUGAAAAAUGUGUAAAUUUCUAAUUAAUUUUAAUUAUAUUUUAUUUUCUUUGGUAUUUUCCAAAAGACAACCAAAUAUGAGAAAAUCAUUUUCCUUAACAUUUUUUUUCUUAGUACUUUUAGGGAACCAAACAUAACCUAAAUGUUUUAGUUUAGUAGUUUCAUCAAAUUAGAUAGGCGACCUCACAUCUCUUAGUGAGCUGAGGUGCUAUGUCAAUUAAUGCUUUGUCUCUACUUCAUUGAAGUCUCUAUCUAUUGGAUGCACAGAUGAUAUGAUCCAAACUCAAAUUGAACACUACUCUUGUUUUGCAACAUUACUGCACUCGAAAGGCAGCUUCAACUCACUUAUAGACCUUCCUAUUGGUGAUUGCACUGAAUCGACAUCACUUUGGAAGAGAUGUGUUCCACAUAGAAAAUCUUUCAUUAUAUGCACCUACUCGCAAGAUACCAAAGGGAAACAGGUGAAUACUUGCCCAAGAAUACAAAGACCAUACUUGGUGAAGGUUCUGUCAAUAAGGAGAACCAUUUCAAGUAUGGAAUUCUCAUUUCUUCUCAUUUUCUUAUGGCUUCAUUUUUAUUCGAUAUCUAUAUGAAAUUAUUUAUGUUCAUUUUCUUUAGAUAUUACAUUUUUUUGCUUUCUCAAUAAUUUCAUUCAAGUUCUUUUGAUAUCACAUUUUCUUUGGUGUUUUUUUUAGAAUAAUUGAAAAUGUCUUUUUUAACAGUUCACAAAAUUUGAUCACAAUUGAGUGAUUAAAGUUCAAGUUUAUUAUUAUUAUUAUUAUUAUUAUUAUUAUUGGUUAUUUGAUAUAUUUGUUUUCUUAUACAGACAAAAGACCGGCAGCUAAUGUGCAUAGAAUUUGUAGAAGAGAAUAAAGAUUUGAUAUAAGCUAUUCCUAAAGACCAGAAACUUUUAGAGCUACCCAAGAUCUCACAGGUUGAAUUUUGAUUCACCCAGUUUACAAUCCACUAAUUAUCCUUAGAUCAUUUUUGUUAUGUUACAAAUUGCCUUUACUUGUCAUGCAACCUAUCUUAAUAAUUUGGGAAGACCAAGAUAAGGUCUUCCUAGUAGAACUGGCUCACAGGUUAAAAAGGUAAACUCAUAUCACCUAUCUACAUGCCCACAACAAUAUAAACACUAGCUUAUGUGUUCCUCACUAUUGAGAUUGUUGCUGCAUGUAGGCAUUUUGGGCGAGGAAACCCGACUUGUGAUCAUCAAUAACACAAGGCAUGCUUUUAUACAGAGAAGCCCAAAGAAACAUUUAAGCAUUUUGUUAGCCCAAUGGUUCUCCUAAUCAUGUUUUGAAGAUAACAAAUCAUGGUUAAGUGACUAAUUGGUUUGAAUGGUAAAGAAUCUUAGGUAUAAAUUUGGAAAUUCAUCAAAGGACCAAAUGGAUACAAGAUCGAGACUUUUGGAAGACUUUUGAUCAUAGGAAACAAAUGUAAGAUGAAUGCAUGGGUGCACUUAGGUUUUACAUAUCUUUUCAUGCAUCUUUGAAAACUCAGUUUAUUCCUUAAAAUUACAAUUUCAUUAAAACCUGAGUUUUAUCAAAUGUACCUUAGGCAAAACGUUUCAAAAUUGGCAUAUUAAUUUACCUAAAGACCUUGCCUAAGUGUUAGAAAGGAAAAUAAUUGAAAAAUAUAGGUUUUCGGGGCCAAAAGGCUGAACCGAUCAAGGCAUAGGCCAACCAGCUUAACCAGCUAAGGAACUAGUCGACCGGUUGCCCUUGUCCGGCAGGAGAUCCGAUCGAAGAGUGUAAAAAACACUCUCUCUCAUCCAGUAGCCUUCUCUUCCCAGUUGAGGUACUCUCCUUCCCGAUCGACCUCUGGUCGAGGUCCGAUCGAGGCAACGGUAACCUGCCAAAGCAUUAAAUGCUCCAACGGCUAGUGAACUGGUCGACCCCCAACUCGAUCGAUUGAGGCUGCUUUUUGCUCUUUUUGGCUCCUGAGCUUAGAAACCUAUAAAUUGAGAGCUCCACUUCAUUUAUGAUAUAGAGAAAACUUGCAAUCAAUUGUUUACCCACUUGUUUUUGCCUUAAAAGCUCUCAUUUCUUUUUUAGUGCGUUAAAUCCUCACUUGCAUAUCCUUUAGUGCACCCUUGUGAGUCAUCCUAGCUUUGAUUUGUAUUUGAGCUAUCAUUAGGCUAGGUUGAGGGAUUCAUUCUUGUAAAAAUUGAGUGUUAAAGACUUCAAGAGGUUUGAAUCUUGAAGAGAUUAUGUAAGAGCCCAUUGGAGCCAGAAUCCAAGUGUAAAGGAGAUUGAAAGCUUGGUUGAAGCUUCAAGUUAGUGGAACCCUCACUCAGUUAGGAGAUUGAGGAGAGUGGACGUAGGCAAGGAAAUGUCGAACCACUAUAAAAUCCGAGUUUAAAUUCUCUAACUCUAUCUCUUUAUUUUUUUAUUAUAUUGUGCUUGAAAUUGUUGUGUUGAAAAAGUUUUUGAAAAACCCAAUUCCCCCUCCUCUUAGGUAUUUUUCUCAUUUAAGCAUAGCCUUUAUUUUCUCACACUUGAAAUCCUUUCUCAUUAAUUUGCUUCCACCUCAUAAGCAACCCUCAGAACCACUUACACCAUGACAAGGUGAAAAGAAACUAAUGCAGCAUUCUCAAUAUAUCAGAAGAUAUCAAAGGAAGGUUGGCCACAUAUGAGGACCCUGUUUCUAAGGUAGAAUUUUAGAUUUUUUUGUUUUUCUUGUCACCGUUUCUAUACCAUUACUAGUGCACCUUAUUUGUCAAGGUGAUUAAAAGGGAAUUCCCUAGGAUAACUAAUGUCUCAGAUGAUCUUGAGGUUCAUAAAUUUUUUGUUUCAACAAGAUAGGCGUCAAACCAUUUUUAUUUUUUUCUACACCCAUGCAAUAUUCCAUUCAUUUAUUAAUAAGGGCUAAAAUUUCUUGUAGAGAAUGGAGUAAAGAACUAGAUUAAAUGAAAUAAGACAUUAUUAGUCUAUUUACAAGUAAGGGCAAAAAAUUCUUGAGAGUCAUUAAGCACACUGUUCCUAAAAUAAUAGCAUCCAUGUCAUUGAACAAAAUUUUAUUGCAAUUACAUUAGCAUAUAAAACAAAACUAUUUUUUUUAUUUAUGUUCACAUCUUAUCCAUUUGAUAAAAUGCUUAAACAAGUAAGUUUGAAUUUUUUUUUUGUCUUCAAAUCAAUUUAAAUUUUACAUUCAAAAGUUGAAUUAAUUAUUUUUUUUGAAAAAUUUAACCACACUUUAGAAGUUUGUGAUUAUUCUUUGGUCCAUCUUAAAACGAGUUCUUGCAUUCUUUCAUUCCUCCAAUUAAAAUCACAAUAAAAAGUUUUAGAUUGACCUAAAAAUUUUUCAUGGCCUAGAAAUUCAUAUCUACUAGAUGGCUAAAGCAAAAAACACUUCUUCCUUGUAUUUUAAGUAAUCUCUGCCUGCUAUUUGUUUAUUGAGAGCAUCAUACAAGUUGUGAUUAUAUUUCAUAAUUUUUUUAUAUGAUAAGACAGUAACUAGAUUGAGAAAUAUGCAACUUGUAGAGUAGAAAAUUUCUUAACUACUUCCCUUGUAUUUGCUUUGUGUGUAUCAACUGUUCUGUUAAUUAUUUUUAAAAAAUAUCACUAAAACGAACCUAUUAUGUUAGUGCUCUCUAUUGUUAUGUAUCAUAAUUUAGCUAUUUUUUUCCCUUAGAAAUCAUGCUUGUUAUUGUUUUAAUCAGUAGAUAGCAUAAAAACUAUUUUGUUCAAGUUAUUUUGUAUUGGCAUUCUUCAUGUUUCAAAAUAUUGUCAAACUAGCAAUUUUACUGCAGACAUAAUGUUCUCAAAUCAAUGCAAAAAGGGACGAUUGUGGGGGUUGGGCACAACCUUCCUUGAAUAGUGGAAUUGAGGGUUUCUAUAAACUAGGUCUCUAUAUCAAUAGAUUCUACAUUUCAUCACUAUGAGACCUUACAAUAAAUAUAGCAAAAAGCUUCAUUUACUACAUAGUAAGGAUAAUCCUAAGGACUUAAAAGCUUGAGUUGUUCCUUCCAUGGCAGCUUUAGAUCUCUUAAUGAGCUCCAAGUCAUUGUCUACCUUGAAUAUAAAUCACUGCUAGAAGUAUGUGCCCUCAACAUUCCCAUAUUCCCGAUAUUGACUAGAUAUUUGUUGCUAAUUCAUGAAGAAUUGAAGGGAUCUUUGAUAAUGCCAUCUAUAAUGUACUUCAAGUUCAUGAUCCAAACCCUCUUCUUGCUUUCAAUAACUUCAUUUUUUUUUAUAUUACUUUGUGGUCAAUGUUAUAAGAAUGUUGUAUUUUGUUUACCAGAUUCUCAUCCAUCAGCACACAUGAAAGGAAAAGUUUUACAUUGUUUUCCUUCCCUUUGCUCUGUGUUUAUAUAUGUUUAUGCAACUAAUGAGAACUUCCACCGUAACUUUUUAAGUUUUUUUCAUUCUCGAGUUUGGGAAACAACUGGAUUUGAUUGUAAUAUUUUAUUGUAGAUAUCACCUUUCUUAAAAAGCUUGCAUUUAUUCACAUUUUCAAGAUGGCUAAGUCAUCUGAUUAUGCUUAGAACUUUUGGUUUCUAUUAAAUUCAGGUAUGAUGUUUGCAAUUCUAACCCUCUCACUCCUCUUGAAGACUACAUAAGUUUCUAGUGCUUUUACUUUAAUGGUUAUGGUCAAUGUAUCCUCUUGUUACUUCCUGUUUGCAUUCUAUAUGUUCAAGAUCUUUAUUAGAGUAAUUAUUUUAUUGAAGAUAUAAUUGUUUUCAGGUCAAAGCAAAACCAAAACCAAAUAAUGAUGUGGUUUCAACAACUUCUCAAAAGUAACUAGAAAGUAAGGAACUUUGUGGUAGUAUUUUGAUAUCACAUUGGGCUUUCAAAUUGUUGUCUUGAAUUGACAUAAAUAACAUAAUUUCUUUCCUAGUUCAGCUACUUCAACAUGUUAUUAUGCUUCAAACUCUUUCAAUUAUGUGUUGUUUAGGUUUGGCAACAUUAGUACACUGGAUAUGUUGCCUCAAGUUACUUACACAACAUAAAAUUCAUAUUUGUUAUUAAUUGGCAUCACUACCACAAGAUGAGUUCCCUCAGCAUUCUACAUACAACUAUAAUUUGGGACAAUUAUGAUUUGGCAACAUUAUCAGAGUUGAUAGGCAGCCUAUCUUCAUUAACAAAAACCUUUAAAUUUAUAUUUAUCCCGAACUAGCAUCACUGCUGGAAGACGUGCAUCCUUAGCACCCUAUAACCACUCACAAUUGGAGACUGUUAUGGUUUAUAAACAUUCAACAGACUUUAUAGGUAACCUUGCACCACUUACAGAGCUUCAAAUUCAUGGCUAUCUUGAAUUGACAUCACUUUCAAACUAGAUGGUUCACCCAAACCUCAGUUGACACCCACAAUUUAGGACUUCUCCAUUUUGGUAACGAUACCAGAUUUGAUAAGCAUCCUCACUUCACUUACAUACACUAAAAUUGAUAGCUACCUCGGAUUCACAUCAUUGUCACAAGAGAUUAAUUCCUUCAUAUCCCUGCAAACACUUGUGAUCUUUUAUCGUCCAUGUAUAUUAGAAAGACUUAAAAGGGAAAUAGGUGAAGAUUGACCCAAUAAUCUUCAGUCCUAGAUAUUGAUAUUUGGUGAAGAUUGGACUAAUAUAGAGUUAGUUCAGGUUUGAAAUCCCAAUCUUUCUUCUGAUUUGUUAUGGUAUUGUUUUUAUCAAUAUGCUCUGUUUACAUUCUAUAUGGUAAUUUUUGUAUGCAUUUGCAUAUAGAUAAAUAAGGACUUAGAUGAUUAAUUUGAAAAUUUUGCAUCCUCAAUUAAUUAGUAAUUAAAGACCAAACUGAUCAUAUUACUUUAAGUCUUGCAUUGUAAGAGUUUGGGAAAACGUUAGGGUUGACUGAACUACUAUUUUAUAAUAGAUUUUGCCUUACUAAGGAAUCUUGUGAUUAUCCCUUGGCACAAACAUUUCUCGUGUCUAAGAAAUUCAUAUCUACUACAUGGCUAAAGAAUUUAGUACCAUUCAAAAUUUCUGUUUUCUUUCAAAUCAGGUGUAUUGCUUUCAAUUCUAACAUGUUUCCUAUUUUAAAUGUUGUAUUGUUAUUUUACUAUCAAUGUGUUAAGAGAAUUAUACUCUAUUUUCUAUAAUGUUGUUUACUUGUCAUAUGUAUUAAUUAUUUUAUUGCAAAUGUACUUGUUGCCAAGUUAAAGCAAAAGAGGAAAGUGAGGAUUUUUCAUGGACCAAUGCCUCUCUUAGUUGCUGCCACACUUGACUUCUCUUUAAGUUGUUGAAAAUUUUGAAGUGUGAUAGCAUAAAGUAUUCAGCUCAAGUGCUUUAGUGCCUCACUACCCUUGAAGCUUUAGAAGUUAUCAAUACAAUUGGGGUUUCAACAUGUAACCAUUUUGGAAAUUCUAAGAAGUGUAAGUAUUAUGGUUUUGCAACUUUAUUAAACUAGAUAGGCAACUUCAAAUUGCUGAAUGCCUUGAAUUAAAAUCACUACUAGAAGGAACCCAUGAGCACUCUAUAGAAAUUCAUAAUCUACUACUCUUGCCACUUAUUAAGAAUGCCAAAAGGAAAAAGUGAAUAUUGGCCUGAGCAUGAUUGAUUAAUAAACCACACAUAGCCUCCUUAAUUCAAGUGUCUUCUGUUAUAUGUUUCAUGUCAGUAAUCCUACAUUUAUCUUGUUUCUAUUGGCUCUAUUUUUUUGAAUUAUUUUACAAUCAAUCUUCUAACAAUGUUCUACUUUUUUUACAAUUUUAUUUUUUGAUUCUAAAAUGAAUUAAGACAUAUAAAGAAAAAAAUCACCUUGUUUGAUUUUCAUAUACUAUAUGCUUAUAUGUACAUGUGUUAAAAUCUUUUGAUUUUUUAUUGAUUACUUUCUAUUUAAUUUAUUAAAAAUUGUUAGUCUAUUUGGAGAUGAUUUUUGUUUUUUCAUAUGUAAUAAGAUACCAACAAAUUGAGUGAGGAGCACAUCUUACUAAGUCGCUUGUCAAUCUAUCCACCUUCCUAAUCUCAAGAUUAUUCAUGUUUGAAUUAAAAUACCAUGAAGUACAAAAACAAAAAAUGAUGAAAAUGAGUCUUCCUCAUCAUCUUUAUUUUUAUUAGAAGGCAAUUUGUAGCAUCCUAUUUCCCAUUCCUAAAAAAUACUAAAGCUUUGUAGGUUGAGAAAUCAGACAUGUUUUCUUAAAUGAUCUUCUUGGUCCAUGCAUGCUUAUAUUUGGAAGAUUUUUAAACCAAGUAUUUUAUGACAUAUAUGAUAGCUUUCAAGUUAGUGCAUAAAUGGUGAUGGUUAGGAUGCAAAAUAUAAUCUAUGCUCAACCUAUUUAUUGACAAACUACCAAAGGCUAGUGCUAAGGUAAACACCCGUCACUUGCAUCAUACUCUUUCUUCUCUGCCCUUUUUAGUUGUUAUCCAAAGUUCAUAUAAUGUCUUUAUUAUUCAAGUUUUCAUUUUCAACCACUUUUUAAACUUUUUUUCUUUUUAUGGUUUAUUACACGACAAUCCAUUUCUAAGAAAUUGUUGUACUCUAUUUAUAAAUCUUAUCUUUUUGUUCUUAUAGACAAUAGAACAACGUGGUAAUUGCAUGACAUACAAUUUGUAAUAGAUGUUCAACUAUAUAUUAGGUAAUCUUUAAUUGCCUUGGAGCUGAAAAGUUUGAUGUUGAUAAGGUUUGAUAAUUCUCGCUUUGGUGCUUUGUUGGAUUUCAAUUCAGGUGAUUAAUUGAUCUUGUUAUGAUUCUUUGAUUGUUAUUAUAACUAUUGUGAUAAUCAUUCUUAUUUUAUCGUGGCAAUUGACUUCACUGACUUUUUAACAAUUAUAUCAUGAGUGAAAUGCCCAACCUAUUAUUGUUAGUAUUCCAUUGACAUACCUUUAAUGCCACCACUAAUAAACAUCAUGUAUUAAUAUUUAUAACACGUUUCAUUACUGAAAUGAUUUAAUAUUUUCAAAUUUCUUUUUAGAGUGUGAGAAAUAACCAUUAAUCUUUGCAACAGCAUAAGUAUCAUUGAUUUGAUAUUGCUUUCUUGAGUAAUUUGGCAAUUUAAUUAUGAAGUUUAGUUGGACAUUACUUGAGAUUCUGUCUUAUGUAUAUGGUUUAUUUUCCAAGCUUCAAUUAUAUUUAGUAGACUUCUAAGUGGUGUUUGUCUAUGAGUUUCAACUCUUGAAAACUACUAUUGGAGCCUAAGUUCACUUUCAGUAAGGAUUAAAAAAAAAAAAAAAAAUCAACCUUUUCCUCAAUUGUGUAAUUUUAUUCACUAUUGACAUGCCCUUAAAUGGCUUUGCUAUUAUUUGUAGGGAACAUUGUCAAGUUCUAUAUUUGUCUAGAAAGUUAAAAGAAGUAUUUAAUUUGACAUGGUUUGGACAUCUUGCUACUAUCUUUUUAAAUUAGUUAUCAAUAAUUUUUCAAAGUUGACCUUUUUGUUUAUCUCAUACUCCUUUUAUAUUAAAAGGUACCGCAUGGGUAUUGUGUAGUCAUGCCUUCUUUAAUUGAGGUGAACCUCUUGCAAAAUAUUUUGGGUUUGCUCUCUUUCCAUUUGUUACUUCAUGUCUAUUUUUUUGUAAUCAAUCAAGCAAGAGUUUCUUACUUGUACAAUGGUGAACUUGCUUGCAUGAAUAAUACUCUUUUUACUAUUUUUUUUUCCUUUCUUUAUUAUAUUCAUGGAUACGCUUAGAAGUGAAUAGUGAACCAAGUUUUUUGUUAAAAGAAAUCAAAUUUUGGUAAUUAUUUAGUAUCAUGUUUGUAAUAAUCAAUUAUUGAUUGUAAAGAUACUUGGCUUAAUCAAUUUAGUACUAUGACUAAUACCAAAAUGACAAUAUUUAGUCUUGUUUGACCAUUAGUCACUAUUCUAGAGGCAAAUGCUCACAAGUUUUGCAUCUUUGAAGCAUAUGAGAAACGUUGGCUCAACUGUAUCACCAACUUACAACCUCCUUAUAGUGUCCAUAUAUAUAACCUCUGUUGUUCAGCUUUAUGAUUCAUAUCUCUUUUAUUUUUUAUUUUUUUUGUUUUCAUCUUUUUAUUGUUUAUACUUUUUUUAAUUGAUUUGUUUAUAAAAUUUUAAACUUUAUUGGCAGUACUAAUUUUUUUUAUUCUCAUGUGCAAUAGAAUAAUAAGUUGAAUAAAAAGCAUAAACUACUUAAUUGGUAUAACCGUUUACUCAAUUCUCUUCUCAGAUAUUUUUGUUCAAGGUAAUCAAAGUAUCAUUCUUUUUGUUUUUAAAGGUACUUGAACUCAGUGAGGACCAUUCCCAAAACAAGCAAUAACUAUAGUUGGAUUACUUAUAUCAUAUCCUUGAUUGACAUCUAUGCCAUUACAUUUGCAUAUAAAGGAUUUAUGAUGAAAAAAAUAUCUUCUUUAUUUCCAUUUUCCUUCCUUCUUUUGACCAUAAUUUGUGUGCUUAUUGAUAGCAUUCAUACCCUAAUAUAUUUGCUAGCAUAUAUAUGCAUGUCAUAAUAUAUUGAAUUUUUUAUCAUAAGGUCUUAGAGUAUUCACAUAUCUCUAGGUUCUAUAUAUUUAUAAUUUUUACAACAUCAAAUGAAGUAUAUGAACCUUAUCCUGAAGGUGAAGUCUCUUUAAAAGGAGGUUCAACAUGUUAGCAAUUACCUAACUUAAUAAUCUAACAAUUUGGCACUAUAUAUAAUUUUUCAACUUUUUCAUAUUGUAAGAUAUUUCUCCUUAUGUAUAAUAUAAGUAUGUUUUUUAUUACCUCCUAUAUGGAUGGUUUUUAAUUAAGUUUUGUUUUUCAUUUUAUUUAAUGUUCUUGUACCGCCUACAUGGUCGGUUUUAAUUAAGCUUUGUUUUUAAUUUUAUGUUUUUAUUUUGUACCGCCUACAUGGCCGGUUUUAAGCUUAUUAUGAACUAACAAGUUUUUUGUUCCUUCUCUUUAAAUUUCUUGUUGGAUAUCUUUUGUAUUUUCUAACCCUCUUCUUUGUUUUGAAUCAUGGCAUAAUUCCUGUUUUCAUUGCAUUAGAAUAGAUGAUCCACCUAAGAUAUUAGGUACCCAAUUCAUUCAUAAUCUCAUUAUAAAUGAUAUUUUAAGCAUUCCUUUAUGCAUUUCAAAAUUUCAUGGCUUUAAGAUCAAACCAGGAAACAGCCAUGUUUCUAUCAUAACCAGGUUUGCCUAUAAGAGCAUGAACACAAGCGUUGGUUCUGGGGCUCUUUGCACCAGUCCUAAAGGUGAGACCACUUAUUUUCACUCAGAUAUGCUAGAUAAGUCAGAUUUCAUCAUCCCCAAGAAGAUCUUGUGGAAAGAUGUUGAUUUUCCUGAAAAUUGGCAUUUUGCUAAUGUUGUUCCAACAAUUGCACAGCGUUCUAAAAGUAUUGAACAAAUUGUUCAAUAUCCUGAUGGAUGAGGAGAACUGGUUUUCUCCAACUCUUUCAGACAUUCCAGCAACCCUAGAGUUUCUGUUUAUGAACCCUCUAGAGUUUCAAGCUCUUCCAUCCCAAUUAGAACCACUAGGGAAGAAGAAGGAUCCAGCUCAGGAAACCCUAAGAACAUUAAGCUAACCGGUGUUAGAAGUCACACCAACGUGGCUAGACCAUUUUACAGUGAGGAAAAUGAGUCUACACAGGAAUCCCAACAGGAUGAGUCUCCUGUUAUGUCUCCUACCUAUUCCCAGAUGAUUAACACUAUAAGCCUAAGUAAUGAGAACUUUGAGAUCAACAAGGAUCUCUUAAGAAAGGACUUCUAUUCUGAAGUCAAUAAGAAAAGAAAUGAUUGGUUCUUUAGCACUAUCCCUAAGGUCAUUAGAACCAUUUACCAAGAAGAAUUCUAUGCCUACUUAAGACAAGAAAAGAAAAAUAUUAAGUUUUGGAUUUGGUUUGAACUCUUCAAACAAGAGGAAUAUCCAGAUUAUCCUUGUAAGCAUAUUAACAACACUAAGAGCACUGAUAAAACUAAGUCCUUUGAAUUUUCUAAGGAAUUCCAGGAAAAUCCCCAAAUCAACCAGGCUUUUGUUGAUAGGAUUAAUCAUAAGAUUAAGGAUAAUCUUGUUGCCCCUUUGACUGUUUAGCCUGAUAAGAGAAUCAAUAUGGUUAAAGGUGAUAUUAGUUCAGAAGAAGAAGCUGAUGAACUAAUUAAGAUGUUUGAGGAACCCCAUAAUCAAAUUAUUAACAACUUGGAAGCUUUUAAGACUAGGAAUUACUAUCCUAGACCUACUUUUCCUGACAUGCAGUUUGAGGAAAGAAAUCAGUAUACUCAAGCCUCAUACACCAGUGGUACUAUCUAUGAAUGGAACAUAGAUGGUAUGACCGAGUAUAACAUACUCACUAAACAAUAUUGAACAUGGUAAGUAUAGCCUAUAAAUUAAACAAUAGACUGCCAGAUCAUGCUGUAGCUCAGACCAUUGUUGCUGGGUUUACAGGUCAGCUUAAGGGUUGGUGGGAUAAUUAUCUCACUUUUGAUGAUAGGAAUAGUAUCCUUAAAGCCUAUAGGAUUAAUGAAAGUAAUGAAGUUGUUAAGGACAAAGAUGGCCAUGAUAUUGAGGAUGCAGUGGCUACUUUAAUCUACUCAAUAUCCAAGCACUUCAUUGGAGAUCCUGCAAAAAUUAAGGAUAAAACUGCAGAUCUCUUAACCAACCUUAAGUGUCCCAAGCUUCAUGAUUUUAAGUGGUAUAAGGAAGUCUUCCUAACCAAAGUCAUGUUAAGAUCAUAUUGUAACCAGUCUUUUUGGAAAGAAAAGUUCAUCUCAGGAUUACCCAAGUUUUUCUCUAAGAGAAUUAGGAUCAAGAUAAGGGAACAGUAUAAUGGUCAAAUCCCUUAUGAUAAGCUAACCUAUGGUGAGAUUAUAAGCAUUGUCACAGCUGAAGGGAUUAAGUUGUGCAAUGACUUCAAGCUUAAGCAACAAAUGAAGAAUGAACAAAAAAUCUACAAGAAUGGAUUUGGAUCAUUCUGUAGCCAAUUUGGUUUCAGCCAAAAAGAAACUAUGCCUCCCUCUAAGCAAAAGCCAAGCAGGAAGCCUAGCAAAGAUAAGUUUUACCAUAGUAAGAGAGGUACCUAUGACAACUAUAGGAUGAAUGAUACUAAGUAGUCAAGGCACGUCCAAAGAAGGGUCAACAAAGAUACCCAGAAAAAGGUAGAAACUCCUUUAGAUGUCAAGCCAAUUAUCUGUUUUAAAUGUGGCAAAGUUGGCCAUUAUAAGAAAGAUUGUAGAGUUAAGCAAAAGAUUAAUAACUUAAGUGUCUCAGAUGACCUAAAAAAUAUGCUUUGUAAGGUAAUGUUAAACUCCUCCGAUUCUGAAUCAAGGAUUGAUUCAGAUAAUGAAGAUGAUAUUAAUCAACUAGAUAGCAGUGGCGAUGUUUCUAGCCAAUCUUCUAGUGACCAAGAUGUUUGUAUUAAGGGAAAUUGUAAUAUAUAUAUAUAUAUAUAUAUAUAUAUAUUUAAAAUUUAUUAAACUCAUUAAUAAAUUCAAUACAAAGUUUCACUUAAUUUGAAAUUCAUCUCUUUAGUGAAAAUUUUGAAAAAAUAUUAUUUUGUGGAAACAAAAAACAAUAUAAUCAUUUUAAACUAAUCUUUAUCCAUAGAUUUUUUUUUUUUUUGUAUUUAUUAGUUUAUUAUUUGUUUUUUUUGUAUUUAUUAGUUUAUUAUUUGAUUUUUAAAUUAAUUUUAAAAAUUAUUAGACUUAUAAAUGAAUCCAAUACAUUAUUUUUUUGUUUAAUUUACUUAUCAUACUAUCAAACAAACUUUUAUUAUUUAUAAAAGACCUCUCAAAGGAUUUUUUUUUUCUAAAUAAAAAUAAAAAUAAUAUUUUAAACUAUGUUUGAUUUGAGAGUUUUUAAAAAAAAAAUAAAAAUAAAAAUUAUUUUAAAUUAUGUGUACAUAUAUUAUUGUAAAUUUAUUUCUUUUUCCAUUAUCAUUUCCAUUCCUACCUAACAUUGAAAUGGAAACAAAUAAUCAAUCAAACCUUACAAUAUUCCUAAUCCAAUGACAAUAAUUGAUAUCACUAAAUUCAUUCAAAUUCAAGAAAUAAAAAUAUAAAUGAAAAUAAAAUAUUCAUUUCCAUCCUCUAGUCUCAUGUACCAAACAUGGUCAUAUAGCUAGUACCAAAAACUUCUUCUAACUAAUGUGGGAUAUCACAUUCACAUUCAUACAGAUACAAUUUUUAUUACAUCAGAUGGGAUUGUGAGACCCUUUGGUACCAUUUAUAAUGACCAACCUCUAAUUGUAUAGAUAUUAUUUGGUCUAAAUCCAAUGGGCUCUAACGGUUUUAAAACUCAUCUAUACUAUUAAGAGAAGUGAUUACUACUCAAAAAGUGCUAUUUGAUAGCCUAUAAUUAAUCCUUUUAAACACUUUUGAGUAGUAGUUUUGGCAUUUUAACUCAAUUGGCAUGUUAAUGACCCUUUAAAGCAAUUUUGAUCACUUUGUGUAAGUUUUGGUGUUUUUGUUAGUAUUUUGAUCACCAAAGCAAGUCAAGUCUGAGGAGAGCUAUGAGGAAUCUUGGGCAAAGCUUAGAAGUCACUUUCCAAGAGUAAAUCCGGAUUGCAAGGAGAAAAAGCAAAGAGAAUCUGUCAUAAAGCAUAUUCUUGAUGAUAGUCGUAGCAGCCACUUUUGGAGCACUUUAUGAAGUCCAAAUUAUGCAUGCUAUAUACCAUUUCAAAGCUCAGGAAGUCAACAAUCCAAUGCUUCAAACGGUGUGCAAUUCGGAGUUGAAACGAAGAAGUUGCAGCCAUUACAAGCCAAUCACUCCGAGCUGAAGGAAGCAUUUUGCAAAGUGCUGCGAAAUCACCCUUUUGUUGCGAAGUGAUUUCGCAGCCUUUUUGUACAGUAGGGUGUAUCUCCUUCUGACGAUGCCCGAUUUAUGCCGCGAGAAGAAAGCUUGGAACUUCAAGGUGGAAGCCAACUUCGCAGCCCUGUGAAGAUAGCUUGGUGUUGCGAAAUUAUUUCGCAGCCCUCUUGAGUGUCUGCGAAAUUUCGCAGACACCAUUUUUCUCCUGCGAAAUGGUUCCUGAAGCCUCCCGAUAUUUGCUACCGACAUUGGGAGAUAUUUUCCAUUAGUUUUUUUGUUGUCUAAAUCCCAAAAUACUCCUUGUAAACCACCAAUUACAAGAUUCCUUAGCUUUUAAGUUAGUAAAAAGACUAAAUAUCAAUGUAAUAAUUAGUUUUAUAUUAUGUUCAUAUAUAUACCUCUCGAGAGCCUGUUCUCAGAGAGGAGUUCCUUCUGUAAAAGUUUGGGUAAGCAAGUAAAGUCUAUUUUCUUUCUACUGCCUUACCUUCUCACUUUGUAUUUUCAUUUUAUUUCUAAGUUAUGAAUUCUCUGAGGAGUUUUCCCCAGAGAAUGAGUAACUAAACCUCUAAUUCCUUGGAGCUAAGGUUGCCGGGGAAGGUUCCAAGUGCAAGAAUGCAAAGCUCUGUGGUUUUAGCUAGUAAUGAAGAGGAAGUGAAAUCCUUUAGUGAUUUCUAUGUUUUUAGUUAACGUAAAACACCUUAGAGUCACCUGGGCCAACACUUGGUAAGGCAAGUGAUCUCCAUAGAGAUGCACUAGUUUACCCCUUGCGAGCCUCUGGGAGGUGACUUGAAGGUAGGAUUUUCUAGAAUAGCCAACACUUGGUAAGCUUUUGGACUCCAAGGAGACAUCCAUUAGUUAUCUCUUGCGAGCUUUUGACGGGUAAUCCAAGGUUAAAGAUCACCUUGAAUGGCAAGUGCUAGGUUAGAGGUAUGAGUCAUUGCAAGGUGCAUCAGUGAGAGGGAUUUAGUGUUUGAACCCAUUAAAGGGAAGCAUCUGUAUAACACCGGUUGGAGAAGGAACUAUAUGUUAAUUCUCUAAUGCGAGGAAAAGAAACAAGUGACCGGAACUCCCUUUUUGUAUGAGGAAUCUGAGCCUAGUGAUCUGAAACUCCAAGAAACACUUUUCUUUAUAAGUAAAAUCAGUUACUAUUUUUGGUUAGCUUAAAACCAACCUUUUUCAUUCAAACAUCUUUAUGUUUUCUUUUAAAGCUAACCUUGAAAUGAAAAGGCACCAAUUCAGCUUUGAAUUGAUAUCAUUUGUGAAGUGAAAACUCAUCCCAGUGAACGAUCUUAGAGCCACUAUGCUAUAGUAGCUUUGUCUUUGCUACCCUAGUAUAUGGUGUAAUAGGUUAUAAAUUUUGUUGAUUACUCCCUCAAUCAAGGAGCACCAGCUGGACACGAAUCAACUGAGACACCAAUUGGGCACGAAUCAAAUGGUGUCGUUGCCACUGCCGCUGCUAGGGACAAAUCAAGAAGUCUACUAUGUAUACAAUGUUAAGAAGAUCUUCCCCCCCUAAUAAAUGUGUGACAUAACAAAUGGUGGGACUCAAACUAAAGCAAGGCCUCUCAAGCUGUCUACCAUCUUAGUUUCAGCAUGAAUUCAGUUUGUUCCAAACAACAUAACUCUGGAGUAUUCUAAACAAACGAUUUCCAUUGAAAACACAGUAUUAAAUUAUAAGGAAAACAAACUCGAUCUUCAAGCGGUUUUGGGGAUCACUUGUGGAAUAGCCAGUGAAAUAGAAAUAUAAACUGAUAAUGUAUAGGGACCCAAGAGCAGCACAUGCAACAGGAUAUCUAAUUCCUCCUAAUAUCAUCAGCAUGAAGAAAAUUGGCAUCAUUUCCAUUGAGUUCUGAUGCUCUCUCUAAAAAAAAUAUAAAUUCAAAACAUUUAGUUUUACUGAUCAUCGGUCAUCCAUAUAAACAAAAAUCUACGUGCAUAUAGUGAACCUAAGCAAGAAAAUAUAUUGCAUCUAAUCAAAUUCAGUAGACAUGAUGAUAUCUAUACUAUUUAAAAAAAAUUAUAUUCAUAUUUAUGUCAGAAAAUAUUUUUUUAUUUUUUUAUUUUUAGAACAUUAAUCUUUUUAAAAGUCCUUUCUGGGAUAUUUUCUAGCUUUUUCCUUUUGCUAAUUUUUUCUAUUCAAACAAAUCUUAAGAAAGGAAUCAAACCUGGACACAAUUGAAGAGCUUGGCAUCCUUGUUUUCAGAUUCCAAAGCAUAUAUACUUCUUCCUGGCAGAUCUAAUGAGUGAAAACAUUGGAGCUAGGUGCCCAAUGAUUGGCUCUUUGAAGUUGACCUACCUCCUUAACAUGUACAUAGGAGUCCUUACCUAAAAAACAUUAAAAUCUAUAGGGUGAACAUAAGAUCUAAUAAAUAGGCACGGUAUGCAGAUGUUAAGAUGGUCGGUCCAAGGUAAAAAAAAAAAAAAGUUCUAAAACAUAUCACGUAAUAAUUUUGGUUUAUUAUGAGAGGAAGAUGGGUUUGUGAGAACUAUAUUUUGUGGAUAGAAAUGUGAAGAAGAGUGAGAGACACUCAAUGGAGUAAGAGGACUAAUAAUUCAGGGUAGUCAUACAAAGUGUAGGGAAAUGGUUGUAUCUAUUUUUGUAUUUACAAUAUUUUUUAUUGUAUAGUGAAAUAUUAUCUUUCAAAUAUGGAAGUAAGCAUGGUUAGGUGUACCACAUUAAAAUCUAAGCAUUUGUUUUAUUUUGUGUUCUUCCAUUAAUAUAUUUCAAUAUUAGAGCAUCCAUUGACUCAACAAUUUAUUAUACUAUGAAUUAUCAUAAGUGAAUAUAUUUUUAUAUUAAAAUAAACCAUUUUCUUAAAUAUAAGUAAAUUUAAAUAUUUUACUAAACUAUUUUAAAAUAAAAAUAUAAUAAAAAACAAAAAAAAAACAAAUUUAAUAUAUAUAAUAAUAACAUGAUAAUAACAUAUCCCAAACCAAAUGCAACAUAAAUUUCUAAAUUGUCUCUUCUUUCUUAGUUCCCUAUAAUACUAUUGUCAUGCCCAUUGUUUAAGCUAUAAAUUAACAUUUUAUGUUCUUUGAAACAUAUGUAUUAUUAACUCAAUAUAAAUAGCUACGAAGACAUGUUUCUCAUUUUCCUAAUAAAAAAUCAUUGUGAGUUCAAACCUUUUUGUUUAGAAAGUUAACUUGCAAUGUUAAUACUCUUUUUUUAUAUUAGCCCCCUAGGAAUAUCAUUGCCUUUUACCACACUUUUAGUUUUUUUCUUUGUUCUUUUUUUUUUAAUAUUCUUUUUUACUUCUACAUUAGAAUUCAUGUAACUUCUUGUUCUUUAAUUUUUUUUUCAAUAUUUUCUCUUAAGUCUACCUUACACUUCUUAUUCCCUCUCUUAUUUUUUUUGUCUUUUUCAAAUACUGGGUUGCUUCUCUAUUACAAUUCAUUAACUUCCUAUCCUUUUAUUUAUUUUUUUUGCAAAAUUCUUUCUUAAAAUACACAAAUCCACAGGUUUUAAUUAGUAAAAGUACAAUUUCGUGUUUGAUGAAAUACAUACUUUAAAGAAAAUGCAAAGAUUUAUAUGUACUGAAGUUUUCUAUAAAUAGACUAAAGUUUCGCAUGCAUGAAAUUAUAGAAAGUAUGUUUAAGUUCAACCAAUCAUUAAUCACAUCUAGUAGGAUUUGAGAUGCUCAUUUUGAGAGAGGGUGACACGAGCAUUACAGAAAAAGUUCAUCAUGUGUCAUUGUAUGAACUGUUGAAUCCUAUUAUAAAGACUUUAAAAACAAAACCCAUAAGGACCUUUUUGAAGCUCUAUGAAGAUUUUUCUAACGAUGAUUCAAUUGUAAAUCCAUUUAUUCCAAGUUUUAAGUGUUUACGUGUAUUGACCUUAGCUUCUUUCGAUUUAAAGGAGGUGCCAAAGUGUUUAGGAAAAUUGAGUCAUUUAAGGUAUCUUAAUCUUUCCUUCAACAAUUUUAAGGUACUUCCUAAUUCUAUUAUAAAGUUGAAGAAUUUGCAGACACUAAAAGUGAAGGGUUGUCUGAAUUUGAUACGAUUUCCAGAAUUUACAAGGGAAUUAAUGAAUCUUAGGCACUUAGAGAAUGACUGGUGUGUGAAAUUGACUCAUAUGCCAUAUGGAAUAGGAGAACUAACUUUACUUCAAAGCCUACCAUUAUUUAUUGUUGGGACUGCGAAAGCGGGGGAUCAUAAAAUUGGUGGCUUAAGUGAAUUGAAAAGACUUAACCAAUUCAGAGGAGAGUUACGGAUUAGAAAUCUUGAAAACGUAAGGGAUAUUGUACCAGUACCCAGAGGAGAAAUUUUGAAAGGAAAACAAUACCUUCGAUCUUUGAGAUUAGAAUGGGUACGGUGGUGAUGGAAGGGCUCCAGCCACAUCCGAACCUCAAGGAUCUAUUUAUACAAGGUUAUGGGGAUAGAAGGUUUCCAAGUUGGAUGUUGAAUGAUAGGUUGGGUUCCCUGCUUCCUAACCUAAUUAAUAUUCAAAUUCGGGGAUGUUCAAGAUGCCAAAUUCUACCACCCUUUUCUCAACUCCCUUCUCUCCUGUCUCUGGAUCUUUAUAAUAUGGAAGAGGUGGAGGAGAUGGAGGAGGGUCCAUCAGCAGCGCUGUUUUUCCCAUCUCUUCAAUCCCUCAAAAUCAACUGGAUGCCAAAGUUGAAGGGAUUGUGGAGGAUGGAGUCAAAAGCAAAGCAAUGUCCCUCAUUUCGUCAUCUUUCUGAAUUAUAUAUUAGUCGGUGCUCUAAUUUGACAUCAAUACAAUUGUCGUCAUCUCCUUCUCUUUUUGAACUAGAAGUCAAUGAAUGCUCUAACUUCACAUCCUUUGAAUUGCCUUCAUCUCCUUGUCUUUCUCAAUUAGUAAUCCAAGAUUGCCUUAACUUGACAUCCGUGGAACUACAUUCAUCUCCUUGUCUCUCUCAAUUAGAGAUUAGUCGUUGCCCUUGCUUGACAUCCUUAAAAGUGGUUUCAUUACCUUGUCUUGAGCGCCUCUCUCUUGAGAGUCCGAGAGGAGGUACUACGGCAGAUAAUGGUUGUCUCUGCUUCUUCAUUGAAGACUUUGUCUCUUGGCAACAUAGAUGAUACAACCUGUAUAUCUCUCUUAGAGCAGCUGCUUCAACAUGUUUCCACUCUCCAAACUCUCAACAUGUGGGACUGCCCUGAAUUGAUGACAUCACUGCCACAAGAAAUGCCUUCUCUCAAAACCCUCCAGAUGCUCGAAAUUAGAGACUGUUCUGGUUUGGCAACAUUGCCACACUGGAUAGGCAGCCUCACCUCACUUGCAGAGCUUCAUAUAUAUAAGUGCCGUGAAUUGACAUCAUUACCAGAAGAAAUACAUUCUCUCUAGAUACUCAAAAUUUAUUGCUGCACUGCUUUGGCAACAUUACCACACUCCAUAGGCAGCCUCACUUCACUUGAAGUGCUUGAUUUAACUUGUUGCCAUCAAUUGGCAUCACUACCCGAAGAGAUGCGUUCCCUCAAAAACCUGCAGAUGCUUUAUAUCUCCCAUUGCCCACACCUGGAGGAAAGAUGCCGAAAGGAAACAGGGGAAGACUGGCCCAAGAUUUCUCAUAUCCCAGACAUUGUUGUGAGAUAGGGAUGGAGAUGCAACAGAUACAUAAUAUUGUUUCAGGUCCAAAAUCCUAUACAUUUCUUCUCAUUUUCAUUAUCUUAUAAUCAAAGUGCUCUGUUUUCAUUUUGUUUUGGUAAUUCUUUAUAUUUGCACCCUAUGUGUUUGAUUAAAUAUUAGAUCAGUAACUUCUAAAAUUUUUGCUUCUUCAAACCAAUUGUUGAUGUCUCCACUUCUUCAUUGCAACCUGUGUCUACUGGAAGUAUAGAUGAUAUUAUAUCUCUUCCAUUAGAGCCGCUUCAACGACGUGUUUCCAUGAUCGUAACUCCCAACAUUGAAUGCUGUUUUGGUUUUUGUGCACCUUCAUAUUCGCGAUUGCACUGGAUUGACAUCACCACCAGAAGGGAUGUACCCGAAUACGCUCAAAAUCUUUCAUUGUCUGCACAAAUUCGUAUCCCAAAAUUGCUCAUAUCCCACAAAUUUAUACCUGGUGAAAAUUUCAUCCAUACACAGCUAUUUCAGGUAUGAAAUCCACCCUUUUUCUAGCUUCAUUUUUAUUCAAUAUCCUAUAAGGACAUGAAUUCUGUUUUUAUAAUCCUAGAUUGUAUUAAUAACAUAUAAAGCAAAAGUGACUUUCUUAUUUAUGUUCACACUUUAUCCAUUUGAUGAAAUGUUGAAACUAUCAUGUUUGAAAAAAUUUCUCUUCAAACAUAGUCAUAAAUUGGUAACUGAAGACCAGACUAAUAAUAUUAUUUUAAGUUUUUCAUUCUAAAAUUUUUGACAAAUGUUUGAUUGGCUUAAAAUUUUCUCAUGGCUCAAAAUUCAUCCCAUUAGAUCUACUCUUUGCAAUUUCUCAUGAUUGACAAAUGUUUGAAAGGACUUCUGCUCUUCUUUCAAUUUAGACCUACUCUUUGCCAUCAAUUUUAUGUAACCCUUUACCUAGGAUUGGUAACUACAUCAUCUUUCAUUUUGCUAUCAGUCUGUCAAGAGUGUCAUUCAAGUUGUAAUUAUAGAUGUUAAUUUUCAUAUGCAAUAACACGGUAACAAGAUUGAGCAAGUUAGCAAUAUGUAAAGUAGAAAUUUUCCUCUCUGUUUCCUUGUAUAUGUUGUGUGUGCAUGAGAAUGAACAAAACAGAAGUCCAUUGUUGUGCUUGUCAUUAUUUUUUAGAAUAUCACUCUAACAAAAAACUUAUUAUGUGGGCCCUCUCUGUUGUUAUGUACUAUAAUUUAGCUGGGGUUUUUGCCUAGAAAUCAUGCUUGUUACUAGCUAAACAGUUGGUAGCAUAAUAUCUAUCUUGUCUAAGUUCCUUUGUGUUUGCAUUAUUCAUGUUGGAAAGUAUCUUAGAUUAAUGAUUUUAUUGCAGAUGUAAUGUUCUCAAAUCAAUACAAAAGAGAUAACAGAUACCGCUUUUUAUCAUUCUUGAGACCUCAAAAUAAAUGUCGUAGAGAGUUUCAUUUUCUAGAUAAUGAGGAUGAGGUUGGCAUGUAAAUCCCAAAGACUUUAGAAGCUUGUUUUGCUAUCUCUACCAUUGGAGGCUUCAACAUGUUACAACUCUAGAUUGAAAUCACUAUUAAUGAGUUACAAAUUGUUGUUUGCCCUGAAUUGAGAUCACUGCCAGAAGCAUAAGCUUCUCAACACUCAUGUUUCUGAUUUUGGUAUUUACCAGAAAUGGAUGGAUAAUUCAAGGACACAUGGGCCCUUUGAUUAUGCCAUCUACAAUGUAGAGGUUCAUGAUCCAACCUCUCUUCCUGUUGGUGGAUUCAUUUUUUUAUAUUACUUUGCAGUCAGCAUUCUAAGAAUGUCAUGUACUGUUUACUUGACUCUCAUGCAUUAGGCAUUAGCACAUAUGAUGAGAAAAGUUUUACAUUACUUUGCUUCCCUUUUACAUGUGUCUAUAUAUAAUGCAAUCCUUUUCCACUAAUGCAAUCUCGAGUUUGGGAAAAUGCUUAGGUUGAUUUUAAUAUUUUCUUGCAGAUUAUACCUUGCUUAAGAAGCUUGUGAUUAUUCAUAUCUGCUGGAUGGCUAAGGCACCUAAUAGUGUUCCGAACUUUUGGUCCCUAUUUAAUUCAGAUGUGUUGUCUGCAAUAUAUUUUAGGUCUUCAAUUCCAAUAUUCUUCUAGCUUUUGAAGACUCAUCAUUUUUAUAAAAUCCUUAUAUUAAUAUAAUUUGAAGUUUUAUCUUUAAAGAAACCAAUUGCCAGUGCUUUUACUUCGAUGGUUAUGAUCAACUAAUAAUAUUCAGAUCUUCUUACUUCAUACUUGCAUUAUACAUGUAGGGAAAAUUUAUUAGGUUAAUUGUUUUAUUGCAGGUAUAAUUGUUGCCAAGUCAAAGCAAUAUCGGAUAGUGAUCUGGCUGCAAAAUCUCUCUUCUCUAAAGUACUUAGAAAGUGAGAAUUGUCUUUGGUUCAUAUUUCUCUAGAUGGCUGUCACACCUAAUUUCUCUCAAAUUAUCGAAAGUUUGGAGGUGUGGCAGUAGCCUAAUGUCUUUGUCAUAAGUGACGCCUUAUUAACCUUGAAGCCUUGGAAGCUGUCUAAAUAAUAUGAUAUCUUUUCUGGUUGAUCUGCUUUGACAAGUUACCAGGCUUCAAACUCUCUCAGUUAUGACGUGUUCGCGUUUUGCAACAUUAGCACACUUGAUAGGCAGCCUCACGUCAUUAACAAAGCAUAAAUUUCAUUCUUGCCCUCUACUGACAUCAAUGCCACAAGACAUGUUCCCUCAGCACUCUAUAGACACACAAUUCAGGACUGUCGUGGUUUGGUAGUAUUAUCAGACUCAAUAGACAGCCUCCCCUUACAAACACCUUCAAAGAACCAACAUCACUGUUGGAAGACAUGUGUCUCCUCAGCACAUUAUGAACACUCAUAGUUGGGGAUUGUUCUAGGUUGACAACAUAUAUAGACUCGGCAGGUAGCCUUAAAUAACUUACAGAGCUUCAAAUUCAUGACUGCCCUGAAUUGAUAUCAUUGCCAAAAGAAAUUUGUUCCUUUAGAUCCCUACAGACACUCAUAAUCUCUUAUUGUCUCUUGUUGUCCAUGUUUAUUGGAAAGAUGAAUGUCAAAGCGAAAUGGGGUGAAAAUCAGCCAAGAUUGCCCAUAUCCAAAAUAUUGAUAUUUGGUGGGGAUUGGACUUUGAACUAAUAUUGUUUGCAUUAAAGCUUCCAUUGGCACAACAUAUAGAAAGCUAUUUAAGGUAUGAAAUCCCAACCUUUCAUCUCAUUUGUUAUGGUUUCAUUUUAUCAAUAUGCUUUGUUUUACAUUCGGUUUUUAUAAUUCUAGUUUGCAUUAGCAUAUGAAGCAAAAAAGACUUUGAUGGUUAAUUUUGAACAUUGCAUCAUUUUUAUUUUAUUACCAAUGUGUUAAGAGCUUAUACGCUGUUUUUUAUAAUUUUUUUUCUAAUUAUCAUAUGGGUUAACACACCAAGUAGUACAAUUGAACAUCUAUAAGAGUCCAAACAUUUAACUAGCAGCUAUUGGAUAAAUUAGUUAGAUUAUUUUUUGUUUGCAUCACCAGUUUUAUAAAAUUCUUAGAUUAGUAAAGCUUGAAUCUUGUACUUUAGCAUAUAUGAAUUGCCAGUGUUUUGUACGUACUUUGAUGAUUAUGAUCGCUUAUAAAUAAUUGUUUGUCAAAAUGAUCUUAUUGCUUCAUAUUUCAUUUUAUAUGUUUAGAAAAUUUAUGAAGUCAACUAUUAUUUUGUAGCAAAUGUAAUUCUUGCCGGGUCAAAGCAAACGUGGACAGUAUUGUGGCUACGAUACCCUUCUCAUCUGAAGAAAUAAGAAAGCAAGGAUUGUCAUAGACCAAGGUCUCUCUCAUUGGCUGCCAGACUUCAGUCGUCGCUUCAGAAUUGUAGUAGCAAAAUGUUUGUCUCCAGUGGCUCAGCACCUCACUGCCCUUCAAGCUUCAGAAGUCGUCUAAAUAGUUGGGGUCUGAACAUGUUACCAUUUUGGAAAUUCUAAGAAGUAUCAACUGUUCUGGUUUUACAAUUUUAUUGCUGACUGCCCCAAAUUGAUCAUUCACUGCUAGAAUAGAUGCACUCAUGAACACUCCCUUGGAGAAAUGCUGAAAAGGAAAAGCGACGACUAGCACCCAAGAGUGGUUUAUGGACUUCUCUUGCUCUCCUUAAUCCAAGCAUUCUAUCUAUAAUAUGUUUCAGGUUUGCAAUCCAAUAACCUUUCUCCUAUUUUUGUUGGCUUUAAUUUUUUUUUUAUAAUUUUACAAUCAAUCUUCUGAGAGAGUUAUAUCUUGUUUACCAGUCUAUUUUACCUGUUCUCAUUUGAAUUCAGAUAUAUAAAGACCCAAAAAAAAAUUACAUUACUUCCUUUCUCUUUUACAUGUAGAUUCCUUUUUACUUAGACCGACUCUGUCACUUCUUUUGCUUCCUUCAAUUGAACUAAUUUUUUACUUACUAUGAUAAAAACAAAGUAGUUUCUUCGAUGUCAAAGGUGAAAGUGAAAAUUUUUCUUCUAAAUAUCUUUUAAUCAAUAAUCAAGAGUUUGUAAUUUAUAUUUUAUGUGUUUUUUGUUUUUGUUUAAAGUUUCUCUUAUACCUUAAGCAUAUAGAUUUUACAAUGGUUGUUUAGUUUUCCUAGGAACUUUCUUAGAAAUAAAAUUUCCAUUUAUUUGGCCAAUAAAGAUGCUGAAGAAAAUUACUUUUUAUCAUAUCUACUAUUCGUUUUAUGGUUCUCAUCCAUACUCCCCUACAUAAGUAAUUUCUAAAUAUUAUCAUCAAAUAAAUAAAUAAAUAAAUAAAUAAAAGUUACUAACAAAAUACUAAAUUAAAGAAAAAUGAAAAUGGAAUAAUUUCAAGAAUAUAUUGAUUAAACUUAAAAAAAAUAAAACAUAUAAAUUAAAAUAGAAAAAAUUAAGUGAUUUUGAUUUUUUAAAAAAAAUCAAGUCAAAACAAAUAAGAAUUCUUAAAAAACAAAAAACAAAAAACAAAUAAAAUUAAAGUUGCAUAUGAGAUGUUGAAAAUUAGAGUGAGAAUAUUUUAUGAGAAUCCAGUUCUAGAGAGGACAGAUGAAAGAAAAGUUAUGAUCUUAGGGUUUCAAAAAAAUUAUAUACAAUAUCAAUAAUUUAAUUAAUUAUUAAAAAUUUAUAUGCUUAUAUGGAAUUUAAUUUUUAUAAAAUUAAAAUUUUUGCUUUUGUGACAUUCUGAAUUUAAUAAAAUAAAAAAUCUUCUUAUUAUUUAAUAAAAUGUCACAAAUGUAAUUUUCAAUAAUUAGACUUCUUAUAUUAAAUAAAUUUUAUUUUAAUAUUUUUAUAUUCAAAAAUUAGAAAAUUACCAAUAUUUUUAUUUCGUUACAUUUUAUUACAAUUUUCUUUGAAUAUAUCUAUGUCUCAAGUCACUUGUUGACAAGUUAUUGAGAUGCAAAUACAUCUCUUUGGUUGCCAUCACUCUUAUCUCUUUUUUGAACUUUCAAUACUUCUUGUGGUUUAUUACAUCGGAGCUAAUUUCUACAAAAUUACCAUUCUUUGUUUACAAAUCUUGUUUUUUCAUUCUUAUAGGAAGUAGAACAACAUGCUAAGUGUAUGAGACACAUUUACUAAUUGAUGUUCCAAAGUUUGUUAAUCUUCAAGCACCUUGUGCUUGUAAUUGAAACUUUUUAUGUUAUUAGGGUUUGAUGAUUCUCACAUUAGUGCUUGGGUGCCAUGUUGGAUUUCAAUGAAAGUGAUUAACUAAUCUUGUAGCAAUUAUUUGAUUGUUGUUAUAAAGUAGUUGUUACUUUAUCUGGGUAAUUGGCUUCAAUAUCUUUUCAACUAUUAUGUGAAAUAUAUAGCCUAUUACUAUUUAUGUUCAAGCCCAUUCUUGAUUCAAAUGUUAGAUUAUAUUCAACUUUCUAAACUAUUAGUACUUUAUUCAAAUAGCUUCAAUGCUAAAACUAAAUCACUUUGGUUACUGGUAUAAGUUUACAAUGAAUACAUUACCCCUUGCAACUCGCAUACCUUCAAGCAAUUGUGAAAUGUUGUGCGGCUACUAAUUACUCUUUGUUUAAAUAUGAUAUGUGAAGUUAUGUUAUAGGUAAAAGUUUAAAACUAAUAAACUUUUUGUUUUAAUCCCUGUUAAAUUUUCUAUUAUUUAUACUAAUUUAAUAUUUAUUAAGUUUUACUUUGAAGUGGAAAGGACUACUAAUCUUGACCAUAACAAAAGUAUAUUCUAUGAUUGGUUUAUUGUUACUCUUGGUUAAUUCGGCAAUUCAAUUAUGAAAUUUAGUUGGAUGGUACUUGAGAUGCAUGCCUUGUGUAUUUGAUCUAUUUGCCAAGCUUCAAUGACAUUCACUACACUUGUGAGUGGUGUUUCUUUAUAGGCAUCAACUCUAGAAAAUUACAAUAUUUGGGCCUAAGUUCAUUUUAGGUAAGGAAGAAAUCAACCUUUACUACUAUGUUCAAUUAAGUAAUUUUAUUCCUCAUUGCCCCCUAAAUAAAGCUUCUAAACCUUGGCCCCUUAAUGGAAUUCAUAACUAUGCUACUAUUUGCAUUACUUUUUGUAGAAAAAUUGUUAAGUUUUACAUGUUGUUUAGAAGUAUGCAAAAAUGUUCAUUUGACAUGGUUUGACAUCAUUACUAUAGUUUUUUUUUUCUUUAAUUGUUAUCAAUAAUUUUCAAAGCUCUUUUUGUAUUGAUAGGUAAAUGGAUGGUUAAUAUGUAGAGAACGAUCAUGCAUUCUUUAAUUCAAGCAUUUCUUCCACAAAAUAUGUAAGAUUAGCAAUGUCAACCUUUGCCUUCCCAUUUGUUGCUUCAUAUUUUGUAAUCAUCUUGCCAUGAUUGUUGUAUUGUUAUGAUAAUACUCAUUAUGCAUAUAGGUUGCACAUGCAUGAGUGAAUGCAAUAUUCUACCUUUUUGCUUCAUUCUUUAUUAUUUUGAUGGAUAUACUUUGAAGCGGAGAUGGUUUGUUUGGUUUUUUGUUAAAGAAAUAAUGUUAUUCAAUAACAUUAUUGUAAUAAUUUACUAUUGAUUGCAAAAUUACUUGGCUCAACCCAUUAUUAUUCUAAAAUUAAUACAAUAUCAUGGCUAAUACCAAAAGGAUAAUAUUUAUAUUAGAUGGUAAAUCAACUUAAUGACUUAACAAGAAUUAAUUACUUAAUUUAAGUCAUUAAAUAUAUUAAGCAUGUUUGGUAAAAUAACCUAAUAUCAUAAUUUAAAGUAUAAAAAAUAAUAAUAACUUUAAAUAUUAAGUAAAAAUAGUUAACGUAUUCCUAAUAUCAAAUUUCUUUUAUCUCAUUUACCCAUGUUUAGUGAAACUAUAUUUUACAACUAUAACUCUAUAUUCACAACUCAUCUUUUAUAGUAAAUAUUUUUAUAAUUAUCUUAUGUAUUUACAAUACUUUAAAUAUAAAUAUUUAAUAAAUAAAUUUAUUAUUUAAAAUUAGUGAAAAUAUAAAUAUUGGUUAAAAUUUAUGAGGAUAAAUAUGUCAAUUUAAUGAUUUAAAAUAAAUUUUAAGUUAAUUUUACUAAACAACCUUAAUACUUAAAGUAAAAAACAAGUAAUAAGGUUUGAAUCAACAACUUAAGAACAAUUUAACUUAAAGUCAACUUAAGUCACUAAGCAAUAAGUAUUAAGUUUUACUAAACAUUCACUUAGUUGAGCAUUAUUUACUAUUCCGCAAGCACAUGUUGACAAGUUAUAGAGUGUUGAUGCAAAUGGAAAAAGUAAGCUAGAGUACAUCAUCAACUUGUGAUCUCCCUUUUUUUUACCAUCUAUAUUGUAAUCUUCAUUAUAUAGUUUUAUAAUUGAUACAUCUUUUUUAUUAAUUAUUAAUCUAUUUAUUAAUUAAAAAAAUGUGAAACUCUAUUUGCAAUAUUGAUUUUGUUAAUUUUCAUGUGCAUUAAAACAAUAAGUUGAACAAACAAGCACGUAACAUUGAAUUGGCAUAACAAUUUUGUCAAUUCUGUUAUCUUUAAUCUUUCUCUCCUUCAUUUUUCUGUAAGGCAUCAAUAGUACCAUUCUUUCCAUUGUUGAAGGCACUUGAACCCAAUUUGAAAACCUUUAAUACACAUUGAAGUGGAGGACUAUUCCUAGAGAAAGUGACAGCAACAAUAAUGGUUACUGAUAUCAUUUGUUAAAGUUAAUGUAUGUCAUUGUAUUUGCAUCUAAAGGAUAUAUAAGAGUAUUUUUUUCAUUUCCCUUUAAUCCCUUCUUUCCACACAAAUUUAUGUGCAUACCGAAAGCAUCAAUAACCUUAUUUGUCAACAUAGGAGCAUGCCAUAGUCUACUAGAAAAUAAUUGUAUUGUCUUUGUUCAAAUUUUCUAUUUUUAUUUUUAAAAAAUUAAUUACUAAUUAUGUGUCAAAUCAUACCUAAUUGGGUAAUCUAUGUUCACAUUUUCUAUUUUAUUUUCAAAAACAAAAUGAAUUGUUGAUUAUGUGACAAAUCAUGCUUACAAACAUUAAUAAGUAAUUACAAGCCAAAUUGAUAAAGUUAAUUACUUUAAUAUUGUUUCAACAUAUGUGGGGAAAAAAAUUAGUUAAGUAUAUCUUUCCAAAUGUGACCAUUUCCAACCUAACACACACACAAAAAAAAAAAAAAAAAAGGAAAACCUAUAAUAAUGAGGAUUGACAAAGCUCUAAUAACAUCUUAGAGACUCACACUAAUAAGUUGUUGAUGGUGGAUGCAUAUUGUAAGAGUUAGUUUAAGUCUAUUACUUUACAACCAAUUUCUUAAGGACUUCUAUGAUUUGUUUACAAUUUAUAUAUUGGUUCUCAGUUGUUGCAGAAUAUUGACAAGUCACAUGAGGAUCACAAAUAAUCUAACCCAAGUUCAUGGAUAAGGUAUUUUAAUGUUUCUUGUACCUGAAAAUUUUAUGAUGCUAGCAUAGACUUUUUAUCUUGAUUAAUUUAGCAAUUAUGUUGUAAAUGUUUGCAUUAGAGUUAUGUAGAUUUAAAUAUUGAACAUUCAGGGGGGUAUUUAUUCUUCUUUUAUCUCACUCUCAUGGUUUUUAUGGCAUAAAUAUAAAUGCUUAGCUUGAAAGUUUCAACUACUAAAAAAUAUAGUUUAAGCCCUUUUUGUGGUGAAUUACAAUAAAUAACUUUUAAGUUUGAUAUGAAAUGGAGAGAGUGACAUUUUCAUAAUACCAUGACCCUUGGCAUACGAAUGAGGAGAUGUUGAUGCAUAAACCACCAUUUGUCUUUGAUGUUGAUUGGAAGUGGCUUGUCCAUUUUUGGAGCUCAGAAAAGGCACGGGUAAUUAAAAUGUUUGUAUGAUACAAUGUUAAAUUGAAUGUCAAUAUAUUAUGUAAUGUAUUUGUUUUAAAUGCAAGUCAAAUGUAAGUCAUUUCUAAAAGGAACAAGGAAAAUAGAAUUAAAUAGAAAAUCAAUCAUAACUUAGGAUCCAAGAGUUUCGCACAACUUCACUAUGAACAAGUUUAGCAAAUCUUUUUUAAUAAUGUAUUGUGUUCAUCAUGACAAGUUUAUUAUAAUGUAAUAAUUGAGGAUGAUAGGGUCAAUUGAGGUAGCAUGGCAUACAACCUAAUCGAAUAGAGAUGUUUAAGCUUACGAUUACAUGUAAGAAUGGAACACCAGUUGAUGAACUGUCUCAUGAAAUUAUGGUGAAUAAUUAGUUAUCUUUUAAUAAUUCUUAUAGAAUAAAAAUUUAUGGUACAUUUUCAUUAUAUGUUUUAACAAUUAAUCUUCCAUUAUAUUCUUUGUAGGCUAAGUUUGCUGAGCUUUUGGUGGCUCAUAUGCAAUCACACACUAAGGAGUCUUCAACAUCCACCCCAUCCACAGUUGUGUUAUCCACUCCACUAUUGGUGAAUGACAUAUACACACAAGUAAUGGACCCGGAGUGACAUGGUCGUGUACAUGAUCUAGGGUUUGGUCCAACUCCUAAAUCAUUCUUUAGAGCCACAAGUAGAAGAGAGACAAAUGCGACCCUUGCAUCAAAGCUUAAGGAUACACAGGAAGAAUUGAUGCAUUUCAAACAAAGGCAUCAAGAACAUGAAAAAAAAAGUAUGCAAAAGAAAUUCAACAGCAACAGGAACAAACGGAGUUGAUGCAACAAUACAUGCAACAAAUGAUGUAGCAAAUGUUGUAGUUUCAACAAGGGCAACGCGGCUAACAAGGCCCCCCUUCCAAUUUCAGCAAAUAUUUUUUUUUUUUUUCUUUUUAGGCUUUUUUGGUUUGGGAUAGAGGAAGUUUCAAUGGCAUUUUUGAUACUUCAUGCAAUGGUUUAAGUUUUGACAUGAAACUUUUUUGUUCAUGGUUGAUGUUUUUGUAGAAAUGAAUCUUCCUACCCAUCAAUUUGAAUGCUUUGCCAAUUGAAGUACUACACACUUAUAAAGAAAGGUUCUUUUGGUUUUAGGCAUCUGUUUGGAUUUCUUAAUUGCCAUCUUGUUUCUUGUUGGUGUUUAAAUAUAAAAGUUUUUUGUAUACAUUUUUUAUGUUUAUGUUGGUUUUUUUUUGUAUGUUUUAUAAUCAUGUAGAAAUGAGUUUAAAUUUCUAUAGGAAUUGAAUCAUUUAAUCAUAUAAAUCAUAAGUGGUGGCAUCAAUGGACUGGCCAACAGUGGUUACAUACAGAGGCUUGGUUUCUGCACAGCCUCAUCGAUCAGAAAUUAUCAAGGACCUCUUCAGAGUUAAAGAAGAUCCAAAGACUGGCGUAGUUCAUGCAGGAAUGAUAAGGUAAGAAUCAAAAGUAUCCUAUUUAAUUGGCUAGUGCUCUAUUUAUAGUUUUCUUGAUUCCUGAUCUCAUUUUUCGCUUAAAUCAUUUUAGUGAACUCUUACUUUCUUUCAAGAGUUCAACUGGCCUCAAACCUUUGAGGAUUAUCUUCUUCAGGUAUAUAUUUGCCUUUGGAUUGUGGGACUACUGCAUCAUUUUGCAUAUUACUAAAAAAUAAAAUUUAUAUUGAUCAUGCAGCCCACUAUACCUGCUUCUGGAAGAAAGGCACCACAAGCGGGAAACCUUGGACACAUUACAUGGAUUUCUAAUAAGCUUGUUCAGUUGGGAAGCAGCAACAGUCGCAUUCAAGUCUUUCCCCCGGUUGGCGAUGAAAGACAAAGAGGGUUUCAAGUUCAAGCUCCUCUGGUGAGUCAUGUAAAUAUAGAAGUACAGGAGCAACAUUACUGCAGGUCGUUUGUGUAAUGUAUUUUUUCAGACUUCAUUCUGUAGUGUGUUUAUCAGGUGGUUCUUUUUUCAGACUUCAUUUUGACAGGGUGGCUUUCAUAUGAUAUUUAGUGGCAGGGACAAGACUGAAACUCCAGAACAGGUAUUUUUUUCCUGUUACUUGUGAGAUAACUUGUUUGAUUGACUACGGUUUAUCAUCUUUGAUGUUUAGAGUAGACUUCAUUCUUCUAAAUUAGGUGUUUAUCAUCAAUUUUACUACUCGGUACGCGGUGUAGGUCAAUGUAUCACUGGCUGCUGCCCGAGCACGCCUUCAUAAUGCGGUUAGAAAGCGAGCAGUUUGCUGAAGCUAGUAAUCAAAUUGUUGUACGCUUGAAAGCAAGGGUAUUCAAGUUAAAUAUAUUCAGAACUAACACAUGUAUCAUAGUCAACACCAGUAUUUCAGAGCAGAAUAUAGAUCCCUUUCAUCAUUAAUAUCUAUUUAUCUUAUAUAACAUUGUUUAAAUCAUAGGAAGAUGAGCUGUCAAGAUCCCUUGCUUCAUGUAGAGUAAAAGGAGUUGUUGUUCCUACAUGGAUUAAUUUUCUGGAAGAUACCUGGACUCUUCAGAGAGCAUACACGGUGCACAACGAGAAUCAGAUCAAUUACGUACACCACAUUCUUUGUUGGUUAAACUUCAUUGUUUUAAAAAAAAAAAAAAUGAGAUGGGUUUAACGUCUAAUUGUCCUCCCCAAGAAAAUCUCCAUCCCAACUGCUCUCAUGUCUAUCAGCAUGCCAUAUGUAAAAGAAUCAGAAUCUCGUCAAUGGUUUAGCAGCACCCACCUAAUUGAUUUACAUGAUUAAGGGUUUGAGAUUAUCUCAUGAUUCCGGAUCAAUUGAAAUGACUCUGUUUAUAGUUGUGAGGCCAUUAAAUAAAGACCCACUAAUGGGAUAGUAAAGACCCAAGAUAUCAAGCAGUUGUGCUGCUAAGGAACCAUGCUUUAGGUCAGGAGCUCAAUGGAG
This 350282-nucleotide long non-coding RNA is filed under the name Vitis vinifera (wine grape). RNAcentral describes it as "long non-coding RNA (VVIN_LNC006733)". The record is from RNAcentral. Lineage: Eukaryota; Viridiplantae; Streptophyta; Magnoliopsida; Vitales; Vitaceae.